This 245033-nucleotide long non-coding RNA is filed under the name Coffea arabica (coffee). RNAcentral's name for it is "long non-coding RNA (CARA_LNC000709)". The record is from RNAcentral. Lineage: Eukaryota; Viridiplantae; Streptophyta; Magnoliopsida; Gentianales; Rubiaceae.
AAGCGUUACGAAGAUAUUCCAGUUUUGGGUCAGAGGCAGAGUGAAUGAAUCAGCUUUUGUACUUGAUAGUUUUGGUCGUCCAUCAUCAUUUCAGGUCAAAAUCAGACUUCUUGCAAUGAUCCAUUAAUAAUUAGUUCUUUAAUUGGACUAUGCAGAUUGGAGACUUGAGGUUUCUUUGAACUGUUGGAAUACCUUUUAUCUGUCAAGAUAUAUUUUACCCUUGUGUGGAAGUUCAUCUGAUAACCCGAUGUGCUUUUGAACAUUGAUUUUCACGAGAAGUAGAAGUUUAUUUGAUUAGGUGUUACUGAAGCAACUCUUUGAAGGCUAAGUCAAUGGUAAAACUAAUAUGGUUCUUACAAAGCUUAUGUUGUGGAAUAUUACGCUUAUGUUCAGUCCACUGAACACAAUUCUACAGAGAAUUGACGAAUUUCACAAACUGUAAUGCAUGUAAAGUUCACUUACAUAACUGUUUUUUGUUUUUUUUUCCUUUUUGUUGUAAAUGUUUUCCUUCAAAUAACGAAAAAAAAAGAAAAGAAAAUGACUUGUUUAAAACAUUAAAGGGCUACCUUGUUUGAAGUUUGAUCAAAGUACAGAUCAAGAGUUGAGGGCCUUGAGGUCUAACCAUAUUACAGUCGCCAUCCGAUCUGUGCUUUCCUGCAUCAUACCUUGCCAUCUUUCUUUCAUACGUAGAAAAAAUCCACCCAAUAUUUGAUGGGAAUGUUCAAACUCUAUUCUUUGUUUUCUCCGUCAUGCUUCUGUUAGGGUGGUUAUCUAAAUUUAACCAUUGGUGAAAACCAUCACCUUUAAAUCCAAAAUCUAUAAGGCGAUUAUUAAAAAAUAAAUUAACUAUAAAAUAGCGGAAGCGUACCUGAAUCCAUAUUAAUAAAUUUGACACUUGAAUCUCUAGAGAUUUUGGGGUGGCCUUCCAGGUCAACAGGUAUUCACCAAUCAUUUGAGAGAGACAUUUAGUUUCUCUCUGGUAUCUUUCCUGACGAUGGGAUAUCAGGGAAGAGCUAUUUUGUGGUAUUAGGAAAUACGACAACUAAAACGAUACCUGUGACUUGGGGAUCAUAACCCUAUUUAUAGGUAACAUUUAGUAACCUUUUGGAGCCCUAUUUCAGCCCAUCAUAGAAAUAGGAACCCUUAAAUCUCUACACAUUAAAGGCCCACAUCCUAUUAGAUACAUUAAACCCAAACUAUAUUUGAUCACUUUAAUUGGAUUUAACCUUAAUUGACAGCUUGCAAUACAUAAUUAUUCACAUAUAAGUCCAAUGUUGGAUUAAGAAUCCAACAAUCUCCCAUUUGGACUAUAUGUGUAACCUUAUAAUUAUAUUUCGCAAUUAACCGUAUGAGUUCAACUUUAUUGUCAUUAUCACAAUGUAUCUGUAACCAAUUCGGUCCAUCAAUCAUACCAACAUAGGAUCAAAGCGGCAUUUGUUACAAUUUCGUAACUCGACCCAUCAAUGGUCACAUACAUUGAUAUAAUUGAAUGACAUGAAUCAUGAUAUGAAUGUGUAGCAUGAAAAUUUCAUGUAAUGUGAUCAAAACAUGCCUAUUUUCAACUGGUCCACCUUAAAUUUUCAUGUGAUCAAACCAUACCAAAGUCAGAGUGUAAAUAAAUCCAAACUUUAUUCAUGAAUAAAAUAUUCUUAAAUCCUUAAUAACUGAGAAAAAUCAUAAGAGCAUUUAAAAUAAUAAACUCCUAUUAAAACUGUACAUCAUUUAAUACGACACCCAUAUGAGCAGUAUACUCAUGAAAUAUUUUGGGUGGUAAUCCCUCAGUAAGCGGAUCCGCAACCAUGGAGUUUGUCCCGAUAUGUUCUAUCGAUAACUGUCCAUUCUGCACUCUUUCUUUAACAGUCAGGAACUUGAUAUCUAUAUGUUUAGAUUUCGUCGAGCUCCUGUUAUUAUUGGAAUAUAAGACUGCUGACUUAUUAUCACAAAAUAAUUUGAGAGGUCUUUCAAUACUAUCCACUACACGUAAUCCUGUGACAAAAUUUUACAGCCAGAUUCCUUGGUUGGAUGCCUCAUAACAAACUAUAAACUCUGCAGCCAUAGUAGAAGAUGCUAUGAGGGACUGUUUAGCACUUUUCUAGGAUAUGGCAGCCAACAAGUAGAUAUAGCCUGACGUGACUUCAUAGUAUCUUGGCAUCCAGCAUAAUCGGAAUCAGUAUACCCAAUGAUCUCUAACUCAUCUGACUUCCGAUACGUGAGCAUGUAGUCUUUUGUUUUCUGUAGAUACCAUAAGACUCGUUUGGUUUUUUUCCAAUGAUCUAAUUCAAGAUUACUCAAAUAUCUACCCAACAUCCCAAUAAUGUACGCAAUAUCCGGACCCGUACAUACUUUAGCAUACAUUAGACUCCCUACUGCUGAGGCAUAAGGAAUCUUUUGCAUCUCUCUUUUCUCAAAAGCAUUCUUAGGACACUGUUUAAGACUAAAUUUGUCUCCUUUAUCCACAGGAGUGUCACCUGAUUUACAAUUUUGCAUGCCAUACCUUUUAAGAACCUUUUCGAUAUAACUCUUUUGUGAUAAUUCUAAAAUAAUCCGAGAACGAUCACGGUGUAUCUGUAUGCCUAACACAAAAAAUGCAUCACCAAAAUCUUUCAUCUCAAAAUUCUUAGUUAGAAAUUUCUUGGUUUCAUGCAAUAGACCAAUAUCGUUGUUGGCAAACAAAAUAUCAUCAACAUACAAUACCAGAAAAAUAUACUUACUCCCACAGAACUUAUGUUAUAUGCAAUCAUCUACUAAAUUCAUCUCAAAAUCAAAUUAGAUGAUCACUUGAUGAAAUUUAAAAUAUCACUGUCGAGACGCUUGUUUGAAUCCAUAAAUGGAUUUUUUAAGUUUGCAAAUCAUAUUUUUUGGAUCUCCUGAUACAAAAUUUUCUGGUUGCACCAUAUAAAUCGUCUCAUCAAUGUUACUAUUGAGAAACGCUGUCUUUACAUCCAUCUGAUGUAACUCAAGAUCGAAAUGCGCCACUAGUGUCAUGAUAAUUCUAAAAAAGUCCUUUGAAAAGACUGGAGAGAAGGUUUCUUUAUAGUCGAUACUUUCUUUUUGUGUAAAUCCCUUAGCGACAAGACGAGUUUUGUAUCUUUCCACAUUGCCUUUCGAAUCCCUUUUGAUUUUAAAUAUCCAUUUACAACCAAUGGAUUUCGCACCUUCUGGCAAUGGGACAAGAUCCCAAAUAUCAUUGUUCGUCAUGGAUUUAAUCUCCUCAUUCAUGGCAUCGAUCCACUUUUGAGAAUUUGAACUUUUCAUGGCUUGACGGAAGUUGAUUGGAUCAUCUUCCAUCAAUCCAAUGUCAUCCUCAUGUUCUUGGAGAAAAAUGAUAUAAUCAUCUGGCACUGCACUUCUCCUUUCUCUAGUGGAUCUUCUUAAAGGCACCGGUUCUUGGAGAGAAAAAGUUUAUUCUUCUAUAACAGUUUGUUCUUCAACAUUGUCUUGAUUUGUUAUGUCAUGAUCUUGUUCAAGAAUAGGAUCCAGAACAAGAUGAAUGACACCUGUGGGAAUAUUAAUAUAUUACUCUUUAAAGACAAUGUCUCUUACUGUAUUUUCUCCCCCAAACUCGACAUUCUCAAAGAACCGGGUAUUUCCUGUCUCAAAAAUUGAUUUGGCUGUGGGAUCAUAAAACUUGUAACCUCUGGAUCUUUCAGAGUAUUCAAUAAAAUAACAACUAAUCGUUCUUGAGUCCAAUUUCUUUUCAUUUGGCCUGUAAGGUCUUAUUUCAGCUGGACACCCCAAAACAUGCAUAUGCUUUAAACUGGGCUUUUUUCCUGUCCAAAACUCAUAAAAGAUUUUGAUAGUUGCUUUAGUUGAAACUCUAUUAAGGAUAUAUGUUGCAGUCUUAAGUGUUUCACCCCAGAGUGAUUCUGGUAAGGUAGAAUGACAUAUCAUACUCCUUACCAUGUUUUUAAGCGUUCUAUUUCGUCUUUCAGUUACACCAUUCAUAGUGGGUGAAUCCGGCAUAGUGUACUGUGGGACGAUACCGCAUUCCUCUAGAUAUUUAGCAAAUGGUUCUGGACGUUGUUCACCUGAAUCGUCAUAUCUACCAUAGUACUCACCACCACGGUCAGAUCUGACGCUUUUGAUUCUUUUGUUGAGUUGAUUCUCAAUUUCAGCGUUAAAAUUUUUGAACACGUCCAAUGACUGUGACUUUUCAGAAAUGAAAUAUAUGUAACCAUAUCUUGAAAAAUCGUCUAUGAACGUUAUAAAAUAUUGCUGACCAUUCCAAGCAGAUGUAGAAAAUGGCCCACAAAUAUCCGUAUGUAUAAAUUCUAAGACGUCUGAAGACUUAUUGGUUUCAAAUCUCCUUUGAUUGGUUUGUUUCCCCUUUAUACAAUUAAUGCAAUCAUUAAAAUCUAUAAAAUUUAAGGGGUCGAGAAUUUCAUUUGACACAAGUCUUUCCAUUCUCCGCUUGGAGAUAUGUCCCAAUCUCUUGUGCCAUAAUGCGGCUGAAUUCUCAUUGGUUAAUUUUCUCUUUACUCCUCUAGUACUCAAAUGCAGAGAUUCAUUAAAUGAGACAAUCGUAUCAAUUAAAUAUAGAUUAUCGUAAUGCAUUAAAGAACCAGAACCGACCAAUUUUGAAUUAUGAAACAAUUCAAAAUUUUCAUUUUCAAAUGAACAAAAAUAACCAAAUUUGUCCAAAACAGAAAUAGAAAUUAAAUUUCGUCUAAAAGACGGUACAACAAAUGUCUCAUAGAGAUCCAAAUAAAAUCCGAUCUUUAACAAUAAUCUAAAAACUCCAAUUGCCUCAACUUGAACUAUAUCUUUCAUUAUCAUUAGACUUUCCUACAAUUCAGGCAACCCUGCAAAGACACACUGAUGUGAGUUGUUGCACCAGAAUCUAACCACCAUGUGUGUCUAGGUACUGAAGUUAAAUUAAUCUCAGAACAAACCAAAUUAAGAAGCAUACAUUUCUUAGCACGCCAAGCGUGAUAGUUGGUGCAAUGCUUCUUUUGAUGCCCUUCAGUUUCACAGAAGAAACAACUAUUCUUUCCUUGAUCAUAUGAUUUCUUUUGUUGUUUUUUUUGUGGCGCUGUACCUGCAGCUCCUUUUUCUUUCUUUCUCUUAAGUCCCUUGCUAUUAUUAUUAGUAGUUGACACCAGAUGGACACUUUCUGUCUGCUCUUACUUCAACCUUUUCUCUUCCUCUACACAGUGUGAGAUGAGUUCAUUUAGAGAUUAAAUCUCCUUUUGACAGUUAUAACUCACCUUAAACUGACUAAACUGUGUAGGAAGAGAUAUUAAAAUCAAAUGCACUAGUAACUCUUCAGAGAGUUUCAACUUAAGUGCAUUUAAUUUCGAAGCAAGAUGAGACAUCUCCAUGAUGUACUCUCUGAUAUUGCCUUUACCACUAUAUUUCAUUGAAACUAGGCGUGUCAAGAGCGUACUAAUUUCAACCUUUUCGUUCUUGACAAACGUUUUUUCAAUGUCCUGAAGGAACUCUUUAGCGGUUAUAGUCGUUUCUGACAUUGUUUCCCUGAAUGCUUCUGGAACAACCUUUUUAAUGAUCAUCAGACACAAGCGAUUUGAACUCUCCCACCUUUCAUUAUUUCUCUUUUCAUCAGAGGUACUCUGAUCUGUGAGAGGGGGGAGAAUCAACCCUUAACGCAAGGUCGAGAUCCAUUGCUCUAAGUACUAUCAAGAGAUUUUCUUUCUAGGACUUGAAGUUUGUGCCAUUCAGCAUAGGACUAUUAUUGAUGUUGGAAGUAAUAUUUGUAAGAUCAUUUGCAACUGAACAGAAGACAUAAAAUAAUUAAAACUAUACUCAUAUAAACCAAAAUAAUAAUAAAUUCAAAUAAAGGUAACCCCAUCUCAAGAUACCGAUAUUUCAUUAAUAUUUCGUCUUUGGACAAAAAUAUUAACUUCUGAGUGAUAUCUUGAUGCAGUAAUAAAUACUGAUAAUAAUAACAUGUCGAAAAUAAAUUUUUCUUUGGGCCAAUUUAUAAAUCACAUGUAAAAUUCAAAUAAUUAUCACGUAUUUAUUACCACAAAUGUACAUGUAACUUCAUUAAAUAUUGACCUUCCUUUGGGCCGAUCAAUAUUCAUAAAAUUACUAGUACCCAACUAGUUAUAUUUUAAAAUAAAUUAAUUUUCAUAAUAGAGGUCACUUUGGUGGCAUAUUAUUUCAAUUAAUUUAUUCCAAAAUAUAUAUAAUCAUACCAAUAUUCAAAUUUAAAAUUAUCCAAAUUAAAUAAAAAAUUUGAUCAAAGUCAACUUUGGUCAACUUUGAUCAAACCAAUCAAUUGGAUCAAAACUUAUUGGAUCAAAGGUCCAUAUCCAUAAUUUGACCCAAUUUAUUAUUCAAGCCCAAUUUAUUCUUGAAGUCCAUAAGCACUUUAUAAAACUAUAUAUUUAAUGGGCCAAACAUAUGAACUUUAAUAGGGCUUAAAUAUCUUAUCUAACUUUAUUAGGGUUCACUUAAAUUAAAGAAACCCUAAUUUCUUUAACAUAAAUAUAAAUAUCGAUGAGUAAGGAAACCAGCCAAAGAAUCCAAUUAUAAACAAUUGAGCUACAAGGAAUCAUAUUGAAUAUCAAUCUGAAUCCAUAGACGAUGAAUCGGUCAACUAAACAUCACAGCAAAUAACCAAAGACGUAAUGGAAAGUCACAGCAAAAGAAACUAUUCUGGCUUUCGGCUUUUAGCAUAGCAAGACAAUGGCCCACUAGAAAGUCAUGGUCUUGCAUGUUUUUGCUUUCUGUUUCGGCUUUCUAUUUGAGAUAAGAAAAGGGCAACUACUACACAAUUAAUUAAGAUCCCGAAAUAUGUGCCAAGUAGUCAUAGUAUGCUAAGUCAAAUACUCCAGAUGUAAAGGUCAAUCGGCCAUUAUAUCAAACAAACCUACUGGAUACAAAUAAACUUAAGAAUCACAACAAUUGGCCAAUUCUUUUGGAACAAGCAAAACCCUUUUUUUUUUUUUCUCUGACCGAUUCUUUACAACAGAAACAGGAGUAGGACAUCAUUCAUAAUUUACAAUCUUUAAGAUAAAACUAUCAAAGAUCACAAAUUAUUUUCUAAUAAUCAACCAUAUAGGCUCUGAUACCACUUGUUAGGGUGGUUAUCUAAAUUUAACCAUUGGUGAAAACCAUCACUUUUAAACCCAAAAUCUAUAUGGCGAUUAUUAAGAAAUAAAUUAACUAUAAAAUAGCGGAAGCGUACCUGAAUCCAUAUUAAUAAAUUUGACGCUUGAAUCUCUAGAGAUUUUGGGGUGGCUUUCCAAGUCAACAGGUAUUCACCAAUCCUUUGAGAGAGGCCUUUAGUUUCUCUCUGGUAUCUUUCCUGACGAUAGGAUAUCAGGGAAGAGCUAUUUUGUGAUAUUAGGAAAUACGACAACUAAAACGAUACCUGUGACUUGGGGACCAUAACCCUAUUUAUAGGUAACAUUUAAUUACCUUUUGGAGCCCUAUUUCAACCCAUCGUAGAAAUAGGAGCCCUUAAGUCUCUACACAUUAAAGACCCACAUCCUAUUAGAUACAUUAAACCCAAACUAUAUUUGAUCACUUUAAUUGGGUUUAACCUUAAUUGACAGCUUGCAAUACAUAAUUAUUCACAUAUAAGUCCAAUGUUGGAUUAAGGAUCCAACAGCUUCACCUUCUAUCUCUCCUCAAGGUUUUUGUUGAUUGGGCACGUCUCAUCUUCCCAUAUUGAUUGAGCCUUGCAUUCCUCCUUCCCAUAUGAGUAGGCAAAAACUUGAGCCCAUGCACCCAUAUGUGCCCCAUUCACCUUAGCACCAGCAGGAUUUGAACGAUGUUGCCGGGCUCAUCAUAAAUAGAGAGAUGUUGAUACCCUUAACACGUUCAGCCAAAACAUGGAAGAUCCGCUUGUCAAAAAUUCAGUAGUCCAAAUUAAGUUGCGCCACUUGGUGAGAUGGGUAGCACAAUUUGACCUAUUGAAUUUCUAAAGAUCGGAUUUACUCAAGUGUGAGUCAAGUGUAAGCCUUCGAUGAUCAGAUCAUCCAUGACCACAAACACGUAAUUUAGGACUAUCUAAAAAAAAAAAAGCUUUUAAGGUACUUUUGAGUCAUAGUUUUGCUUAAAAAGUGAUUAGAUCAGUCCUAGACAUGAUUUAAACGAUGUUGCCGGGUUCAUCAUAAAUGGAGAGAUCAUUAUACCCUUAAUGCGUUCCGCCCAAAUUUGAUAGAUCCGAUUUUCAAAAAUUCAAUAGUCAAAUUAAGUCGCACCACUUGGUGAGAUGCGUAGCACAAUUUGAUCCAUUAAAUUUCUGAAGAUCGAAUCUAGCCAAGUGUAAGCCUCGAUAACUAGAUCAUCCAUGACCACAAACACGUAAGUUACUUUUGAGUUACAGUUUUGCUUAAAAAGUGAUUAGAUCAAUCCUAGGCACGAAGGAUUUAUUCUUUUGAUCUUCAUUAGGUUUUAAAAGUGUUCUCAAGAAUAUUGCUUUUCAAUUAUGUAUAAGAAAUUCCUUUUCCUACUCCUCUUCAUCUUUUAAAAGCUUUCGUAGAUUCCCUCCAUUCAUGUUUAAUGGAGUAACAAUUUUUUUUUUAAUAUUUGAAUUCCUUGCCAAACCUGUACUUUCCUUUGAAUUCAAAAUUUUAUUUAUUGCAAAAUAGAGGAAAUUUAUUUCAAUGACAUAUCUUCAAAGUGAAAGCUUCAACAGUCAUAUAGAAACGUUUGGAGGCGUAACGUGAUUCCCAUUUUAACAACUACAUUUUAUUCACUUCUCCACUAAUCAUAUAUCUCCAUAAGAAAGCAAUCCAUUGGAGAGUUGGAGUAGAAGCGUCUCAUGACCCAAAGUUACAAUAAUUUAUAUUUAAGAGUGGAACAUUUGAUGCUCAGAAGUCAUCAAAGAUGUUCAUAUCCAUAUGCCAACUGAUUAGAGAGGCUGAUGCGAUAUCCAUCUCUCAAGCAUAGUUCUGCAUUCGGCAGGCUUGAACAUAUAAGCAACAUGGGCUCCUCCCUUCACCCAAAAAUAGAAAAAAGGGGUGCUAGUUAGUCCCAAGAAGGUUCUGACCUUCUUGUUAGUUGUUACCAUGCAUGUGAACAAAUCUUGCACUGAAGCAAUAGAAACAGGAAUUUCUUACCUUCACUGUUGCAAAUGUCAUCUUAUUUGCGUAGGUCCUUGUAUAACUGCGAGCAGGAAAAUAGAACAAAUUUAGAUGAGUUGGGUAAAGUUAUCUUUUAUCUCGUGUUAAUGGCAAUCAAGAAAGAAACAUUUUCAAUUUUUAACCAACCCGGCAACUUGGCCUUGAUGAAUCCACUGUCUCCAAUCAUCAAUAAUUGGGUAAUGUAGAGAUCUUAUCCAUGCUUGAGUUUCAAUGUGCGGUGCCAACAGAUCAUGGUCACCACUGAAUUACAAAGUACUCCACUUUCAGUACCUAAAAUAACUGCUGCUAACCUACAUGCAUCAAGAUUCAGAGCUAGGUACCAAACCUGUAUAUAAGGGAUCUAUAACCUUUAGUGCUAAGGUUUGCAUGAUAUGGUACAACACUCCCUACAUUUGUUGUGUAUGGCAAGGUAUCUCUGCAGCUUACCCACUGUCCGAUAGUUUCCUGCAAUGUGAUUACAGAAAUCAGUUCAGGCUUGCUUCGGCAUUCAAAUGCUACAUACCAUAGUGCUUGAUUUAGACAUACCCUUCGCACAUGGAGGGCCUCUUGGACGCUCUUGUUGUUAGCCCAGUGCUCAACGAGCGUAAUCCAUUCCAUCUACGAUUGCCAGUGAACAGAAGAAACGCGAUCAGUUGUGCUACCAAGAACAGAUGGUCUUAUCCACGAGUUUACAUAGAACAUACUAGUGGUAUCUUACUCGACAUUUGACUGGAGUAGAUUCCCGAACGUCUAGCUCUUCAAACUUCUCAUACAACAUUUGUAUAAUGGAUCUCCCACCAGUAAAUAAUUUAUUUGGCUCUCGUGAAAGGGGAUGACAUACAGGAAUCAAGAUAUUUUGUUCGUCAAUAUUACGAACCAACUGCAGAAGCAAAUUAUUAACCAUCAUCCUUUAUUCUGAUUCUUCCCACCUUGUCACCUUUGUGGCCCGCAAAUUAAAGGGAAGGGGUAGGAACCAAUUGUUAGUACAACCGUUUCUGGAAAGUGUGUUAUUGUUUGAAUAAAUUAGAGUAAUUCAUUGUCAACUUAUACAAUUUUCGCAACAGAAGUAUGAUGUUCGAUCAGUGCUCGUGUAAGCCCCUAACAUUAACUGCAACUCUGUUACGAAAUUGUAUGAGUAAGUUACAAUAAAUUACUUCUUGUUCAAAUGAUAUUACAUUAUUCAGGAACGGUUAUAUUGACGAUCCUUAACUCUGUCUCUCUUUCUUGAGUUUAGGGGGCGCUUUAAGUAAAUCCAUUAGGCCUUGCCUAAUUUUUGAAAAUAGAGUCACAUAAAAAUUGCAUAGAUAUGAUUGCUUACCUCAUUGUAUGCCUGCAUAUUUUUCGAACACGCUGCAUUACUGGGAUCUAUGAUUUCAUAUUCCCCUUUACAGCUAACCUUCAAGGACUGCGUUGUAAAUAUAUAGGUCAAUUAGAAAAUCACGGGUAGUUUUACAUUGUAAGAAUGCAUGUGACAAAUGACAGUGUUCUAAGAUAUCAAUAGGUAACAAACAAAAGAAAUAAGUUACCUCAUAGAGUUCAUCAGAAAUCAGCCCCAUAUCAUAAGCAAACGGAACCCUAUAGUUCUGAAUUCCUGAAGCUUUCGACCAAGGAUUUCCAAGUAUGUAUCCCUGAAGCCAUAAAUGGAAACGUCUCGAUUUUAAACUCAGGAUGGUAAAUUUUUCUCCAAAUAGUAUGUAGUCAAUCAAGAUUAGGUAGACUAGAAAAGAGAAGAUCAUCAAAGGUAUAGACCUUAAGGUCAAUACGUGGUUCAAUGCCGUCCUCGUUUCCUGGAAUAACACCAAAAUACAUGUAAGUUUUAGGGCCUUAUUAAUAGUCAUAGAGCAACAAAGUAUUGAUCCUAUACUUCUGUAUUUAGCAAACUUCAACUGAUCAUCUUGUGGCAGGAGAUAAUGUAGAACUCUGAACUAGUCAAAGAAACGUUUUCUUGCUUUAUCCUGGAGCGUCUUAUAACUUAACAUAUUGACAGAAAAGAAUAAAAAGCCUGCAAAUUUCUGAGGGAACUUUUAACCAUUUUUCCCCCUCUUAAAGCUCUGCAUUAUGUUAAUAAAACCCAUUUAGCUUAAGGUGGCAACUACAUUCCUACCAAAAGAGACUUCGCAUAUACUACAAGCUUACAGAAAGCAUUUAUAGUAUAUUCAGAUCUCUUACAAUGCCUAUGUAUUUGCAUGACAAUUUCAAUAAUCAGAUUGUAACACAACCAAAAAACUUCCCCAGGGUAAAGAGCCACAUUGAAAAAAUCUUACCAUUUGAUAUAAGUUGAGUUAAUAUUGGAACAGGAAUGCCCCCAUACGAGAUUCCACUAACAUAGAAUGAACUCGACUUGUACUCUGGGUGAUCAUGUAGCCACUGCAGUAUAAUCAACUAUCAAAACGAAUCUUGUAAAAGGUAAACAUCUUUUAACUAUAAUUUCUUUCCCAUUCAAGGGAAAUUAAGUUUUUAACUCGAGGUUCAAAUGGGUAAAAAUGCAACAAAUAUCGCCUGCCCAAGCUUCUAUAAUUGGCAGUUGUAAUUGCACUGUGUACCAUAGGCACUGGCAAACCAAUUGUAGACAUUAAGAUACAACAACAAGCAAAAAGACAAUAAAUUGCCUCGCUUAUUGAAAUUUGUACCCAAAAUUGAAUUGUAAGCAUCAAAUUCAAAAUUAGUCAUCUUCCACUAUCUUUUCAAGGUAAAACUGUAAGUUCAUUGAUAUGGGACAAGUUUGUACAAGAGAUAGAAUAUCUCAGUAUACAUGUUAAACUAAUUAUCAUAGGAGGCCGUAUCAGAACAUUUCACUAACUAAACACUGUGAGUGGGAUUUUCCAUUCUAGAGAUUGCCACAUUUCAUGAGACUUUGGGAUCUUUCCCAAUGCAAGAGACCUCCUCCUCUACUAUGGCUUCCAUGACGCUAACUGUCGAAACUGCCAUAGCCAAUUAUUAUUGAUGUAACUUUUAUUCAUCUUCCACUGUCAACUGUUCUAUACAAUCAAAACCGUGUUCAUAGAGAACUUGAAUCCAAUGGGGGCAAUUUUGGGAGGGCCAUGCAGGAUUCCGCUAUUCAGAAGGAAAAUAAUUAAAUGGUAGUAAACUGGUCUUUUUGCAUAAUAAAGGGGCUAGAGUCAAAUAUGGCAUUUUCCUGAUUAGUAAUUGUCCAACGUUCCAUGAAGCCUUACGAUUCAUUAAUUAGCUGAGUGAUGGGCGUGUACCUUCCUGAUAAAUUCAUAAGCUUGAUCAGGGGCUUGUAAAUCUGAAGAUUGAGAAGCUUUUGCAGUCUUAGCAUAAGAAAAACCAGUUCCUACUGGCGAAUCCAGAAAGAUGAUGCUUCCAACCUAACAAGUAACAAGAAAUGAUUCUCAAUCUUGCAGUCAACUCGAAUGCUUAAUCUUGAAAAUUAGGUUUGUUUGGAUAAAGAUUAUUUGAACGUUAUUUCAAAAAAAAAAUUUUGGAACCUUAUUUGUAUAUGUAUCUCAAUAACCUUUUCAUCUAGGAUACAUUACAUCAUAAUAAAUGCUAAAUAAAUAACACUUCUAUGAGUCUAAGAUAUACUCAUCAACUUAAAUCUCUUUUUCUCUUGCAAGAAAAUAAAAUAAAAGAAAAGAGAAACUCAAUUCUUGAGCUUACCUUGAUCAAAGUAUAGGGAUUUAAUACCAAGUUGGGCAGAGUGCCGUCGAACGACAAUGGCUCGACAAUUAUUGGUCCUGCAACAGAAAAUCACGGGCCAGUGACUUGAUCAAAUGCUGGCACUCCAGUUUAUCAGUCAUCAUCACUUGAACAUUAAAGACAAAAAAAGACUAUGGCUCCAUUUGAGUUAACCGUUUUUAGGAAUGUUUUUCAAAAGCUUUAUUAUAGCAAUGCAUAUGAAAAAAAUAUUUAGGUGUGCGUUUUUGGAGCUUAGUUUAUAUUUUGGGCUUUUUAAUUUGAUGUGAAUGUGUAGUUAGUUAAUGUACAGAUGUUUGUAGCAGUUGCUACUGGCAACAAAUGGAUGGUAUUCAAUAAAAUUAAUACUUUUACCCAAAAAAACAAAACAAAAGACCUUACAUAAAGCUUCGUCAACCAGACAACAACGUCUUUUGUCUUUUUUGCAGAGUUUCAACCAGAAAGGCUGUUUGCAGAGUUUGAAGAUUAUACAAAAUCAAGAACAAAAAAGUGCCGCAAUUGUUUUUUUUUUUUUUGGGCGACACCUAAUGCAAAGUGUAAGGCAUUAGAAUUCACCUGUCCCAAAGAAAAGUGCAAUAAAUGAACUGCAGCCAGGUCCUCCAUCUAACCAAAGGAUAAGAGGAUCCGAUUGAGAAUUUGACUCUGACUUGAUAAAAACGUAGAAGAGCUGCACAUCCUCUGAUUCACCAACUCCAAUAUACCUGAUAACAUCAGAAAAUGGAUCAACUAUUUCUUCUAAGUUUUGAUCAAUGUUAAUUUCUAGUGUUAUUAUAUAUAUGUUAUACUUGGUGGCUCAUCCGGUUUCGAGUUCAAAGGGGAGGGGUCCUUCAAAUCCUGGAAGAAACUUAACUAUGGAACCAGCCAUAGCAAGGUUUGAACAUGCUUGAACAUAAACUAUCAGCAAGAACAGGUUGCAGAAGAUAGGAUGCCUUAGGAGCACCUGCAACUUCUCCAUUGAGCUUGGCCUAUAUCUCGUUCAGGGCACUGGGCAGAGCAACUUUAGACUCCAGACGCUUGGAUAGAGUUCUUGGGCGAACUCUAUAUAAGUCCUGCAUGCUGCUAUGUCUACUGAGAAUCGCCUUAUCGGAGCCACAAAUUUAACUUACCCUACCAACACAAAUGUCAUUGUCUGCCGAGUGCCAACUCAUGCGAUGCAGCUUUACUGUAAAGCGGCAUGUAAAAGACUUAGCUCCAGUUUUCAAAGAUGGUCCAAACUAAUGUUACAUUACUUGGUAAAAUGGUGCGUAACGUAACUUUUGAAUUUUGAAAAGGAUAAUUUCAGAAAUCUCCCCUGAGAUUACUAACAAUUACAAAGAGCUCUCUUCAAAUUUAUUAAAUUACACUUACCUCCCUUGCUUUUACUGUUUAUAUAACAAUAUAAGUCCAAAAGGCUAUAUAUUUUCUCAAAAGUCUUAAACUUCCCUUUUUGUACAAAAAUUAUUUUGCCAAUUGCUUUCUUUCAUAUUUCAGGCUAACCCACUAUACUAACAAAUUAGCUUAACAAACAAUCUAAUUCCAAAUUCUAAAUCCAAGCAAUUCUAUCAUCACAGUCAUAAAAUUGCUUCUCCCAAAUCAUGCAUUCAAUUCUGAAGAUUCGUUCCAUCCUUCAAAAGUACUCUUACCAUAUAAUUCCAUGGAAUGGCCAAACUCAUAAUCAACUACCCUUAUAUUUGCAUAAUAUUCAACAUAGGAUGCCAUGGUUUGGUUCCAUAUAAGUGGCCCAACUCCUACUACAUGAGCUACAUUAUGGCCUUGAAGAAAAUUCUUAGGAGAGAUUUAGGCAUGAAUGAGAUUAAUUAAGUUUAAGAGAAAGAAUGGCAUCAUUAUGAUUAUAGAGAUUUUCAAAAAAUUCAUUUUGUCAAAAAUCAAAAUUCUAUCUACAACUAAUCACACCCCAAACUUCAAAUCCAAUACCCAUACCUUCUCAAAACAAAAUAAUCUGACCUACCAUCAAAUCUCCAAACGUGUUAACAUCUUAAAUACAGAGAAGAAACUCCAUUUCCAUAGCGAAAUCACAACCAACAAUUGUCAAGCAUAAAAAGAAAUAUAAAUGUACUUAUUAACAUCUUAAAAAGUUUUUUCGGAUGGAUAAUAAACAAAUUAGCAAAUUCACCAAUUUUAGUCCCUCUUCCUUUUUUGGCCAAUGAUUGCAUUAUUUGUUCCAUUAUUAUUGUGUGCCUCUUUAUGUCCUUUUAGUUUGACCAUAAAAUUGAAUUUUACUUCUACCAUCAAAUCUAAUCUCUCAACUAAACUUGUGAUUUGGUAAUUCCAAAGGGAAGAAAGGAGGAAUGGGAAUAUAUAGUAGAGUUUGAGGGAUCACUUGUUGUGUGAUUGACUGUAAUUAUAAGCAAUAAUUGGUGGUAAUUUGAAAGCGAGUUAUAGAAGGAAAGGGUUGAUGGAUGAAAACAGAGUGAUAAUAAGUGAAAAAGAAUCGUCAUUGGCUAUGUAACUUGUUCCGAAGAGGUCAAGUUUUUUUCUUUUUAAUCUCAUUUCAUUAUACUAUGAAUUAUUUAUUAAGUGAAGGUUGUAGACACCAAAAUUUGUCAAUUCAUUUUAUUGUUAUUUUUUGUUAAAAAGAUUGUUGUCUAAAUGAAUUCAUUUUUUUAAAUUAUUUUGUUUUGUUUUGUAGGAAAGUGAAGGAAAGAAAAGCAAAAAAGAAAAGGGAAAGAAAUGAAAAUGUUGUUUUGCCAAAACAAAAAAAAAAGACCUUUCUACGCGUGCGUGCGAGCCACGCCAGCGCAUCAUCUUCUCAUUUGGUCCGUACUGAAAGCCAUAGUACAAGAAAAUUCCAGCAGCAAAUUCACAGCCAUUUUUUUUUUUUUUUUUUUUGCAAUUUUCUUUCCCUCCAAACCCCUAAGUACAAUGCCAACUCAUCUUAGUUGUAAUCUAUCAAGAAAAAACUAGAAUCCAAAGCCAUCUAAUGGCUCAAAGUUGCCAAGAAACCCAUCUUUCAUCUACACCAUGGCUGUGAGGGUUUAGGGAGCUUAGUUUCAUAUAAAAUCCCAUCAAAACGUAACAAGGGGAAGAACAGGAGGAGGCGGCGGACAAGAAAAUAGAGAGGAGAGAGAGAAAAUCGAGGGAGAAAAGCAAGAAAAGUGCAGAAAAUUCUGGGGGGGGAACCUGAGCCAGGGUUGACAGUUAGGAGGGUUUCGUGGUCACCUUUCGAUCUCUGUAGAGCCUCUUUGGAGCGAUUAUUGGUUUCUGGGUAAUCUAUGAUGAUCAAGGAGGAAUAUUGAACUUGGUGCCUUCGUCACCCUUAAAAAUUCUGCAGCGAGCUUGAUUGCCAAAUUCCAGCGUUGGAACGCGCCUUUCUUGGAUUUCUCCAUAUUUGCUUGCUGCCAAAAGAUGUCAAAAGGUAGCCCAUUCAUUCCUCUUUUUUCGUGUAUACCCGAAUAUGCAAUAAAUGUGACGAAAUUUGCUCCAUUUGCUCGUCUCUUUCCUUUUUAUGGUGUAUUUUUUCAUGGAUUAUUAGCUUAAGAUUUUUGCCAUGUUUGUAUGUGAUUUAACCUGAUAAGCAAGUGAUGAGUUUUUGCUUGAGUUUCCAGGCUGUAUGAUUUUGUUUUGGUCCAAAUGUUGGAUGAUUUGUUGGUAGCGUCUUUAGUUGAUGAAAACCUAGCAAAGUUGUAGAAGAACAAAAGCUGUCUUCGAAGGCUUGCAGGGAGAUCUUUCAAAAAUUUUGAAUUAGCCCCUCAACUUUUACCUAAUUCUAGUAUGCCCCAAAAACUUGUGAAAUUGAACCAAUUUUUGCCCAUUGUAAGUCUUGAUCCUCUUUUUAUAUUUUAAGGGGGUUUUUUUUGGGUAGAUUAAUUCUAGAUUUUGGGAUAUAAUUAGGUUUAAUGAUUUUUAGUUGAUUUUUAUCUUGUUGGAUUUCGGUAAUAUAGUUCAGGGUUUGGAUUAGGUUUAGUUUGAUUGAGUUUUGGAAGUGGGUUUUGAUUUAAUUUGAUUGGAUUUGAUAUGGGUUUGGAGGGUUAAAGCCCACCCCUUUUCGUUAGAUUUAUUUGGGUCAAAAUGAUGAUCUGGCCCGUAUUUUUUUGUUGGACUUUCGUUGGGCUUAAGAGGCAUUGGCCCAAAUAAUAAAUAAGGAAUGGCCCAGUGGCCUGUUUUCUCAAGAAAUCUGGUAACCGAAAUUGCAUUUCAGCCCCUAUACUUUUGAGUAAUUAUACUAUGUUCUAAAUACUUUGGAUUUAUUUCAAUUAGGCCCCUACUUUAGUUAUAUUUUGAUCCCUAAACUUUAUUUUUCUUUGAUUUUGACCUCUAAUUUUUGUAAUAAUUAUAGUUUGACCUUAAAAACUUUUAAAUUUUUGCAAUUAGAUUCCUGAUAGUUUUGAUUUCUUAAAUAUAAGUUGCUUUUCUUCUUUAAUUGUUAAUCAUACUUCAUUUAAGUGAUUUAAUUGGUGAAUUUCAUGAUUAUUUCAUUUUUUAAUAAUUAAAUUGGUGUUUUGAUCAUCUUGUUGAUUUUGGAAUAUAAGUAGGGCAAAUUUCACCCCAUUUAACCACAACUUCAAGGGAGGUAACCUUCUUUUAUUAUUUUAAAUCCUUUUAUGUGCUCCAAUGUGUUUUUAUGUGUAAUUGCAUGUUUUGAGUGCUUUUCCUUUAAUUACUCAUUUUAUUCAUUUUAAAUUUCAUUUAUUUUAUUUAAUCUUUGAUGAUUAUUUGUGAGGCAUUUAAAUGCCAAAUUGUAAUAGAUAGGUGCUCAAGACAUGUAUUUAGUUAGGCUAUGUAAUAGUAAGUUUUAAUUUUGUCAAAAAUAUAAUUAGUUAGAUAAAUGUAAUAGUUAGAUUUUUUUUUAAUUUUCCCCUUAGAUUGUAGUUAGGGUCCCAAAUGUAAUAGUUAGGUUUUUAUUUGUGUUUAUUCGCUUGUGUGCUUAUGGUUUAUUCGCUUUCCUUAGGGUCUUUGCAUCUAGAUAUUAUACUUAUAUGCUAUAUGCUCUAUGUGUUUUAUAUGUUUACUUGUUUUAAUUAUGUUUUAUAUGGUUUAUUUAAUUAUAAUAAAUGCAUAAUGCCACCACGCUAGCCCAACGAUAGUUGUGGCCAUUUUUCCCGAUUUCUCACUAGUCCAACGCUAAUGAAAACUUGUAGAAAUAGGUUAGUCCAAUGCAAGACCCUUUAGAUCGUCUUGUGCUAAAUUCACAUUCUUUGCAUGACAUUCAUCACAUUUCAUACAUUUUUUUUUUUAAUUUUAGGGUCUUUUCUCAUCUUGCAUGAUCUUUUCCCAUUAUUAUUAUGUUAACCCUAUGUAUGCCAAACAUGACAUUUAAACUUGUAUUUCAUUUAGGAAAUUAGAAGUAGGCUAGUUCAUUUGGUUGAUUAGGUUAGGAGAGCCACCCUUCAAAUAUGGAAAAUGAACGAGUGUGGUUUCUUAGUCUUAGCACGCUCUUUUUCUUUCUAUACGAAGGAAAAUUUGAAUCACGAAUUUUAGUCUCCAGUACCCGUUAUAUUGCAUUCCUCUCCUUUAGGUCACGUAUAUUUAUAUAUUAUAAUUCUUCUUUUGUUUGAGUCUCAUCUUUUGCAUAUUCGUGACCUCUUCUAAGAAUCAUUUUGGACGUCACAAUUAAUGUGAUUUGUACCAAUUAAAUUUUGAAAAGAUAUUUCGACCCUUUUGAUAUCCUUUAGGUCUAUAUUUGCAUUCAUGUAGAAAAAUCCAAAUGUGAUAAGUUUUAUAGGUUAGAUUAAGAAAAUUUUCGACUAAAUCUCACAACUAGUCUUGGCUAGAUUGAAAGAGUGUCUUAGGUUUGAUUCUGUCAAAUCUUUGUCUUCCCUUUCUCCAAUCGUGACUCUCGAACUCUUUUCUCUUGUUUUGAAAGACCUGGAAUCAUCUAAAAAGGGUUUUACCUAUUUUUUUAAAAAAAUACAUUUUUAGGUGAUUUGGUACACCUAAACUCGAUAUCAAGUGGCGACUCCUAUUUUUCCUAAAAACCCUUUCUAGACUAUUAUUUUGGGCCAAAAUUGUCGCACUUUUUAAGUCCCAUUCUAGGCCCUUUUUCCUUGUUUAUUCUCUAAAAUAAAAAAAAUCAUUUUCCACUCAUCAUUUUCAAAUAAACUCAAAUUUUCUCAAUAACUUACAUAUAAAUUUAUUUUAUCUUUAAAAAAAAAAAAAGACGCGACAAAGGCCAUUAUAGUCAUUUAUUGUGACAAGGGAGGUUUGUGUAAUUUGUAAAACUUGAGGGGAGUCGAGUGAAAUUGUCAUAAACCUUAGGGGAGGUUUGUGAAAUUAUCCCUUUGAAAAUUAAGUCUGCCCAAAUUUUGAUUGUAUAUAAAUAACUAUCAAAAUGUUUGCGAAUAGAUGAUAGGAUAAAAUCUGCCAAGUACCAAUGAAUGAUCGAUCAAAACAAAGCAACUCAUCAGAAGAAUUUAUCAAAAAAUUAAAAAGAAAAAUAUCUCACUAUCCUUUUAGCUCUCUUAUUUUAAUGGCUUAAAAUAUGUUUCAAGUAAAUUAGAAUCAUGCAAUGCUAAAAUCCCCACACAAGAUAACUUCGUUAUGGGUAUUUUAGUUGGUGGACGCUUGGCAUGUGUUAAAAAAAUUAAUAUACGAGUUUGGUUUAUUGAAGAAUUUUUGAAGUUACCACCCAACUUUCAAGUUACGGACACUUUUCUUUACCAAUUGUCAUACUUAUACUUUUCUUCUUAAAAAGGUGGCGUAAGGACGAAAUAAAAUUAACCUUGUUAUGAAAAUUGCCUUAUUUUUGUUUUAAGUAGUAACAUGUAAUGAGAGUAAGGGAAGGGCUUCCUGCUACGUGAGAAAUGUCAUACUACGAUUGCAUCGGGAUUCAAAUUAGAUUUUUCUAUUUUUCUCACAUAAAGAGUUUUGUCUUUAUAGAUAUAGAUUUAAUAAUUGAAUUGAACCACAUUAAUCUUGUAUCUACUCGAAGUUUCAUGUUUUUUUAUUUGUUUAAUUAAAUUGUCUUGUACUUAAUUUUUCAAUGAUUCUUCGUUUGCACUUGGAUCCCAGCAUCUUGUAUAAUAUCAUAGCUAGGUUUUGGUUAAUUAAUGAAAUUAAGUGAGUUGUGGUAAUUUUCAAUUCAAUAAUUUAAUAGGAAAAGAAUAUUCAUGUCAAUAAGGCUAGGAUCGAAAGACAACAAACAUAGAGGAUAUUUGCCAGUAAAUUUGGGCAAGUGAUUCAGAGGACAUGGAAAAACAUAGAGUCUAGUGUUAAAUUAGGAUGUAAUUUAGUGGAAAUGUUCUUAACAAUUUCCAAUGGUAUGUACUUGAUGUUGGAUGUAUUUCAGUUUUGUUCUUUGAGCGGUAUGACACAUGUAUAAAAAAUUUUAAAAAAAAAUCUAAUUUCAUGCAUCCCGAGACUCUCAAAGUUACGAGGUUUUCAUUAAUGAUGGAAUUUUGAAAAGCACACACAGGCGAGACAAUAUUAUGAAGGGGAGGAGUAUGGUGAUUUGUUUUUUUCAAAAAAAAAUUUUGUUACUUGAUUACCUCAAUAGUUGGGAGCAGAAUUAAGAAAGGGAUCCAAGAUUGCUUUCAAGUUGAAAGUAGUGGAAAAAAGGAAAAUCCUACAAACUUAAGUCAACUAAAGAUUACAUUCCAACAACGUAAUAAUUCGGUAUGUAUAACUACACAUCAAGCUUUUUGGUGGAGAUUAUUAGGAUAUUACUUAUUUUGUUUAGGCAAUUUUGUGACAAGUAAAUAGUUUCUAGUAAUUUAUACGUAUUUGGAGUAGUUGCCAAGAAAUUUUGUAUUUAUAUACGUUUGGAAAUCAGGUAAGUUAUUCUUUUAUUAUUAUUGAAGUAUUUGUCCAGUAAUAUAUCCUAUAAAUUGGAGGGGACUGUCAUAUCAUAAAUUAAAGUACACAAAAAGGAGUCAUGAUUAUAGAUGAGAGUGAGAAAAAGGACUUUGGAAUAUGAGAAAUAUUACACAAGAGUUGGGUUUAGAAUUCAAAUUGUAUUUUUAUAUGAAUUUUUUUCAUAAUAAAGAAUGGGUUAUUGAUAUGAACAUGUUAAAUCUUUCUUGUCAAUUGUAUUUUCAUGUUUUUGACUUAUUUUCCUUAAAUUGUUACAAACUUGAUGUCUUAUUAGUUGUUUAUUUCGUGCUUAGAUCACAAUAACAGGUCAGUGGAUUUCAAUUUUCUUUUUUGGUACGAUAAAAGUUUAAUCAUUACUCAUUGCAGAUUUGGGGACCAACAAUGAAGAAUUUCCUAGUUUUUGUCAAAAUAUUUCUUUGACGUUAAUUGGCAAAACCGGUUUUAAUUUUUUGUCCUUUGUUUUCAUUUUCCUUCAAAUUAUCGCAGGCCAAUUGCUGUUUAUGUACGAGGAAAGUGAAAACUCCGUGCAGAUAUAGUAGAGUUCCAUGUGAGGUCCAAAUCCAAUUCCAUAAUUGUGGCCUUACAACUGUAGUACAAUUCUCGGUCAGUUCUAGAACUUGUCUCCCAUGCAAGUUUUUAGUCUAAUUUUUAAUAGACAAGUUUUUUUAUAGUAAUCCUCUAUAAACAUCUCAAAAUUUUUAAUGUACACGUGGCUUAAUAUCUAAGAACACACAAAAUUUUCACUUUUUUCAUCAUUUUCUUCCUUCUCCCCCACCUCAACCCGCUACCGUUGGCCGACCGAUGCUGACGUCACCAGCUUGCAACUUCCUCCCUAUCCUCUCCCUCCCCCCACGCCCCUCCCAUAGUUCAUCAGAAUUCCACAUAGAGUUCAUCAGAAAUCAGGCCCAUCCCAUAAGCAAACGAGACUACAUGGUAAAGAAUUCCUUGAACUUUAGUCGCUGGAUGUCCAAGUAUGUAUCCCUGAAGCCAUAAAUGGAAAUGUCUCAGUUUUAACCUCAAGAUGGUAAAUUUUUCUCCAAAUGGUAUGUAAUCAAUCUAGCUUAUGUAGGCUAGAAAAGAGAAGAUCAUCAAAGAUAUAGACCUUAAUGAUCAAUACGUAGUUCAAUGCUGACCUCGUUUACUGGAAUAACACCAAAAUACAGGUAAGUUUUAGGCCUUAUAUAUAAUUAAUCUUAUAGUCAUAGAGCAACAAAUUGUUGAUCCUAUACUCUUUGUAUUCGCAAACUUCAAUUGAUCAUCUUAUGGCAGGAGAUAAUAUAGAAUUCUGAACUAUUGAGGUCCAACACGAAAGAGUACUUAUGCAAUGAAGGCAUAAAGGAUCCCAUAAACUCGCAUCCUAAGUAUCUCCUAAAUAGAAGUUUUCAAAGAAACGUUUUCUUUCUUUAUCCCAGAGCAUCCAAGGAAGUAUCCCUAAAGCAAUCAAUUUAACAACGCCGCAACAUGUUAGCAAGACGUAUAAUUAAGUAAAAUCUAGAUAGUGAUUUUUGGAGCCGGAAUAGAGGAUGUAACUUUUUGCCUAAGUGUUUUUAUCUUGCUACAUAGGUUAAGGAGAAAGAAAGCUAUGAAAUAUGUAGAAGUUAAGAUCAAUAUGUGGCUCAAUCCUAGCAUUGUUACCUGUAAUGACACCAAAAUAAAUCAAGUUCUAUGAGAUGAUGUUUCAUGUAAGUAUUCAUGAAGCAAUAAUUUGUUGCUUCUAUUUUUGUUUUCAGCAACUUGAAUGGGUCAUCUUGUGGUAGGAGAUUAAAUUAUCUGAAUUAUGAGAUCCAACUUGAAGGAGUAAUGCCAUCAAGAUAUUAAAAAAAAAAUCCCAGAAAAUUGCAUCCCUAAGUAUCUCCUAAUUAGAUGAAAGUUUUCUUCUUUACACUUCAUGAGUACUUCUUCAUCAAAGGUGAGGAGGAGAAGGAAAAGGGAAAGAUACCAAGAGAAAAGAAUAAAAAGCUUAAAAACUCCUUAGUAAAGUUUUUAAUUCAUUUUCCUCUUAAAACUCUGCCUAUCAGGUGCAAGCAUGAAAUAUCCCUAGCUAAGAGGCUUUUCGGAUUCACAAGUUUAUAAAAGAGCAUUAAUAGUGAAUUUGGAUCUCUUUAGACGGCUAUAUAUCUGCAUAAUUGCUACUCUCAGUUUCAAAUUUAACUGUUAAACUUGCCAAAAUCGAGAACUAAUGGAGUCCUUAUAGAAACGUCACUGAUUUUGUUACUGAAUGGACAACCAAGUCAACCAACUUAACAUGGACACAAAGUGGAGAUUUUCGUCUGCAUGCAUGACAAAUAGAUUAGCGGUUAGGGUUUUUCUUAUAGCGGUUGUCAUUUUGUUAAAGCUCUCCCAUCAUCAAUUUUUUUUUUCUCUACCAGAGGAAACUAUCAUUAGCAAACUAUAUUGCACGUGGUUGGAAUAUCCCCAGAGAGAGAGAGAGAAUAGAUCUGAACCGUGUACUUUAAUUUCUCUUUUUUCCUUUUUGGAUCGAUUAGAACAGUUUAAACUUUGCCAACAAAAUAAAUUUUUGAGAAGUAGGAUUCAGAUAAUGUUACCUAACAAUAACAUAACACAUACUUUUAAUUGUUAACAAUCUUAUUAAUUCAUGUCACUGUUAUGAAAUUAUAUAACUUGUGUCUUGUAUACAAUGAAUUGUAAUUUGUCACUAAAGCUUUAUACCAUUUAGAAAAUGGUUGCGCAAUCAUUUCUGCCCCAAAAUUUUCUUCUUCUUUAUUUUAAGCUAAUUUUCUUGUCUUCUUUUUUUUUUUUUUGGAUCAUUUAGAAAUUUUCUUUUAAGUAUGAGCCAUUGGAAGGAAAUGAUUUUUUUAAGCAUUUUUUUUGUGAUGCAGCUAUUGGGAUGGGUCCCUGAAUCUUUGGUACAUAUAAUUUUUGGUAUUUUACAGGAUGUAGAUAAUUCCUUUUUCUGUAAUUGUUUUCCAGCUAAAUUUAAAGAUAGUAGUGUUGAUGGCCUUAGCCCUUCUUCUCUUGAUCUAACACGUUGGCCACGCCAGUUUCUAGAAUCUUCCUGGGAUCAGUUAUAAGGUUUAUAAAUUUUGGAAAAAAAAAACAAAAUCAUGGUUGCAGAAUGGCUUUGAUACUAGAGGUACAGGGUAUAUAAAUAAGGGAUGAAGCAUGGUGGGAGAGGAAUAUUUGUUUGGCAGAUGGCAGAGAUAUACAUUAAACGAAGAUGUCCUAUAGUCAAGUGAUGUAUGAUACUUAGCCAUAAAAGUGGAUUUUGAUUGUUAUAAGUAUAGGUGGCAAACAAACUCAUUUAACUAAAUUUAUCCAUAUUCGUCCAUGAAUAGAAAGAUAUCGGUAUUUUAAGUUUUUGUAUAUGUGUACAAAUGGAUUACCCAAUAAUAUUCAUUUAAUAAAUGGAUAUUAAUUGAUAACACAUCAAACCCAAUUAACCCAUUUAAAAUUGUCUUUCCCCAAAUCUCCUCUCUUCCUUCACCCAUUUUUUUUUUCAGAUUCUUCAUUUUGUCAUGAUGUUAACUACUUUUGUUUUAUUAUUAUUAUUAAUUAUGGGUUUUAUCUUAUCAUAUUAUUUUCUCUUAGUUUGUCAACUUACUCAUUUUUUUAGCAUUAUCAAUUUAUGACAAGUUUUAGCCUCUUUUUCCACCUUUUCAAAAUGAAAUUUUAAAUUUACACACGAAAAAAAUAUUAGGAAUUCAAAAUUUUUGAAUCAAGUUUUUAUGUUAACUUUUAUAGUACUUAUGUCAAAUUUUUAUAUUCUUAUUGUUCAAUUAUUAAAUAGUAUAUAAUUUUGCGACAUAGAGUACGGAUGAAAAAAAAAUUGGUAACUAGGUUUAUUGAACAUUAUAAAUAAAUAUUUAAAACUAAUGAUGGGUGCAAAGGGUGGUACAAAUUGAUAACAUAGUUUACAAAAAUGAAUUUAAAUGAGUUUAUGAAAAGUUAAAAUAAAUGGGUUAUAAAUGGAUAAUUGAGUUAUCCAAUUCAUUUUUUGACUUACUCAUUUAUACCCAUUUAAUUAAAUGGGUAUAAAUGAGUUGACUCACUUAUGCCCAUUACCCAUUUUAACCAACUCAUACCUGCCCAAGUCAUCCAUUUUCACACCUCUAGUUAUAAGAAAUUAGGAAAGAUUGUUGCUUGGAAGUAUUUUGAUCAGUUCUAUUUAUUUCCCCUUCUAGUUUACUGUCUAAUGUUCCUUUGCUUUAUUUACUUCAAAUAAUGCUAAUCGAUACAUUGUCAAUUGGGGAAGGGAUGUUUUCCUUUAAUUAUUCAUUGCAUUUUCUCUUUGAGAAAAGGAAAGUGAGGGUUGAAUAUGAGGUGGAAAUACAGUGGAGAUUAAACUUGUAUUUUCUCCUGGGGAAAAGGAAAGUUUUUAGGGGCUGUUGGAAAUUGAGAAGGACGAGUUAAAAAUGAUGUGAAUAGUCACUUAAUUUUUGAUCAUUUUAGAGGUUUCUGCAAUUUCUUUGUGCAAGAUUGUAGCAUGCUAUAUAAACAAGACGCUGGACAAUAAACCCAGCCAACUGAUACAAGUUGAUAGUACUAGCUGAAAUGCCUUGGCUCAUCUUCCUGUUGUUUUAGGAAAUAGAGAGAGAGAAGAAAAUAGUCAUUGUGGUAAUUCUGAACUGAUGCUUGAAGUGUGUUUUGUGCACGCUUCUCAUGAUACAUGUUGGAUAGUGUAGGAUUAUAACUGGAUGCAGCUGAAAUUCGUUUGAGAUACUGUACAGCAUAGCUCUUACAGGCUCAAACAUGUAUCAUAUACAAACAAUGGAAUUCUAUUAUUUAGUCUCUCUUGCGCCUCGCAUUGUCUGCAGUUUUGGCGUAUUGUUUAGCAGUUAUCUGCUUAAAUUCACCCUUUUGAUGAUUUAGACUUGUACCAUGGCUUGAUUAAUAUAUAGGAACCUUUGAAUUUAGAUCCAUCUUUUCAAAGAUUUAUUUUCUGAUUUUAGUUAGCUAUUUGACUAAUUGAACAUUCAUGAAAACUUAAAAGCCCAAGUCAAACUGUUGAUUACUAAAGAACAUGCAGUGAAUCAGCUGAAUUAGACUGAACUCUAAUUUUCUCUGGUUGCUUCUUAGUAAGAAUUGUUCCGAUAAGUUAUUUAUUAGAUCAUGCAAAACAGCAUUAAUACAAUAGAUAUACCUCUUAUUCCACCGUAUGUAUUCAGCUAAUUUUUGUUUUGUGUCCUAGAUUUUCUGCCAUAGUUUUUAAAAGAAUUCGAUUUAUGCUAAGGGUCUAUCUAUGGACGCUUGUUAAAAUAUACUUCAGAUGUUCGAUUUUUGGAAAGGUAAAAUUAAUUAGGGGAAGUAUAUAAGUACAAGAGAAAGUAAUAAUUGUUAGCGUGUGUACAUACAGAGAAUAGGUUGGAUGGAAUUUAGAUAUGGUAAGGAGUGCCAAUUGGACACCUAUAGGAAAAACCCCCUAUGCAGAUUUGAAGACAGUUCAGGAGUCAAUGAAACAACCAGUCUGGAUACAAAGUACAUAUGGUUAAAAUACUGGAGUCCAUGCAUUAACCAAAAUGAAGGCAGGUGCAAUCAAGGAGAUCUGCUUGGUAUCUAGACUUCCCUGAAUUUAAACAAAUUUUAACAAUCAUAAUGAUUAUCUGUUCAUGGACAAAGAGAAAGAAGAAGAAAGAUACUGAGAUUAAUGCAGGUAGCUAAUAGAGGGAUCUUUAGCAGAGAUGAAAUGUACUGCCACACAGCCUAAUUAUAAGCAAAUUAAAUAAUUAGCUUUCCAUACUAAAUCUCCAACCCCAGACACACCUAUAAAUUUCUUCGUUGAGGUUGAAAACCAACAUCUCAAGAAAAGCUACUGAGCUUAGCUACAUUGUUGCAAUGAGAUCUUCAGCAGCAGCAGCAGCAGCAUUUAAGGCAUGUUUAGGCUACCUUAUUGUGGCAAUUCUGCUAUCUGCUUCUUGUGUAUUAGCUGCUGAAAACAGUGAAAAAUCUUUCCUCCCUAGAAAGGUUUACUUUGUUCAUGGCAUCAAGAAUAGCUAUCCAGAUAAAACACAUUGGUCUGGCUUCUACUGGGAUCCUUUCCCUGGAUUUAAAUGGCCACCUUUCCCAGGAUUUAACUGGCCACCUUCUUCACCACCAAGUGGAUCAUCACCACCUUUCCCGUGGCCUUUCCCAGGAUUUAAAUGGCAGCCUAUUCCAUCCCCUUCUUUUCCACCUCCACUAGCAAAGCCAACAAGUGGAUCAUCACCACCUUUCUCAUGGCCUUUCCCAGGAUUUAAAUGGCCCCCCAUCCCAUGGCCUUUCUUUGGACUCCCAGAUUUUCACAGGUCACCUACUCAAUCCCCACAUGCAUCACCUCCGCUAGUACAACCACCAAGUGAAUCACCACCAGUUGGUGGUGCUUCAAUCUCGCCGUCACCAUCACCACCACCACCGUAUCAAGGGGAAACACCACCACCAAGUCCAUGGUCAGGGUGGGAGGAACCUACAUUUACUCAAAGUACACCUGAUUGGUUAAUUUGGGAGGACUCAACCACAAGAAGCAUCUGAUUGGUUACCUUGAUCAGCGACUACAAAAGAACAUCUACGGUAUUUUAUCGUAUGAUUUGCCUAAAAUGAGUUUGUACUGAAGUACUCGUUCAGACUAUCAGCAUACUGUUCUUACAAUAUAUUCUUGUGGAAGGAAUAUAAAACACAAACCUCAGCAUUUUGAUUUGCUGCUUUUUAACUUACUAUUAAGUGCCAAUUGAUUCUACAAGCUUAACAAGGCAACUAUAUAUUUAGGAUUCGCCAUGUCCUUGAUAUUGUUCACUUUCAGCAGCACAGGGUCAUUGAACUUAAGUGACUUUCUGAUGCCGAAGGCCUUAAAUCAUUGGCUGAAAAUCUGAAGUGAAUAUGUUUGAAUGAAUUGGAAAUGUCUGAAGAUAAUGCAUACUUGACUAAUCCUAAACUUCUAGUGAAACUUCAUGACAGCAAUAAUCAUACAAUCAUUCCAUCAAAUACAAAGUUCUGCAAAAUAACAAAAUUAUUUCAUCACUGUCUUUCCUGAAAAUGAAAAAUAAUUUUGCAGAAUCAAAUGGUUUCAAGUGCCAUAUUACGGAUCAUUCUGACCAAAGGGGCUGGACACUUGGUGACCAUGUCCAAUCUGGAAGGAUUUGAGGCAUGACCGAACAGAGACAGGCAAAACAUGGCAAGCUCCCUUAGUGAUAAAUUUGAAGACAUAAACCCUUUCCAGUGGUGAGGAUCUAAAUCAAAGAAAGCAUCAAAAAAUCUUCUAGUCCCAUUUAAGUCGAGUUGCAGUAAGGUCUCCAUGCCAAAAGAGUGGAAUUCUCUGAUACGUCUCCUCUCAACAGGCCAAAGGCCCUUCCACACUCGAUCAUAAAGUGGAGUCCCUCUAAUCAUUCUGGUUGAGCCUAGGCACUCUGCAAUUGUAUCAGCUAACACCGGUGCUAAAGCCAUUGUCCGCGCCACCAUGUAGCCGCUUGAAGGAUGCACUAUGCCUGAAUUUCCACCAAUUGCCAUCACACUUUGAGGGAUUUUAGGCAGUGGCCCUCCCAUCAGAAUGAAACACUUCUCUUCCUCUAUAACACUCCUUACUUUAACGCCUAAGUGUCUCAAUCUUGCCACCAUCCUUUUCUUAACCUCCAUAUACGACAACACAGGCCUGGCAACGAGAGAGGUCUCUUCAAGAAAUAUCAAAUUUGAAGAAAAUGGCAUCGCAUACAGAAAAGUUGGAAUCUUUGAGUUAUCUUUGCGCAAAUCUGGUUCACUUCCUAGAUGGGAAUCUCUCCAAUCCAUCAGAACCAUCUUAUCCAAAUCAAAGGGGUGAUUAUCAACUUCUGCUAAAAUUCCAUGAGCAAUUUGAUAACCAUGGUUUCUCGGCUUGUCAUACUCAAUAAAAGGACUAGCAUAUCCACUUGCAUCAACGAUCAAACUUGCCUUCAGCUCACUUCCAUCAGUGCAAACAACAGAAGACUCAAAUUCUUGAUGCUCUAUUUUCCAAACCUUAGCCUUGUGAAACUUGACUUGAUUUGAAACACAACCACUUAACAAUUUAAUCUUGAGUUCCUUUCUACUUACUCUACCAUAGGCACGGUCUAAGUACCUAGUCUUGUGAUCGUUGAUAUAAACACUACACAUGGGCCAUGUCUUGUCCAAACAAUCAUCAAGGCCUAAACUUUCAAAUUCAUCAACCCAAACUCCAUAGUUAUUUGGCCACAUAGAUAAUGGUGAAGGGUCCACGCAGCAUACCUUAAUCCCGUAUCUUGAUACUUGCUCAGCUAGUCUUAAACCAGCUGGUCCAGCUCCAAUGAUGAUCAAAUCAAAGCGACGAUCAGAAGGAUCAAGCCACGAUACAUCAAAGUCUAAAGGUUCAGGUUUCCAUGCAGGCUGUAAGUCAAGAAAGGAAUUAAACUUGCUGCUUCUGACUCUGUUACGAACGUUUCUUGCAGAAGUUUUGGUUUUAGGAGAAACAAAUCGAGGGUUCAGUGAUGAACAUGAUAUUGGAGGAUGAGAAGUUGAAAGUGCAAGAAAUGGAGACGGCCUCAGAAGAGUUUCCAUUGACAAAAGACUGAAUUGAAAAUCUAACUUUGAUGGUUUAGGCAGAAAAGAGAGGAGUGAAGGGAAAUGUUUAUGAUGAAUUGAUGAUGAAGAAAGCGUUUAGGUACUCUAAUGAAGACAAUGAAGAAUCAACCAACCAGGACCAGCAAUGGCAAGAAAUGGAUGCUUUUUAUAAUCGAUUCUUGGUCGUUUCUAUCAACUUUAACAAGAAUUAAUAUAGUAGAUUCUUGUAGCUAUUAACUUAAUCAUAGCUAGUUGGCCGUAUGGAUAUGGCGCCUCAUUUCUGCUAGGCAUUUUAUCACCUGUGUUGUCAUAUUAGACAACCUUUUAGUCUUUAGUUAAAAAAUAAAUCAUGUAUGCAUAGGAGAGAUUUGAUGUGAAUCAGCUUCCACUUUAGUUAAGUAGUAAUGCAAAACUAGUAAAAUAUGUUGGAGUAGAAUUUACAGAAUUACUCAAGUAGAUAUAUUACCAAAAAAUAAAAAAAUCUAGCAAAUGUGGCUCUGACAGACUUACUUAAUGUCUAAAACUAUGCAUGCCGUAUUACAGGUAACAAGAUUUUAUUUUUUAAAAAAAAAAAAAUUCCUGCCCAACACGGCACCCAUCAUUUUUUUUUUUAAAUAAUUCGUGGGGCUGCCGUGCUGACUUGUUUUUUCUUGGAUAGGAACCAAAAAUCAUAGUCAGAGAGAGCGGAUUUUGGGAAAAAAAAAAAAGGGGAUGCCUUGUAUUGUUAGAUUAGAUAUUAAUGGGUGCAUGAUAAGAAACCUACCUUGAUUCUCGCUUUAGAGUCCGAACUAAAAUAGUAAUCCUGCCAAAGCAAACUAAAAGGCACAAAACACAAGAUUGAUUGAUCAUACUACAAACAUGAAUUAAUGAAUCGUAUCAUACUACAAACACAAACAGGGGCUGCUGUGCUGAACAAAUGUUUUUAAAAAAAAUAAAACCUUGUUGCUUGUUGUACUAACACAGUACGGCAGGCAUAGUUUUGAACACAAAUCCUGUCUAAGCCAUAUUUGCCAAGUUUUUUUUUUUAUAUUUUGACAAUAUUUUGAGGAAUUAGCCUACCAUCAAAAUUCAGGAAAAAUGAAGUGAAAUAAAUCAGAAAACCAAAAGUGUAACAGGAGUGGUACAUGGUCACCAUCUCAUUUUUUUUUGGUAGAGUUUUUAACCAAUUAAGUAAGAGCAUGCAUUAUCAUUUUUAUAUAACAUUUUGCAUUGCAUUAGUAGGAAUUUAUUACUUUAAAAAAAAGGGAAACAAAAAGUUUUUUUCCAAAGGAAAAAAAAAAUAAGUGGGCAAAUAGCAACACAAAUAAAACAAGGGUUAAAUGCAAAAAAAACCCCCCAUGAACUAUAUACCUCAUUGCAGUUUACUCCCCAAAUUAUUUUUAUAGGCGUUUUGCCCCCUUUCACUAUGUAAUUGGACAAAUCUACCCCAUUAUCUUAAGCAUUGUUAUUUUUUUUAUUCCCUAUCUUUUUCUUUUUAGAUUCUUCCUCUUUAUUUUCUUUAAACAUUGUUUAAAUUAGUAUACUAAAUUAAUCAAAAUUUGUUUAUUUCUUAAUUUCUCAUGUCAACAUUUUAUAAAAGAAUUCUAUGGUGUAGAAGAUUUUUUUUCCAAAUGUAGAAGUCAAUAUCAUUUAAGAAUUUGAACUAUUCAAAUAUAUAAGAACAAAAUAGAGAUAUUGAUUAAUCAAUUAUUAAUAGUAUUAAUAACAAAUAAAAAAUGAAUUACUAUUGUUAUUUAUUCCUAUCUUUUUAUUUCACUACAAAAAACAAUUGUUAACUUUUCUUUCUUACGUGAUAUAUAAUAAGUUACUUUUGUUAUAAAUAGUUGAGUAAUUAUAAACUUUAAUUGGUUAUAGAUACUUAAAUUGUUGAAUUAUUGAAUUAGUAUAUAAGUUACUUAAAUCGUUUACAAUAUAAACUACAUAUAUAUUGUAAUAACAAAGAGUUUAUGAUGAAAUAUUAAAAAUGAAUGAAUUAAAAAAGUAGUUCAAAAAAUAUUUAAAAUUUUGAUGUAAGUCUUUUAGCAUUGGAGGGACACAUUGGCUAGUUCCAUGAGACAGGGGGGCAAAGCAAGAAAAUAAAAGGAAAAAGAAAUGGGAGAAAAGGAAAAAAAAUAGAGAAAAAAUAGAGAAAAAAAGAAAAAAUUUAAGAUAGUAAGGAUAGUGUUGCCCAAAUGUAUAAUUCAAGGGAGUAAAAUGCCUAUUAUUAUAGUUUAUGGGGUAAACUCUAAUAGCUAAUUACUCGGAAUAUCGUUGAAAAAAAAAAAGUUGGACAUAUAUGGGUCCCACAAGAUGGUAGUGCAAAUCUAUGGCUGCCAGCCAAAGAGGCAAAUUUUUUUAAAAAAAACUCUGACACAGCUCAGACAAAAUUCUUUUUUUUUACAAAGUCAUUGGCCUGUCAGCCCGGCUGCGGCAAAAUUCUGCAAAAAUUUGCAGGAGAUGUAGAAUUAUUGCUGCUGCCAUCGCAUUCAAGAUUCCGUAUGGGGGCCUUUAUAUUUUUCCACAAUCCGAAACUAACACUGGAAAUUUGUCAAACACUUUUUUUUUUUUUGCAUGUUUCAAUGAAAGUGACUGAUGUCAUUGAAUAUUGAAUGAUUGAAGAUAUACUUUUCGUCUCUUUGAUCUGUUGAUUUCAUCUAACAGCGACUAAGAUUUUCUUUUUUUCACUAAAUUUUCUUUUAUAUAUGAUUUAUGUGUUAUCAUUUGUUGGUAAUUAAUUUAACGAAAAGAUGCUCUUUACACUAAUAUGUCUUGACAAUGUGGAUUACUUUUAAGAAUUUUAAUGAGAUUUAGACCACAUUUUUUAUGCAUUCAAUCUAAUUCACAUUUUAUUUCAUUUGAAAUAUAAUUAUUUAAAACAUAAGGGACCAAAAAAUAUGAAAUCAAACUUUUGACUAAUUCUAACUUGAUUUGACCGUUAUAUAUUAUAGUUUUGUAUUAGUUGCCCUAAAUUUGGCUAAAAUAAAAAAUUUGCUAUCAUAAUUAUUUUGGUUAAAAUAUCACGGAUUAGUUUAAACUCAUAGACCAAACGUUGGGGGGACCAAAAUUGCACAUGUUCCUUUAUUUUAAUCAUAUUUGAAAUCCCAACCCUUUCUUUUAUAUUUACGCCUCAAUUAUUUCAAAAAUGAAACUCAAUUAAAAAAAUAAAAUCUACCACAAUAUUUGUUUUGACAUGUACAAAAUUCACUAAAUAAUAUUGAAAAUUUCACCCAUUUUCCAAUGCAACAAUUUCACCCCUUUUUUUAUUAAAAACUUAUGCCGCUUGACGUACUAAAUCCGACAGUCUUUUAAGUUAAUUAAAUUACGUUUCAAAAUUGGAACGUAAGAAAAAGAUGAAAACAGAUUUGUUAAAUCAAUAAUUACUUCUAUAGGAUGUUAAACUAAAAAAAGGCUGUUUUAAAAAAAAAAUCUCAUUCAUUUUAUAAUAAGAUGCAGUUCUCAAAUUGUUGAAAAAUUAUUUGUUAAAAUUAUUAUGUAAUUUUUAAUGUACAAUAUAAUUUUAUAAAUAUAAAUUUGUUGUGCAAUAUAAAAACAAAAUAGGCAAAAAAAAUGAAAAGAAGAAAAAAUGCAGAACAUGACAUUAUCAAAUUGUGAAUUUAAAAAUAGCGAUAAUUCUGCCUGGCAGCAGCAAUAAUUCGAUGGCAGCAAUAAUUCUGCAUUUGAAGAAAAAAAUGCAGAACAUGACAUUAUCAAAUUGUGAAUUUAAAAAUAGCGAUAAUUCUGCCUGGCCGCAGCAAUAAUUCGAUGGCAGCAAUAAUUCUGCAUUGAAUGCGAUGACAUUGAAUGAUGGCAGCAGCAAAUUUUUGCAGAAUUCUGCCGGCUGCCGGCCGUCAGAGUUUAAAAAAAAAAUUUGCCUUUUUGGCUGCCAGGCAGUGUCAUAGAUUUGCAGUACCCUUGUCAGAUCCACACAGCCCGGAAGCCAUAGAUCCAUAUGUGUCCGACUUUUCUGUAUACAGUUCGUGCGGGAUUUUUUGCAUUUAACCCAUUAAAGAAGGGCCGAAUUAGACACGGACCCAACGCGAGUAUACUAAGAUCAACAUCAAGCGGAAGAUUUGUGGGGCGGCAAAAGUUGAUGGCUUAUCACUAAUCAGCCGCGCAAAUAAAUACUCUUGUUUUUCUUUUGGUUUUUGUUUGAAAUGAAUAGUUUAAAAGUCCUUUUAUAGUACUUAACAAAAUAGUAUCCAGUUUCAUUUUUGGGAUUGGAAAUCAGAUCCUGCAACUGCUUCGACCACUGAACCAAAUGAACUCUUUUUAUCUUUUGGUCUUUGUUUGAACUGCAAAGUUUUAAAGUCCUUUUAUGGUAGUUAACAAAAUAGUAUGCAAUUUCGCUUUUGGAAUUGGAACGUAAUCAGUGAGGGAUGAAAAUAUUCAUUUUUUGAAAUAUGAAGGAUGGAAAAAUUCAUUUUGUAAAAUAUGAGGAACGAACAAAUUUGUUUUAUAAAAUAUGAAGGAUUAUAGAUUAGAUUAUAUAAAAUAUAAUUUGACAAAUUUACUCUUAAAAAAUGAUCACGUGCCUUGCACGUGAUGGAUUCCUGCUAAAAAAUGAUCGAAAACCUAGUUAGGAACUAAAUUUGACCGAUGUGAAUAUGUAAGAAACAUAAAAUUACACUUUUAAAAAUGAAGGGCGAAAAAAAUCAUUUUACAAAAUAUAAGAGACGUUUUGAACAAUUUUCGCUAUAAUUAACAUAUAAGACCUUCGGCACUCAUUAGCGAAAUCCUUUAAAAUUGAGACGCUCGUUAGCCAAAUCAUUUGAAAUUUUACCACAAAUAAUUAAUUUUCCGAUAAAAGUCCGAAACAAAUUAUGUUCUAAUAUAAAUAACAUAACUACAGGUCGCUUACCCAAAAAUAAAGGAAAAAAAAAGAAAAGAAAGGGGUGUUUUACAAGGAACUACAAUUAACAUUUUACGAGAACCAGGAGGCCCAAAAAUUCUAGCAUUUAUAAUAUACAAAAAAAGAAAAAGAAAAAAGAAGAUGACCAUGGUUCUUGAUAUUGUUCUAUUUCCACACAGCUCUGGGACAACGAGGAGCAGUUGGAAGUGAUUAACACGGGCUAGAGGAAGGAGAAUCCAACGAUAUAUAGUAUUGAGAAUCAUCAUCCCAGAAUCAUCUAUAGCAUCCCUGAUCCAAGAAAUCACCGUUUCCGGCAGGACGGUAGGGUAAUGCCACCACAAGCAGCAGCAAUUAUUAUGUACAGCAGUAUUACGAUCAAGCACGUCAACAAAGCCCUGCAUAAAUGUUAUAGGUUCCUAUCCGUCAGUUCAAAGAGCCAGAUUGCUUUAAACCUAUGAGAAAAUUUGACGGAAUGCUCCGUUGCUGAGAACAUAAAGGUAAAGAAACUAUAAACUAAAGAAAGAGAGAAGCAAAAGAAAAAAAAUUAUCGAUAAUAAAUCUAAAAGGCUGUCGAAAAUUCCCAACUUUAUGAUGAAGCCAACAAAGAAAAAGACAUUUUCCAGUUGCAGUAAACGAGCAGCAGCUAAGGAAAAGAAGACGCUAGGAUGCGUAGAUAAGAUUAGUUGUUCAAUAGUUUUUUGCCAGCAAUUAUUCUGGCUAUUUUUAAGAUUUUGAAACAAGAAUGCUCCCCUUGGUUUCAGUUUUCUACUGGUCAUUUUUCUCAUAACCACGAGUCAAUUAACAAUAUCUAAUUUACUCUAUAACCUAAAUUCAACUAAAGUUGUCAUUCAUGCAAAAGCAAAAACUGAAUGAUAACUUGCUGAGCAUGCUGUUGAACUGAAUUGAUUAAGAAUGCCACAAUUAACUUCAAGCUAAAGUCUACAUUGAAUAAAUUAUCAUCCUACAUGAGUCGAAGUUACUUUUUCCCUUCUAAUUGUAGAACGAGGCUACGAUACUCACAGGAGUUUGGCAUUCUUCAUCCAAAGAGCUCGACGAAGACGCUUUGACUGUUUCCUGAAGUGAAAUGCACUAUCUUGCAUUGUUGCUGUUUUAUCAACAAGAAGUUCAAUGCGGUCACCUCUUUCAAGUAUCUUCUCAAUGUUAUCCACCAUUAUUGUGCGUAUCUAGAGAUCAGGUUAAAGAUCAAACAAGAAUAUUACCUAAAAGAAAAAAAGACUGUGCAAAGUAAGAGAAUAAUGCUCAAUGACAGUUACAACCAGCAGACAGAAAACUGUCACAAGUUCCUAUUUCACUCAAUAGAUAGUAAGCCAAUCAUCACCAAUCAACUUUUAUCUCUAAAUUCUCAUCUCCUAUACAACUAACCUAUGCACAUGCACGCACAAAUUUUCAUCAAGGAAACAGUAAAUUUCCAAGUUACGCUUGGAAGUUUUCUAGACAAUGAUAUCACAGAUCUAUUUGGGCUUGCUUAAAAGGUCAUAAAAGUCAUAAAACACAUGGAGCUUUUGUCCCAUGCUCUAGCAUUUCCACCUCACACUAUGUGGUAAAACGCCUCGCUGCAAACCUUCUCCUUGCCAAUUAGAUCACUCAAAACUACAACUCUUGUCAUUAUAUUUCUCUUGAGCUUGUUUCAACUCAAAAACUUGCCCGCCACAAAUUACAUUGGCUAUAUCAAGGGAUUGAAAAGUAGCUAUUUGAUAAACUUGUAGAAGCAUGUUUUAAGGGCGAAAGCGAAUACUAAUACUGUGACUCUUCCUCAAAAUAUAAAAGCAAAAACGACAAAAAAAGGUGGAGAUGGAGGGACCCAAAAGGAGGGGGUAGGACCUUUUUAGAUACUACAAGAAUACUUAUCCUCAAACCAAUUCUGUGCGUAAAACUUAAAAAAUUGACCACAGAAUACAUAGUUAUUACUUCGAGACAAAUUUAAGGUAUUCUAGCCGGGAACUAAUAUUUAUGCUCCAAAAAAGUCCUUAUUGGCGCUCCACUGUCUUUUCAAUAAAUGUGAACAGACAAAACUGCCAACCGCAGAUAUCUAUCAUAUUAGGUAAGUUGUCGGAUUUAUUAGGAAAGUUCCUAAAAGUUCUAAAGUUCUACAACUAGUUAAAUUUUCUAUUUAGAAUAUGGAAUUACGAGUUUUAGGAAGCUUUAUGGUGUACAAAUAGUUAUGUUAUUCUAGGUACAGAGAAUUUGAUGAAUGAAGAUUGAGAUUUUGUUUUAUUAGUUGCUCUGUUCUUCCCCUUAAAUUAUUUUCCUCCUCCCAUCUUUUCUUACCACAUUACUGUUCAUGGGUACUUUUCACGGCCCCUAAACAGGCCACGAUCCCCUCAUUCUUCUGCUAGUGCUAGUAAGGCAAGAUCUUACUUGUCCUUACAUCAAUUUAAAGUCUGAAUCUCAAUAUGAGUCUGUCGGGACAUGUUACUAGAAGCAUCAGCAUCCACAGUAUGCCCUAUCCAAAUCAACAGCUCCAAUCAACUCAAAGCUUUAAAUUAAUGAAGACAGAAAGCAAAUUUGCAGCACUUCACUGGGAGACUCUUGAAUAUUCCCCCCAUUCCAUGAUUGAGAAGUGAAUACAAAAAGACAAGACCUUUUGCAAAGUAACAUGCAUGUUGCCCGAUACAUCCAAAAGAGAUGGAGAAGUAAAUGCAAACAGCAAACAAGAAAAUGCGAUUGUCUUGUUCUCUCUUGUACAUUUCCUUAAAGUGUUUCCUAAUGUCUAAAUGAGUACUCCUGAUGAACAGCUAGAAACAAGAAUAACAGACCUUUUAUUAAAAGUAAUUAGAUUUAAACUUAGGCAACUUAUUGCUACAUGUCCAACACAGGAUGGAAAACCAACAUCCAAAUCACCAAAUAAAACAUGCACUCCAAAAAUGACAAAACAGCUUUUUAUAUAAUUUCUGUUUUCAUAUUACCCCAUGUAAGGUAAAAGAAAAAUACUUGCCUCACUAACUUCACCCCUAACACGGUGGAGGGUAUCAGCACUAGGAUUACUUGAGAAAAACUCCAUUUGUUGAUGCAAGACUCUUGAGAAUUCAUCAUUCAUAGCAUAAGCAGGUGCAUAAGGUGCCACUUUGCCAUAGUUCUUCAUGAAUCUCAUAUGUAUAUCCUCUAAGUAUGAGAAUGGUAUCCUUCCUGGGUCAAAUAUGCAUUAAAAUUUCAAAUCAGAACUUAGAAAACUUUACAUAGCCUACACAUAGUACCAAUGUAGAAGUGUGAUUUAGCAGAAAAAAAGUAAGCAAAAAUGAGGAAAUGAUACCUAGAGACACUAACUUAAAUAGCGUGUAGGCAUUAAGAAUUCAAGAUAUGCAACAUUAACUAGAAAGGAAAAUUAUGCUUUUAGAAGCUUUAUAUAAAAGCAAAAUAGCGUAAUGUAGGCAUUAAGAAUUCAAGAUAUACAACAUUAACUAGAAAGGAAAAUUAUGCUUUUAGAAGCUUUAAAUAAAAGCAAAAUCACAUAUAUUUGUGUCCACACAAAGCAUGGCGAUGACUAAGCUUUCCGUCCAUAUUUUCACCACCUCCUCGACCCAAUGAUCCAUUCUUUUUUUUUUUAAUAGUAUAACAUACACAAAGGGCUUAAUCCGAAAGGACCCCAGAAAGCUAAAGUCUUUUCUUUUUCACACCUCAUACUAUCAGGAAGUCUCAAAAUGCAAGUUUCAAGCUCGAUCAAGAUAUUGCACUUUAAUCACGAGUACGCAUUUAAUCUGAAACUUCCAAAUAUUGAAAACCCCACCUCAGCAGCACUUAAUCGACCCUCAGAACAUAUCACACAAGAAGCAGUCUGUGCACAAAAGAUAAAUAUCUAUGGCCUAAUCUAUACAUAAUCAUCAUCCAAUCCUACAAAAAGAAAAUUAGCUGCUGCUAAAUGUUGUACAUAUAAAAAAAAAUCCCACCUUUUUCAAUAAACAAAAAGAAAUGACUCCAGAAUUUCCAAUUUAAUUUUGCAACUCCGUCAACAAAUAAUACCUCUAUCAUCAAUAUCCUACUGAAAACAAUAGUUAUCCAGUCAAAAAAGAAAACGAGAAUUUAUGAAUUUAAGACCUUAAUCCAGGAAAAAUGAAUUUCUUAUUAAAGAAAAAAGUCAAACCCUCAGAAACUACACAGAAAAGGGAACUUUAUAAACAUACUUCCGAAGGUAUCAUUAGCCAUACAGAGAAAAGUCAGGCCAUCAGAUUUGAGAAUAUGGAAAAUAUAUCGAUCCUGAGAGAAGCAGAGUCUCGACUCGGCCUCCAACGGCAGCUUCUCCAAUAUCCGCCGCACAACUGCUCCGGCGUUCCCCGUGACAGCGCUGAACUCCGCGAGCACGGUAGUCCCCCGAGCCACCACCGCAUAGACUAUCGCCAUCAAAGUAGCCCGUCCUCGUUACCUACUACUCAAUAAACGUAUAUGUAAACUUAAGUAUAUGUAUCUAUAUGGUAUAAUUUACAUACAUAUACAUGGAAAUUGAGGUUUGAUUAGGGUUUUGAAUUUGGGUUUGAGGAAGUUAGUUGGGACAGUGAAGAUCGGGGGAUGGUGUCCACCGGCUGCUGUAAGUCCACGCCUCCACGGGCUAGUCAGUGUUCUAUUUCUACUACAUCCAAUAAUUUAUUAUUUUUGGAAUUCACUUGAUACGUUCCUCACAAAGAAAAAAAAAAAAUUCACUUGAUACGCUUUGUUGUGGCCGGUUUUUAUUUGGAAAAUUGGGAUUCGUGUCUUAACUUCGAAGUUCGAACAAAUGGUGUCAAUUGGGAUCUACGAGCUGGAUUUUAACAAACCUAAUUUCAAUUCAAAAAACACUAGGGCUUUAUUGGAAUUCAUGUCUUAAUUUGGAAUUAAGAGUGUCAAUCGGGCUCUAUGAAUUGGGUUUUGAGAAGCCUAAUCUCAGUUAAAAAAUAAAUGAAACUUUUGAGUUUUCGAGUUCGGGGCUAGGUUAGAAUAGUCAAACUCGACUCAUCAUUUAAUAUGAGUUGCGGUCUUAUAUUAUUUUCGACUCAAACUCAUAAUUAACUAUAUAAUUAUAUAUAAUAUAUUAAUAUUUAUAAAUUUGUAUAUAAUUUAUUAAUAUUUUAAUCUUAUAAUAUGUGUAAUUAUAUAUAUAUCAUUUAAUAUGCAAUUAUAUAUAUUGUAUUUUUAAUUAUACAUAUGAGCAGGUUAGGCCUUAAUCAGGCUUGAACAUAAUGAUGCCCAAACUCGACCCAUAUUUAACUUGGGCCUAUUAUAUAUAUCUAAACUUUACUUGAUUUUAUGCUUUAGAAAAAAGAAAAAAAACUCUACUUGAUUCUAUUAAAUAUAAGACUCAUUGGACUUUCUAUGGAUUGAACAAGGUGAGCAUGGGCUAGCCCAACCCAUUGAUAACCCUAACUUUGAACCCUUGAUUAUUGUGCAUUUAAGUUUUACUUAAGAUUUUUUUUGGUUCUUUACAUGUAUUAAAACUAAUCAAUUUGUCUAUUUUGAAUAAAAAUGAAAAAGAUUAAAAAUGUAUAUACAUGACUAUAGUAACACAAUUGUAGGUGUACGUUCUCUGUUUACAAUAGCGUGAAUGUGCCAAAACCUUGAGUGUUUUUACACCUUAAUGAGCUAAGCAAUUAGGAUAAUUACUAUAUGCUCUGUUUGGAUUUAGGCUUUUUUGAAAAAUAAUUUUUUCAUCUACAAUGCUACAGUAAUACACAAACAAAAACAAUUUCAAAAACACCAUAUUCAUACAAUAUAUCAAAAACAACUCCAAAUAUACCAAAAAAAUACACAACUACCCAUCACUCUCCACCACCACAACCACCACCUUACCGCCACCAUCCCCAUACCCACGACCCUCUCUCCUUUCUCUCUCUGUUGGUUUUUCCUCCCUCUCUCCUCCUCUCUUUCCUUCUCCUUCCUUCUUUUUUCUUUCCCUUUCCCCACCCCCCAAUUUCCUUCUCCUCGACUGACUGCAACCUUCUUAGUCACGAUCAAAUCUGAUCGCGAUCAGAAACCGCGACCAAGAUGGUCGUGAUUAGAGUGGUGGCUAAAGUCGCUGCCAUCACCUGCGAGUGGGAGAAGGGUUUGGGGUUAGGAGGAAGGAGGAGGAGGGAGGAGAAGGGAGGUGGAGGAGGAGGAGGGGGGAGGAAAUAGAGGGGAGGAGGAGAGAAAGAGAAAGGAGACAGGGGGGGGAAAUGGAGGGAAUAGUGGUGGGUCAUGUAAAAUUUUAAAAAAAAAUAUUCCAAAAAAAUUGUAAAUUAUAAAAAUACUCAAAAAUAUAUUUUAAAAAUACCUUUAAAAACAAUUCAAAAAAUAUUUACAGUAAAAGUUUUUCAUAUACACAGUUACAGUAAAGUUUUUGAAAAACACCUCCAAACAGCUAAUCCAAACACCUCCAAAAACAGCUACAGUAAUGUUUUAUGUAGUGUGUCUAAGUUGAAGUUUAGACCCAAUUAGCAGGAUUAGUAGGCAACAUAAGUUGAAGAUGAAACAAAAAAUUAAAAUUAGGAAGCCAAAAAUGUAUGUUUGGAUAAAAGAUUAUCUGAAAUAAAAAUUGGAAUGACAUUGUGAUUUAUUUUUUGUAAUAUGAUAAAUGUAAGGUAAAAAGGUAAUUAGACACACUUUUUUUUUUUUUGGAAAUGGUAUUUGGACUCCUACCAUUUGUUAUAUCAUAUAGUCUAAUCGAUGAAAACUAUAUGAUAAAAAUGAUAGUGGGAGUGCAAAUAACAAAAAGGGGAGUAUAAAUAACAUUUUCCUCUUUUUUUUCAAAUAAUGUUUCCAAACAAAAUUUUUGCGAAUUAGUCCACAAUUUUUUGGUUAUGUGUUGAAUAGGUCCUUCAAGUUUUUUUUUUUUCCAAUUUGUAGUUGACCACCCUUGUAUUAUGGAUUUAUCACGGCACUACCUUUCCCUUUGCAUAAUUGCAUUAGCCAACUCUAACGGUUCAAUUGUUUUUUUUUCUCUUUUUUCCUUUUCAUCCCUCUGUCCUUUCCAUUUCUUUUUCCUUUCUUUUUUGUUUGUACUUGUCCAUUCUUUUGUAUCGCCACUUAUUUCAUUUCUUUUUUUGUUAGCAAUUUCUGUUUCUUCUUAUGCUACCUAGUAGCUAAGUUUCUCCUUUUCGUAAAACUUACUUUUUAAUAUGAAGAAUUGAUUCAUCAUCAACCUAUAUAUUGAAGUAAUGAAUUAUCAAUUGAAGAUGUGAUCUUUAACCGGUACAUAUUGUAUUUAUAGCUAUUUGAUCAAAUUAUUUAUUUUCAAUGUUGCAAUUUAGGUACAUUUAGAAGAAAUCGAAUUGUUUUAUUGGAUGCCUUCAAAUAUAAAGUAUUUUUGCUAAUUACAUUUAAGUGUGUACUAGAAGCAUUUCGCCCAGAGUGCCUUGGUUUGAUAACUAAGAUUGAGAUUUUAAAAAUUAGAGUUCCUGAGUUUAAAUUCUCUUCAUCAUUUCCGCUUCUUAAAUAUCACUCCUUCUUUGUAAGAAAAAAAAAAGCUCUCUGUAUCACGUGUUAAAGACUUUCAAAAGGAAAGAGAAGAAAGAAGAAAAAUGUCCAAAUGUUAGGACCGGGUUUCUAAAGAAAUGGAAGGGGUAAAUUGAAAGAUCGAAAAGUGCAAUAUUAUCAUUUCUAAUAAACCCCUUCGGCCAACUAAGAAUGAUUAAGAAAACUUGAUCAAUUCUAGAAUCAUUCAAUUGGAGAAAACUAAGCUGAUCAGUCAUCCUAUCGUAUGGUUAAAGUUCGAACCACCCGCUUGCUUGGAUUUGCCAUCGUCAAUGGGAAUCAAGGGGCAAUGAUGCCCAUACAUAAUUUUUGGUUUAGUGGUCAUUAGGGGGCAUUCGGUUUGAGGGUGUGGGAAUCAAGAUUUAAAAUGAUGUCCAUUUUAAUUUUUAAAGGCUUGGAUAAUAGGUAUAUAAUCUAGCAAAUUACUAUCAAUCCCUUUUGUAGGUGUGUUACUUUCUCUCUCUAAGUAGGGAGCCAAAAUCACCUUUGGCGGGUGUUUUGAACUUGCUUUUUCAAAUUUCAAAUUUCUCGUACUUUCCUUCAAAAAACAAACAAAAAAGCAAAAAGCAAAACAAAUAUACCUUCUUAGAUCCACAUUGCCUUCUACAUCAAUGGUGAAUUCAAUGGAAUAAUUACGCUUUAUCAUGAUGUUUGUUUAUCCUCUCCAUUUAGUGUUCUUCUUUCUGUAAUUUACAUUCAUUCCAUGGUAGGAUGACUAAAGAUGGCGAUCUAGAAGAUUUCUAAGCUAAGCUUCGAUCAUCUCUCUUUUGAGCUUGCUUUUCUGUUAAAGUUUCCAUUCCAAGUUCAAUUACCAUUUACAGGUCCAAUUUUCCAUUUCAGAUCCAAUUAUCUAUUUCAGAUUCCAUUUUCCAUUUCAAUAAUCUAGCUACUCGGUGUCAGUCAUCUUUUUCCUACUUUUCUUUGGGCUUUAUUGGUGUUUUCUUAUGCUUUCAUAGUUUCUGUUUUUAUUUUUGGACAGGUUACUGGUAUUGAUCUUCAUUUUGUCUGUGUUUAGCUGGGGAAUACUCUAAUAUUGGUUCAGGAUGACUGAGGGAUUAGAAGAAGUUUUGAGAAGAUUUGUUCUGACUGAAGAAGAGGUCGAUGGUUUCAGGGAGUGGCUAAUGUCAAAUGAGUAUCAUUGGAAAGGUGGUGGGGGAGAAGACUGCAAACAUAUCAGGUGUUAAAAGUUUAACGAAUAAUAUGUGCCUUUUGCAAGGAAGUUAAAAGUAGUUGAGAUUAGGGUUAAUAUGUUUCAGUUUAUAUUCAAUAAUACUCAUGAUAUGGAGCGGGUACUACGGGGGAGACCAUGGAUAUAUGAUAAUUUGCCGUUGGUAGUAUUACCCUGGAAUGAGGGGUUAGAACAGAAUGAUGAAGCUUUUAAUAGGACUUGGAUUUGGGUUCAGCUAUGGAAUUUACCUAUCCACUGGAUUACCAAGGAAAUUGGUAGGAAAAUUGGGAGGGUUUUCAAUUUUGUAAAUGAAGUUAUAAUUCCAAAUUGGGAGGGGGGAAGGAAGGGAAACAUCUAAAAAUUGUGGUGGAGUGGAGUUAUCUAAACCAAUGAUGAGGGGAACUAUAGUGAAGCUAGAUGAUAGUACUAGAUGGAUAGAAUUUAGAUAUCAGAAAUGUCCUAAUUUCUGCUAUUAUUGUGGGAUUAUGAGACAUAAUGAGAGAAACUGCAGGGUGAAAGGAUUUAAUAUAAACAAGGAAGCUCAAUAUGUAGCUUGGUUAAGGGCUAGUAAUGCUAGGAGCUCAACCAGAAGACAGAAUAACUCAAGUAAUGUGGAAAGUAAUGGUGGUGAAGGCUCACAACUGAAUAAGGAGUGGGGAGAAAGGGAGCAGGAACAACUCUUGUUACCCUGAAAACUAGUUGAGGUUAAUGUUGACACAAUAAUAAAGGAGACCAUGUAGGAGGAAACUAAGGAUAGGAAUCAAGUUGAGUUGAUGGAAGUUACUAAGAGGGAGAGUUGUAUGAAGUCUGGAUGUAAAAAGAAGGGGGAUGAACUAAAGGGAAUGAGUAAUGUUAAUAAAGAUUUAAACUUAAUGGCAGAAGGGGAAAUACUGAAAGGUAGCCAAAGAGAGGAUUUCAACGAUAAGGAACACUUUGAUUCUAUAUGGAUUGAUGGAUCUGUUAUAAAAACCAAUGUAAGUGAGAGGGGGGAAGGGUAUAGUUCCUGCAAAUAAAAAACAGGAUCAAACUAAUAGUAUAGGUAUGAGAGUUGGUAAGUAUAAGGGGAAUAGAGGGUGGAAGAGACUAAUUCGUGAGGUGAGUAAAAGAGUACCUCUGAGCGAAAAGAAUGAGGUUAUGGAAAUUGACAAUAAGGGGAGGAAAAGGAAACUGAGCGAGAAUGCUGAUAAAGAGAAUGACAGAGGACAGGGGAAAAUCCAGAAAAAGAGCGAGACAGUAGAAAGUGAAACAGGCCUGGAACAAACAUCUGAGGCAGUGGAGUCCUACCUUAAUGGGGCUUCCAGGUCUCAAUGAAAGCUCUGGUGUGGAACUGUCGAGGUGUAGGGAGCCUCUUGACAGUUCCCUAGUUAGAGGAGAGUGUCAAACUCCACUCCCUUAAGUUGAUUUUCUUGUCUGAAACAAAAAACAGAAAGGAUGUUAUGAAUAAAAUGAGACUAAAGUUAAGGUAUGAUAGGCUGUUUGUGAUUGAUCCAGUGGAAAAAGUUGGUGGACUGGCAGUAAUAUGGAGGAAUGAACUGCAAGUUUGUAAAGUGCUAUAUACUAACUUUACUAUUGAAAUGUUGCAGGAAAGGAAUGGUGCUAGAGCUAGAUGGUGGCUGUUAUGUGUAUAUGCCAGUAGUGAGGAUCAGAUUAGUGAGAAGCAGUGGAAGAUUAUAGAGGAUAGGAAAAGCUUAUGGGGUCAGAAUUGGGUAUUGACAGGUGACAUGAAUGAUAUAUUGUCUAAUGAUGAGAAGUGAGGAGGUAGUAGAAGGCCAGAAAGAAGUUUUCAAACAUUCAGGGACUUUGUUAACAAUAAUCAACUUAUUGACAUUGGGUUUGAAGGAAUUCCAUGGACAUGGUCAAAUAAUUGGGAAGAGGGGAAGGAAAUUAAGAAAAAAUUGGAUAGAGUCUUAUGUAGUAGACAGUGGAAGAGAGAAAAUGAGAACGCUAAAUGCCUGCAUAUCCAGAAUGAUGCCUCUGACCAUACUAUGCUGCUGUUGGAUACUGAUUCGAAGGGUAGGAAGUAGAAAAGGAGGUUUUUCUUUGACAGGAACUGAUUAAAAUAUAAAGAAGUAGGUGAACUCAUUAGCAGGGUAUAGGGAAAACAACGGGAUGGCUCAAGAAUUUUUAAACUACACCAAAAGAUAAAGAGCUGUAGAGUAGCUCUCUUGAACUGGAAUAGGCAGAGAGAUACUAAUGCAAAAAAAGAGAUUAAGGAGCUAAAGCAAAAACUUGCAGAGGUUCAGGGUGAUGGGUAUGCCAAUAAGAAUCGAAGGGUGAGAGAGCUUCAAAAGAAACUGGAAGAGGCUUAUAAGAAAAAGGAGGUGUUUUGGGGGCAGAAAGCGAGAAUUAAAUGGUUGAAGGAAGGUGAUAAGAAUACAAAAUACUUUCAUGCAAGUGUUGCAGAGAGAAAAAGAAGGAAUAAUAUCUCAAGUCUUCAGAAGGAAAUUAAGAAAAAAUUGGAUAGAGUCUUAUGUAGUAGACAGUGGAAGAGAGAAAAUGAGAACGCUAAAUGCCUGCAUAUCCAGAAUGAUGCCUCUGACCAUACUAUGCUGCUGUUGGAUACUGAUUCGAAGGGUAGGAAGUAGAAAAGGAGAUUUUUCUUUGACAGGAACUGGUUAAAAUAUAAAGAAGUAGGUGAACUCAUUAGCAGGGUAUAGGGAAAACAACAGGAUGGCUCAAGAAUUUUUAAACUACACCAAAAGAUAAAGAGCUGUAAAGUAGCUCUCUUGAACUGGAAUAGGCAGAGAGAUACUAAUGCAAAAAAAGAGAUUAAGGAGCUGAAGCAAAAACUUGCAGAGGUUCAGGGUGAUGGGUAUGCCAAUAAGAAUCGAAGGGUGAAAGAGCUUCAAAAGAAACUGGAAGAGGCUUAUAAGAGAAAGGAGGUGUUUUGGGGGCAGAAAGCGAGAAUUAAAUGGUUGAAGGAAGGUGAUAAGAAUACAAAAUACUUUCAUGCAAGUGUUGCAGAGAGAAAAAGAAGGAAUAAUAUCUCAAGUCUUCAGAAGGGUGAUGGAACUUGGUGUGAGUCAGAACAAGAAAUUGAGGAUGAAAUUAAUGGUUAUUUUCAGGAGCUUUUCACUUCUAAUAACCCUCAGCAGGUUGACUCAAUACUGAGUGGAAUUCCCCUAGUGAUCACAGACCAAAUGAAUGCAAUGCUGGUUAGACCUGUAUCAAAAAUGGAAGUCAAAAAAGCUAUUUUUUCACUGCACCCAAACAAAGUCCCGGGCCUGAUGGUAUAACUCCUGUUUUCUUCCAACAAUUCUGGAAUGUGAUAAAAGAUGACUUGAUAAAUGCCAUAUCCAGUUUCUUUCAUUCUGGUCAGUUAUUGAGGAUUGUCAAUGAAACUAUCAUUACUCUUAUCCCUAAAAUAGACUCCCCUGUAUUAGUGUUUCGGUUUAGACCAAUUAAUUUGUGUAAUGUAGUCUAUAGGAUCAUAUCUAAAAUCCUAGUCAAUAGACUAAAGCCUCUACUCAAGCUUUGUAUUAGCCAAAACCAAUCUGCUUUUAUUCCAGGAAGACAAAUCAUUGAUAAUGUUGUUAUUGCUCAUGAACUCAAUCACUGUUUAAAUAACAGGAGAUGUGGAUCUAAUGCUUUUAUGGCCUUGAAACUUGAUAUGUCCAAAGCUUAUGAUAGAGUUGAGUGGCUUUUUAUGCAAAAAAAUUAUGAAAAAAAUGAAUUUUUGUAAAAAAUGGAGAGAUUGGAUUCUGAAGUGUAUGUCAUCUGUUGUUUACUCUUUUAAUUUGAAUGGGAAAAAAAGAGGUCUUGUUACACCUACAAGGGGAAUUAGGCAAGGAGAUCCUUUAUCUAUCUCCAUACAUAUUUUUACUAGUUUAUAAGGGAUUAUCCAGUUUACUUAAGAGAGAUAUGUCUAGUCAGGAAAUCUCUGGACUUAAGAUUGCUCAGCAUAGUCCAACAUUGUCUCACCUCUUUUUUGCAGAUAAUACGUUGAUUUUCUAUAGAGCUAACAAAGAAGAAGCAGAUAAAGUGAUGAAGCUAUUGAAGAUGUAUGGGAAAGCUUCAGGACAAGUUAUAAAUGCUGAGAAGUCACCUGUAUUUUUUAGUAUGAAUACUGGAGAUGAAGUGAAUGUAUAAAUAUUGGAUAUCUUGAGAGGCAUGAAGGAAGCUAGGCAAAGCAAAUAUCUUGGCCUUCUAUUGGUUAUAGGAAGACCAAAAAAACAAGUCUUCAACUACAUUAGGGAGCGUGUCAUCAAUAGGAUGUGUGGAUGGAAGGAGAGACUACUGAGUAAUGUUGGUAAGGAGGUCCUUUUAAAAUCUGUGAUUUUAGCUCUACCUGCUUAUGCUAUGAGUUGCUGCAAACUACCAAAAGGUUUAUAUGUGAAUAUUUGUAAAGAAAUGGCAAAGUUUUGGUAGGGUGAUAGUGAGAAAAAUAGAAAAAUUCAUUGGGUGGAGUAGAGGAAGUUAUCUGAGAUUAAAGGGAAGGGAGGUUUGGGUUUUUGAGAUCUCUAGCAAUUCAAUAUUAUUAUGCUUGCUAAGCAACUAUGGAGGAUCUUGACAAGGCCAAAUCUUUUAGUUAACAGGAUUGUUAGGGGAGGUAUUUUAGAGGAUCUUCCAUUUGGAAAAUGAAAAUUAAUGCUGGGGAUUCCUAGGUAUGGAAAAGCAUUCUAAGUGCAAGAGAGCUAUUGGAAGAAGGGGUGAGGAAGAGAAUGGGGAAUGGCCAGCAGAUUGAUAUAUGGGAAGAUAAGUGGUUACUAGAUUUGGAAGUUGGUAAGAUAAGAUCGUAAGAUAAGAUUGAGAAAACCUCAACAUUGUCAUAUACAAAGAGUCAAUGAGUUGAUUUCUGAAGGGACUUGGAAUAAGGAAUUACUGAGAGAGAUUUUUUAUGAGGAAGACUGUCAAAGAACAACUAAUAUUCCAAUAAGUGAGUGUGGUGAUAAGGAUAGACUAAUAUGGAUGUUCUCUAAAUCAAGGGAGUAUAUUGUGAAAACUGGCUAUGUGGUGGCUAAAGAGUUGCAGAGAAAAGGAAGAAGGGAAAGUCAGUAACAAGGGAGUAGUAGCAGGAAUGAAGCUAAUUCAGGGGUGUGGAGAUUCUUAUGGAGCCUGAACGUAAAGCAUAAGCUAAAACAUUUUGUAUGGAAAUGUCUUCAAAGAAUCUUGCCAGUGAAUGAAAUAAUUAGGAGAAGGAUUGGACAAGGAAAUGAUAGGUGUUGUUGCUGUGGAGAAAGGAUAGAAACUCUUGAACACAUGUUCUUUUUCUAUAAGCAUGCAGAGCUAAUUUGGAAGACUGCUCCAAUUAGCUGGGAUGGGUUAAAGGAAUAUAUAUAUAGCUUUUGGCAUUGGUGGAGUAGAUUUGGAAAUCCAGGAACCAGAUACAAUUUAAUAGGGAAGGGAGAUGUCCAGGCAUGACAAUUAAUAAGGCAAUACAAGAAUGGCUAGAAUUCUAUAAUGUAAACACAAAAAAGGGAGAGGAUGAAAAAUGGUACAGGGGCGUGGAAAAAGGAAAUGUGAAUGGGACCCACCACCAGAAAACUUCAAGUGCUUAAAUGCUAAUGCAGUUGUCAAACAAAAUGAUGCAAAAAUAGGAUGGGGAGUCGUGGCUAGAUGCAAGGAAGGGAAGUUAAGAGGAGCUUGGGCUGGUUGUGAAGGUAGAAAUGGUGUUCCAGCUGUUGAGGAGGCAAGAGCAAUCCGGAAAGCGCUUAUGUUUGCCAAGAUGAAUGGAUGGAGGAAUAUUAUAAUCCAAUCAAACUGCAAGAGAAUUAUUGAUCAAAUCAGAGAGGGAAACCUGAAUGACCAUUUAGCAGGUGCUGUCCUAUUUGACAUUCUAGUGAUUAGCAAGGACUUUAGUUCUUGUCUCUUCUCUUUUAUUAAGAGGGAAGGGAAUAAUGUGUGCCACCAUUUGAUAAAGUUUGCCUUAAAUUUAGUUUCUGAGAUAGCUUGGAUGGAUUCAUUUCCAAGUUGGCUAAUCAGUCUAGCCAAAGAUGAUGUAGGAGCCUUUGCUCCAGAUUUGUAAUACUUUUGUUGAAGUAAUGAAUUCUUAUAUCGUUUGGAAAAAAAAAAAGAUAAUAGGUAUGGAGUUGGAGAUUUUGGAAUGAAUUCUAAAAUAGCAACUCUCAAUUCUUGAGUAAAUUGGUGGGUUUUGUUAAUUCCUAAAUUUGAUUCCAAGAUAAUUGUAUAAAAUAUGUCUUUUGAAUUCACCUACAAAAAAUGACUAUAGUAAAUCACAAUAUUAUUAAACGAUAGACACAAAUAUGAGAAUUUCUAAAAAUCAAGGAGGUGGGCUACACAAAUAUGAAAUCGCUAAAAUCAAGAAGAUGAGUUAUUCAUUAUUUUGUUUCUGUCACUUAAUUCAUAUGUUGUUUGUAUAGGAUUUCAUCUCCUCUUUUAUGGCAUCUAAAAACUUUCCCCUCAUUGCCCUCACACACCAUAUGGACCUUGUUUGGCAAGUGAGUUUUUUGGGUGUUUGUAUAAAAUUUUACUGUAAUUUACUGUAGAAGUUUUUUAAAAAAAUUUUGAAGUGUGUUUUGUUUUUAAUAUUUUGAAGUGUAUAGUUUAAAACUUUGAAAAGUUUUUAAGAUUACUGUAACUAAAGUUUUUAAAAAACUUAUAGCAGACAAACUUGAUAAAAAACUUAUCUGCCAAACAAGGAUGCAUGACAUCUCAAAAACUUCCACCUUUCAUCUCACUAUCAUCACUCCUUCCUCACCCUCAAAAUCCUAACCCUAAACCCCCAAACCAAAUUUCAUCCAUCACACCAAGCUCUGCACAUCCUCACCUCCAAGUCCAAAACAGUACCAAAAAUUUACCAUCACGAUCUCAAGGGAUUCAACAUCAACUUGAGGAAAGGAAAAAAAAAAACUGCGUCGGAUUGUGUUAAUGUCACCCCAGUCAAAAUCCUUUAAAUCUAUUAGCCAAGCCAUUGACAAGUUCUAAAUUUGCAUUGUAUCAAUUGACAAGAAAAAACGAGAAGGUGAAGUUGCUUCAUCAUUUGGGUUAUGACUGGAAGUUGGAGAGAAAUGAACAAAAAACAAAAAAACCAGGAGGUCUUGAUUGGUACUGAUUCUUUAUAAUUCAUUUCGUAUCCGAUUUCAAUUCCGGAGGAUGAACCAAGCACCCCUCACUUUUAGGUCUUCCAAUCCCAUUGAUCCUAUUAAAGAGUAAUUUGAGCACCCCUUACUUUUAGUUCUUCCAAUCCCAUAGAUCCAAUUAAAGAGUAAAUUGGGCACUAUCAUACUCAUUCUUGAUGUGGCCCAUCUCAAAAUUAAAAAAAAAAAUCCAAUUAAACCCAACACAAUAAACAAGCUUAAGAAAGAAAAAACGCCAUUCUUUUCAUCUCCUGCCUCAAAAUAUUCAUCUGUUCAAUUACCUCUUCUUUAUCAAACUUUUUUAAAUUCUUGCUUUGGAGGUUCAUAGAAUAUCUCGCAAAGAAGAUGUAGAGACAAGAGAGAAAUAGAAGAGGGGAGAGAUUUGUUUGCUGGUGUUCAAGAAAAGUUGAAAGGAUUAAAUCAUGAUGGAAUUGAGAAAAAAUGACCACGGUCAAAAGGAAGAUGGAAAAGAGAAAGAAGUUCGAUUUUAUAACUAUGAUUGACUGAAGAUCUAAUUUUGAUAUUUUUUGCGAAUUUUGGCUCAUAUUUAGUCUAACAAUCUUUAGUUAAUUGUUGCGGGUUCUGAUGGUUUAGAGACAUGGGCGGCUGUCAAGAAAGUUUUAGACUUUUAGUAGCAUGAGAUGCCAUGAAUUGCUACUACAAUUGGUGAUGGAAAGCUUCAGACUUUCUAGAUAGCAGAAAGGACGAAGACGAUGGAAAGAGGGACCAAAGAAAGAAGAAAAGAAUAGGAAAAGAAUAACAAAAUAGAGAUGGUGAUUCCAUUCUAGCGCAGGGAUCAAACAUCAGUUUUAGGAAAAAAAAAAAAUUUUGCUCAAGUCAUUAUCAUUGAAGGGGUAUUGGAUGGUGAUUGGAAUUGCCAUUGCCUGGUAGUUUCAAAACUCGUGGUGAAGCUUUGCUCUUUGGGGUACAUAGACUGCGAUGCGAGUAGUUUUUCUUUAACUUGGGAAGUUUCAGCUCAAGUUUCCUUUAACAAUUUUGAGAGUGAUCUUACUCAGCCUAUAAUAACGAAAAGCAGAGAAUUCAAGAAUUUUAUAGGCUAAGAAUCACCCGUGUCCCAAGAAUAUCCGUCCAUCCAGCUGGCCGGGGGCCACAAAAAUUCUGCCUCCAUUUGUUUGUCGAAGAUAGCAAGUAAACCUCCUCGACCAGUUUCGUGUCCAGUUUGGAUUCCAGUUUUCUUUUUCUUUUUUUUUUCUGAAGUUUGUAUAGAAAAAUGUACUGUAAUAAUUUGAUAUAUGUAAAAUAAAAAGUUAAUUAAGAAAUGUAUACAUGAAAAGCGUAAAAAAAUUUUGGUAAAAACUGCAAUCCAAAUAUAUACCACCAGUGUUGCAGAUAACAAUAAAACAAAGAAAGAUGAAAAAGGCGAAAGCAUACUCUCAUAAACUACAUUCCAAUAGACAUAUUUCGUUUUUAGUUUUCUUUCAGCCACAAAGCUGAUUUACUUCCUUAAAUAAGUAUCAAAAACACCUAAACCAAUUGUUAGCAUUGAUUCUUGACUUUUGGUGGUGAAAAAUAGAAGGGUAAUAUACGUUGGGGUUAAGCUUUAUAUUUAUACUACACUUUUAGAAAAUUUUGAGGUAAAAAAUUUAGAAAAAAAGCUUAUAUUUAUUUCAUCUUCAAUGCUAUUUGUUGGACUGCUACCAUCGUAAUAAAAAAAUUUUUGUAUUUUCACCGCGAUUUAUUCUCGCUGUUUUUAUGAGACAAAGUAAAUAUGAGUUUUUUUAAUCAUAGUGAUAGCAUUAAAGACGAAGCAAAUAUAAGCUUUUUUUUAAAAUUUUAUUUUUAUCUCAAAAUUUUCUAAGAAUAUAGUUUGCCCUCAAAUUUUAUUUAGAACAUUAUGUUAACCUUAGUUUGAAUGGUGAUUUUGUAAUUUCAUAAUAAUUUUAUUUGAAAACUUCAAUUAUUCAAGUUCAACCAUUAAAUCUAACUGAAAAUCUAAUAGUUCUAUUUAGAUUACAACGAUGAUAAGGAGUUAAAGUAUAGAUUUUCAAAUCAUACGGAACUAAAGUGUAUAUACACCGAAUUAUAGGGAUUUUUUUUUUUUCUGUACUUCAACCCAAAAUAGAAUGACGCUUAAGAACGAAAAUGUUCAUUCUUGAUUACGUAAGUUCGUUGUCGGGAGAAUGAAGCAAUCCAACCCAUCAAGAGCCAAAGGGACCCUACGAAAUACGAGUUGCCUAAUUUUUCAUGACUCGAAGUCAAGGUCUUGAGAUUCCGUUUUCAAGAGAAGUCGGAGAGGAUAUCAUAUAAUAUAAGUGAAGGAAGACCUAAGAAGAGGCUAAAGUCGUCGGGGUACACACGAGUCCAGAUUACUUCAGCGGCACAAGGGGGACAGGCAAUAGAAUAGAACAGGUCAAAUCGCGUGCAUGUUCACAGCGACAAAAAACUAGCUUGGUGAGUACGUGCAAUUGGACCUGAUCUUGAUCCAUCCUGAAAAAGAUAGAAGUGAUGUAUUUUGUUGCUUAGGCCCCAUUACUUAGCUGUUUUUCCAACUCAAAGCUGAAAAUUACUAUAUAUUCACUAUUUUUCAGUGCUCAGCUGUGCGAAAAUGAUAGAUGGGUUGAGGAAGUCUAAACCGCAUCAUAACAAGAAGUGGUGGUGAGGUAAACGGGUAAGAUAAAAAAUUUGAUCCUCACUGUUUUUGUUCAUUUUAGUACAUGUUAUUUUGAUCUGUUUAACGGAUGCCCUAUAGGCACGAGUUAAGAUGUAUUUGAAGUGUUAAAUUUUUUAAAAAUAUAAAAUUAAUUAGAAAAAUUGUAUAAAUGGAAGAGGUUUACUUAGGGAAAGUGUAUAAAUGCAAGAGAAAGUAGUACUUGUCAGUGUGCGUAUAUAUAUGAUAGGUUAGGUGAAAAUAUGGAUGUGUUAACGAGUGCACAUAGAUCACCUAUUAGAAAAUCCCUUUAUUAUUGAUUAGCCUCACAAAGUGUUUGUCAUAAAUCACAUGUUUUCCAUAAUUACCUCUUCUUUCUCUAACAUGUUAUUGUUGCAUGAUAUGAAGAACAUUUCAAUAAGGUCAAAUGGUUGGGCAGUAAGUGGACAUUUCAAUAAUGUCUUUUGGAAAAAUCCAACUCAAUUUUUUAUUCGGAUUUUGAAUUAUGUAGGUGCAUUAUUACAAAGUCAUAAUAAAUGGCCCUUUUUGACUUAUGAUCAAAGAUUAAAGGCAUAGAGGAUAACAAAUUUCAUCAUGAUACUUAAUUAGGCAAUAAAUUCUUCCAACUUGCAAAUUUCAAGAGCUCAUGUGUUGACUUUUGCCUUCCUCACAAGGUCGUCUCAGUUGGAUUUCAACCUAGAUUUUAUACACCGAACGACUGAGUAAAUUUUACACUUAAAAUUGUCUCCAUUAUUAUACACAAAACGAUGACCUUCGAAAUAUUCUUAGUUUCAAAUACAAAAUGUCAAAACUCAAAACCAACUCUUACAGCCCCUGAACUCACAAUUUAGUCUAAAUCAAUUCCCCAUAAUCCUAUCUAGAACCUAGUUAACAAAUACAAAAUGUCAAAAUAUUCUUAGUAACAAAUAAUACAUAAUGUCAAAACGAACUCUUACAGCCCAUGAACUCACAAUUAAUUAGUCUAAAUCAAUUCCUCAUAAUCCUAUCCAGAACCUAGUUCACAAUUUAGGGAAGCUGCAUAUGGUCAUUAAACUGAUCCCACUCCCACAUCCUUCUUAAUUCACCGUCCAUCUCCAAGUGCUUCCCUUCACCAUCUACACGAUCAACCGAAACCUCCUCUGGUGAGGCUGAAAUUUCUACUGAGUUUUUUCUGUCCAUCGUUGCUCCCCUCUGAGUCUGAGAACGAACAUCUUUAUCAUCAUCUUCAAUGGUGGGUACUACUGCUUCCCUAGAAGUACCUGCCCCUACUGGCCUUCGAUCAAAUGCUCGAAAGCUUCCUGAUACGAUAUAGACCCUACACAAGCUAACUUCAUACCUUAACUGCAGCCCACCAGAAAAAGCAAACGUAUUUACCUUAGGUCUGCCAUUAGAAUUAUGCGGUGCAAGUGGCAAGCCGCAAAGCUUUACAUGCUCGAGAAAAAGGAAAUCAGAAGUGGCCAAAAAAGAAAGAAAAAGAAAAAAAGAAUGACCAAUAAAUAUCUGCGACUUUAGGUGGUACAGAUUGUUUUCAGCGGGUGUACCUUAGGAAUGACGUGAGUGGAUGAAGUAGACCAUUCUUCCUUAAUAGCUCUAUACUCAUUCAUCUUCCACUUAGUUUUUCUUCCCAUUGGAGCUUUUCCUUUGUAGAAGACCAAGCUUUUCUUCACCCCAAUGACUCUAUUAUCCGAAGAAUAAACAUGACUAGGAGAGCCAGUGGCUUUCCAGUACCCCGAAGCCGUGGUCCGGCUAGGCCUUCCACCUCGAGCUUCUCUUUCUUGUCUCGGUACAAAAAAGAACCAUUGCUCAGCAUCUCCACUGCACAACUCCCCCGACAGCUCUACAUUUUUCAUGAAAACAGAUAAAAAAAAAAACUUAGUCGAAUUUAUACCGAUAACCGUGAAGAAAUGAAAGUAGAUAAUGAAAGCUAGCUAGAAGCCAAAGAAUUCGAACUUGGAAGCUGCCAUGGCUCUGACUCAUAAAUGUUGAUGACUGGGAUGACUCGAUUGAGUUCUUCCACUCUCUUUUCUUCAAGCUUGUUGUGAAGAUAGAAAGAAACUAACUCAUCUUCAGUUGGAUAAAAUCGAAAGCCUGGGAUAGUUUCUUUGGACAUUCCCUCUUGCUUUUCUUGUUGCAUAUCCAUGUAUGAUGUUGCUGGCAAGUGGUUGUGGUAUAAAGUUUUAAGAAUUUUAAUUUUUGGUGGGCACUUUUGGAUCACGACUUUUAUAUAGGCAGUGGAAAAAGCGUGUGGGGAAGAAAGGGACAAGGCACGGUAAAGACGGUUUCCGAGUGAAAUGAGAAAAUCUGCUGUGGGAUUUGAGAUAAAGCUUGGAAACGGUAUAAACGCGGCAAUGAAGAGAAAAAGUGGGAAAAUGAUAUGCUGUUGUCCUCCAAUUAAGAGGGUGCUUAGUGAAAUAGCAAUAACUUUAGUUGGAAUCAGUCAGACUUACUUACUGGAGAGGAAGUCUUGCACUCGGAUUUUAAGGGAAAUUAUGAGAAUUAUAUGUGCCAAAUGGACAUAAAUGUAAUCACCAAUUGGGAAAAGGGAUAAUAUCAGAAAUCUCCCUUGAGGUUUCUCCUAAUAUUAUAUCACUUGACACUUUUGAGAUUUUAAAAAUAUCGCGUACCUCUCCUAAUAAUUGUAAAAAGACUAUAUUAACUCUCAUUCCGAUACAUAAUUCACAUAUAAAAUAAAUGGAGCUCAAAAAUAAAAAAGAAAUGAAAAUUACUUUCUUCUUUUUUUUUCUCCAACAUUCUGUCUUACUCAUUUUCUGGAUGACUAUGUAAUAUUUUAUUUAUAAAAUAUAAUAAAUUGAAUUUUGUUUAUCUUUUACUUUUUGUGAUUGUGAUAGAGUGGGGUAUGAUUUAUUUACAUAUUUUGAUUUGAUUUUUACAAUAAUUAGUACAAUUUAAAGGUUUGUGCAUGGGUUGAGAAAAGUAGAAAAAAAUAUAAAAUUCAUAAGAAAUCGGUUAUAAGCAUAUAGAGUUAAUUGGUGCAAGUGUAUUUAUUUACAAAUAUCUUUUUUACUUUUUAAAUUUAAAUUUAUAUGGGUUAUAGCAUUAUAAUGUGGAAGUACUACUAGAGAUUAUUUUUUAAGUGAUGAUUUUCUUAAAGUAAACAAAGUGGUUUAGAAAAUUUUUUAAUAGCAAGUAAAAGAGUAGUUUAGGAUUUUUAAAAAUUUUGUUACACAAAUAAUAAAAGUAAAGAAGGUAAGUGAUUUUUUAAAACUUUAGAGGGACCAGAUGAUAUUAAGAGAAAACUUAGAGGAGGUUUCUGAUAUUAUCCCUUGGAAAAAAAAAAAAAAGGAGCAAAAUUUUGGUUCUCAACCACGUACGCUACUGACCGCCUCACCAGGUCAAAUUUGGAAUGGGGGGACAGUUUAGUACUAAGAGAAAAAAUUCUUACUUUCGUAAGAAAAUGUCAGAAAAAAAAAUAGUACUAAGAGAUUAACUUUUAUGAAUUUUUUUUUAACGGCUGCUUAAUAGACAAUUUUUAAAGCAUCUGAAAUUCUGAAUCACAUUUAAGCUAAGCUAUUAUGCGAAUGAACAUAUUAAUAAUUAUUUUCCUAUCUUGUAUUUAUAAUUUUUUUAUUAUAUUUAUGUUUUCAAAAAUAUUUAUAUUUGAACUACAUUUUAACGAAUACUCUAUUGCUACUUAUUAGAUAGAUCCUAAUUUCUAUUAUAAACUUUUCUACCAUUGCACCUUAAACCAUGAAGGACAUGAUGGGACGGAUGCUAUUGAAGUAUUGGUAUAAUUUUUUUUUUUUUUUCAGUUAGGGAUAUCCGGGCCUACACCCGACUAUUCCCCUAACCCUGAGGAGAGCGGGCUCCACCGAUCCUCAGGAGAAUACCCCAGGCUGCCCAACCUCGAAAUCGAAAUCAGGACCGGCGCCUUAACUAAGAACGCGAAACCCAGCCGAGCAACCCGUGGGCUAUGUUUUCAGAACCGGACCGGAUAGCGACUCGGCCGAGGUCAGGGGUCAGGGGUCAAUGGGUUCGACCGGGGGUCGAUAGGGGUCGAACCGGAUGACGUCAUAAAUAAAAAUUAUUUUACAAUUAAAAUGUUAUAUAUAUAAUAUCUAAUAAUAUAUUGAUAUUAAUAAAGGCAUAUUCAUAUAUAUUUGAUGUUUCAAAUAUAUUUAACAAGAAAAUACAAAGAAAUUAGAACAAUCAAGUAGCAAUUUAUAUUAUUUAAUAAAUAUUAACAAGUUUAGAAUUAAAAUUAUGAAUUUAAUUGAAAAAUAACAUCAAAUUUUAGGACAAUAUUUAUAAAGUAUCAAAUAUUUGAGGUAUAUCAAUAAGUUUUAACAAUUUAGGGGGUCAAAACAUAAUAUUAAAAAGUUUGAAUUUUUUUUUUUAAAAAAAUACUGUUGAACCGGAAAAACCGGUUUUUUCCCGGUCAAACCCGGUCAAACCCGGUUUUUGACCGGCUUUGACCGGGUUUUAAAUUUCCGGUUUUCUAAUGUGACUCGGACCGGCUACCUGGCCGGUUCCCGGUUCAACCGGUUCGACCGGCCGGUCCGGUCCGAGUUUGAAAACAGAGCCCGUGGGGACAAGUAUUGGUAUAAUUGUUAUACCUUUUUAAUUGAUUUACCGUACACUUAAUGAUUACGUUAUAGGUGGGAGUUUUGUUUAAGUACCAAUUCAAUAUAUGUUCGCAUAUAUAAGUAUGAUUAAUCUUUCGUACAUUGACAAUGUAUACACUAUCAACAGGAAUGAUAAUUAUGUAAAAUUUAAAUUUAAAAUUUAACUUUUAUAUACAUGUCAUGAAUCACACGGUGAUAGUGUAGUAUACAUUAUCAAAAUAUUUAAUUGCCCCUAAAAACGAAUUGUACAUGUCCUGACCCAAAAAAUGAAAUUAUGAAUCAUCGAUUGCAGGAAGUUGGGACAUAUCACCCCGUUGACUCGUCACCUCUUCAAAAUUGUAAUAUAUCCAUUGAAGUUUCAAUUUUUUUAUGGGCUUUUUGAAGGACAAAGUAGCAAAUUGCGUACGUUAUAUGCUAUAGAUUGUAAGCUCUAGAGUAAAUUUCUGAGGUAGUCUUAUUAUACAUACAUAUAUAUAUAUAUAUAUAUAUAUAUAUAUAUAUAUAUAUAUAUAUAUAUAUAUAUAUAUAUAUAUAUAUAUAUAUAUGUAGGGAUAAUUUCAGAAACCUCCCUUGAGGUUUCCAGCAAUUAUAGAGAGCUCCCCUCAAGUUUCAAAAAUUACACCUACGUCCCUUGCUUUUAAGGUUUAUGUAAUAAUAUAGAUUCAAUAGCUUAUAAUUUUUCACAAAUAUCCUAAAAUACCUUUCUUUAGAGAACAAGAUAAAACAAAACAACGUUUUAAUCUUUAAUUUCUUGUAUGUGUUAUACUCACUAAAUCAAACAAAGUCCAGUGACUUCAACUCAUCUCAAAAUUUAUUAGUUGCUAAUUCUUGCUUAAUGCAACUCACUACCACCACUACCAAUAUCAAACUAAGAAAUGCCCCCCAUGUGACUAAAAAUAUAAUUCAUCAUUGCUCUAACACUUAUAGAAAUAGAGACAAAAUUCUAUUUUUAUAAUAAAACCACAAUCAAUAGGUAAAUAAAAGAGAGAACCAAUGAGUAAUUGCUAUACUUUUUUGCUUAACAAACAUAAUAAUCACUUCUUUAUGUUCCAACUCUCAAUUUCAUUUUUUUCCCUAUAUCACUGCCACUUUUUUCAUCUUCCCCUAUUUUGGCAAUAAAAUCCAUAGUUUGUACCUUGUUAAUUUGGUAACUUCAAUGGGCUAACAUUUGUAAAGAGUAAAACUAUUGGAAAAAAAAGAAUGGGUCUAAAAUUUUUAUAAUAAGAAAGAGACAGGAAGACAAAAAAUACAGAUAAAUUUUGGAGAUGGUAAAAAAUUAAUAAUGGUGUGAUUGGUAACAAUGGAGCAUGAUAUUUGAUGAGAGGGAGAAGCGAUUGUAGGAUAAAAAGAGAAAAAAAUAUGAAAGAGGAAACGAGGGAGGGAGGAAGAUAUGAAAAUUAGAAAAUUGAUGAAAAUUAUUUUUUUGAAAUUAGAAAAUGACAAGUAGAAUAAUAAGCAGUAUUUUUCGCCUUUAGAUGCCCCUUUAUGAAUUAACUAUUAAGUGAAGGACAUUUUAAUCAUUUGAUUAUACCGAGGAAGGUCUAAGCAAUUAUUGAAACCUCAGAAAGCCAGAGUGAAAUUGUCAAAAACCUCAUGGUAGGUUUCUGAAAUUGUUCCUUAUACAUAUAUGUGGUGGAGAAUAUAAUAGGUGGAGAAAUUGUGGUGGAGAAAUUGUCCCUAUAUAAUAGGAAAAUAGAUCGACACCUAUCAUAUACCCCACAUUCUUGGAUGGUUAGAGACCCCUAAAUGCUCGAAGCAAAGUUUCCUCGGACGGGUUAUACAAGAAGCAUUUAAAAUCUCACCUUUUCCUAGCUGCACUAUUGGAGCAAUUAAUGGGUUAGUUUAAUUUUUUAAUGGCAUUAGCAAAAUCCAGAUAAUGCACAAAUUCUUACUUUACCUUCAUUUUCCCUAUUCUGUUGACCAAGGGUUAUCUGUCUAAUAUACUUUGGAGCAAGGACUAUACCAUCAGGUGAUUAGAAGCUUCAUUUUUUUUCCCCUAAUCAAUGCAUCAUAAUGAUAAGCGUACACUAGUGUAGAUUAAGGUUAAAAAUUCUCUGAGUCUGGUACAAAACAACUGUGUUGGAUGGUAGUCACUGACUUCUUGGUGGAACAUAUUACUGCUUCACCAUUCUGUUGUGCUUGACAAUAAGCAAGUAAUACUCUGUUAUCGAUGCAGCUGUUAUGUAAGUGGGUAAUCUAUAAGAACUUCUACAAGUGAUUUAUGAUUAGAGAGCAUACCCUACUCAUGUGAUGGUGAUUGGCGUUAAAAUCAGCUAAUUUUCCUUUCUACCAAAAAAAAAAAAAAAAAAAAGCAAGCAAUACUACAAGAAAAGGGGGAGGGAAUGGAUUAAGGAGUGAAAAUUCUACAUAAAUGUCUUGAUGAUAGUUUCUUAGCUCAAAUUUUUAAAAAAGACAUAGGGCCAAUAUUCUAUCUAAACUUCAAAUUUGUAAGUGUAGCCAGGGGAUCGAAAUGGAAUCUCAUACGUUUGUGGUUCUAGUAGAAACGUUUUGAGAGUUCCAUGCUCUUGAAGAAACCUUUUGAAAAGGAUUCAAUGACUAUUUAUUGAGGCUUUCAAUAAUGCAUACAUCAAUUAGCUGAACCAAACAACUGUGGCUGUAGUGUGAUCAUUUUGGCUUCCUUAAGUUCUUUUUUGACAACAGAAAUGCAUAAAAGAAGAAACGAAAAGGAGUCAUGUAGGAGACGACAUAUAGAUACCUACUUAUUUUUUCUAUUAAGACUUAGGCAAUGUCCAAUGGUGGCAUCUCAAAGCAGGCAUCAAAUCGUACUCAGAUAGGUGUAAGUGGUAUUCAAUGCAGACAACAACCAUCUUGUGAACCCUUCGUUUUAUGCUGGUCAAGAGGUGUCAAUAUAGCCAUGAAGAUGUUACUUAUACAUAAUUUCAGCAAUUAUAAAUUUUAAUAUUACAAAAAAAAAGUUAUUAUUUUGCAAAAAUAAAAAUAAAAACUUUUGAAUUUGUAGAUGUGCUCCUUCAGAACUUUUAGAAUAUUCUGUACAGACUUCUUGCAUGUUUCAUUUCAAAGUGAAAAUCCUGCUCAGUCUGUAGAUAAUAGGUGUGUAUGCCCAACUUGGAUGCUGUAAGACCUUCCUCCAUUCAGAAAGUCUCUUUAUUUCCCGUGAGCAAACUUUCAAAUAUUUUGCAAGCAGUACUCUUGGCUAUUAAGAAGUUUUGUUAGAUAAAGAGAAGUUCAAAAGUUUUGUCCAACAAGUGCAUCUGGGAGAUUUCAAGAUUUCUUUUGUCAUUUCAAAAUUAGGUACAAGAGAGAAUGUGCAACAAGUAGACAACUUCUCAUAUAUGCAAAAUAUUUUGUUCAUCAAAUCAUGAUGAAAGAGAGAGAGAAAGACAGAGAGAGAUAUUAAAAUGCAAGCCAAAUGUAUAGUAGAAAUGAGGCACAUAGAAAUACAACAACUCAAAAUCAGUACAUUAUACACACACACACACAGCUAAGAUGAUGAUAAGAGCAAGACAUCAAGUCUUCUCUUUUUACUCAAAAAAAAACACACAUAUCAUAUAUAUGUGUACUGCUUAGUUUAUGGAGUUCAUAAUACUACGAACAUAAACUUCAAGGAAUUCCAAUAAUGGGAAUGAAAGGAACGUAGUAGCUAGAUGGUGCCAGUCCCCAUUCCCUUGGUAGAGGGAGAUCAACUGUCUUGGAUGAACCAAAUUCCAAGUCUACAGAUGCACAUUCUGCAUGCUUCUCUGCAGGGCAUGAUUUGUAGAAGUUAAGGGGCUCUGUAUUUGUGUAGUAGUCAUGCCCUUCAACCUUUUCAACCUUAGAAAUUGUCUUCUUUCCUGAAGUAUAGAGCAAGCUUGGACCUCCUAGGAUCUUGGCAAGGCAUUUUAGUGAAUUAGGAGAAGUUGUAGUACCCUUGGCAAGAUCAGUCUCAAAAGUACCAUCUUCUUUUGUGGUAGCCACAUCCACCUUUUUCACAUUGCUGCACUUCACUACUAUCUUAAUACCUGAAAAGAAAAAACAAAAAAGGAAUUGGCCUCAAAUAAAAAAAAAAAAAAAGAAGAAGAAGAAUUUAUGUAAUUUAUAUCUCUAUCGCACUUUGUGAAGAAUAAAUAUCUGUGACAAUUCAUGCAAGAACCGACUGUGUUGACUAGAGAAAUGCACAAAAAAUACCAAAAGUAUUGGAGGCUAACCUUUUUUUAAAAAAACUAAAAAGCCCAAAUGUUUGAUAGACUAACCAGAUAGAUCACUGUGGCCAUCACAGUCUAGACAGGUGACUGAGCCCCUAAGGACAUUACUUGUGGAAAGUUCAAUUCUUGCAAGAGCCAAAGUGAAGAAGAGAGCUAUGAUAACUUGACAGGAUGCCAUGGUGAUGGCGGAUACAAAUAAAACUGAGUAUGAAAAAUUGGAGAAGCCAAAGGACGCUAUAAAUAGUGCUGGUAGAGUAGUAAGCAGAUAGUAAAUGAAGGGCCCCAAGCCUGAGUUGGUAGUUGGUAUGGAUGAAGCCAGCAGUUACAUAAAUUCAGCAGAGUCCUUACUCCUUGGGUACUAUAGAAUGCAAUGUGCCUUGAAUUGCAUGUCAAAAAAUCUUUAGAAAUCAACGACAUUUGAAUAGUUUAUGGUGAAUUCGUAAUGGCACUGAUCAACCACUCGGAUAUCUGUGGGACAUGAAUAGUAAAUGUUAGUACUUGUUUUUUUUUUUUUUUUUUCAGACACAGGGGUAUCCGAAUCUUCGACCCGACUAAUCCCCCUGCGACCCGAGAGGGGAGGCCCUAUCCUCUCGGACGCGGUAGCCACAGGCAAAACUCGAAACCUGGUAAACCUUGCUACUAGAAGAGCUAACCCAGGGAGGACUUAGUAAUUGUUAGUACUUGAAAUGGUCAAAUAUUGAACUACCAGUUUGUACGUACCAAGCUGUACCAACAGCCCAUGCAGAAAAAAAAAAUUAAAAAAAAAAAAAAAAGUUUACGAGGAAAGGAGGUCAUUGCAUUCUAAGGUCAGGGCAUGAGACUGGUACGGUAAGAGAUUUACACUGUUCGUUAGAUAACCUUUUACAUUGACAAAAAAAAAAAAAAAUUAGAUAACCUUUUAGGAUUUUGACAUUUUGUGGUCGAGGGAAUCUUUGUUAGAUAAAAUCUGAUCCAAUUCCAUUUUUAGUUUAUAGGCUUUGACACGGUGGGGGUUAGAUAAUGUAAAAUACAGCAGACAACUAAAAUCAGUACCAGAACUUGGAAACCUUGGUUAAAAUUUUUCUCUUCCCAUUUGUUUAAGUGUACUAAAUUUAUCCUGCUAUUAAGUUUAGGAUUCAAAUAUUGAGCCUGAUAGUUAGGGAUUGGAAGAGUGUAGGGAGGGGGUGGGAGGGUAAAAAAAAAAAAUAGUGUACUAAAUUUAUCUCUUUAAUUGGAAUUUUUGUAUUGAAUAUCCAUUUCCAGUCUUUAAAUGCUUAACAAACUUUUCCUACGGAGCAUUACCAUUCUGCAGAAAUUCUUGAUGAAUCCGAAGAACGAUACCGACCCAACUCAAAGGAAAUCCUUAAAUAUUCUAAGGCACCUGGGACUUGGGACUGAUGCAUAUCCAUCCCAAUGCCAGCUGCAAAAGCAGGCUUAUUUUCCUUGUAUUUAAUACAGUCACACAAUCUUGGUGAUGAUGAAUGGAAUGAAAAAAAAGGCUUGAUGAUGAUAGAGAUGUUGAUGCAUGUUAGAUGAGAGGGCACAAUACAAAAUUAUGGUUCUGUUGUUUAAGUGAAGAUUUUUCCAAUGAGUGUCAAAUGGAUAGGAGUAUAUGACUAUACACAUAUUUAUAUUUUGGAUUUGACACUCAUUAAGGAAGGUUUCAAGUGUUAUUAUUUUAUAAAUAUAAAUUUAAUUUAAAAAAGUUUUAAAAUACAAUGAAUGUAAUAAAUACAAAUAUGUACAUUUAUAUAAUAAGUCAGGUAUAAUAUAAAUAUCAUAGCGGAUGCUUAGUCCCAUUAGAUUGAUUCUUCUAUUUAUUAUCUCUAAUAUUUAGACACUUUUUUUAUUCAAAUUUUAUUUUUCCCAACACUUGAGGCCCUUUUUCUGGGCCACCUAUUGUACAUAGAAUUGAAAGGUGAGUCAAACUGUUCGAUACUCGAAUCGAACUUGGAUUGAUAAGAACACGUUUGAGUUUGAUUCACUAACUAGUCAAAUCAAAUUUGAAUAAUGUUUUGUAUUGGAUAAUGUUUAAAUUCGAUAAACAACUCGUUCAAAUUUGGUUCGAUAAAUAAAAAUAAAAAUUGAUCAAAAUUUUGUAUUUGCUAAAAUAAUCAAACAAGUUUGAAUGCUAGAGUGUUCGAUUUGAUUAGAUUUAUUUACAUGCAAAGCCAUUAAUCAAGUCUCAUCAGAGGAUCACGAGGCUAUUAAUUGUCAGUAGCAUGGCGGACAAGCUUGUGCUGAAGCCCAAGCAGCUUUUGUUAGUAGCAAUCUAUACAAAAAGGGAAAGAAAAGCAAGCAAGAAAACACCAGCAAUGACUUUUCUAAUUCAAUCAGAGAGAGACCUUCAGCUAACUUUGCAAUUCAAUCAAAGACGUAGGGUAGGGUGAGAAUGAAUUCAGGCCAGAGAGUUUGAAUUUCAGUGCAAUUUCUGUGGACCCUCAAACUAUUGGAGUCGAUAAUUUGCACCCUAAAUUGCUAAAAAUUGUUGCCAAGGUAAACGUUUAGAAUGUGAAUUAUCACAUCCAAAUUGCUCAAAAUAAAAGUUUAGAUUGUGAACCACAAGUUCGAAAUAUGGGGAAAAUAAGAUUAAUUCUGGUUUGUAAGAGCUCAAUUUGGACAAUUUAUCAAGCACUGUGUUUGCUCCCUGUCUAUUUCUCAAAGGUCUGCCCAAUAUCAGAAAACACAUUAAAUCUUUACCACCAAGGUUGUUGGUCUGCAUUUACUCUAAAUGCCACGUCCAUUCCAGUACUCUUCCUCUAUCUAAAUGCAAGCUGUGCAUUUUCCUCAUGUUGUUGUUGAUGUUUUUAUUUUUCUUAGUUUAUCCAGCAAGAUUUUAUGUAGACAACAUUAAUAUUCGGAACUUAACCAGAUUAGUUACAAUUUUACUGCAAUUGAUUAAGACUGAUACAUGUUUUUGAUGGGAUGUGGUUCCUUAAUCAGUUGGAUGCCCAUAUCCUUGAUCUGGAAAUGAACCAAAGGGCUUAUGACUUACCACUCUUAGUUCUGCCAUUGACACUUACAGGCAAAAGUGAUAUUUAACUUUAUCAAACUUGUGAACUAAUUAAGAAUACCAGCAGUAAUAAUUUGGUUACUUAGUUUACUAAUUUUAGAAUCUGUUGAAAUUCAAAAGGCCAAAAAUUAGUAAGUACUUAUCAUGAAACGUUUAAUAGAACUGAAACCUAUUGACCAUAAUAGUCUAUUGGAGUCAUUAUUAACCUUUGACUGGUUUUAGUAGAUGUCAAGAUUUUACCUAAUUUUUUGAAUUUAAAAUGAAAUACUAAGAGCUCUCCUGGUAGUCCGAUUGGUUCCGUAACCUAGUAGUUAUCAGCAGGUCUCGUGAUCGAUUCUUAUGUAUUGUCUCGCUAUGCAUUCUUGGGGCAAAGAUCUACAUUCUUUUAGAGAAUUAGUUUGGUCGAAAGGUUGGUGUACCCUUGAGUUAAAAAAAAAAAAAUACUGAGAAUUUUCACAUUCUAUUACGGUUCCUGUCGGAUUGAUCCCAGCUGUCGAGUUGGACUUAAGCGAGCUCGGACAACUGCAGUCGUUUCAUGAUGUAUGGUUUUGUCAUCAAUUCAUGGACCAGCUACCAUUUAUCAUCACAUGUAGUUUCAUGGCCAAGGAUUUCGAGUGUCAUCUAGUUACACCUACAAGUUUAUAAUAUUAAGAAAAAAAGGUUACCAAGAUUACAAAAAUUCUGGCUUUGAGAUUACUAUAAUCCAUUCCCAGUGUUUUAAUAUAAAUUAAUCUUUCAAUCUGAUCGUAACCUCAUUCUUAGAUUUUAGAUAUAGUCGCCCCCGAAAAGUGAACACUUUCGCAACUUCUUGAAAUCUCAGACGUAGACGUUUGCGUCGCAUUUGUGAUCUUGGAAAUUACAGCAUCUCUGAUACAACUAUUAUCUUAAUAUUAAUACAUAUUUAUAAUAGAAAAAAUUGCAAAAACCUCCCCUGAAGUUUCGGACACUAGCACUCACCUCUUAUAUAGUUUAAGAAAUAGCACUGACCUUCUUUGAACUUACUAAUUCUGAUGCAUAUUCAACCCAAGCUAGAAAAAAGUGCCAUUAAAAUAUUGUUUUAAGAAAUGAGAUCAGAAAGUUGUGCCAAUGUGCUCUUUGUGCUGCAUGCCAAAUAAUAUUGGCAAAGGAAUGACAAAAUACCACAAAGCAAUUAACAAUUAAUAAAUUUCAGGGGGUAUAAGUGCAAAUCCUUUUACUUCACAUAAAACAACUAAAGUAUCAUGAACUAAGUAACGGCUAGAUUUGCAAGUUAUUGCAACAGCUUAUGAAGAAUGAACUUGACACGUAAAACUCUCUAUUAGCAAUGUGUGUGGUUGUUUGUGAGGGUAAGAUAGCUACUUUGAUUGAGUUUAGAUUGGCAGUUUGAGGUGAAGUGUUGCAGCAAAGAGAAUGGCUUCUUCAAGCCAUAGGGAAGGAUCAUAAAACUCCCCAACAUCUUUCACAAUUAAGAACAAAUAUUGCAGCUAUUGUCGAAAGGCAACAUUGAAGAUUUUUUAGAGUGAAAACAACCCCAACUUAUAUUUUUGUUAUGCAACAUGGUAGAACUAACAGGUAGUUUAAUUAGUUACUUAAUUUGUUGACAAGAAACAUGUUUCUUUUGCAAAAUUCGUUCAUUAGGUUUCUCCAAAUAAUUAGGAUAUAAAGGCAAAUUCCCAUAAUCUUUUGUCAGCAAUAGGCCCCAAUUUCCUCUUAGGGCAGCCUUGUGUUAUUUCUUAAACCACAGGGGAGGUAAGUGCUAGUAUCAAAAACCUCCUCAGGGGAGGUUUCUGCAAUUAUCCCUUUAUAAUGUUGAUACAGCAGAUUAGCACUGCUCAGCUGUUACCAUUCAAAAGUUCAAACUACUACAACACAUUCGACUUUAAGCUGUUUUUGUGAAACUCGAAUUUAUGUUUGCUGUUGAUGGCUUGAUGUGGACUGAUUUCUCAAAUGGAAACCGCGGAAAUUCUUAUCAUGGAUUUAAUGUAGAAAUUCAACGUAUUUAACGUUAUCUGAAGUAAAAUGUUAAAGAAUUUAGUGGGAUAAGCUCUUAGGGAAAGUCUUUCAUUUUUCUUUUUUUUUUUUGGGAAAAGGGGGAGGGGGGGGGGGAUAACAAAUUUAGACAGUAAUGUUUUCCUAGAAGAUAAAAUAAAUGAUAGUAAAUCGCCAGCUUAUAUAACCCCAAGUGUAUUAAUUGUGGCCUCCAAGUUUAGGAUUCUCCUCUUCUUUUUUUUUUUGUUUAUUCUUUUCCUAGGAAGGAACCUCAAAUUUCGUGUUAUUGAGUUUGGAUUAUCCUUCUCUGUUUUUUUGACCUUUUCAGGUGAACAAAUUCAGACGUACGUAUAUCAAUCGGGUCGGCAAAACAACAAAAUUCGCGGCCGAAUAAAUUCAAGAGAGACAAGAAAAAGUACCAAUUCAGAGGAAGGACCCAUAACCGCCUUCGGUAUCCUUAUAUUCAUGUAAAAAUUUGUUCUUUAUUUUUUUCUGAAAUAAGUGCAAGUAAUAAAUGAUUUCUCUGAUGUCAUCUAGUAUUGAAAAUGUGAAAAAUUCCAAUAAUGACUUAGGAACAUGAACAACUACUUUGAAUAGAAUAACGGAGGAAUAUUUACAAAAAAAAUAAAAAUAAAAAAUUAUUGCAUUAACCAUAUUACCUUGCACUUCUCAUAUUUGUGUGAAAAUAGAAGUAGACUUUUUUUUUCUUUAUGAGAUAGAGGGAAUAGACCAGUUCGUUGUUUUACCUUUGUAUGUAUAUUUAAGCUGGAUUUACGUGCUUUUUUUGUCCAUUAAAUAAUGAGUACCCCUUUCAACAUCAAAGGCAACCAAUUUUUUAUGCACUUUUAUUGUAGGCAUAAAAUCUUAGUUAAGGGGCAUCAAAUUUUUUUACCAACUUGACUCAACAAUCAUUGGUGUUAUAUUACUUGUUUCCACCAAUUUUAUGCCCUGUGACAAUAUAUAGCAAUUGAAAUAGAUAAUUGGUUUAGUGGAAACUGAAAAUUGAGGCUCUUGUUUUGCAUUCGAUUACUGUGAUACAGACUAGGACCAAAUUUAAUUUCUUUAUUUUUUUUUCUUUUUCCGACUGAACUGAAUUUCGCAAAUAAUUUAUGGACCAGCCUUCAUAUCUUUUCUACGCGGGAUGCAGUAUUGAAAGAAUAGAUUUUGUGUGUGUGUGUGCAUUUUUUCUAAGAUUUUUAAAAUUAUAGGUGUCGUUUUGUCAACAUUUUGUGUCUGCUACUAAUGCUGUGUAUCGUGGUGCUGUUGGAUCAAUGGAUUGAGUGAUGAAAUAGCUUGGAGGAGCGGUUAUGCAAAGUCCAAAUCUUUUUCCAAAUUUGCUUAGUAAGCUGUCCCUAGCUGUGAUUGUUCAAGAUGUUUGCCAUGCAGUGCACAAUUGGAGAAAAAUGGUUAAGGACAAGAAAAAGUGGGAGCUAAGCCUCAAUUGGGCAUUUGAUCAAUCUAGUUUUUACUCUAGAUCUGGAGAAAAGUGGCUAAGGCAAAGAAAAAUAGGGAGCUAAGCCUCAGUUGGAGAUUUGAUCAUUCCAUUUUUUUUCACUCUAGAUCUGUAACAUGCACAAAAUUCUGGUUUUCUGAUGAAAUAAAAUUUUGAGCUUUUAGAAAAAAAAAUUCCAUCUCUUUAUAAAUGUCUUUGAAUAACUUGUUUCAGCUGUUUAUGAUGAGUUACCACGACCGACUUGGAUCCCCGCAAUGCAACCUAGUUAAUAAAUUUGACAAUCGAGGUCGUUCUAGAUUCUAGUCGAGUUCGAAUUGAACUCAGUCAUUAAUUUAAAAUUCAACUAAAUUGUCAAUACGCGUUUGACUAGGUCGAGGUUAAUAAAUUUUACGGUCGAGAACGUUCUAAUCGAGUUCGAAUUGAUCUCGACCAUUAAUUUAAAAUUCAAAUGAAUUGUCAAUUCAUACUUGACUAGGUCGAAAGUCCUUUGUGGUCGCGCUCGGAACUUCAAAGGAUCCAGCUGGACAUGCCACACCAGUCGCAUAAAGAAGAAAAAGCUAAAAAAAUCUUAAAUUAACCGUCCAUUGUUUCUCUAUUAUUAGAAUACUUAUAGUUUCUAUGGAGAAUUUUGAACGAUAUUUUUAUUAGCUUUUACCGCUGUUAGAUACGUGAAUUAGGCCUUGGAAUGUGCUUGCUCCUCUCCUGCUAAACUUUUACAACCCCAGAAAACGAAAAAAAAAAAAGUUUUUCAAGUGUUUGAAAGAAAUCUUUUUUCUGCGUCGAAACCAUCCAAAUUAUUUUAAAAGUAGGAAAAAGAAAAGCACUGCAUUAAUUGUGCUGACCCAUUUUUUGGUUUUUACUCCCCGGAACUUAGGCGUAUCUAAUGUUUCGUGCCGGAUCCAACAGAGAUGAACAACCGUUACGAGCUCUAAUGACAUAGAUUUUUCGAUCUGUUUUGAUGUUAAAUUUCAAUCUAAACCUUAAAAGUUAAAAUGCAGAAAUUUGCUCGGCCAAUCUGAUUAAUCUUUUGGCAUCAAAUUCGAUAAAUUUAAACUGCUCCCUGAUAAAGUUUCAGAGAGUUAUCUUUCUUUCUAAACUGUAAAGGGAUACAACUAGUAUAGAUGCAAUAACCCCAACAACAUGGUGACUGGUACGCAAUCGAUAUAUAAAGAGAAAUUUCAGACAAUAUUUGUUCUCUUUAUAAGUUUGCAAAAUCUUGAAGUUGUCAGCCAAUUUCUAUGCUUGGGGGCUACCCUGAACGCUAGCCUUGAUCCUCUGAAUGGUAGGGAUAUCAGUUUUGAAUGACCAAGCCAAGAUUCUGUCCUCAAUAUCGGUUUGGAACAAAUUGGAAGGAAUGGACACAAGGCCAGGAUUUGCACUUCCAAAGGCAGAAACAGAAAUGGCAGGAACAUCAGGUGCAUAAUUGAACUGAUAAUGCACGAGUCCCUUAGGAAACACAUACAUGUCACCAGCAUUUAGUGUUUGAUUGAAGAGCUUAUUUGUUGAAUCUAUAAAUCCCACUUCCAAAUAGCCAGAAAUGAGCAGAAGGAGCUCGGUCGCGCGCGGAUGGCUGUGUGGAGGGUUGACAGCACCUCCAGGCAUUCGCAAGACGGCUAAGGAAACACCUUGGCCAUCCAGGGCAGGGAAGCUAGUUUUGUCAGCAAAGAGAAAAUUCAGGGCCGUCGGUGGCUGUGCUCCUACAAGUGAUCUUGCAGCAGUAUACGUGAAAAAUGUAGCAUCCACAUUUGAUACAUUUGGUGGAAGAUUAAAAUCUGUCAAGAUAUCAGCAUCACUAGCCAUUGCCAUUGGAGGAAAAAUGGCAAGCAAAUUGAGCAUCAGUGUUAAGAAUAAGUUGGUAGAUGGCCUUAGGGCCAUGAUGGCAGAAAAGGAUUGUUUGACUUGAUGAAAUAAGUUGAGCAUAGUAUAGACUAUAGAGAUUGGGUGCCCGGCUUUAUUUAUAGUACUUGGGUAACAGGAAAUCAUUUAAAAAUGAAGAAAAAAAAACAUCUUUACAGGUAAAUUCCAAUUUGUAUUCAGACUAUGUUGUUAUUAUUGCAACGAUUAAUAAUGUCAAUAGAGUGGUUUCUGACAGAUAUUUAAAUAUUUUCCAUUUUUGACAGGGGUUUGACAUUUUCUUUAUUUUUUUUUUUAAAAAAUUAUUUUAAAGAGGUGGGAAGUUUGACAUUGAUUUGCAAAAGGAAGUUUGACACUCUAAUGCUGUUCUUAGCAAUGUCGUUAAACUCGGACCGAGUAGCGAUUCGGCUAAACUAUUGGGUCGGGGGUCAACUGGUUCGAUCGGUCGGACCGUUCUCAAAAAUUCGCUGACGUCAGCAUGAUAUUAUAAUUAUUAUAUAUUUUUUUAAGUUUUAGAAAUAUUGAAAUUAAGUUCUUGGUUAUAUUUGGCCAAUCAUGAAAAAUGUUCCAAAAAUAUUAGACUUGCAAUCAAAUAUACACCUAACAAUUAUAUAUAAAAAUGUAAAUUCAUGGUUAAAAUAUGUCCAUUCUCCAAAAUUACUUGAAAAAACUAAAUUAAAACAAAUUAAUGCAAGUUGGAAUCACUGAUGCUAAAUUAAUAAGAUCAUAAUGAUGAAAACAUUUUGAUUUAAAGAUUAUUUAGAAAAGCGAGUGAUUUUGAUAUUUACACUAAAUGGAUGACGUUUUCUUAUUUCUAUUAAUAAAUGAAAGUGUACAAUUUAGAUAAUUCAAAUUAUGUUUGGGGAAAAGAAGAAAGAAAUUUUUGAGAACCAGGUUAACAAAUUGAAUUGGGUCACUAAUUAAGCCGAUUUUUUAUGGUUUUAAUUGAUUUUUUACAAAAGUGGUUUUAUACUACAUACUAGUUCGAAAGAAGGCCGGUUCACGAUCAGAUUGGUCUAACAAAUUGAAUCGGGUCACUAAUUAAGCCGAUUUUUUAUGGUUUUAAUUGAUUUUUUACAAAAGUGGUUUUAUACUACAUACUAGUUCGAAAGAAGGCCGGUUCACGAUCAGAUUGGUCUAACAAAUUGAAUCGAGUCACUAAUUAAGCCGGUUUUUUAUGGUUUUAAUUGAUUUUUUACAAAAGCGAUUUUAUACUACAUACUAGUUCGAAAGAAGGCCGGUUCACGAUUAGAUUGAUCGAACCGGUCGAUCCAAUUCGGGUCUAACAACAUUGGUUCUUAGUGCUUGCAUGCUACAUGGUUAAUGGAAGAUGUUAGAGAUUUUGCACUCAAGACUUCAGAAAAUUGUCAAAAGCUUCAUUUGGAAACUAGUAAAUCACUUUCUUGAUGUUGGACCGGGAAUUUUACAAUUUUGGCGUUUGACUAUGACAAAUAAUUGGUCUAUCCCUUAUUAUUGUAUCUUUUUUAUAAGUGGAAGAUUUUUAAUUCAAAAUCUUUUAUUUACAAUCUCUCGUACUUUACUAUCUAAUCCAACUAUCCCUUUAUUACUGUAGUUACUAACUGUUUGCUCGGUAAACAAGUAUUAAACCGGAGUAGUUUCGAGCUUACUACACUUUACCUUCACCUGGUACUGGAUUCUUUUGUAAAAAGAUUUCUAAGCACGAGUAGUUUUAUUUAUUUACAAAUGGAUUUCUUAGUGGGAAAAGAUCUAUACACGUAUAGUAUGAUUUGUUUUAAAGAUUUUUUAACCGAAUGCCUCGGAGACAUUUGGCAAGACAUUUAAAUUACACUUAACAUGGUACCAUAUGAAUGCAUAUAAUCACAUUUAUUGGUUCUGCCACACUUAGAUAUAUUUCCAAAUUAGUUUCACUAUUACCAAUUGAGUGCCUCGAGGGCACUCAUUAUUUUUCCAAAUUAGUUUCAUUCUUAGAGGGCACUCAUUAACCAAAUGCUUAUUUUAACAUGGAUUUUUUCUAGUAGUUGCCGUUGGAGCACUUAUUAACCUACUUAACAUUCACCAAACCUAUAAUAUAUAUACACAUACUAACAAUUAUUACCAUUCCUUACAUUUAUAUACUUUCUUAUUUAUUCUUACCUACUCUCCCUUGUAUUUAUUUACUUUCCCUAAUUAAUAUUACAUUUAAAAAAGAUGACACCUGAAAUAUAUUUUAAUUUAAUCUCACCUACCCUCUCUUGUAUUAAUUUACUUUCCCUAAUUAAUAUUACAUUUUAAAAAAUAUGACACAUGAAAUAUAUCUUAACGGUUGCCCAUAGGGUUAGAUAGACCCUUUAACAUAAGCGAUAUUUACAUUCCAAAAAUACUAACUCGUAGCAUUCUGCUUUAGCAUUUCUUUUGCGUUCACAAGAUGAAAUGCAAAGAUUUAUUUUAAAGUGCAAAUAUUAUUUACCUAUUUUAUUCUUGUAUAACUGAUACUAAUAUCACAAGUCCUAGUCAAAAUGUUCUAUAUAUACUAGCAAUUGGGGUGGGUUGGGCGGGUUGAUAUUGAAUUUUCAUGUAAAUAGUUUAUACCCAACCCGUUCAACUUUAGAAUAGAUUGAUUUUGGACUGUGUCAUCUCAAAUUCAUGACUCAAAUAUGACCCAACUACAUUGUGAUACAUAAACACUCUUAUACAUUUACACAUAUGAAAAGAUUUUUUUCCACAUACAUAAAUAAUUUUCACACACUAACACACUUUCACAUACACAAACCCACACUCACUUUUUAAACUCCUUGGAAGCACAUCAUAAAUAGAAUAAUAUUUUAUAUUGCUUGUAUUGUGAAUUUUAGACAAUAAAUUGUACAUUAAAUAGAUUAACUAAAAAAAAUUGUUUACUUUAUACUUUUUAAUACCACUAAUUGAUUGAAAUUUAUUUUUGUCACAACUUAUUUAACACUUUUACUAUUCAUAUAUGCUCUAUUGUAAGUUGUAAUAUUAUGUGUAUUUAAAUUAUUGAAUGCUAGAUUAUAUUAUGCUCGAAAAUGUAAUUAAGAGACGUAUAAUUUGUUGUAUUAUAAUAUUAAUGAGGAAUUAUUAGCAAUAAAAUAAAACAAGUUAGAGAAAAGUAAAAGAAUGCAAUUAAAAUAAAUUUAAAAUUCUAUUCUAGGUAUACAAAAUAUUAACGGAUAGAAGUAAGUAGCAAUUGGAGAACAACAAUAAAAAAAAAAGAGGAUAAAAGGGAGGGAGGAAAACAACAUACUCUUAAAAGGCAUAAUAAAUUAUUAUAAAUGUUGAGCAAGUUUAACUAUUAUUGUAAAGGUAAAAUAAGCAUGAGUUUUUAUUGCAAGUUUCUUUUUUCUUUUAAAUAAAAUUUUGAUUGAAAAACUAUAUAUGAGAAUUUUGAAUACAAAUUGGUCAAUAAAUUGUUAACACAUAUCUAAAUAUAAGUGGUCGGACAAAUGUGUAUUGAAUCUUGUGUUUAUUGUUUUGAAUUAUUUUUAAACAAGUUGAAUAUUGGGUGCUCAAAUAAAUAAUCAAAUCCACCUAGUAAAUAAGUUGACUUGUUUUUAUCCAAUCCAACAAAAUCUAUAAUCCAACUGAGCCAAUCUAUCCUUUAAAAUUAAUGGACAAGUUGGAUGGGUUAUUGGAUUUUGGACUUUUUUUACAACUCUAGGUGUUGUUUCAAAAAUAAAUAAAUAAAUAAAAAGAGAGAGUAUAUACCCUAUAGCGUGCGGACUUUGGAGUCCCCUUCCUACGCGAGCUACAAGAGACCCGAUCCGGUACUCGUGUUUGGAGCGGUUCAUUUUAGUAGAGUUUGAGUAUUAUUCAGUUCAGUAGUAUCGUAUUUCCUUCACUGGUUUGAGAAAAAGAAGAAGCCACGGUAGAAACGGUGUCGCUUUAAGGGAUAUUGGAGUCUGUAGCUGAGAAAGGAGAGAGAAAGAGAGAGCAGGCCAUGGCGUCAAAUGCAGCGGUGCCGUUCUGGAGGGCAGCCGGGAUGACAUACAUCACCUAUUCGAAUUUGUGCGCGAAUUUGGUCAGGAAUUGCCUCAAGGAGCCCCGUAGGACCGAAGCUCUGUCUCGAGAGAAGGUCCAUUUCUCAGUUUCCAAAUGGGUGGAUGGCAAGCCUGAGAAGCCCAGUAAUUUUUCCAAUCCCAUGGCUCUUUUUUCAUUUUUGUCUCUUUUUCAGUUAUUAAUUUCACAGGAUGCUUUGGAUCUAGGGUUUCCUGUGCGGGUCGAUGUUGGUUAUUUUUCGUUGAAUCAAAUGUUACUGUGGUCCGUAUCUGUUAUUUUCGUUUUUAUUUUGGUUCUUUUUGGGGUCAAGUUUGAUAAUUUAGUGGGUUUUUGGUAUAAUUAGAUAAUUUAAUGGAUGAUAGGUGGGUUUUUUGGGAUAAUUGGAGACGGGCUUUUAAAUUUAGGGGUUUUUUUAAGGUUUUCUUCGCGGAUAAGGAUGUUGAUUCUGGUGAUAAUAUGCUGAGUCACCCCCAUUUUGGAAAUUCAAGCUCACCUUGUAGCAAUUGCAGGGCAUAAGCGACUGUGAGAUUUGUUCUAGUUUGUUUUUAAAUUGGUCUAAUUGCACAAAGGUGCGAACUUUACAUGAGAAUUUGAUUCUAGCUUGUGUUUGAUUGGUCUAAUUGAGAACAACUCACACUUGAUAUGUAUGCAUUGUUCUAAACACUAGUAGGAUUACUGGUCAGCAUGAUGCUUUAAGCAAAUGAAAUACAGAUCAUAAGAGCUUCUCUCUUCUUAUUUUAAGUGUUUAGCAUUUUUUUUUUAUCUUUAAGCUAUAUGUGAAGAGCAAGAAAGAAGUUGAAACGAUGUCUUUUUUGUGGUCCUUGUGCCAGAAUCAUGCAUCUUGAGACGUACAACUGAAAGGCUGGACGACUUUGUGGCUCCUUGGCAAUCCUAGGAUGCAUAAUCUUGUCUCCAUAUGUUUGAAUUUCAGAUUAUCAACAUUCUUUUUCAACUGUAGCAAGUUCCUAUUCCUGAUUUUCGAUAUUUUUAAGGCUUGACGAAACUUACAUUUAUUUCUGGUUCAUGAUGUCACUUCGUAUAAUCCAUAACACUCUUGCACAAGUAGUUUAUACUUGAUGAAGGAUUUGAAUGCUAGGUGUUAUGUGGUAUGCCAGCAGUGUGUGUUUUGUGUGAUGAUUGGACAUUCCUUUUGGUUCAGCUGCAAUGAAUUCAUUGCAUUGCAAUUAUUGAUGUCAUUGUGCAUUUAAGUCGCCAUUAUCUUUUCAGUCUUAUGUUUCUCUUUACAGGACAUAAUUCUUCCGUUGCCUAACUCAAUUAUUCAUUUGUCUAUCAGCCAUCCGCUCGGAUACUCCGGAAGAAUGACCUUGAAGUUGCAGUACCAACCAAGUCUUCGAUGAAAACAUUUUUGCUGGAAAUUUGUUGUUUAACUUGUCACUUGGAUCUUUAUUUCUGGGUCUAUGGUGACCUUGGAUUUAGAAUGUUUGUUUAAUGGGCUUUGCAUGAAGAUGGCUUUGCAUGAAGAUUGCCCCAUAAUAAUCUUUCUGCUAUGACUUGAUCUUAUGUGGUGCUGGUGUUUUAAUGGAACGCAUAUUGUCAAUGUUGAUGACUUCUGAAACUCUUUCCUUUUAGGAAUUCUGUGUUUUCCUUAUUGUCAUGAUGGUUUUUGGGCUGUUUUCUGUGAACAUGAAAGCAGCCUUUAAUUCCCCCCCUCCACCCCUUUCCACCCCAACUAUCAAGCACAGGAAUUGGACCCUGAACCUGGCAGUGGAGGAAGGCUCUUACAGCCCUUAAUAGUUAUUCGCAAGUUUCUCCUCCUUUCAGUGAUGGUUGUUGCUGAAAUGGAUUGUCUUCUUCUCCUAUUGUUCCCUUUGUGUUAAUGACUAGUGAUCUUUUUAUUCUUUUUUGGGAUUGUCCAUUUUCUUCUUUGGUCAUGAUGGUGUGAGGCUGUGGGCUGUGAUUAUGUGACAUAAAAGCUGCCCUUAAUGGUUGCUUGCCAGUUUCUCCAGUGAUGUUUGUUGCUGAAAUUGGAUUUGUCUGCUUCUCCUGUUGCCCCCCUUGUGUUAAAUUUGCGUCCCAAUUGCUGGGUUGAAAAGACGGGGAGACAGACAUUUGAUUGUUGAAUAUAUUCUGUUCUAUAGAUAGUGAUUUAAUCAUCAUCUUUUGAUCAGUUUCAUUGACAUUUUUACUCCUUCGCCUUUGGGUAGAUGUGCUACUUGUAUCAUUCUAUUCUCGGGGCCAGUAUUCUGUAUGCGGCAGUGGGUGGACGCUGUGUCUGUGUGUGUUAAUCCUCGUAACUCAUAUAUAGAACUUUAAUGAACGAAUGGAAUGUGUUCGUCCUAGCUGCGUAAAUUCCUAUAAAUUUGGUUAAAAGUGAUGGAACAAAAUGCAUUUUACUCGUAGAGUUAUGCUACUAGUAUAUGUUUGUCGUACUUUGGAAGGUUAUGACCUCCAAACGGCAGAGUGAAAGAAUUUCCUUUGUUUCGAGACACCCCCAUAAUCCGUUGAUUCCAUGUUGCAGCUUCUUGUCAAAAUACUAACAGGCUGAAGUACAGUCCUUGUCAGAGGCAGAUCUCGAAUUCUUCAAUCCAUUGAUUCCAUUCUUUGUUGCAACUUCUUGUCAAAAUAUUGAGACUGAAUUACUGUCCUUGUCCAAGGCAGAUGUCGCCUCACAUUUACCCGGAUGAGCUUGACACUCGCCAGAUGGACAACCCCUAAAUUUCCUCAUCUUCUUAAGAAACUACCAUUUGACCAUAUGCAGUAGAAAAGCGCUUUUUAAAGCAUACCUGAUCAACUUGCCCUAAAGAAUAUGCUCCUGCAUAUGAUUUACCCGAGUGUAAUGAGUUAUGAUUUAUAAAACCUUAAACUUCAAAAUUUUGCAACCUAACAGGGUGGUAAUUGAGCAUCCCUUUUGCUUUUAAAGGCCAAAAGUGAGUUCCUAAUGAGGCCAAGGCAUAAAUAAGUAAAUUUGGUUUUUUUUAUUUCACUUAGCUUUUCCUUCAAGGGAGCAGAAUGCUCUACUUAGUUUUGCAUGACUUGAGCUUCCUUGAUUUUGUGUUUGUGAAAACUGAGCACAUUGGAAGCUCCAAGAGAUUAAAUCCUAAGCCUCUAACCAUACAGAUGGACAUUAUUGAAAGUUCUUCUUGCUUUGUCAUCUAAAAGAUGGAAUACGUGGCUAAAGAAUGGGUGUAGGAGCAAUCCAUGCAAUAUUUGAUCAGAAAAUUUUUUAUCCCCUAUGGAUGUGCUACCAGAAAAGCUACACAAAACAAGAAAAAGAUAAAUGGUACGGGUACCCAAUUUUCAGAUUGAAAUUUGGAGGACACGGAGUCCUUAAAUGUAUAAAUUAAGACAUGGAGGUGGAAAAUAUGCAAGUUUCCAGAAUCUGAGCUUCAGUGCUGCAAGCAUUGUUAACUAACCUCGAAACAUACACAUCGUUAUUUGACUAGACUAAACUACCUAAAAACACAAAAAAAAAAGGGGGGAAUUCAGUAGUGUUUGGAUUGUAAGUUAUUUGAAAUAUUUUUACUGUAGCACUUUUUGUGAUGUGAUGUAUGUGAGAUAAAAAAGUAAUUGAGAAGAUAAAAAGGUGUAUUGAAAAUUGUAAUGGUGAUGUCAGCAAAUAUAUUUGGCCAAAUAAUUGGCUGUCCAAACACAAACUACAGAGAGUCCAAACUCAAGCAUUAGAUGGGGCGAAAAAGGCAGAGUAUAAUAUCAUAUGCACCCAAGGAAGAAGAGCCCUUUGGAUAUUCUUUCAUCUCUUCUUUUGGCAAUUGAAAGCCUUGGCUGUUUUCGCUUUCAUGUGGUGGUGUAAUACAUUUAUCUGUAGAAAAUUUCGCUAUAAUGGUCAUGUUUUAUCAUUUCCUGAAAAGCUGAGGCACAGUAAGAGUGUCACAUUUUUGUUUGUUUUUGAGUUUUGUGGUUAUAUAUGCCAUCUUUCUUCAUUUGUUUUAGACAAUAAAUUUUCAACUUUAUUAAUAAAGUUUCUUUAUUUCUUUUGUGGUUAUGCCUAUCUUGUUUGUUCUUGGGUAUUAAUAAAUUCUUACUUACCAAAAAAAAAAAAAGUUUGCAUUCACUCAUGCCAACUACUCACCAUUUCUUUUGAUUUCUGUUGUAAUAGAAAAUUGCUUCAUUUAUCAAAACUAAACACUGUUCAAAAUGAAAGAUAAGUUCAACUUGGACACAUGAAAAAAUCUUCAAGAUUUUGGAAGCUUAAUGCAUAUAAUGAAUAUAUAAGUUUCAUUUUAAAUUCAUUUUUGGGUUUAUUUUAUAAAGAAAUUGUACAAUGUCUUAUUUCCCAUGCAGGAAGGAAAAGGAGAAAAUUCGAAAUGGUCCACACGAAAAUUGGUUGCCGGUCCUAUGCUGCUACUUUUCCAGGCUUACCCGGGCCGGCCGUUUGGUUUCUCUCUAUUAAUUCUUUCAAAUUAUUUGACGACUCUAUUUCAUUGGCUUUCUACAUUACUAGAAGCUACAUCACUUCUUCUGCAUUGAAGAAGCAACCUAUGCCAUAUAUCUUUCUCCAUUCUUCACAUCUAUGAUAUAUAGAUAGGGUGUCUUCAAUUCAACUAAGGUAGCUGGCCAUAGGGUGGCUAUGAAUUUAAAGUUGGACAUACUACUGAUUUGACCAAGCUAAAUAAGAAGGAAUUAGGACAGGCUAGGGUUCAAAGCAAACUUGUAGUAAUAGAUAACAAUAAGAAUAACAAGAAAAAUACUCCCUUUCGUCUCAAAUUAUUUGUCGCAUUUCGGAUUUCAAAUUUUUAAGAAUAGUAACCUGAUAGCGAUGUUAGUGAACUUAUUUUUCAAGUCGCCCUCUGAAAUAUAAAUAAAGAUGGGGAUAACAUUAAUUGAAAAUAAAGAUAAAAAGUAACUUUAAUUUUAGUAAGAUGACAAAUAUUUUUGAAUAUUUCAAAAUAUAUUAAUGUAUGAUACUUUCAGUGGAUAGAAGGAGUAGAUUAUUCUUCGUCCUGCUCAGUUCUGCAAUGAUCCAAACAGUUGGGAAUGGAUGAUUUGGAGAGAAAAGAAGGGGAAAGAAGAGAAAGUGAGCAUUUCCUUCGUUUGUUAGUUUUUAUUAGGAAAGAAAAGAAGAGAAAUUGAAGGAUUUAAAAGGAUAAAUAGUAAGUAAAAGUUUUCCUCCCAAAUUGGAGAGAAAUGGAGAGAAAGUUGGAGGAAGCUUAUAAAAGUUCUUUAAAUUAAAUACCUAUUUUAUCCUUAAAAAUGUCUUGAACAAAUAUUUAAUGACUUUUAUAUCCAAAAUUAUUUCACUAGUUCUCAAAACUCCCAAACAACACAACAAUCCCUUCUCUUCUCUCAUAACUUAAGUUUUCCCUUCUUCUCUUUUCUAUCCAAAACUCCCAAACUUAGCGUUAGUGUAGGAGCUAGGGUAAAGUGAGAAAUGGUUCUGCCCUUUAUUGAACCUUGACAAUGGAAGCUCUACUACAUUUUUUCUCCCAUAGUUUUUUCUCAAAGGCCACUUAAUGGUUUAGCUACUACUAGUGAUUUUUAAAUGUUGUUCUCAGUUUGAGCUUCAAUUGAAAAAAAAAAAAAAAGAUAAUUAAACUAUUUGGCUUGUUUAUGCUGGAUUAAUUGUUUGACUACGACUGUGAAGACGAAAAUCAAAUUAAUGCUGAUGUUGUUGUUUUUCUAAAAGCUCGGCCUACGCGGGAGUCUCCAACAAUUUUAGACUUGUAGCAAUGCUAAAAGCUAUAGACUUUGAAUACUAAUUUGUUGGAAUUCAAAGUAUGAACUAAGAAACAACAUUUAUCCUAUAAAAAAAUAGGUCAUCUUUUUAUUCAUCAAUUUUCCUUUUAUAGAGGUAGAAUAACAAACCAAUCACAAAUAUUUCCCGACAAAUCUCAACAAAAAAAAAUACUUGUUAACAACUCAACAUCAUCAUCUGAUAAAUCUCCUAAACAAUUUCAACAAAAUUUUGAAAAUUCCUACAAAUGAGAAAUAACCAAAUACUGAAAAUGUAGAAAAACUCCUAAUAACUAGAGAUUUAUUCAACAAGUACUUUAUUUAUUCUAGUGCUAGAAAAUUCAGAAAAAAAUUUGUAGAGAAGUUGCAUAUUCUAACAAUAUUCCUCUUUGUUACUUAUAUUGCAGAUUUUCAAUUGUCUUAUCAAACUCUCAAAUCUUGUUUUGGACAAGACUUUUGGAAAAUAUCUGCAACCUGAAAAACUCUCAAUUAGCCUUGCAACAAGCUUUUUCUUUCGACUUUUUGUACAAGCUGAUGAUUAGCUUUACACCAAAAUACUUCUGUUGGCAUCAAACUCCAAAAUAAAAGAUGGUUUCUUUGACGUAUCUAAAUAACAUUUUCAUAAGUUCAAAGUGGAAUAUCCUUUUAUAAUAUUUGAAUCUAAACAGAAAAUGUAAAACACAUAAAUAAUUAUUAUGAAAUUCCCAAAAUUUCCGCAUGGCUCUUCAUAAACCUUGUUAUCAUCGUCAUCUUUACACUUUUCUUCAAUUGUCACAAUAUAGUCUAAAUUCUUUGAGGAUUUUUCAAUACCUGUAGAUAAAAAAAAUCACAAUUAUAUUCUUGAUAAAUAUUAGGAAUUAGUUUGAUACCUUUGGACUUAUCAAUAAUCACCUCCUAAAUUUUUCAAGAUCUAAAUUCUCAAUUUCAACAUACUCCACUUUAGAAUUGUCAAAAUCCAGCCAAUUCAAAGUGAAAUUUCUUUCUUUUAUAUUAAUUAAGAACAAUUCAUUCUCAACCAAAUCAUAAAUAACAUAAGCCAUUAUUCUUGUGAAAAUGAUAUCAAAAAAUGAUGUAUGAAUGCCGGCCUUCAAUUUUUGUCUAACUGCAACUCCAUGAUCUCUAAUUUGUGUAUCUAUCGGACCUUCAAAUAGUGCUAGAACGUAAUUCCUCUUUAGCAGAUCCCAAAGAUCAUUGAUUACCAUAUAGUUUCAAAAUUUUAUGACCCAAAUUUGGCAAAUUUCACUACUAAGUUAGAGCAUUAGACACAAAAAUUUCUCCCACCAUUUUGGUUUUAACUAUAAAAGAUCCGCACCAUAUAUGCCCUUCACAAAAUAUCACGAACCUUUAAGAUAAAGGCUCUUAAUACCGCUUUGAAGAUUUUGACUACCAAUUUGUUGGAAUUUAGGGCAUAAACUAAGAAACAACACUUCAACUGUUAAUGCUACAAAAAAUUGGCUAUCUUUUUCAUUCACCAACUUUCUCUUCUAUAGAGGUAAAGUAGCAAACCAACCACAGAUAUCUCCUAGCAAAUUUCAACCAAAACAUAUUUGUGAAAUUUUGAAAAUUUCGACAAACUAAAAAUAACCAAAUACUAAAAAUGUGGAAUGACUCCGAACAACUAGACUUAUUCGACAAUUAUUUUAUUUAUCCUAGUGCUACAAAAUUUAGAAAAAUCUGUAGAGAAGUCACAAAUUCUAGCCCUGAAAUUGUGCAGAAGGUGUAUAGGCUUGCUGGAAACCUAGAUUUAGCUACAAUACAAUUUUAGAGGAAAUGGAAAUGUCAGUCAAGCUGUGAAAAUUAAUCUGGCAUACGGGCUUGCUAGAAACCUAGUUUUAGCUGUAGCACAAUUUUAGAGGAAAUGGAAAUCUCAGUCAAGCAGUGAACAUUAAUUCCACCAUAGGGCAGUCUGCGCUUAUGGACUUAUAAAUUGAUGGCCAAGUGUUGUUGUGUCCCUGUAAGUGCAACCCAUAUCAACUUGCUAAUACCAUCACUUGUAACCUGCUCACAAUGGUCUCGUUUUCAUUCAAGUUUACUCUGCUAAGCCUUCUGGCUAUCUUCGCCAAUUCUUGGAUGGCCAUAGCACGAGAUCCGGAUACUUUAACAGAUUUCAUAGUGCCAUCAAAUCUGACUGGAAGUAAGAUCACCGGUGACUUCUUUACCUACCAUCUUAACACAACUGGAAACGGAGGUCCAGACGCACGAGAAACCGAUGUCACAAUGGAUGAGUUCCCAGCUCUUAAUGGCCAAGGUGUUUCACUUGCUGUUUAUACUUUCCCUCCACGUAGCGCAUAUCCAACUCAUAUUCAUCCUCGUGCUUCUGAGCUAUUUCUUGUCACCAAAGGCAAGGUUGAGGUUGGUCUUGUGGAUACCGCUAACAAGCUCUACACAAAACCCCUUCAAGCUGGGGAUGUGUUUCUGUUCCCAAAGGGACUAGUACACUAUCAGUACAAUGCUCUUGCUGGAGCAUCAGCGUCAGCUGUUUCUUUCUUUGGUAGUGCCAGUCCUGGAGAAGUUUCACUUCCUACAACUUUGUUUGCAACUGGUAUUGAUGAUGCAAUUCUCGCAAAGAUAUUCAAGACUGAUGUUCCUACCAUUCAGAAACUCAAGAGUGGUCUUGCAACACCCAGGUUUUAGCUUAACUCGAUGCUGAAUUUGAUCCUUGCAGCCCCUUAGUACUAAAAUAUAGUAAAUAAAUUCCCAAUAUAAAUGUUGGGAUCCUGUCAUAUCUCAUAGGUCAGAUCCUAUGCGUAAGAAUUUGUCAUGAAUUUGACUACAACACGACUGUUUUUAAUCUCCCAAUAUGAAUGUCUCCAAUAUUUAUUAUUAAAGGUCUAAUGGUCCCAUAAUCAAGGAACCGAAGCAUUCGGGUUCAAUCAAGAACUCAAAAUAGACCCUCAAGAAAAGGUAAUAUAAACGCACUGCCGCUAGUUUAUGAUAAAAGCGCACGGUAUUAAAGGUUCCAAUGAGCUAGCUAAAGAAAAUGGUGGUCACCAAUGCAACUCUUGAUGUAUAUUUCCUUAAUCGGAUAUCUUGGAUGAAGCAAAACAAUUUAUAAACAAGUACAUACGAGGUUGCAUGCAUAUGCAAGCCAGAAAAGAAUGUCAGCAGCGUAUCUUUUUUGAACUGGGAUUACAUAAACGGUUACAUUCUAUUAUCUUACGCUACAAAAUGUUUUAUUUUCAAUGAACCCCCAAAUUUGGAACGUUCCAUGAAAGGCCAAUUUUAGGUAAAAUGGGGCCUUAUGCUGAUUUUGAUCAUUGAACGUGUUGCAGUAUAUAUUAGUAGCAAUAAUCCUAUUGACUGGGGAUUAUGGUCCCUCUUGUGCUGGUAAUCCUGCAAUUUCCUUGAGAGGUUUCCACAUGAACUUCCUCCUGCACCAUGUAUAGAUUAAUAAAUUAAUAGCGAAUAAAGAUUACAAACGUCCCUAUAAAACAUUGUGAUUUCUUUCUCUUUAAAGGAGAUUAAAGCCUUGCUUAAAAAAAAAAAUAUCUGGAGGUAUAAACAGAGCGAUUAAGGUGGAUUAGUUUACCAGUUUCCACAUUCUGCAAUCACUCUGACUCUAGGCCUCAAAGUAGGAAGUAAUGCAAGAAACUGCAGUUCAGCCUUUGACAAAACCUAGAAGAUCCAAGCCAAUUAAUAACUUUAACUGAAAAUUCAUCAAAUAAUUGGAGUCUUAACUAUCAAGAGCAAAAGAUUUUCUGUUCACCUUUGCUUCAAUUAUCCAAACCACAAGUCCUUUGGCAUUUGGUGGAAGUAACGAGAGCCUAUAAUCAACUUCUGGUGGGAAAUACCACCUAGCAAUUGGCUGCUUCCCUACAUGCGGCUGCAACAUUAUUGUAUUUCCAAGAAUUCCAAUUAUAUUAAAAUCUCAUCCACACUAAAUUAAAAUGUCAACAAUAAAAAAGAAAAAAGAAGAGGAAAUUGUAAACUAAAACAAGGGUCAAGACUAUAAGUUUUGCCCUUUUUGGGACUCAAGCUAACAAUACAUUUUCUUUUCAACCAAUCAGUGUUAAAUUAAAAAAGAAAAAAGGGCUUACCGGACAAACAGGGUGAAAUUUAGUGAGAGUGGUCUCAGGAUCACCAAGUCCACGAGCGGUGAGGUCCAAGAAAUAAUAGCCUUGAUAUCUUAGCCUGUUGAGGUAGCGACCCUCAUAGCCACCCUCAUGGGGAGAGUAGAUAGCUAAGGCUUUGUGCUCUUCAACAUCUGAUAACCAUUGGCCUAAAUCAAACUUGAGAAGAUCGCCUCCAAUGAAGUCCUCUAGACUAACAUUACAUGCAACAUUUGUCUUCCUACAGUGCCCUCCACCACCUCCAAUGCAUGUCUGCUUUCCGCUCAUAUUCAAUGUGCUUGUUGUCAUGCUGGGGAAAAUUAGCCUUUGUUGCUCAGGUGUGGAUGAAGGUAGCAGAAUUCCAUGGUAUGAGCAGACUGACCAUGCCAUUUUUGUACCGAAAUGUUUGCUAUGUACAAUAUGGAUGUGGCUGAGCGUACUCUAUUGUUGAAUUCAGAACUAUAUGGUGGAGAAUCAAGAUAAGGGACAUUUGAUUUUGGCACAAUUGGACAAUAUGUAAACUGAGCGUGUCGUGUCACUGGCACCGGUACCACAUUUUGCGUAGGAAUUUUAAUGUAAUUUAACAGUGCCCUUUAGAUGAGAUGAGGUGGAGUUUGUGGUACGCAAUUGUGGUGGCCUGCCAUUACAAUUUAGAACAGCAUGUAAAAUAGAUUUAUGCGUUAAUUUCGUUUUGGUCCUACGAGGUUCUACAGAAUAUCAUCUUGGCCCUCCAAAGUACUUAAAUAUCUUAAUUUGGUCGCUUCAAGAGUGAAAAAGUCUCAAUUUGGUCUUGCAAAGUACUCCCUCCAUCCCAAAAUUUUUGUCCCACUUUUCAUUUUAGAAUGUUCUAAGGCGUUUGUCAUGUGUAGAAAGUUAAAAACUUUUUUUGGUAUUUUUUUCCAGUAUUGUUCCUACUUUAAGUCAAAUGCAUGGUACAUUCAAAUUUAAAAUUUGAAAUUUAGGUAUAAGAUUGAAAAGAAAAAUCCAAACAUCACAAUCAAAAUACUGUUGAUAAAAAAUUAGACUCCCAAAGUGUAACCAAAAUUUUGAGACGGAGGGAGUAGCACAUAAUCUCAAUUUGCUCCUUUUAUGGAUGUCAAGGACGAAUUUUGGAUUACCGUUUCUUGAUCUCGAAGUAACAAGUUGAUGUUAAUUGAGUAAUAAAUUUUGUAAUUAAUAUCUGUAUGUUGAGCUUAUCCACUAGUCUUUUUAUUCUUCUUGUUGUGGUCCUUUAACGGGUUUUCCUUAAAUAAGAUAUUUAUUUUGAUGGAUUGAACCUAGAAAAAUAAUUGUAACUGCAAAAAGAGAACUCUAACAAAUUGUAGAAAUUGGUCGAAGAAAUGUUCGGCUAUAGUUUGUUUUGUGCCUGAGAAGAAAAAAUUUUCAAACCAUAAACUAUAGAAGUCGGUCGAAGGCUACAGUUGGCCAUAUUCUUAAUCUGAAAUGAAGAUUUAAUUUUGCAAAUUAUAUCUAAUUGUCCCACGAUACCACAGCAGAAGCUUUCAAAGGAAAUAAGUUGAAAAUGUAACAAAUGCAAACGUAAGUUAAGAGUUUAUUGCUGUUUGUAUUGGACAGAAACAUUGUUAAAGUACAUAAUUGAAAUACAUCAUCCAUCAAUUUUAAAAGGAGAAAAAAUCAUGAAUAUUACACAUUCUUGAAUGAAGAAACCAGAUGGAACAAUAUGAAAUUUAGAAAUGAAAAAAAAAACACAAAAUUUUGCAGGAAGUUUUUUUUUUUUGGAAAAACUUGUCGAUUUUGUCAUUUCGUAUUGACUGCCCUGCAUGACGUCCUAAUUUGUCCUUGACUACCUGUGAGGACUUGGACAGCACCCAAAUUAAUCAAGGCUUGACCAAACUUAGUGGAAAAAUCGACCCCCUUUGCUAUUGCAGUUACUAAGCCCCUGGUUGAUGGAUCCUGUGCCAAUUCUUGAUCAAUUUGAAGAACUCCUCUGUGCAACAUUAUUUGCUGAUAAUAAGAGUUGUCGACAAUUGACGAACUCAAAGGGUUCUGAUCAAGAUUAGCUGUGUUAUCAAUUGUUGCAUUCUGAGGACAUCUCGUUCUCAGGAAAAAUAAUAGCGAUGGGCUCAUGGUAUUAUCAGGUUGACCACUGUUUUGGAAAUUGUACAGACGAUCUUGGAAGAGGGAACAAUGAGCAACUCCCACAGUAUGGCCACCUUUAUAUAAACAAAAAAAAAAAAAAAUCAAUCAACCUUCUGAUACUUUCCAUUUCUAUUCUGAUCAACUUUUAGAUUUGUUGCUCGACUCCAUAUACAAAUUUUUUGGGGAUAAAUUUACACUCAUAAGCAGCUUGUGCAUUUUUUUAAGGGAUAGUGUCAAAUUGCUACUAUGUUAGUAAAGAAGGUCUUGUUACUAAUUAGUAAUAGUAGAAGUUUUCAUAAUUUGCAUGUCCAAUAUAUGUGGAGUAGAAUUCGCAUGCAGUUUGAAAUGUGAAGUAAUUACCAAGAAGAUAAACCAUGUCCACUACGCUAAGCCCUUUCUUGGAGAAUGCAUUGAUGGAAUUUGAGACUGAUAUUGAAGGAGCUGGGAGAUUCACAUUCUUUGCAAGCGAAACUGUCCCGUCUCUCCUUCCAGUUUGUACAAUGUAUCGCCCUCCUCCACUCUGCAUUUACAGGAAUUAAUUGAGUGAUCAAUAUUGCCCACGUUGAGCUUGGUGAGAGAUGAUUUCAUGCUAAACCAGGUCAUGUUACGUGGUAAAGCAUCAAAUCAGAGAGGGUAAAAGGUAGAGUUCUAAUAAUAUUAGCAAUUUUUUUUUUAUAAGAUCCUGAGCAACACAUAAUCAGAUUGCGACUAAACACUAAUACAUUAUAACUCAACAACAUUUCAAACAAACUCACAAUUGGUGGAAUGAACAAUGACGUAUCAUGAAACGAAAUUCACAUGUCGCGAAACUUCAACUCGAAACUUCUAAUUCUUGUAAUCUCAAUCUUAAUUAAAAGUAAGAGUUUAACGUAUUCAUGGCACGUAGUUGUACGUGAUAUCGUAGUUAUGCUACAUUAAUUUGAGCUUCGCUAGGAGUCUAAUGGUUCUAGUUAAUCUUUUCUAGUUUUGUCUAAUUGAGAAUUAUGCAUGGUAUGUAACUUUUCAGAAAUAGAAAAAUUAAAGAGAGAGGGUACGUAUAUCUAUUUACCAGGGAUACAGCAUCUCUGGUAGCCAUUGAAAUGAUAUCAGCACAGGAGACCACACCCGGGCAGAUUGCCUCAACAGCUGCCUUUGCCGCAUCAAUAAGACCAUAUCCCCUAACACUUAAAUUUGGUAUUGCAGUUUUCUCGCUGUUGCUUCCAUCCAGAAGAAGAGAUGCAUCACAACCCUUGUAAACAAUGUCAGAACGUCAACAAUCAACACAAUGUUUUCCAAAUUGCCAGCAUAAUUAAUGAGAAAUUUACCAAAAGAUCAAAAAUGUAAAUAAAGAAGAAGAAACUUCGUACAGUUACGAAACAAUCAUGGAAUUGCAUCCUUAGUAGAGCAGGAGUAAUUGUAGAAUCGCUAGAGAACCAUGUUUUGACAACUCCACCAACAACCACCUCAACAUCAACCGUACCAUUGCAUUUUCCUUGGUAGAAACCAACCUUAAGUGGUGGUGAAGCCCCGUAGCAUUGGCCGGAGAAUGCCACAAAAAUGAACCCUAGGACCAGUGCUACAGAGGCAACUUUCGACAUUUUUUUCAGCUCUUAGUUUUUCUUUUUUGGUAAUUCCUGUUUUUUUUUUUCCCUUUGCGAAUUUAGAUGCAGAUAUAUGCCAUCUAUUUAAAGAGUGAGUGAAGGAAAUGUAGGUAGGUUGGAAUGCAUGCCUGGCACAACCAUUUCUAUGAAGUCAAGAAGGAAUCAAUUGAUUAAUUAGUAUAAUAUAUAGAACGUGCAUUCAUGUAAACAGACAACCAGAUGGUUAGUUGCACGAAAGUACACGGGAUUAGGGAGCAUUAACCCAUGCUAAUAUGUUAUAAUUAAGUAAUUCUAGUCGACGAAGUUGAGGAAUCAUUUGUUUCUGGGACAGGUUUUCCCGGAAGUCAUCAAUCUGGAGAAAUUAGUUUUGUUUAAUGAUUUAGAGCAUUAACCCUUUUUAAUAUGUUAUAAGUAAUUCUAGUCAACAAAAUUGAGGAAUUAUUUAUUUCUGCAGGGACAGGUUUUCCCGGAAGUCAUCAAUCUGGAGAAAUUGGUUUUGUUUAAUGAUUUAUUGGGACUUAAUUAUCUUUGCUGAAGAAUGAUGAUCGUGGAGAUUCAUGGUUCUCUAUGCAUGGAUCCCGUACCCUUGAAGUUGGAAGGACUGUAGGAAUUACGCCAGCUAAAGAAGGUUAUGUGUAAUAAAUCAUUAAACCGAACAUUUAACAAAGAUUUGCCUUUACCGUUUUCUCUUUGUUAUAAAACUCGACCUAUGGGGAGGAUUAGAUUAGGUGGUUUGAGAGAGAGUGUGUGAAUGAAAAGUUUCGAAUUCGAUUCCUUCUAUUUACAUUAAAAAAAAUCUCAACCUAAGUGUUGGCAUGCAACAAAGUACUGGACGAGAGGGCUCCUUAUUAAAAAAAAAUGGACAAGGGAUGGCUGGCAUAUGGAGAUGAUGUAGCAAGGCUUGCAAAAAUAAGCACCAAGGCAAUCUUAAACGUUGAUAUGGUAUUGCGGAAUCUGUGGACCUAUUAUUCAAGUAGUUUACAUCAGGUAAUCUGGAAAGAAAACUCACUCACUAGUGGGAGUUUUAUGUAAUCUUUUUAAUUUUUUUUAUUAGAUUUGAGUUUUUUCAAAUUUGGUUGUCAAAUUUGGAAAUUUUUCCCUUUGUACAUAUUGUGUGGACCUAUUAUUGACAUGUAAUGUGCCAUAAUAAAGUGCGUAACAACAACAUUUUUAAUCUUGUAUUGUUGUUGAAUUCACUUAAUUAUAAAAAGUGCGACAUUAUCAAAUAAUAGACACAAAUAUAAAAAUUCAUAAAAUUAAAGAGGUGGGUUAUCCAUUAGUUUGUUUGUUUCGCUUAUAUCGCUUAGUAUAGAAUUUUGCUUGUUGUUAAUCGCGCUCUAUCUAUCUCCUUUGUGUAUAUUGUAAAAAUAUUAGAAUGAAGUGGUCUAAUUAGCGAAAAGUUAAGUAUCAUUUUUCAAUUUUUUAUUCUGUUUCUAGAAUAACGAGGAUGCCAUUUUUCUUUCUUUUUAACCUUCUAGAUGAGAAGGAUGAUGAAUUGGCAACAAAGAAUAGCAUAGUGACAAAAGUACUUUGUUUCUUUUUCCAUUUUAGGAUUACACAAGUAACUCACAUUGGUCGUGGGAUGGAUACCUAAGAACUGUAACUCCCUACGGACUGCAAAUGAUUAACAACAUACAAAUAGUGAGAUGAAGAUUAAUAUGUAGUUCAAGUAAAUUCACAUUUAAUGAUAAUCAGUUCUUGACCAAUAGUUUCUAUUCUUCUCCCAGAAGCAUCUUUUGUCAACUUUGUCCUUGUGAUUUUUGCAAAGGCAAUUAAUGACAAUAAUUACAAGCCAAUGUUUUUAUUGUUUUAUUUUUUUCCCCCAUAGGAUCGGAGUAUUCAUUACGGAUUUAUUAUAACACUACAGGAAACCAAUGAAGUGAUCGGGGAACAAUCUUAUCUCAAAAUUAAGAAGCAUAGUUGCUAAAUGACAUGAAAUUCCGUUAAGACGUGUGUAUUGGCCACUUUCUCUAUUUUUUUUUUUUUGAAGUUUUAUACCAUUGUUUUAUAGCAAGUGCUGAUUUUUGAAUUUGGUUGAACGUGCUAUGACAUUUUUUGGAACCGUAAUCGUAUAUAUCAAAAUUUCAAUGAUAGUAGGAAAUAUUUCUUAUUAAAGGUGGAGAUAUUAGACAACAAAGUAUGGUCUAAUUGGUGAGAUGCUUCACGCAUAUAUAACUGAUAGAUCGCGAGUUUAAAUCAUCAUGAGAAUAUGCAAGGAACCACUAUUGAUUGAUCUUCUUUAGAAAAAAAAGGGUCAAGACGUUAUUGUUUUUUACAUUUGGUUGUGGCAGUGUUACACGUCCACAAAAUACUGAUGGCAUCAUUAAUCAGAUAUAAAUUAAGAAAAUUAUAUAAUUAAAGGUUAUUUAUAUUGGACUGUGUCCUCAUUACAGUUCCCCAAAAAAAAAAAAAAAGAGAAUGUCUAAUGCAUCACUAAUCAAGAGAAAUUCUAAAAUUCAGAAACCUUGAUGAACAGAAAUUUUGGAAUGAAGGGAAAACAAAAUUAACCAUAAAAAAUUCAAAGAAACAUAUCAACAACAAUGAGAAUUGGAAAAAAAAAAAAAGGGAAAAUAAAUAUCUGAGCACAGUAGAACAUAUUGUCUAGUGCUUUGUAUUCUCUUUAUUGUUCCAUUUUCCUCCUGUGUUACCAUUUUCGUCAUUAUUAAUUCAUUUUUCUUGGUUACCAUUGGUGUCAUUGUCCCUUGCCCUUUUUGUUAACUGCCCUGCAAGAACUCCUAAUCUCCCCCUGGCUUCCUGUUAGGACUUCAACAGCACCCAUUUUAACCAUGGCUUGACCAAACUUUGUGGAGAAAUCGAACCUGGUUGCUAUUGCAGUUACAAUGUCCUUGGUCAAUGGGUCCAGGGCCAGUUGUUGAUCAAUUUGCAGAAUUCCUCUGUUCAAUUUUGUUUGCUUGUAAUAGGAGUUGUCAACAAUUAAAGAGCUCAAAGGGUUCUGAUCCAGAUUGACUGUGUUAUCAACUGUAGCAUUUUGAGGACACCUGAUUCUCAGGAAAAAUCGCAGCAAAGGGCUCAUGGUAUUGUCUGGUUGGCCACUGUUUUGGAAGUUGUAGAGACGAUCUUGGAAGAGGGAACAAUGAGCAACUCCCACGGUGUGCCCACCUUGGUUCAAUCAAGAAUUGAGAUUAGUUAUAGUCACCUUGGAAAUAUUUCGAAUAAGAUUUUUUUCCCCAAUAAUGAAUAACUAAAUCUAUUUGCAUUAAAUUAAAAAAAAAAAAGGAUUUUGCCAUUAGAAUAAUAAGGCGUGAGUACUUAUCAUGAAAUAUAAGAUUAUAAGACUGUUUUUAGUUUCUUUAUGAAAUAUAAGAUUUCAAAAAUGUUUUUAAGUUUAAUCAAACCAUUCACAAUCAAUUUCGUGGUUGAUGUUAGUGACAUGUGAAAAAUUGAAAUGAAAGGAAGCCGGUUCACCAUUAAUUGUGCGGGUAUAGAUUUUAUCACAACUUUCUCAAUUCGUGUACCAUCCCAGUAUUUUGCAAAGAGAUUAGAUGAUGAAACUUUCUCAAAUGAAUUGAUUUUAUAGUAAAAUGACAAUUUCUUCUAAUAAAGCUAAUGGCAUGUUAAUAAUUCUUCUCAAGUUUAAUGAGAUGUAUACAAACAAAUGAAGGGAAGGCAUUAUCUAGGGUCUAAAUUCAAAAGACACAUUAAGUUCAGUUACUCGCAAUCUGAUUGCCAAGAACAGCAAAUUCAGAAUGUAUUUAGAAUUUUAUUUUUUUUUUUCAGAUCUAUUGUAUUUUAUGAUUUUCAGUUUCUGUGGCAUAGUAAUGUAUUUUCUACCAUUAGUGGCAAUGAAAUUAUGCCUUUUAUUUUUUAAAAAAAAAAAAAAAGCAAUGAAAACUUGAUUAUUCACUAGGAUUGGCCUAAUGAUUAGGGAAGGAUUUUUAGAGUUUUUCCGGUUGUCAAAUUUAGGAUUCAGAUCCUGUGCAAGGCAGUUGAGGGUGGAAAAGAUGUGGCGAGAGAUGGGAGAGUUAAAAAAAAAUGAAAAGUUGAUUAGAUUUGCAAAAUGAAGUAUAUACCAAGAAGAUAAACCAUGUCCACCACAUUAAGCCCUUUCUGCUGAAAUGCUUUGAUAGAAUCCGAGACCGAUAUAAAGGGUGGCGGCAGGUUCACAAGCGUGGCAAGCGACAAGGUGCCGUCUUUCCUCCCGGUUUCUACAGGGUACCGUCCUCCACCACUCUGCAUUUACCAAAUCAAGAGUAAUUCUAUAAAGAUAUUGUCCAAUAGAAGAACAAUAAUAAGAAAUGUUGGUCCAAGAAAUGAAAUUAGUAAUUAUUUUUCUAAGGCUCUUAAAACUCAACGCUUAUUUUAAUUUUUAACUACCACCACAGACUUAUAAAGGUUGUUUUUUUGCAUAGCUAGUCAACUUCUUUGCAGCUAAAUGUACGAGUCAAACUCAAAUGUCAGCACCUCUAAAUGACUUUUUUUGAUAAUAAAGGCAUAUAGCCGGAAUUGACUAAUUUAGAAAAAUGAAAACAACUCUUAAAGAAUUAUCUUACCAUGGAAACCGCAUCCCUAGCAGCCAUUGAAAUGAUAUCAGCACAGGAGACCACACCAGGGCAAAUGGCCUCAACAGCUGCCUUUGCCGCAUCAAUAAGAUCAUACCCCCUAACACUUAAAUUUGGUAUUGCAGUUUUCUCACUGUUGCUUCCAUCCAGAAGAAGAGAUGCAUCACAACCCUUUUAAAUCAUAGGCAGAAAGUCAACAACCAACCUAAUAUAUUUGGAUUAAUCUUUCCUACACUAAUAAUAGUGUAUACAUCGUUAGCAUUGGAUGAAUGGUAACUAUGCAAAAUUUGAAUUUGAAAUCCAACUUUUGUACAUGUGUCGUGAAUGUAAUGGUGAUAAUGUAUACACUGUCAAUGUAUAUAAAAUUUAUUCAAUAUAUUUUUUUCUCAAUCAAUUUAUUUUAAUCAUUCUAACUGUGCACGAUGAGUUUUUACGAUAUGUUGGAAAUUUUACCCCUUAAAGUUCUGUAUGCAUGUCAAUUAGUCCCAAUUGAUAUUAAUGACGCUGGCGAACUCGAGAGCAAUGCAUGCACGUAACAACGACAUAAGAUUAUAUGCAAUGGCGAAGUCAAGACCUUAAGAUAUGGAGCAUUUUUCUACAAGCACAUGCACUAUGAUAAGAGUAAUAAAGAUCAAAUGUUAUGAAAAUCAUUCUAUUUAUUUGAAUUCUCAUAGAUUCAACUUAGCCGGUAAGAACAUUAUUUAAGUGAAUAUGAGACCCUUGUUUGAUUUUAUCAGGACACACGUAAAAUUUAUUAAGAAAAAAAAAAGAAGACGAAGAAGAAAGAACAAUGUCCUAGAAAUAAAUAUUCAAGAUGCAAGAUGGAAAUUGACAACACUUUCAAAGGCACUGCAAAAGUGGAAUUUGACUUGUAUACUUGCAUUUUCCAGUAGAGUUGAUGAAAAAGGACGGCAAAGGGAGAAAAGCAAAAAUUCUCUUACCUUAACAAAGCAAUCAUGAAAUUGCAUGCGGAGGAGAGCAGCAGUAAUUGUAGGAUCCUUAAAGAACCACGUUCUCACCACACUGCCAACAAUCGCCUCAACAUCGACCCCUUUGCAUUUCCCCUUAUAAAACCCUACCUGCAAUGGUGAUGAAGCACCAUAGCACUGCCCCAACAAGCCCACAAAAACCAAUCCCAUGGCUAGUGUUACUGCAGCACCUUUCGACAUUUUUUGUAUAAUUGAUCUGGAAACGUUGGUUACUUUUUGCAAUGUAGAUGGCACAUUUCUGCUAUCUAUUUAUAUGUGACUGCAAGAACUUUAAACAUGAGCACGUAGUUUGGAAUAUUGCUUGGUUCUAACAACCAUUUGGCACAACUUUUCCCUCUCAUUGUGAUUGAUUGAACGUGCAAUCAUGAUAUAAUGUAUUUGCACUAAAGAAUGUACCACUGGGGAGCAAGGAUUUAUUUUUUAAACAUGUUUAGCUGACUUAGAGCUGGACUAUUAUGCAUCGGCUUAAGUGUUUAUUUGAAAGUUAUUCGUGUUUAGAUUGCAAAUCUUGUUGGAUUUGCUUACCAUUUCUGGUAACUAAUUAUGGAAGGAGAAUAAGAAGCUAGCUAAUUAAACUGCAUAUUCUUGAGUUAUUAAACUAACAACUAAAAUUGAAAAUUAGUAAGGAUUGACCUGCCUAAUUAAGAAGGUAGAGGGAAUCAGCAGAAGUUCCUUUCCCCUUUCCUUUAGCUGUGAAAAGUCUUUGAUGAAUUGCAUAAUCAAGGUGGCAGACUCUUUCCUAACAAUUAACAAAUACCUGCCCUCAUAGCAAAUAAUUAUUUUAAAACCUACCCCUUUCCCUUUUGGCUUUUUUUUUUUUUUCAUUUCAAAGAGUACUGUGUUAUUGUUAUGUCAUGCAUGAUGGUAUAUAAUUCUCUCUCUCAAAAAAAAAACUAUAAAAAACUCUCAUGUUUGUAUUAGGGGCAGGAAUUGAUCUUCAACCAAUCGUUUAUCCAAUCAAUUCACACACAUUGUUUUAAAAAUGUGCAAUCUGGGUUUAUGACUAAUAAUUCUUUGAAAACUCUAGUUGUAACCUACAAAGUAUUCCUUCGUUGGAAAAAAAUUUGGGGGGCAUCAAAGCAGUCCCAAAAUAGCAAGAAAACACAUUUAGCCCAUAAAUAUUUUGAAGUUUGACAAGAAUAGGACCACUUAACAGGAUGUGGAAUCAACUGCUAAAUGAAAGGUUUUCUUUUUUUGGGUAUUUAAUGGGGGACUCCAACUCUUACAAUAGGGAAAGGAGCAAGGAGAUGGCUUAAGAAUCGAACCAAAAACCUAAUGACUAUUUGGCUAAUCUCCCUAUGACUUAGGUAAGAAUAGUUUAGUUCCAUAAAAAAAUGUUAAAACACUUGGAUGCACAUAUGGCUUUCCCUUUCAUAAAUCUAUAUGUUGAUAUUUUCAUGCAAGUGAGAAAAAUGUAAAAUUGACUUCAUAAAUGAGUUUGAGGGACACAAAUCUUAUCUUAAUAUAUGAAUUAAUUUCCACGUUACUCAAACAAUUAAUACUUCACAAGGUAUUCUUUUGAAAAAACAAAUCCCAAUUGAAGCUCUAUCUUGAAUUAAGAUCAAAACUUCUUGGAUUUUUUGUUCACAGCCCGGCAUGAUGUUCUAAUCUCUCCUUGGUUUCCAGUUGGGACAUCGACAGCACCCAUUUUAACUAUCGCUUGGCCAAAUCUACUAGAGAAGUCCCUAACCAUGGGCAGUGGGCUAUGUAGCAGUCACAGUGUCCUUUGUCAUUAGAUCCAAUGCCGGCUCUUGAUCAAUUUGAAGAACCCCUCCAUGCAAGGCUAUUUGUUUUUACUUUAUAGUGAGGAUCAUCAACAGGUAUUAGCACUAGGAGGGUUUUGGUCGAGUUUAACAGUUUGAUCGAAUCCAGAUAUUUUAGGACACCUUUUUCUCGGAUUGCUCACUAGAUUGGAAUCCAUUGAAGGGUCUGGCUUCCCUGUGUUGUGGAAAUUGUAGAGGCGAUAUUGAAUGAGGGAACAACAAUAAGCAUUUCCAGCUGUAUGACAACCUUCAAAAUUCAACAAAAGUUCAUAGAUGACACUUGCGAGUACAAUUGCAUGAAGUGUGAAGUAUAAUGACUCGAUGACACUUUCAAAUUUUAUUUUCAUAAUGGUGUUAUUGUUACCAUCUAGUUAUCCUGAUUGCCAUAUAGGAUAAUAAGAAAGGAAAGAUUUAAUCUAGUCUAUAGUUUUCAACAUGAACUAAAAAUUUAAAUUUUUGUUAUUAUAGAGGUGCAAAAAGAUUGCAUGACUUCGAUAAUUUUCUUAUAUUUAUUUAAAAUAAAUUCGAUUAUUAUUGACCUUACUAUUAUUGGUCUCUACAUUUUUUUUAAAUGUAUCAAACCUAUUGCAUAUAUUUUUUUCAAAAAAUAAAAUUUAAAAAAUACAAAAAUUGCAAUGAAAAUUAAGCAAUAACGAGGAAAAGUUAGAAAAACUUCAAGGCAAUCAUAUUUGUUUAUGUUAUCCUUCCUACUCCUUGAAAAGAAUUUUUGCAAAAAGUAAUCAAGCUAAAAUUUUCAAGUUUUCAAUAACAAAUUGAAAACUACCAUAUUAUUAUAUAAGUAAUCAACAAGUAUAAAAAGCAAAAGGCAUCCUAGAUAUGAAUAUAUAUUGUUAUGUAGUUUUCUUCAUAGACAUUUUAUCAAACAAAAGGUGUGAGAAAUCAUUUUUUAGAUAAUGGAAGGAAAAAAUGCAUAAAGGUUCAGAGAGAAAAAUAGGGAAAAUAUUAGAUGAAAAAGAGAAAUGGAGUACGCAUCUAUCUUCAUCUUGGCACAUAUAGAGCUUAUGUGGCUAAAAAAAAGGAUCAUAAAAGUAAUAAAUUUUAUAAUUAGGUUACUUUGGGUAUAUGUUUUGAAAGGAGAGUUAUUUUGACAAUAAACUUGUGUGAUGUUGAGGUUGCAUUGCUAUCAUCACAUGCCAAUAUAUUGAAAUAGCUCCACUACCUGAAUUUAUUUGGAUAAGUUUGCUCAAAUUUAAGGUAUAGUAUUAUCAUCCCAUCUCGUGCAGUUUAUUCCUAGGAGAUACCGAAAUGGCUAUUGUCUCUUGGUGGCAAUUAUAAAUCUCAAUGUAUCCUUGAAAAUUUUGAAAAUAUUCUCAAAAUAAUUGAAAGGGAAAAUGUUGUUAAAAACGAAAAAGAAAACACAUGUAAAACCAAGUUCUGUCCUUGUAACUUAGAAUAUGUUCUUGAAACACAUUUUUUAAUCACUAUUUUAUUUAUUCAAUUAUUUUUUAUUUCAUAUAUAUUACAUUAUAAAAAGUAAUACACGAUUAAUCUACAUGAUUUUUUCAAAUAAUCUUCAAUACAAAUGGACUUAAUCUGAUCCACAAUACAUACAUUGUAUACAUACGCCAAAUCUAGGAACACAUUCGAAAUCUAUAUUUUAGGAGUAGUUUUGUCUCUUAUGGGAUUGGGUGAGGAAAAACAAUUUAGGAGGUAAAUAUUGCAAAUUCUGAACGUACCUUGGGGGGAAUUUUUAUGAUUAACCCUUCAGGAAAAUCAUUUAAAACGUUCCGUACGUAUGUCAAAUGAAUUUUCUCUUCAUUUACUUUUAAAAUAUUCAUUUUACGCCGCUUACAAAUUCAAGUUAAUUAGCAAAAUUUGAUCUCAACCUUAGUUUCCGACUAUUUUUUAGUUUGAAAUCAUCAUAUGACCUACAUGCAAUUAUUUUUUAUAUACAAAAUAGUUAGAUCUCAAUUUUUUUAGUGGCAAAAAUGAAUACAAAUUAAACCAAAUCCUAAAUGAGUAUAGUUGAGUCAGAUAUUAUUUUUUUAAGAACAAAAAUGAAUAUAAAUCAAGUCAUUUAUUAUUAUUUUUAAAUAGGAUCUAAUCUUUUUGUCCCUAAUAGAAUGAUUAUGUGUCAAUCACGUGAUAAAUUUUGGAUAAAAAGUAUUCAAAAACUUAUAUUGGAAUCAAAAUUAACCGAUUUGAUUUUACUAUUCUAAAAGUAAAAAACAAAAGAACGCGAAAUAUGAUGGAUGUUUGAACGAUUUGGCGCACCGCUUGGACACCAAAUGUUAGAACUUUUUCCAAGCAUAUAAAAUUUCUAAGCUACCCUUCAUCACUGCCCUGGAGGCCAAAGCCAACAAAGCAACUUAAUCAAGGGCAAUAUCGUCAGGAAGGUCCAACUCCAAUGACAAAAAGUCCCCCAAUAGUCGGCCUCCUCGUUCAUCAUCUCCUUCUGCGUGGACAAAUCGCCGUGAACCUCUCAUCUCUUCCGUAUCCUUCUCAAGAACCCAUGGGCAAAAAGGCCAAAUGGAGCUGGACCUCCGCUUUAGUAGGCGCAGCAACCGCCGCAGCCGCGUCGGCAAUACUCUCCUCAAAGCCGCGUGACCCCACUUUCCACCUAAUCUCAAUCAACCUAACUUCCUUAAAGCUCAACUUCCCUGUUUUGGACGCAGAGAUGAUCCUGACGGUCCACGUCAGCAACCCAAACGUCGCGACCGUCCGAUACUCCUCCGCGAACAUGUCCAUCUACUACGCCGGCUGCCUCCUGGGGUCAGCGGUGGUGGAAGCGGGUUCCCAGCCGCCGAGAUCCUGCCAGUUCCUCCACCUUCCGGCGCGGCUCAGCGGGCUGGAGCUGGCUCAUCAUGCAAAGGAGUUCUUGGCUGACGUGGCGCGCCGGGAGAUGGUGCUGAAUGCAGCUGUGGAUAUAGAAGGAGAUGCUAAGGUUCUGUGGUGGGACCAUAGGUUUAAAGCUCACGUGGACAGUCACGUGAGUGUUGACCCUGUUUUUCUUGAUGUAAUUGACCAGGAAAAUAAAUCUGAAAUGAUGCUCUUUAAUGCCUAAUUUUGUACACUCACGCUAAUUUUUUUUUUUCUCCCUGGUAAGAAUUUGUCAUUGCAAUCUUCAAUCGUGUAAUUUACAGACUUUGAUGAGAUGAAAAUUAAAUAUGAGAUGGGUCUGAUAUUAAUAUAUUGAUGUGUCCACUGCACGUUCAAAAAAUCAAAAUGCAGAAAAGAGGAUUGUUAGAGUAUAAUGCAGAAAUGAUGCUUCUGUAUCAGCAAUUAAACAAGUCAUUGGCAUCCGCAGUUACGAGGGUCAAUUUAUUUCUGGCUUAUCUAAGAAAGUGCAGAAUUGGCAGAAAAGUUCUUGCUGCAAGGGAAGCAGUGAAUUUCAACAACCAACUUAAUAUAUCCCUUUUUUUUUUUUUUUUUUUUUUUUUAAAGAAAUGGUUGUGUAUCAACCUGCAUACAUGAUUUAGUUGACUGACAGGAAUAAAUAAUCACUACAAGAUUCAUAAUUCUUUGUUUUUGGUCAGUGAACCGUUUUAUUUUACCAAAAUGAUAAUUCAACUAACUGAAGCUUACAUUUUUGGAGUAAAAAGUGUAUGUUUUAUUAAUUGAAUGAUCAAAAUUGUACAUAAGUUGAGUGACUAAAAAUUAUAUUUUUUUUCAUCAAUUGAGUAAAAAUUUUGACAGAACAAAAAGUUUAAGAACCGAAAUAAGAAAGGGAUAAUAUCAGAAACCUCCCUUGAGGUUUCUUCUAAUAUCACUUGGUACCCCUAAAGUUUUAAAGUAUCACUUAUCUCCCCUACUAAUUGUAAAAAAACUAUAUUAACUUUCACUUGAUACAUAAUUCACAUAUCAAAUAAAUGGACCUAAAAAAGUUUUUAAAAUAAAAGUCACUUUCUUCUCUUUCCCUUUUCUCCAACAUUCUCUCUUACUUAUUUUUGGAGGAUUAUACAAUUUUUUAUUUGUAAAUUAUAAUAAAUUGAAUUUUAUAUAUCUUUUACUUUUUAUUAUUAUGAUAGAGUAUGGUAUGAUUUAGUUGCUUAUUUUGGAAUGAUUUUUAUAAUGAUCGGUAUAAUUUAAAUAUUUGGGCAAGAAUUGAGAAGAAGUUGAAAAAAAUAUUAAAUUCAUAAAUAAUCGGUUUUGAACAUAUAUAGUUAAAUUAGUCAAAUGUAUUUCUUUACAAAUGCCUUUUUAUUUUUUGAAUAUAUAUUUUUAUGGACUAUAACAGUAUGAUAGGGUAGUACUAUUAGAUAUUUUUUUUAGAUGAUAGUUUUCUUAAAGUAAACAAAGUGAUUGAAAAGUAUUUUUAUUUAGCAAGUAGAAGGGCAGUUUAGAAUUUUUAAAAUUUUUGUUACACAAAUAACAAAAAUAGGAGAAAUAAGUGAUAUUUUUAAAAUUUUAAGGAUACUAGAUGAUAUUAAGAGAAACGUGAGAGAAGGUUUCUAAUAUUAUCCCAAUAAGAAAACUGGUAUUAUAGUUUAGUGACUAUUUUUUUUUUCCGUUUGCUCUAUUCUACCACAAAACUUUUCCCAAAAAUCAUCCAUCCAAUAAAAAAAAUAAAAUAAAAUCAAACGCACUUAGUCGUUUGAUCGUAACAAAACCCCCACAGCCCACCGCCCUUUUGUAGUUUGUGCCGGUCUAAGCUUUCCCAGUCCCAACUCCCGUGCGUUAACUCAAUUCACUCCUGUCGUUUAUUAAACGACUCCUCAGUCCUCAGAAAAGAGCUGAACUGCGCAAGUAAGAGAUUUUGCAAAGUAGUACCGAUGGAGGAUGGGAAAAGGGUGGUGACCGUCUCAGCUCUCCAGUUCUCCUGCACUGAUGACGUCUCCACCAACGUUGCCACUGCUGAAAGGUCCCCACUUUUUUUUUUCAUCUUGCAGCAACUUUCAGCAUGAACCCAUAAGAAAUUUUUACCCGUUGAUGAUAAUUUGGAUCGGGAUCAAGGAGUUUCUUGACAUAAAUAAAGAUGUGAAAAGGGUUUUGGUGGCUUAGUGCAAAUGAUUGAGGUUUUUAAGUAAAAGGGUAAUUGAGGUUUCGUUGAGUUUGAUUGGCGAAUUUGAAAAAUCUGAUCUUGUUGCCAUUCAUUUUUCGAUAUCCUUGCUGAAUUUUCUUCCAGUAAUGUGUUUGUCAGAUCCCUUUAAGCUAAAAGAUUGGAGCUUUAUUGUUUGUUUGGAACUUCCAAGCACUGGAUUAGAUGUAGCUGAAUUCUAGCACUAGCUGAUAGUCAAGGAGUAGCUGUGAAACUUGAGGUUCUAAGAUUGAAUCUGGUGGAUGUAAAUGCCAAUAAUUGAAGCUUAGCCAUCUUCUUUACCUUGGGUCACCCCCAUCAAAAUUUGGAAGAAGUAAAACGUGGCAUAAUCUUCAGAGGAAUGAAUUUCUGUGGCUCAUUUGCAGCUAGAAACAUAGAAAAGGAUAGAAAACCUUAACGUGGGAGGUUUAAAUUUCAAAGCAUGGGGAUUCUUUGGCUGCAUGACUGUAAGGUUGUGUGAAAUGUACACUUGGUUUACACUGGGUCCUGUGUAUGGUCAGGGCAUUAUGAAGCAGGUUUGUCUAUUUAGGCAAAAUAAUUACAUGGCACGUGUGAGUAAAAGGAUCCUCUUGGGCAGUUCUCGAUUGGCAGACUGAGAUAUUCUUCUGUUAUAAUAAGUGAAAUAGCUGUUCCUUAUUAGAAAAUUGAGGUCAAGAUUAAACAGAAGCAGCUACUGAAAAUGAUUCAAACCAGUAAAUCCAAAGACAUGGCAAUGCACUCUCACUUCGAGGAUAUUAGAAAUCUGUGCUCAAUGUUUACGGAAUGCUCAUUCAUUUUGUCCACUAAUCUAACGGAGGAAAGGGUUGAUUUAGUCAGUAUGCAUGCAUUAAGCAUUUCUUUUGAUGAAGAGUGGUUCCACUAUUAGUGCCAAGAUGCACUUGUACAGUCAAUUUGGGCCUUUGCUCGACAAUUGUAUAGCUUACUACAUAUCAAUGCAAUUAUCUACCGUUUCUGGAAAAAAAAUAUUAGAAUAAUGGUAGAAAAACGUCUUUGGUUGUAUUUUUGUGGUUUUGUAUUAAUAAUCUGGAGCUAAUCACCCAAGAGACGAAAACAACAUGACUGUUGAACAUUGCCUGCUUGUGUUUUUCAUACCAACUGUUUUAUUGAAAACCAUGUUGCUAAAACAAAAUUGGGCUUACUAAGAAUUUAACUUCAUCAUAUGUAAGAACACUGUUGCUGAGAUAAUAACCUUGAGAACAAGAAAAUUAAACCUUUAUCAACUAUUGAUUUUUAUCUCUGACUUGUUCCUAUUUGCAGAUUGGUUAGAGCAGCUUAUCAGAAGGGUGCUAAUAUCAUUCUCAUACAGGUUAGUCCUCCCCAUACAUGGAAUAUACAGCUCCAAACAGAAGUCCUCCUAGUCAUAAUCAAUCUUGAAAUUCUUCCGCCAUUUCAUUUUUUUUUCAUGUUUGUGACACUUGUGGCAAAAAAUGACGUGUGCAAUGGCAAAAACCUGGUACAACCAGUUACAUUUCCUAACAGAGUUGGAUGAUGUAGUCAUAGUAUAUCUUUUGUCGUGGAUGCUACUUGUGUUUUAUUUUCCUUUUGGAUUUCCAGGAAUUAUUUGAGGGUUACUACUUUUGUCAAGCUCAAAGGGGGGAUUUCUUUCAGCGAGCAAAGCCUUAUAAGGGACAUCCAACAAUUCUAAGGUGAAAAAUCUUCUUUUCUUCAUUUUUUCCUCUUUGUACUCGUGUGGCUGAUGGAGCAGCUUGUUUUAAUAGAAAUGAUUUAUUUGCUUCACAUUCAUUGACAUUCCUUGAGCAAUAUUUUAUGCAUGGUGUGCUUCUCAGAAUGCAGAAGCUCGCCAAAGAACUGGGAGUAGUGAUACCAGUUAGUUUCUUUGAGGAGGCAAACAAUGCCCAUUACAAUUCAGUAGCUGUAAUUGAUGCUGACGGAACAGAUCUUGGGCUUUAUAGAAAAUCCCACAUCCCUGACGGUCCAGGUGUGCGAGUGUGAUAGUUGAUUUAAAUCUGAUAUGUGAUGUUUUCAUUUUGUUUAUAUCUGAUAAGAAAUUAAGUCUGAUAUGUGAUGUUUCCUCUCCAGGGUACCAAGAAAAGUUUUACUUUAAUCCAGGAGACACUGGUUUUAAGGUGAUUUAGCUAGAUUACGUCUGAGCAUAUACUGCUUCUGUCAACACCAAUCGUGAUUUCUUUUUAAUAACCUUAAUGUUUUGAUGAUGGUGACAAUGACCAGGUCUUCCAAACUAAAUUUGCAAAAAUUGGAGUUGGUAAGUCUUCCUUUUUCCUUGAUUUUCAUAUCAUCCUGCAAUCAUUUUGAAUGAGGUGUGCCCAUAGGUUCCAGAUUGAUGUUUCCACUCAUGGUCAAAAUGCAUAACAAAUGAUAUAGAAGCUGUGUCUUCCAAAGCUCAAAAUUACUGGUAGCAGUAGAAAGAAUUGAAGGCUUAAACAAAUGAUUCAAUCAGCUUCCAGAAGGAAAUAGGAAAUCUAAGUUUUCUACUGCUCGUGCUUGACAGCAAUUUGCUGGGAUCAAUGGUUUCCUGAGGCUGCACGAGCUAUGGUUCUUCUAGGUGCAGAAAUAUUGUUGUACCCUACUGCUAUUGGUUCUGAACCUCAAGAUGAAGGCCUUGAUUCUCGAGAUCACUGGAAGAGAGUGAUGCAAGGGCAUGCUGGGGCCAAUCUGGUGAGUUGCAUAUCCUGAAGGAUGUUUUUAACCUUGGACUUUGUCUGGUUGAUCCACACGUUUAUAUGUUGGAUUAAAAUUUUAGUGGGGACUUCCACAGUAAUUGUUGCAGAUGUUUCUUGUGUUCAUAAGUUAGUGGUUCUGGUUAUUUUGUCUUGAAGGAGUCGGACCUAUAUGCAUGCACUGUAUAACGCAUAACAAACCACCAUUUACUUCCUCUUGGUAGAACUCUUAAGUAUCUUGGACUUCAUUUGACCAUACAAUACACAAUUAACCAAAAUUGUCUUCUUUUAAAUUUGCCCCCAUUUUUGUACAAUGAAAAGAAGUGUCAUGGCAUUUGGUCUGCUGUUGCCUGGUAGAUUACAUAUAGGUGGGACAUGAUUUCAAAUGCUUGUCUUCAGAAUUGAGUCUGAGUCUAUGGCUAAGGCACCAAAGCACUUCCACUACCUUAACACUAUACAGGAGAAUUUUGUAUCCAAAAGUUUAUCAGAGUUACUAGAUACCUGUUUAUCUUUAAAACUGAAGUAUUGAAAUGCUAAUUCCAGGUUGUCCUGUUCCCUCCUUGCCUUGAGAAGCUCUAAAUUUAUCUCUCAUGGGCUCCAUUCAUAAACGGAAACUCCUGUCUCCUACAUGCACAUUAGCUAAGCAGCAAAUCCUUUAGGGUUUCUUGCAAGCACCACUCUGUGUGUCAAGAGUUUCCAUAUUUUGAGCUUGCCAUCUUCUAAUGCAACAAUCCUGGUUGAAAUUUUUCUUGUUGCUUGAAGCCCAUGGCACUCAAUAACACAGAUCUCCUUCUGUUUCAUAUUCCUUUUCUAGGAAUGUUUUGUCGUAGUUUUCCAAACAGUUUUAGAGUUUCUGUUUUCCAAGGAAAGAUGGUUGUCUCUUCUUUCCAAGAGCUAAAUGCUUUGCUAAAAGUUCACAUGGAUAAUUUGACUCUUGUCCAUCUAAAGCUGAAGAAACUUUGUCAUGCAAUAAGAUUUCUAUCUUUUGGCCCCUUCUGUUUAACUUGAAAGUUUUAAGAGUAUAAGCUGAUUCAGGGGGCCAUGUAAAAAAUUUUGCCCCUAGCUCUGCAUAUUACUUUCCAGGAAAUAUAUUUUCAGGCUUCUCUUUGAGAACCUUGUCCCUUCCUACCAGUUCAAGAAUGUCACCUUUUGUUUACAAUUGUCAUUUCUCGAGGGGCCAUCAGAGUAUUCAUCCAAGUGUCAAUCGAAGAGUUUCUCUACCUUUUAUUCCAGUUACAACAUUGAAGUGAGCAUCUAGCAUAACUGAUUCAUCACUGGUCACUGAAAUUUGUGAUAAGACAGCCACUGAAUGAUAAGGACCCUUUCCAUAAAUCAAAGCAAUACAUGAUGGUUGGACUAUUGGCUAUUUCAGGUGUUGGUUCAUGAACAAAAAGCUGAUGCUUUUGAACUUCAGGAAUGUAAGAUUUGUUAGUUUAGGAGGUUGCAUAGAACUAAGUUUUUAAUCUUGCAUUCCUGAUCAUUUUGUGCCUCAUUUGAUAUAUGCUGGAAUAUACUUUUGUCCCUCACUGUAGAAUUUUAAUACCUUUGAGUACACAAAUGUUUUAAUUUGUCUAAAUUGAGGCCUUGCUGACAUAUGUGGUAACAUUCAGGUGCCUUUAAUAGCUUCGAACCGCAUCGGAAAAGAGAUAAUUCAGACAGAACAUGGCAAAAGUGAAAUCAUAUUCUAUGGCAAUUCCUUUAUAGCGGGUAUGUUAUGUGCCAGUAUAACUAGAAUAUUGCUGGCCUUUAAAAAGUUUCUUCAUAUUAUCAUCUGUGUGAGUAGGAGUUUGAGCAUUGAUGUUCUGAUCAGGACCAACUGGAGAAAUUGUUGCAAAUGCUGAUGACAAAGAGGAAGCUGUUCUUGUGGCGAAAUUUGAUCUGGAUCAAAUCAAAUACAAGAGAUAUAGUUGGGGAGUGUUUCGCGAUCGACGUCCAGAUUUAUACAAGGUGCUAUUGACAUUAGAUGGCAGCAAUCCACCUGUGUAAUUUAUGCUGUUACAAUUUUUAGCUGAGACACUUGAAAUCAUGAGAUGGUACUCAAUUUUUUGAUGAAAGAGGAGUUUGGUUUUUGUUUUGAGACUUGGGUAUUUCUUUAGAUAGAGAACCAAUACGUAGGAGCUUAGCAAGAGUAGUAGAGUAUUCAGUAUUGGACUUCUUUAGAGAUACAAGCAUAUCUUUUGCUACUUCCAAAAGCUACACCCUGCUCUAUAUACGUUAGUUGUAUACACUACUGGCAUCUAAAAUAUCUUGGUCUUAGUAAGCAUCUAAGUCUGAGCCUCAGAUCAAGGUUUCUGAGCACUGUCACUGUGUGAGUGGCUACGUGGAACAUUUGUGUUAACAGUAUAGGACUUACCACUUGAGGAUCAAAUUCUGGAAGAUUGCAUGUGUUAGAUAUUCAAUGAUUUUUCGGACCAGUUAUUGGUGUUUUUUUUGGUCAUCAAAGUGAUGUAUCUGUACAAGGUGGUCCAUGAUAUCUUUUAUGUAAUAGUAUAUCUUGCAAUCUGAUUAACCAUUAGCUUGUCUUUGGGUCCUCAGCUGACGUGAAGGCCAAAUGUUGCCAAAAUUUUCUAGUGCCCACCCAAACAAAAAAGGAGAAUAAAAAAGCUAGUAGUAUUUCGUUCACUUCAUUUGUCUCUUCAUCAAUCUGCAUUUGGCCCACAGCAUCUGAUUAUCCUUUCCUGCUUAGACAGAGGAUUUGACAAGGUUGUAAUGCAUUCCGAAAUAAAGCUACUGUUCUACUCUAAUCUUUUCUUGCAUAUGGAUUAUUGUACCUGAGUUAAAGUGUAAACUUUAUAAGUCUCAGAACUUUUUCCUCAGAGAUUAUUGGGUCCAAAGGAGGAAAAAAGGUGUGUCGAUGAGCUUGGUGAUGGCCCUCCAACUUGGUUGGAAAUUAUAUCAUGGAUGGUUACGUUUUUCCGGAUCUUUUUAUUCUAUAUACAUUACAUCAAAAAAAUUAUAAUAUUUCUUUUUUCAAAAAAUUAUUCCACGGCAACUUGGAAGCACAGUGGCCUCAGAUUUUAGUCAAGAAAGCAGCAAGCUGUUACAGCAGGCUCCCCGUUUUCAGGCCAAGAGACAGAUGGCUUUUAGUGUUCAAAGACUUGGUUGAUGUGUUGCCAUGUGUGACAUGAACAAAGACUUAUUUGGUUGUCAACAAAAUCCAAUAUGACCUAAGAAGAGCGUCUCCGUAGAUGUACCUGUCAUUAUUUUUGCUUUACUACUUUUUUUUAUCCAGAAAUAAGCUGAAAAUAACUCUCAGAAUCUAUUCUCACCAAAAUAUCAAUGGCCUCCGGGGCUUUGAACAGUUUCUAUGUAGGUCUUGUUUCCAGUCAAUGUUCUAGUGCUUUCUCCUUUCUAGUUGGUAUAGUGGCUACCCAUAAUUGAAGUUGGCUGGAAAAUAAGGGUAUUAUGCAGGCAAUCUUGACUUCUAUCAGCCCUCAUGUUUUAUUAUGUUAGUUUGGUAGCAUCAGGCAUGGCAUGACACAAAGCUCUGAGUUGGGAAACAUUUAUCAUUUUUUAUGUGUGUUUCAAGACCAAGUAGGGCUAGUGGGUAAGAAUGCACUAAUAUUUCUACGCACAACGUCACAGUAAAAAUGCACUAAUAUUUCAACACUGCUCCUGUUCAUUUUCAGCUGCAAAAGUUUGAAUAGCUGGGGUUGGAUAUAGGAUGAAGUGUCUGUGAUUUUCAUUUUCCAUCAGAAGAAAGGAUACCGAGUUUUGGGCUGGCUUACGCCGUUUUUUUCAUGCUUUUUGGCUUUUCUUCCUCUCUGUGGUGGAUCCUAGAAAGGGAAAUAUGGAAUUGGAAAAACAAAUAAUAUCAAGAACUACUGUAUCAAGAAAGGGGAGAAAAAAGAGAAAUUCAAAUUUUUGAUAUGAAGGAACUUGACUGCUGCAAUAGUUUAUUCCCAAAGUGUAUGGGAAGCAGGCUUCUGAAUUCACGAUUAAAUAUUUCCCCCUUUUUUAAGAUUUCAGCUUGCUUCUACCACUUGAUGUUUACAUGUGGUUAUAAAACUUAAUCAGAGUACACUUAUGAUUACUGCUCAGGCACAACAAGCUCUUGAAUUUGGCUAUUAACACUCUUCUGAUCAAUCUUGAUUAAUUUUUUUCUUGUACGUUGAGUUGAGGAAGAGAUGCAGGCAAGAAAUCACGAAUACAUUUCCGAUAGGAGUUAGAAUAAUCCAGGAGAUAUGGCAGAAUGAAAUACUGCAAAGAAAUAAAUGAGAAAAUAAAGAAACAAAAAUUGUCUGCUGGAAAAUCUAAAGGUGAAUUCACCAUCUGCCUAUAUCAAUAUUCUAUUUAUUUCCAAAUUAAGAUCACAAAAACAUGCCGCAAACUUGGAAGUUUUGGCUGCAGAAAGAAUCAAACAAGACUGGGAGCUUCUCUACCUAUUUUGUGAGCUAUCUUGGUUAUUGUUGGUCCUGAUUAGAACAUGCUUUCCAGCAUCAUUUCUUUCAAUCUCUCUUCUGUCUGCAAUAUUCUAACGGUGCUCAUGCUCAUCAUCGCUAUCAUCACCAUCGUUUUCCAAAUUUACUUCCUCAGAAUCAUAAUGAUCCUCUUCAUCUUCCUCAUCCUCCUCACCCUCAAGAAUUUCAUCAUCUGAUUGAAUAAGCUGCAACCUCAAACGUCCAUCUUCUCUGCAUGCAUGCAGAAACUCUUGAGUCGGAAAUCUAAUCUCCUGAAGAAUAAACCUGCCGUCUUGUCUAUAUGAUCUAAAAGACACCCAAGGCCUUCCUGUCCUUCCUAUACAAGAAAUUGGUGGAGGAAAUGACCCUUUAAUUGUUCUUGACCUUUUUGAUUCCUUAAAAAAGCAUAUUUUCUCCUCUGGGGGCUGGUGCUCCUGCUGAAUGUCAAAACUAGUCUCAUUUCCCAAAUCCUCCACAUCGUCAGAGCUUUCAAAUCCAAGACCCUCCGUGCAUAAUGAUAAACUCUCCGAAUUCACGGAAGAAAAGCUAUUACUGUGCUUGUAAUAUUUCUCGUGGCUUGGCGUUGGACAAUAGCUUGAUGCGGGGCUUUUGCUGCUGUCAUCCUCCUUGUCAAGUGGACUUUCAAUCCUAUUUUGUUGAUAUAUAUCUGCCAACAAUGAUGAAGAGGACAGCGAUGACGGUGACGAUGAGGAUGAGCAAGAAGAUGAUUCAGCAGGGAGAUCAAGAGAAGAUGAAGAGGAAGAGGGGGACUCAACAGAUUCAACAACUUCAUUCUCCUUGAAAUGUACUUCUCCAAAAAUCUCUGCAAAAGAAGAAUCUGGGAUUGGGUUCAUGGUUUUAAUCUGUUUCCAUGAAGGAAAGGGCUCAAGUAGAGUUGGACUUUCUGGUAAUGGCCUGUCAAAUAUGUGUUGAAGGCUUCCACAGGCCGUAGCCAUAGUUUGUACUUUCCACUGUCUUGUGGAAAAGAUGGUUCGAGAAAGAAAACAUGACAGGACUAAGCACAAAAAGAGUUAUGCAUCAGAGAUAAAAAAAAAAGAGAGAGAUAAGAGAGCAAACAGCAAAGCCUAAGAGGGAGACAUGCACGGGAAGGGCAUGGUUCUGCUGAUAAAGUCAAGAGUGGAAAGUUGCCAUUUAUUUGGGGAUGCUGGUUUCAGGGUGCCUCUAACUUAGGAGUGGAACAAGGAUGGGUGGUUAUCAAACUUUGGAUGAAUUUUGGUGGUCACAGUUUUUGUGUAGAAACUGUAAAGAAAUCACCAGUUGCCUUAUCUUUCCUGCCAGAUGAUAACAUUUGGCAUAUACCAACGUUUUAUGCGUGCCAAAUAUCUGAAAGAUUGUAACAUAGCAUCAUUGAAAGUUACACAAUAUACGCAUAGAUAUAGGAACUACUAGUAUCUGCUAAAGGUGCAUUGAGCACAAUUUUGAAAGGUUAAUUGCAGUUUAAAAAAAAAAAAAAACCUUUUGUUUCCUUCAAAAAAAAAACCCUUUUGUUUUAGUAUUUUUGAAUUAUUCUAGCCUCUUUUUUUUCAUUUUCUUAAUCGAUAUGCUAUAAUACAGUGAAUUUAAUUCUCAAUUUAACCUUUACUCUUCUCAUUCGUCAUUGAUGAUCGUUUGUCUUCUCAUUUAACACUUCUAAACCAACACAUAUCAUAUAGUGUUUUUGUUAUGAUUAUUAAAUAGUAAGGGCAUAAUAUGAUAUUUCAAUCAAUUAAUAAGGGCAUAAUGAUAAUAAGAAAAACUAAGAUCCUAACGAUGCUUGCAUUCAAAAUACCAAGACUCAUGGUACCUUUAUAAUGGUAAUAAAGAGAUUGAUAGAUAAAUAAUAGAUGUUCUUGAAUUCAACAAGGACUUGAAUUCUAUAUGCACAGGCAAAAUGGUACUCUUUUCUAACAUAAAAAUCUUAUCUUGGCCGAAAUUGGAGUUCUUCUCCGUACAUAGGUUAUCCAUUGCUUCGUCAUUGAUGAUCUUUUGUCUUCUUAUUUAACACUUCUAAACCAACACGCAUCACAUAGUGUUUUGUCAUGAUUAUUACAUAAUAAGGGCAAUAUAUGAUACUUCAAUCAAUUAAUAAGGACAUAACGAGGAUAAGGAAAACUAAGACCCUAAUGAUGUUUACAUUCAAAACACCAACACUCAUGGUAUCUUUAUAACGGUAAUAAAGAGAUAGAUAAAUAGAUAAAUAAUAGAUAUUCUUGAAUUCUACAUGCAAAGGCAAAAUGGUACUCUUUUCUGGCAUAAAAAUCUUAUCUUAGCCGAAAUUGGAGUUCUUCUCCUUUCAUAGGUAAUCCAUUUGCUUGCGUGUGAAGGUUAAAGAAUUCCUCAUUUGCAUCUACUUAGUACACAUAUUGGGAGUGCGAAUGGAAGGUUUAAAAAGCAGUUAGCAAACCACUGAAGACGAUGAAUGAUAUUUGCAAAGAGGGCUGUGCUAUAAAUGGGAUCACAAGCUCAGCAACUUUAUUGCAACUCCUAAUCUGUACUGGCACUGCAGAAUGCUUUACAGAGCAUACUGAUGUGAUCUGUUAAAACCCCAAAACCACAACGAACACUUCUUAGCAUAUCAGCAACUCCCACCUCCCAAGUUUUCCCUAUCAGGAUGGAUGUUAGUACUGAGUCAUGAAAGGCUUCAUCAAGUCAAUUUUUCUUGAUGUGAUCCUCGACUGUUUGAACCUGUUUUGUGAGCUAAAUUUUGAUGGUCACUACAGUUUACUUUACAUCAUAGAUGGAUUGUCGUCCCAAAAAAGAAAAUAUAACGACCGACACCAUUAGUUUCAAUUACCAUCAGAUCCCAGUAAUAUUCCCAUCUAGUAGAUUCAAGAAAUGGAGUAUUUGAACUUUAUGUGCAUUAGGCUUCUCGAAGUUCCAUCUCUACCCAAAAUGACAAACGAAAAGUAUGCUAUAUUGGCUUUAGUGUUGCCUAUCCUUGGCUUUGAUGAAUCCAAGUCUAUAGCACCGGUGCCUAAAGAAUAUUCCAUAUUGGUCAACAACUACUGGCCACCCUGCUGGAUCUUUCAGAUCUCUGGGCUGUCUAAAGAAUCCAAGGAUGAGGAUUGCUACUGAGGCAGCUAGUGAGAAUCUAAAAUCCACAGGAUAUUUUGCUUUUCCAGUGUUAUUGGCUUGAAAAUUUACCACCAUCAGAUAGUAGUGGUGCAAACAACAUCCAUAUCUUUGAUGUGGUCCUGGUGCAUCAAAAGAUGCAUGCACUACAACCAGCAUCCACAAGAAAAUGAUAUGAGAAUUUGCCUUUGAAAUCUUAAGGGAAAACUGCGGACUAGGCUCCAGAAGAAGCACCAUCAUCCAUCUCAUGCUGACAUCCGUGGAUGCCAACUGAAACCAAACACAUGAAAAUCAUUUUCUUGAUGUUCAGGAUAGAAGCUAUUAAGAAGUGUACGCUUGGAAGUGAAACUGCUGUCGCAAACCACUGAGUAGCACUACAUGGUAAUUCACAAUUUUUCACAUAUCAAAGUAUCAAACUGAACGCAGAACUGUUUCAUCAUGAAGUCAGUUCUGCUAAGUUAUUGGGCAUCAUUAACGCCAGGCUUCAAUUCUCUCUGUCAGGGAGUUUAUACGGCUCAAAUUGCUGAUUCCUUUGCUCUUAUUCUGAACUCCAAUAGCUAGAGCCACCAUAUGCUGCUCCUCUGUUCUCUUAGUACAGUUCAUCUGAAUGGAAUCACUGGACUGGCCAGUUCUGCUUUCUGGGAUGCUCUCUUUGAUGUCAUUCCUUGGACCACUUGCUAGAUUGGUUGCUGUAUAGGGACCAAUGGGAGUUCCACUAGACACACUUUCAUCAGAACAUUCUUCAGGAGAAGUUGAAGAACUGACAUACUCCUCAACGCUAAUGUUAUCUACUUGCUGACACUCAGAAGCACUAUCUGGCUCAGGUUCUCCAGCCACAAACAAAGGUUCGGGCUCUUCAUUUGACUCAGUAGCAUCCUCCACACAAACCUCUGGACUCUGAUGUCCAUUCUCAUCAUAGGGUUCACGGUGGAACAUGGAAGCUUGUUCUACAACCGAAUCUUCUCUGUCUCUUAAGGUCUUCUCAAUAAGAGUCUUGAGGAAAUUCAUUACUUGGACUGCAUACAUUAAUGCAGUCAAUGGAUCAGCCAUCUGCAGAAGGAAAAAGAAUUAAAAAGAAUCAACUCAGUUAAAAAGGAACAAAGGAUAAUGUUAAGAAUAAAUUCAAGAAGAGCAAAAGUAUGAUUAGCGAAACUCACCAUAUAGAUAAGGUCACCAUAAAUAUGUUAACAUUCGGACAGGUUUUGCUUUUUUCCUUUUUCUUUUUGGGAGGUACAGUGGAGUUGGAACAGUUACAAAUGCCCAUUAUAACUCCCUACUGUCACUUCAGAGAUGCAUAAUUUCAAGUAUGAUGCUGCUGUCAAAAUUCUUAUGGCUGGGCCAGAAUGAGAUAGUAAUGCACACAUAGAGAUGAUAGAAAUGGUCUAAAAUUAUCAUUCCUUCUCUUAAAAGUAUCUUUAAGUUGGUCUCACUAAGUUUUUCCCUUUUAAGCUUAACAAAUUUCCUGGAAGUGGUAUAUUGUCAUAGCAUCUGACAUUUGUGUGUGAAGAAUUCUGCCUUGGAAGCUUAGUUCCCCAAUGGACAAAAACUAAGAUUUGAUUCUUAUACCUUUUCUUUAAGUAGAACAAAGUAUGUUUUCAGGUAUGCAGUGGAGAAAAGUGAAUCAUUAACUUAAUACAAAUCACAAUAACCAAAAGGAAGCAAAGUUGAUUUAAUAAAAAAAAAAAAGUUAAAUUAGAUGCUCAUCCUAAUGCCAUCAAAAUUUACAGCAUUAUAAAAGAUAAGUAGCUGCAAGAACAUUACCUGCGUCAUAUUGGGCGCAAAUACCAUGGCAAUGUUGCGUGAGUUCAUCUUGUUUAGAUGUUCCAAUUGAACGACAUCUGCCAUCAAGUUGAUUGCCCAAUCCAGUAGAGCAGCUUCAGAUGAGGGUAGAAGCCUCACCAGUGCUGCACAAUCCUCCAUUGUUUGGCAUUGCAUAAUCUGUUCAGGUGAAAUAGGGUCUAAUACACCGCUAGGGAGUUCUCUGAACCAAGCCUGCAGGAUCAUGUGAAAAUUAAGUCAACCCUAAAACUUGCAGUGACUACUAGUCAAUGGGGUUAGCAAAAUAAAAUGCCUACUGAGCAAAGAGUAACUGUUGCAAACUCAAAAGCAAGUACAACUAAUCAGAAUUUUUCCAAACACAGAUCUUUUUCCAAAGCAUAUAGUCAAUCCAUUUUUAUGCAACUGUUUAAGAUAUUUGGACUGGCCCAAGAAGAUGAAUUUCUUCUUGCUUCUGCUCCAAAGACACUUGAGAGAGAGAGAGAGAGAGAGAGAUCUUUCAGGAAUGAAUAUAAUCAUCAAACCCAGAUAUAAAGAAGACAAAAGAAAAUUUGAAACAAUCUUCGUACUCUAUUAAAAAACAGAAGCAGAUUACAAGUAGAAUUCAUUUGGUAGAGAUUUAUAAUCUAGAUUUCAUAUCUAAUGCUUAAUCAUGAAAGUCCACAUAUUCACCUAAUUACAUUCUGCAUAACCAACAAUCUCCAUCCUAAUGCCCAAAACUGAGCCCAAAAAGAUGAUUAAUUGAUACUACCUAAGAUGUUGAACUUCCAUCUUAGCGCAGAAUUUCAUUGUUGGUCAAUAAGCUAAUGGGACUCUGGGUGGUCUUUAUCAUUCAGUUACUGACAAUAAUCAUCAGUAUGGUGAUGAAUUACAAAGAAGUUAUACUUCAGUUUAUCAUAAAAGGCAUGAGCUGACACUAGGGUACAGAAUAAUCGAAUUAACACAUUACAACUUUCAAGGUUGGAUGUGCUAUAUCAAGGAGCUUAUUGCAUAAUGCGAGUAUCAAAACACUGUGUCAAAAUUCUGUAUAUAAGAUUUCAUACAGCAAAACACAAUCACAGGGAAAUGAACAUAUUUACUUAAGAAUACAUGUAUAGCAAAGGCCAAUAGAAUCAGUAAUUCCAUUAAAUGUAUGAUACACUAAAUGGAGAAGUACUUAACAAGCUAGAAUUCCCCAAAUUUAUUCACAAAAAAUGAGAGGUAAUUCAGAUGGGCUUCAUUUCCAGAAUACAAACAAGAACAAUAAGCGGGAACCUUUAUUACAACGAAAAGGCCAGCAAAGGUUUGUAAUUGUUUAUUAGCAUAUAGGGAAAAAAAAAAUAGAAGAAGUAAUAUAUACCAGGUUGUCAGGUUAGUUCAACUUUUAACUGCUUGAUAACACUUAGGAUAGAUAUCAAUGGCUCAAGCACUCUGUCAGUCUCAAUACUGUAUGAUCUAGGUUAUGCCUUUAACAAGAUAUGUAUCAUUAUAAACACGAAUGAUCUUAACAUAAACCAUCCAUAUCUACUAACUUGUAAUAUAAAUAUGCACUCCCAUUAAUAUUGUCCAACAGAAGAAGCAAAGUUAUAACUAAAAAAGGAUAUGGCAGUCAUAUCUACUCAUAUUUUGAGGUCAGGAUGAUUGCAAAAUAUCCCUCUAAUAAAGUUAAACAGCCAUUGGAGAAACUGAAAAAACGGAGGUAAAUAUACAUAUAAAAAUUUCAUUAAUGUACAUUCAUCCUAGCUUUCCCAUUAAUGCCAUCAUGAACAAGACAUUAUUAAAUAACAGAAUACCAAAUGCAUUUGAGGUGCACCUUGAUUAGGCCAGCCAAACAGUGAACAUCAAUGCCUUCCGGAACAGUUCCCCCGUUUAGUUGGUCCCUCACAUACUCUUCCUGGCUAUUUUCUGCAUUUAUUCUGAAAAUGCCUUCUGCCUGCAUAAGUUGAAAAGUUAAACUUCAAAGCUUGUGAAUUUUAUUAAAGGGUAGGUUGUGGAGAGCUUACUAGCCAUACAGAGAAAUGUAUUUCAUGAAUGAAACAGAAGAUCCUAACAAAAAGUCUUCACCUGUAGGCCACCUUGAGCAUACAAACGUCCUUGCAUAAGUAAAAGGAUUGUUGGAAUACUGUUCCCUCUGGAGUCAAAUGAUAACUGCAUGGAUUCUGUGGAAACUCCAAAAACAGUGGCACUGUUGGUUCAAGUUCAAAAAGUCACUAACAGUGAGGACACACUCAUGCUAAGAAAAUGAUUAACACUUAAAAUGGAUUCUCAAAGAUGUAAACUACACAUUGAAACAUCACAAAUAUGUAGGAAUGAAAAUAAAGAUGUUAACUUCUGGACACCCCAAGGAACCAAGUCCAGAUUAUAUUCUGCUUGGUGCAUGAUUAAAGAGAUUUACAACUGAUAUAAAGAUAAGCAAACAGCAUACUAUAAAAUAGCUCUAAAUUCUAUCCAUGAAUACAUGAGUUACCGGUGGAUAACACACAUUGCAUUACAAACUUGUCAUACAUAAACGCAAGAUCAAACCAGCCAAGGCAGGCAUCCAGACAUGGGAAGUUUCUGAAAAUGCAUAUGCUCAUAUAUACCAGAUAUGCAGCUCUUAAUAGAAACAUAAACACCUUUAUCUCAAGAACCCACUUUUCCACUGAAGCUACCUCCCUCUCCCUACCUCUUCCUCUCUUCCCCCUUGUAUUUGGUAUUUGCCAAAAUUGAGAUUGGGCAAGUACCAGAAGUCAUUUGCAAACUAAAGCAGAUCCAACUUUUCAAAAUAUCAACUAGUAUCUUCUCACCUGUUUCUAGAAAAUUAGGUCAAUCUUCAAAAAGAGAGUUCACCAAAGAAAAGGGUCUCCAGUUAACCUUCACAUAAUGGGCUUAUCCCAUGCCAAUCCUGCUUGCCAUUAAAAAGAAACAAAUGAAGGACACCUUGAUCUGAAAGAUCCAAAUAUGCAGGUGCCCCAUCUUGGUCCAAGCAAGGUUGUAAGGUCCAGAAAACAGUAGUGUCCCAGGGGAAUGAGAUAAUGCACAUUCUGGCCAAUGAAUAUCAGUUUAUAGACAACACUUUCCUAAUGCACAUAACAAGGGAGUUAUUUGGUAGCUCACAGACAAGACGAGGAAGGAUAUACAAACUACUUUUGUGCAUUAUCACUUGCAACAAAAGAAAGGUUCGAGACAUCUACCAAAUUACUUGAUACACAAUUGGAGGUUGACGUAUAACUCAUAUUGAAUGGACAAGAACAGAGAACAGCAGAAAGCAAAAUUAAAUGCUCCCUUAGCAGAUACAGAUUUGUUUUAGAGGAUAACAAAAGCACAAAUGAACAAGUAGAUUCAUGCACUGAUUCAAAGUGGAGGAACAUAUUGUAUCUCAUCACAAAAAGAAGAUGGAUAAACGCAGUUUUGACAGGAAAUCAUUUUUUGGUUACAGCAAAAGAUGAGUUCUCUCAGAAAGCAAAUUGGCACAAACACAGUAGAAUAAGCAUAUAGAUUAGUAGAAGCCAGGGUUUAAGCCUAACUCCAGCUUAUCUUCUUUUUCAAGAUAAGGAAACUCUGGUCAUAUUUCUGGAAACAUCUUUUCCAGUUACAGUUUGAGAAGAAACUCAAUGCAGGAAAACUAAUCAAUCCUGUCUUUUAAUAUCUCAGAGGUAAAGUAUAGCAAGUCCACACCUUCCCAUAUACCUUAACCCACAUUAAAAUUGAGAAAUAAAUUACUGAAGUAUCAUAAAAGGUGUUCAACCAACAAAUUUUUACUUAUAAAGCUCUACUCGCAUAUAAGUUUCAGUCCCUAGACCAUUUGACUGAAGCUAGAUCUCAAUUUGGAAGAACCAGUACUCCAACUUUUGUGUCAUAUAUCUAAUGUGCCAAAUGAACUGAUAGAAUCAUAAGCAAAACGUACAGCCAGUUAAACAGCAGCAAGGAAAACCUAAAUUUACAGAAUUGCGUUCAAGAAAAACCAUCAAGCUAGUAAACGUUCAAUAAAAGAAUCAGCUACACAAGUGCUCAUUGAUACAAAAAUUAUUUUGUCCAAUUCCAAAAUUUCCUAUUAAACACAACUAACAAUUCACCAACAAAAAAGACUCACAAGUUCAAGACCCUGAACCCAAAAUGCACACGUACACGAACAAACAGCACAAAUUACAAAUGGAGAAUUCCAAAAUCCAAGAAAAAGAAAAUUCGUCCACAUUUCAGGAUAGAUAAAUAACCAGAAGGAAGAAAAGAAAGAAAGAAAGAAAGAAUGUACCUAGCACUAGGAGCCCUUCUGGGGACUUCAGGCUCAAACUCAACAGGCAAACCCAAGAAGCCAUUAAACCUAUCAAAGGUGACAUGUGCAACAUGGCGGACAUUAGUAGGCCACCCAAUCUCCAUCCCUCCUGCAGCACCUCCGCCUCUAUUACCAAGCUCUUCUCUUCCACCACCGCCAGUAGUAGUCUUGCAAGCCAUCCAAAAACUUUUCCUAAUCAAUGUCACCAGAAAAGCUAGUAAAGACAGCUGAUGAUCCCUUCUCUCCUUGUUCUCUUUUUCUUUCACUUCUCCUCCUUCUUCUUCACUUUCCCCCUCACUACCGGUAAUUCUAGCAAUAAUUUCUUCUUCCUCUUCUUCUCUUCUUCUCAGAAAAGACUGAAACAAUGUCCCAUUGUCGGUUGGGGUGGAAAUUGAAGGAGAAGAAGAGGAGGAAGACGAGUGGAGUACCUCUGUCAUGGCUGGCCUUUUCAGUAGAACUAAAAAAUGGGUUUUUUUUUUCUCCAAAAAAAAAAUCAACAAAGCAAGAAUCUCGUCUUUUUCUUGAGAAUUAAAAUAUGGGUUCUUGAAGAUUUGGUAAAGGGUCUAAAAAAAUGGAAGAAAUGGGGUGGAAAGAUUCAAUCUUGAUGUAAAAUGUCAAUAUGGUGGUGGACUGGUGGUUAUAGUUUGAGGGAGGCAACGAAUGGGAUGCAUGAAUAAUAUGAAGAAAAAUGGAAUACUGCGAGAGAUUCGUAUAAAGGGGUAGCAGUUAUACAAGAGUUAGAUUGAAGGAAUGGUAAGGAGCGAGGAGAGAUGGGACGUGAGAAUCAUGAACCGCUGACUGAUGACUAAUUUUUCCCAUUUUUUAUUAGUAUACGUUUCUUUCUUGUGUUGUUGGCUCUGUUCUGGCUUGCUCUUGAAUGAUGGAAGCGUUGAAGAAAUCAGAUAUGUGCUCGAGGAGAGAGAAGAGGAAAUGGAGAGUGAGGAGGGGAAUGCCAUAAAGUUAGCAUAACAAAAUUACUAUCUAUAUAUAUUAUACUACUCCUAUAUAUAAAUCUAGGACAUAGUAGUGUAUUGUGUAUGUGUGAGUCUGCAAGUGUUUAGUGUGUGAAAUUGGGUUUUGGGGAGAUUCACUUCAGAAGGUGAUAUCGCGAAGAUGUGUUCUUGCUUUGGAUCCCAAUAUCUCAUCAGACGUCUGAGCUGCUCGUCAGGGGUCUUUUUGGUCUUAUUGUUUUUUUUUUGGCCUUAUUGUUACUCUGGCCUAAUAUUCUUUUUGGUAUCUUGGUGUAUCCAGUAAGAUUAUGCCACAUCAGAAAUAUAUAGAUCAGUUUUUGUCAUUUGGGGUCAAAGUUGAUGUCAUUAAUUUUUCUUCUUUCAACUUUCAAUUCAUUGAAUUCAGUUUUAAUCCCUUGAGAAAAAGCAUUCCAGAGUUCAUUUAUUCUCUGUUUUUCUUCUUCAUUUUCAAGCAUCCAUUUGUAAUUUCUUCUUCAUUUAUUCUCUGUUUUUUUUCUUGUUUGGACAGCAAUUUUUCAAAGAGAAAUUGAUACGUUUUUUGUGAACACAUUUCUCAAUCACCUUUUUAUCUCACAUAUAUCAAAUCGUUGCAAUAAUUUUUCUAUAAAAAGAAUCCAUAAAAAUGCAAUCCAAACAGGGAUAUUCUUCGAGCAAUAAUGCAACAAUAACAUGUUGCUCAAGUUUUGGGAUCAAAAGAUAGGGUGAUAGCAAUUGAUGGUUCAUUCAUAUCAAGGGUCCCAAAUGAGAGCAAUCAAUGAAUCAUGCUACGCCAUAUAUAUAUAUAUAUAUAUAUAUAUAUAUAUAUAUAUAUAUAUAUAUAUAUAUAUAUAUAUAUAUAUAUAUAUAUAUAUAUAUAUAUAUAUCUAGCAAAGAUGACUGCUUAUCUGCUUGAAGACAGGGACGGAGCCAGAAAUUUAUUUUUGGGGGGGCUGAAGUGUAUUAAAAAAUUUUUUUUGUCACGAAAUAAAUAUAUUUAAUAAGUAAAAUUUAGAAUCAAUAAUUAUAAAAAUAAUAAAAACAUAUAAUUAUACAUACCCAAAAAUUUGUUAUUGAUUAACACUUGAAGUAUUGGUAGUUGUUGCACUCGAAUAACGAAGAGGAGGCAAUUGCAUUCUGCGAGUCUUCAUCCGUUGAAAACGCUGCAAUAUUUGCUCAUUUUCAAUUGUUGCAAAAAUAUCCUUCUCGAUGUAUACAACCAGACAGUCAUUCAUCCACUCGUCUCCCAUUUUGUUGCGCAAAUCAGUCUUGACAAUAUUCAUUGCAGAAAAUACUCUUUCAACAGAAGCAGUUGGAAAAAUUCUGUCGUAGGGAUGGCAAUUAUAGGGCAGGAGAUCCCUCUCCCGUCCCGUGCUUUUAAAAUUCUUUUUAUUUAUAAUAGCAACGAAUUGGGAAAAUUCUGCCAUUUGAUGGCAAUGGGGUGUGGGAUCCCUCUUCGAUCCGAUGUUCUAAAAUCUCCCUGGCCCAGUUCCCCGCUUUUUCUAUCCAUAUACCCUGCCUAUACACCUACGGGUGCCCUCACUAUUGUGUAAUUAUACUUUUUAUGUAUAUAAAACAUUAAUAACAACAUUAUAAAUUAUUUUUUAAAAUUCUUAACUGAAUAUUCAAUGUAAAAUCAAGGUUAAAAAUCACUUUGAUCUUUUUUUAAUUCAUUUCUCUACUUUUAAUAGGAAAUCUAAACUUACAAUCAUUAUGUUUAAACAAUGUAAAAAAAUUGAAGUAAACUAAAAAAUAAUUAAAUAAUAAUGUGUUUAUGUAUAAAUGUAUAUAUAUGUAUAAAACAAUAUAUAGAUCAUUGUAUUUUUGUUCAAUUUUUAUAUUGAUAACCUGCUCCGUUGAAAUGAGGGGAGAAAAAUCUAUCCGGCCCUGCAUUCCUAAUCUACCGCUAGUUAUGCACUUGACAUCAAAAGUAGAAAGAAACUAACGACCAAUAGAGCAAAGGAAUUGAUUCAUACAGAGACAUGUCCAAGUCAUUAUGUUUGUCCGGCAUUAUCAUUAUCUCCUUUCACCGUGGGGGGGCUGGGCUGGCCGCCGGAAUCCCCUAUAUAUAGGGGGUUUUCCGGCGGCUUGGGGGGGGGCUUAAGCCCCCACCAGCCCCCCCUUAAAUCCGUGGCUGCUUGAAGAUAUGGUUAUAUCCCUCUUUUCUUACAAUUUAGAGUAUCAAUUUGCAAUAUCUAAUAUUACAUUUUAUCUCAAGAUAAAGUUUUAAACGCAUGAAUCAAAUAAAUCCACUGUCUAACUCUAACUCAUUAGUGUUUUGACCCUUAACUCCACAAUCACCAAAACUCAUUGCCCUUUUCCUGAAAUUUGGUUUUUAUCCUUGUAAUGAUCCUUGAAGGAAAAUAAUAAUAACAAAUGACCCUUAUUGUACAGCAAUUUUUUCCCUGGUACCUUGCUGGAUUCAUCUACAACUACCCUCGCACCAGCUUCAUUACUUGUUAGUUCUGACCCUGCCAUGAUUUACUUGACACAAAAUUUUGUCGGAUAUAAAAGUGUAGUUAAUUAUUGCAUGUGCUUGCUCAAAUUCAAGCAGGACAACAGAAAAUUUAUUUACUACUAGUCUAAUAAAUGCGUCAUAACAACCUUCACCUUGAUUGGAGACCGACUUAACUUAUUAAUCUCAAUGAUUUUGGUCAAGAAUCAAUCAUAUCAUGCAACCAUCAAAACGCCAGUCAUUUCUCACUUCUGAUAUACCAAGUCUAGGAAACUUCUUGGAUUGAUAAUCAUGUUUGGUAAAUUACCCUUACUUACGCUUAAUCUUUACUCGGUGGAAAACAUACUACUAUGUGUCAAAGCAAAAUGCGCAAUAAGUUUUACCAAGUGCAUUUUACAAGUCUUUGCUGGUAUCUGUUCUAAUUGUUAUUCACAUCUAAUGCCAGAGACAGUGAAUUUGUAACAUAUACUCCUAUGAUCGUGGUAGAUUUGUGCCAAUUCCGGUUACCAUGAAAAGGGAUUUUGGGCAUCAUUUCUUCAUUCUUUUAUGAACUUGGUAGAUGGGAAUUAUGCCCAUUCAAAAUACAUUGCUGAGUGAAAAUAGAUGUAUGUGGUAAUAGACAUAAAAGUGUGGCAUAAAUGUAGUUGAGCCUACUUGAGUAUCAUAUUGAAUCUAUAAUUAACUUGCCAAGCCAGAUUCAUCUUUACUCAAAAUUAAGACGACUUAAAGGAGGAUGGAGCUCUCUAAUCAUUACGUUUUUCUCACUUUGGGUGCUCCCUAGUCUCAUUAUAUAUUUAGGUAGUGGAUUGAGUACCUUAAAAAGGGACAUCAUAAGCUUUUCCUCUUGAACUUCCAAGAUGUAAAAUGCUGCCCCUCUAAGUUUUUUUUUUUUUUAAUUAAAGGUGAAGAUUUCUCAAGUAGUUUUCCAAAUUAUAGAAUUUAUAAUGACUGCCCUUCUUGGUUAAAUUAUCCAACAAAAAUAUGUAUGCCAAUUUAAAAAUCUUCUUGCAUAUAAUACUCCCACCAUCCCAUUUUGAUAGUUUUGUUUUUUUUUCACAUAAUUUAAGAAAAAUUAAUUAACUUUGUUGGAAGAGUAAAUCUAACCUACUAUUUUUUAAAUACCCUUAUGCUAAUAUUAGGAGUAUGACUAAUCAUUAUACCUUUAUUUUAAUUAUAAUAAUAAUACUAAAUAGAAAAUUGCACUAUUCAAGGCAUGAAUCAGAGCAAUUAUUGAAUAAGGUGGAUUACACUCACUGACAGUAAAAGUACAUUAAAUAAGGGUAUUUUAGAUAAAUUAAAAGUUAAUUAGUAUAUUUUUCAACAAAAAGUGAAAUAUAAUUUGAGAUGGAUGAAAAAUAAAAACAAGAAUAUCAAAGUGAGAUAGAUGGAAUAUAAUACAAUGAGGGAAACAUAAUCAAGGUGUAGCGAUGCAUGGGAGAUUUUUGGAAUUUUGUCAAAUUUUACGGGCGAUCAAUGUAAUUAACCCAAAAUAAUUUUGAACAAAAAAUUUAAAAAAAUAUAUGAAGUAGAAGUUGUGGACAAAGCUUACAACAUGAUUACAUCCAUCAAAAAGUUUAUAUUAUAUAUCUCGUAGCGACGGUGUUGUGCUGUACUAGCCCAGAAGACACGUGAAGCCGAAGAAGCAAAACACAUGUAAUCCACGCGUCGUAUGCCCUCUAGCUUCCUCUUCAUAGUUUCUCUUUUGCCUUUAUUUUUUUUUUUUUUAAAUCUCAAGUACAAUUUCUGCUAUAUUUAUUCUUGAUGAUUCUUUUGCUUCCUAGUACUAAGUAGAGAUUAAUUUGCACCUCAGACGUUAAUUUAAGGAAAUCAAGAAGUGCAAUUAUGGCUAGUACUCCUGAUCAAGAAGCUGAUCAAAUGGCUGCAGCUGCUAUAGAUGAUGACUUGACUUAUGAUCAAUUAGGUGAUGGAGAGAUAGAGCAAGAACUUGAUUCUGAUUUUCUUCUUAAUCCUGAUAUUCCCACCUCUUCUAAACAACUAAAGGUACGAAAUUUGCUGACCCUUUAUGUUAUUUUAUAACUUUCAUGCUUUGUAAGCUCUAAUUUCUGUGUUGCUUUUGUCUUUGCUUAUGUCCCAAAAGGAGAAAAAAAAAAAGUGCUAUAUAUAGUUUUGUUAUGUAUUGAAGAACAAAGGUAUGUACCAUGGCUUAAAUCUUAACUUGUCACCUUUCUUGUAAUCUUGACUUGGCAACAAUUAAGUGCUACCUCUUUUGUGAUUAUGUGCUAUUCUGAUUCUAAGGUUGAAGCCCAAAACGUGGAGGUUCUUAAUUUUAGGAUUCCGACUUCAAAAAUUAGCCAAAACAUGUUGCCAAGAUCAAGAAUCAGUUGAGAACUAACCCAAAAGAUGUUCUUAAUUUUAUGAUUUUCCUAAAAUUCAGAGGUGUUUUGAGUUGUUCUUGAAUUGGUUGACUUGAUUUACUACUACAUUGGAACUUGCUGGCAAUUUGCAGAAUGAAAAAGCUGAUGCAGAAAGGAAAGAAAACAAGCAUGGGAUGCCUGAUAACCUCAAGUCCACCCUUCUAUUUUCAGGGGUGGUGAUUGCUGUGGUUGGAGCUAUAUUUGCUGUGCUUAAGAAGAUUAGAGAGGCAUAAAUUUCUCUCCUCCUGAAGUUUUUUGAAGUCACAUCCGCCGUUGCAUUUUCACGCUCACCCAAGUCUGGAAUGUCAAGCCAUCAACUUCUAGCUUUCUUUCAAUAGACUAAGCUGUAAGGAAUCAUUUUGGGUUGCACGUUCAAAUCAACAAAUUGUACAUCGAUCUCAAGCUUUCCCCCUUGACAAAAAUGAAAUUAAUAUCACUGCACUGUAAUUUCCUUUACUUCAGGCUUCAUCCCUUCAUUUUGAGGGAAGAAAAAAGUCUGCCAAGAGACCCAGAGCCUUCUAAACUUUCAAUUUGCCUUCAUCUUCCUAUCCUAAAAGAUCCACCAUCUACGUCCUUCCGUUUCUAAAAUUUUCAGGCCUAAUAUUUAACAUUCCUCUGCAAAGGGUACAGGGCACAACUUGAAGCCCAGCAUUUUCCUGUAAAUGCAGUGGAUACAUACAACGAAUACCAUAAAUUUGCUUCAUAAACAUGGGUUUUGGAUGUUGUACAGGGUCUCCAACCAUAAAGCAGCAGUAGGAGAAAGGAGGGAACAGAUCACCAAUCAGAACAUAUCAAAUCAAAAAUCAUUUGCAUGUAUCAGCGUGUGCUUCCUCCUCCUCUAAAAGAGCUGUAGUUUACUAGAAUUAACAUGGAUAAAAUCGUCACAAAGUAGCAGACAAGUUAUUAUAUCUCAGCUUCACAUUGUAUAUCCACCAUUUAGUGUAAAAGUACUCGUUACAAGGGGGAAGAGAAGAGGUAACACAUCAAAGAUUAGUCUGCAUUAUUUCCUCUUAGCCAUAGCUUUGUGUAAAUUUGCCUUAGUCAUGCACUUCUUCUGCUUUCUUGUCUUUUGACAACAAGUACCAACCCCCAGCACCAAGAAGAGUCACCGCUCCAGCAACAACUGCAUAGUUUCUAUACUUGUCAGUUGACACACCAGGUGUUGAGGAGCUCUGAGCACUAGGUUUAGCAUCAGCAACAGAUCCUGAACCCCCUGAGCCUGUUGCUGUCUCUUCUGCUUUUGGUCCCUGUUAGAAAUUAGCCACGAAGUUUUAAGAAGUGAAAUCAUGAAGCUCAUAACAGCAGAAAGUAAACACAGUAUGAACACAUUUAAAUCUCGCCUCAAUUGGUUAUCAUAUCACCACAUAUCAUAUCACCACAUAGGAUAACACGUUGAUGAGAAUGAAUUACAAAUAUGCAAACUAAAAUGUUAUGCUAGAGAAUAUGCAACAUACUAAAAUUCCAAACAAAUUCUGGCUAGAACACACCAAAGCAGCAAAUAUUCAAUCACCAAGAUGAUUAUCAUGUCGCAAAUUAAUCUGACGAUUCCUUUCCCUAGUGUCAAAGUAACUGAGAAUUUUCUUUCCACUCUGCAGAAUAUUUUGAAUUAAAAGUGUAUAAACUGAACCACUAAUAGUUCACAAACACCAAGGUAAAAUCAUAGCCAUUUUUUUGUGUACCUUGCGUGCAAGCUUCUCCAACUUCUCUUGCUCAAUUUUCUGCAGAGCAAACAAACAAAUUCAGCAGUUAAAGAAUUUGAUCUACACAAAGGAAAUCGAAAUGAACAAUCAAGUCAACAUAGAGAAGCAGAAAUUCAUGUAUAAUAAUUAUAACUACAUCAUAAAUAGUUCUGAAUUCAUACAUUUAUCCUCCGUUACGGCUCUGAGGAAAUUAGUUUCCUAACCUUAGGAGUAGAAGAAUGAGUAAAAGGAGAAAAGACCAAGUAAUAAGAUCAAUUUUCAAGUGCCAUCAAGAGAGAGCUAGACAUAAAUAUCUUUUUUUUCAAUCUGAAAUCCUUUGUGCGGUAGGGUGACCAAUCAACAUCGAACAGGAAAAGGGACAGAGUCAAAACAGCAAACUUAAGUUUCUAGAAAUGCACAGUAAACCCUAGACUAGCACUAAGAAGCCCAACAAAUGGAACGCCUACCUGUGAUCAUGUCUAUUAAACACAUUAAACAUGCUUUAUCCACAUAAGAGCCAUUCUUAGACUAGACAUCCAACAGAAUUCAACACUGUUUGAAGAUUCAUGACCUAGUUUAGACUUGAGAAUCACACAACAAACACUAGAAUAUGACUUGGUGCUUGCCAGGUGCAUAACUGAGGGAUCUGGAGUUGUUAGAUUUUACUCAAAAUAAGAACCAUCGAAACAUGAAGCCUUUUGAGGAGUAUCAAUACCAUCAAAUGUCAGAGUACUCAAUAUACCCAACCCCAAGCAUUUGAGAACCAGAAUAUGCGAUCUUCCUAUAAAGAUUUAGUCAAGCAUACGAGAAAAAACAUAAAAAACAACUUACAACUCCUGCAGGAAACAUAAGCAUUCAGAAUUUUGACAUUUCCGACUAAUCAUUUGCUUUAGGUACCAAAGCCGAUAAUAUACAAUAAUGCACAUGUAUGAUCCUUUCUGUGUAUGGAUACAGUUCUAGACACAGAACAAGAAACAGAUACAAACUGUCUAGCAGCUCAGAUAACUAUGCCGAAAAUAGAACACAAUCAGGAAAUGCCAAAAAGGAUACAGCACCUUCAUAAAAAUAUGCAACUAAAAAUCAAAACUGAAUGCGUAAGUAAAUUGCAACCCAGCAGCAACAUCCAAAAGAUCAAUCAGGAAAAAGAAACCCAAUAUCCCAAAUAAACAACAGUACUUAUUAACCUUGAUGUAGACAUUUUCUGCAGCUUUUUCCUCCUCACUGAGAACUUUGCCACUGCUAGAGAACCUGCGAGAAACAUAUCUCAUUGCCAUCCUACUCGCCAUUGUGAGCUGCCUUGAUAAGAAUUCCCUGUCAAAAACGUAGAUAAUUACAAAAUCUUCCACUGACUACACUAACCUACUGCUUUAGCAAACUAAACCGAAAUCUAAACAUAUAAUCAAGAAAAUGAAUCGAUCCCAUCAUAGAUUCACAACAAAAAUUAAACAAUCCAAAAUUUUUUGCCAAUGAAUUUUAAACGAAAAAACAUGUAUAACAAUAAUAAUUAAAAAUCCUUAAAAAAACCCCAACAAAAGAGAAUAUUAGUAAUGUAGAGACAAAACCCACAAGCCAGAAUCCACAAAAUGUAGAACUUCAUACAAUCAAAAUAAAUUCAUCUGAUUUCGAACCGCUUCAACUAAUAAUGCAGGAUAUGCAUGCGAAAAAAAAAUCAGAAAAAUACUCGAAAUUAAAUAAAUAUAUGAAAAAAAAUCAAGAGGUUGGGUGCUUACCAAGAAAUUCGGAUUGAGAGAAAAUUGUGAGAGUAGCUGAAUAGAGUUCUGCGUGGGUUUUUGUUAUAGAUUGGGAAGAAAAUACGUCAGCAGACUAGAAAGUUGUACUAGCGGAUUAGUAGUAGUUUUUUAAUAAGAAGCACAAUACCUCCGGCUCAAGAAAGGAAUUGAUUUUGUGGACCGGUCCAACACCAUUCUGGGCUUAGAACAUACAAAGCCCACAAACAGCAUUUUCGUUUUCUACACAAGUUUUCAGUAUUAAGAACUACUAAUAUUAAAUUAUCUUGGGAAAAUAUAUUUUGGAUAAUUUGUAGUGCUAUAUUUUUUGGAUUAACUUUUUAUGCCCUAACAUUGUGGUAAAUUUUUUACACUAAUAGUUAUGAAUACAUGCCACGUAUACAUGAUUUGACUUUUAAAUUUAAAUUAAUGUUAUGUAACAUGGUUUAAACAUGCUAGUGUAAAAAAAUUGUAUACUAGCAGUAUACAAAAAAAUUAAUCAUAUUUUUUAGUGUAUCUUGCUAGAUUAUUAAUAUUGGUGUAACCUAAACGAGGAUAAUCAAAUUGAAGAAGUUCAAUGUACAAAGGCCUGGUUUUAGUGUUCUUGAGUAGCUCAUAAUUAUUUAUGUGGGAAUUUUAGCAUUAAAAAAAUGGAUAUUCAUCAAACUAAAAUCAAUGUACAAAGGUCUGGUUUUAGUGUUCUUAAGGAGCUCAUAAUUAUUUAUGUGCGAAUUUUAGCAUUAAAAAAAUGGAUGUUCAUCAAACUAAAAUCAUCUAGUACACCAUGAAUACCUUAGAUUUAUUUGCACAUAAGUUUCAAAAUUUGUUACUAUAUCUCAUUGGGCAUGAAUUUAACCUUUUCUUAAAAAAUUUUAAGAUCUCUAAUUUUUAGAAUUUCAACUUUAGUCUGAACAAGAAUUUAACCUUAAAAGUUGAUGUAAAAGUUGUUAAGCAUCAAAAUUUGUUUGCUAUUUACUUUGAUUGGUUCACGAAUUAAUUUAAACAUAUUCUUGUCCUAUGAUAUUGUUAAAUAUCAUGCUUUUUGUUUUUCAAAUGGUGCAAUCAAUUGAAUUCUUGUGAAUUCAUAUUAGCACUCCCAAGUUUAGUAGCAACAAAUUCCUUCACUUUUCAAAUUACAAAAAUAUGUUCCAUUUGGAUUAAUAUUUUUUGAAUUUUCUAUACAAAAAUUAUAUGGUAGCGAUUUUGUCAUUUAAUGUAUGUAGGGUAAAAAGAUAAGCGUUAUUAUCACUUUGCCCCCCUUUAAUUAUAUCAUUAUUAUCAAUUUACCGCCUAAUGUUAUCUUUUAGUUACUUCACCAUAUAGGUAAUUCAACUCAGCACGUUAAUAAAAUUUUGACAAAAAUACUCUUUUAUUUUAUAGCAUUACUACAUUAUUAUUAUCACUUUAUCCCUUUAAAUUAUAGUAAUAUAAUCGCUUUAUUCUCUUCUAGAUAUUUUACCCUAUUGCUAAUAUAAAAAGUAUGUUAAAAAAUGUUUAAAUGCAUUUACCUUUUUUAUAUAUAAUUAAAAAUAAAAAGUUGGAAUAAUUAUUCUUUCUUUUUUCCACUCUAAGAUUCAAAAAACAUAAAAAUAAAAGGGUUUUCUCAAAUUUCUUCUUUCACACUUAUUAAUACUUGGAAAAGAAAAGGAGAUAGGACAGAAGGAAAUGGAAAAUUAGAUUUUGCAAAAAAAGGGAAAAAUAAGGAAGAAUCUAAUAUUAUCGUAUUACUUUAAUAUUCUCUAAAUUAGAAUUGAAAUUGGGUAAUAAACAGAAAAAUAAAAUAAUUUUAAAAUAAUAAAAAUAUUGAAUCCUUUCUUGUUUGUAUUUAAAAAAAAAAGAAUUGAAUUCUCUCUCUCCGUCACCCAUUUUUCUACUUUUUUUUGAAUAUAAAUAAGAUUGCCAAUAAGAAAUAGAUUAAUAUUUUGACUUUUUUUUUCUUCAUACUAAAAAGGAGAAGAGCCACUCUAAAUUUUUUAUUAUUUUUAUUAUACAAAAAAAGAGUGUCUAUCUUCUAAAGUUUUUUAACUUUUUAAGUUGGUUUAAUGAUAGGAUAAAUUAUUUAAAAAAUUACUUUAUGGGGUAAACUGAUAAUAAAGUUAUAAUUUAUGGGGGAUAAAGUAAUAAUAAUUUUAAAUGUUAAAUAUGUCUCAUCACUUAAAUUAAUAAAAAACUCCGUUAAGUUUAACCAUUAAUUUUGGGAUAAAAUGACUAAAAAUAACAUUAAGGGAGAAAUUGAUAGUAAAGCCAAACAUUAAGGGGGUAAAAUGAUAAUAAUCCAAAAUAUAAUUGUGAUACAUGGUUACUUAAAAGGCAAAAUCGUUCAAAACGUCCCUCACAAUUUGUAAAAUGAUUUUUUUUUGUCAUUCAUUUUUAAAAAUGUAAUUUUAUAUCCCUUACAAAUUCACAUUUAUCAAAUUUGAUCAUUACCUAAGUUUCUGACUAGUUUUUAGUCAAAAUUCAAUGUGUGCCUUGCAUGUGAUUAAUUUUUAGGGGCAAAAUUGUCAAAUCAAAAUUUAUAUAAUUUGAUUUAUAGUCUCUUAUAUUUCACAAAAUGAAUUGUUUCGUCUCUUACAUUUCACAAAAUGAAUUUUUUCAUCCCUCAUUAACCAUGUAUACGAAUAGUUUUUAUUUAAAUUCAUGUAUAUAUCUAUUUAAAUUCACUUGAACUGUACAAAUAGUAUGUAAUAUAAUGCUAUUUGAUUUCACCUAAACAGACUAAUUGUAGUUGUACAUAUAUUAUUCAAUAGAUAUAUAAAUGUGUUUAAAUCUAACAAUUUUGUUUUAAACCAAAAUAUAUAUAUAUAUAUAUAUAUAUAUCUAUAUAUUUGAUUUCACAAUGUAAAUCUAUUCAAUAUUUGUAACUUUUUUUUUGGUAAUAAUUCAUUUUAUCGAGUUGUGUAAUAAAAUCAUCUAAUUAAUCAGUUCUAAUUCGAAUUUUAUAGUCAUGCUAACAAAUUACAGUUUAAAUCUAGAGUUUUUACUUGUCACUUUUAAGACCAAUAGUUAAAUUUCUUACCUUAUGAUUGUUUUAAAAUUUGAAAGUGUCAAUCACUUACUUCUUUUUGUCAUACUUUUUAUUUGUUUAUUUUUUCUGUCUAAUUUUAAUUCGAUAUAAACACUUGAUAAUGUUUAAGAUUAAUUAUCUUCUUUAUUUUCAAUUUUCGAGUAAAAGGAAAUGAACAUGAGCGAAAAACUAACAAAUUAUUUUAAACUUCUGUAUAUCUCUAUUUAAUUUCAUAUGAACAGUAUGUUCAGGCGAAAUCAAAUAAAAAUAUAUUACAUACUGUUCGUAUUAUUCAAGUGAAAAAAAUAGAUAUAUACAUGAGUUAAAAAAAACUAUGUAUUGGAUUAUAUGUACAAAUAACUUUGAAAAAAAAUCAUUUUGUAAAAUGUAAGGAACUAUGUAUUGGAUUAUAUAAAUUUUGAUUUGAUAAUUUUGUCAUUAAAAAAUGAUCAUGUGCAAGGUACGUGAUGGAUUUCGACAAAAAACUAAUCGGAAAUUUGAUAGAGAUUAAAUUUGAUCAAUGUAAACAUGUAAAGGACGUAAAAGUAUACUUUUAAAAGUGAGGGACGAUAAAGUUAUUUUACAAAAUGAAGGCACGUUUUGAAUGAUUUUCAGUAAUUAAAAAAAACUCAAAAGCUGAGGUGGCAAGCCACUAUUAGCUAGAUUCACGUGUAAAAAUUAAAAAAAACCCUCCAAAAAACCUUGCAACUUUCAAUCUUCUUCCUCCAUUUCCAGCUCCGGCGACUGAGACACACCAUGGCGGUGCGGGCAACGGUGGGCCGGUUCCCGGAGAACCAGGAAGCGUUGGAAUCAAGCGGGAUACCAUGGGGAGUAACCGUGACGCCAUUCGCCGGGAAGGACGAGAACGGGAGCCCACCGGCGUACGGAUCGGACGGGAACCUUUUGCCCCGAUGCGAGAAUUGCUGGGCUUACUACAACACUUUCUGCGACCAAGAGCAGUGGGCUUGGACUUGUGCGCUUUGUGGAACCCUCAAUGGACUUUCUUCUCAGGCCAUCGCUCGUUAUUCUCUUCCCCACUCUUGUGCUGAGAAUCUCUCCUCAUUCAUCGACCUCGAAUUGCCAUGUAUUCUUCUUCUUCUUCUUUUUUUUUUUUUUUUAAUUUGUUAGGUUGAAGUUUUUGCUGAUGGUUUUAGGAUUCAGGACAGCACCCAAUAUGAUUUUUCCAUUUGGGAUUGUGUAUAUUGAUUAAAUUGUGGAUUGGAGCUAAAUCAUGAUUAUGGUUUGCAUUUCACUGGACCUUUUUCCAGUACUGGGCAAAGGUUAAUUUUGCAUUUCUAUGGUCAGUUGUCUGUGGAAAUUGUUCUGUUGUUAAAUAGCGUGCGAGUAUAAGUUCUUAUGUAUAUGUUAAUUCACCCGGUUUCAGCUUUUGCUCAUAAUUUAGGUUCUAAAGUUGUUUUCCAACUUAAGCUUUUGGUGAUAGUGUAGGAUGUGUGUUAUCAAUUAUAUUGAAUGAGAUAUCUCAUACAUUGCCAGUCGGUUACCAAGAAAUGAGAUCCUACAUGGGUAUCUCGUUUGCAUUACUAUGCUUUUUUUAAUAUGGUUUGUUGAAUUAUGUUGUUUUCUUGUUCUUGCAGUAGAUGAAUCUGAGGAAAUGCAAGCACGACUUGUUUAUGUGGCGGCUGUGGAUCUUUCAUGUAAGAUUUAACUGGUCGUAAGAAUAGUCUCCUGUGUGCUUUCUUCUUUUUUAUUGUUAAUUUUACCUUUUUUCUGUUGUUGUAAUGUGUAAAACAGUAGUUAAAGGUCGGGUAUUGGAUUUGCUAUCCUUGAUGAUAAGAAGUUUAACAGACCUUGAGCUUUUGCUAUAUGGUUCAGUGAAUAGGUCAUAAGAACUUAAUUGCUUGGCAAUAACAAUUUGAAAGUUACUGUCAGCAGAAACAUGGAAAAAAUAGUUUAAUAUUGGAGGAUUCCAUAGGUUUUUGGGUUUGUGCAUGUAGAAAUAGGUUUUAAUAGAUCUUCUUCAUUGAAACACUAAAGUUUUCCAAUUUAGACUUGUUUUGAGGUUUCUGUCUGCACUGUUUCCUUUGCUAGAGGAACUGGAAACGUUGGGGUUCCUUUGUGUUUUCAAGCUGGAACCUAUGCAAUUGUCAUGAUCGUAGUUCAAGUUUCUAAUUCAGUGUUGUACUGCAUUUUUUCACUAACAAAUGGUUUUACCAGUCAUAAUGAUUUUUAAGGUUGAAAGACAAAUAAAGAAUAAACAGGAUGGUAGUUAUAUGCAGUUUAAGAAUAAAGAACAGCCAUUUAUUUAGGCUUCACUGUGUAACUUUUUGUGCUGAAGUUAUGGGGGUAAUGCCAGUAUUGAAUUUGACUUAUUUUUACUGCUUAACCUUUUUGCUCUCCCUCUCUGGGUGCACUUUCUCAUAAAAUGAGUAAUUCUUGUCGAGGACAAUUUACAACCGGCAAUGGAAAUUGGUUGGUGGCUUUAUGAUAAGAUAGUGUUUCUUUAGAGUGGUUUUGACCUUUUGAUAUGUGGAUCCUAGUAAUGCCUAUGGUUUUGUCCUGUUUGUAGUUUAACACUAGUAGGAAGGCCUCUGUGUUAUUGAAAUUGUUGUCAAGCUAUUGUUAUGUGUGAUGGAUUUAAUUACUUACUUGAACUCUUUUGCAGCCUCGGAAGAGUUUCUGGAACUUAUUAAAAGUGCUUUGUUAGCUGCUUUAGAAGGUGAUUGACUUUUUUGGAUGAUUUGCUCAUAAUUUUGCAAUCUGUUGGAGAAACAUAUCCCUAUUAGACAUUGAUAUUUUGUUUUUCUUUUCUUCAGCCCUUGGACCUGGAUCACUUUUUGGGCUUGCUACUUUUAGCCACAAAGUUGGUUUGUUCGAUGUUCAAGGUCCAAUCCCAGUGGUGAAAAAUGUUUUCAUUCCUCCAGAUUCAGAUGGCAGCCUCCCAAUUGAGCUUGAUGAUGUUAUGCCUUUGUCUUCAUUUUUGGCUCCAGUGCGUUGGUUAACAUAAUCAUUCUAGCGAUUUUCUCUCUUGUAAAAGCAAAAUCAUAUCAAGCUUUAGGGUGAAUCUGGAACAUCUUCCAUUAGGGUUGUUACGCUACUGAAGAAAUUGUGGGCCUGAGUCUCUCUAAUCUCUCUUGCAGGUUGAUACCUGUAAGGACCGUAUUGCAUCUGCACUUGAAGCGCUAAAACCCACAAAUUCGUGGGAGAGGACCACAGCUGCCGGUCAAGGAGUAGAUGGGGUUCUGUUGGGCGGGCGAGGCUUUGGGGUGGCAAUGGAAGCUCUUCUUAAUUAUCUUGGUUCAGAAUAUGGAAAUACUUUUGCAUUAGGUAGUACUGAUUUUAUAAUUUCUUCUACUUGUACAAUCUGUUUUUCUUUGGGUUCUUUUAAUUUUUUAGUAUUCUUGAAUUGCAAUUAUUUUUUGGUCUCAGAAUUUCUUAUAUAUCGUGCUCCAAGAGUUUUUUUUUUUUUUUUUUAAAUGUCAGGUCAUUAAUGUCUCUGAAUGUGCUUAUCAGAGAUGUGACGUUGAUCUUAUCCUUUGACAUUGUUGCACAUUAAUUGAAGUGCAGGAAGAAUUUUUGCUUUUCUAUCCGGUCCACCUGAUUUUGGUGCUGGAGAGCUGGAUACUAGAAGGUAUGGUGAGCAAUAUGCCAGUAAAGGAGAGGAUGCAGACCUGGCUCUACUUCCAGAACAGACACCAUUUUAUAAAGAUUUGGUAUAUAGAAUUCAUGUUGUUUUAAAUGGAUGUUUAAUUAUUCUUAUGGAAAAGCAUUGACAUAUAUUUCACAGGCUACUGUCGCUGUUCAAGCAGGUGUUUGUGUGGACAUAUUUGCUGUUACAAAUGAGUACACAGAUCUAGCAUCUCUAAAAUUUCUCAGUAUUGAGAGUGGGGGCUCACUGUUUUUAUAUACAAAUACUGACAACUCAACACUGCCACAGGACAUGUGAGUAGGAGUGCUAGUGAAUUUUUUGACUUUAUUUGUAUUUUGAAGGUGAUACCAGGCCUAUAUUUAGUCUGAAAAGGAGUACUGGUCUAAUUUUAAUAAAAAAUGGAACUAAUUUUUUUUUCUGUCAAAUUUCUCUACAUUUUAACUACCUAAUUCUUGGGGAUCUUUUACGAGUCUGGGUGAUAUGAUGAUGUUUUACAGGUACCGCAUGUUAAGUCGUCCUUAUGCUUUUAAUUGUGUGCUCCGGUUGAGAACAUCUUCUGAGUUUAAAGUUGGUAAUUCAGUAAGUGCUCAUCUGUCUUUGCAAUUCUAUUCACUUCCGUGAUUGGUGAUUAUAUAUAACAUUGGCAUUUUGUUUUCAUACAGUAUGGCCAUUUUUUCCCAGAUCCUCAAUAUGAGAAUGUACAACAUAUCAUUUGUUGUGAUUCCUUUGCCACAUAUGCUUAUGAUUUUGACUUUGCAAAUGAUUCUGGAUUUUCCAGGUAAAAAGAAUCUUUUCCGUAUAUAUUUUUUUUAAAUAUCUACUUUUAGGUUCAUGUCGUUCCUACUUACUGUGCGGCUUGAUCAUGUCUGUUGUUUCACUAAAUGAUGCAUCUUGCUACCUUAUAUGAGUAUGUAGCUGGUGACGAACAUGUCUCAAUACUUUGUUACCUUUAGAAUCCAUGAGAUGUAAAAGCUUUUGGAAUUUUUAAUUCUUCAGUAUUUUUAGGGGGUAGGCUUGCUUCAUAUUUCCCUUUUUUUUUUUUCGUUUUCCCCUCUUUGGUUUAUUUUCCUGGUUUUAUUUGAGUAUUUUUCUAAUCUGGAGUAGAUAUAAAAUUGAUACUGUAUUGUUCAAUCUCAAUGCAGACAUACUACAGAACUUCCUAUGUUGCAAAUUGCUUUUCAGUACACCAUUGUAGUGCCCCCUGAUGAACUGUCAAAAUCAACAUCAAGUUCUGCAAACAGGUAUGCCAACUAAUUGCUGAAUGAAACUUCAAUUAGGUAAUUUGCUGGUAAGACACUCUUUCCCCCUUUCAUUUAGAUGUCCAUUUGUGAAGAAUGAUAAAUCCAGUGGCAUCAUCUGUAAUUUUAAGUAAAUCUGUUAAACCAUAAACAUAUAUCAUCUUGCAUAUCAGAGUAAUUUUUAAGUUUCAUAAGCAAUUUUUGACAAUUAUUAUCCUUUUAGUGGAAGUGAUUGAUCCUAUAUUUUUUUUUCGGGUGUCACAGCAACAUUGCUGUGUGCUGUCUUUUGUUUUCUUGUCAUUUAGUUUUAAAGAAAUGUUCAGCUCCCAAUAUACUUUACAGAUCUUAUUUUAAUCUUGAAUCUUGUUACUCUGAAGAAACAAGCAUUCCCUUCAGAGGAGACUAAGGAUCCAUACUUUGCAAUUUACAACUGCCCAUAAUAUCAAUGAAGUGUACGAUAGUGUUGAUCCAGAUGUGGUCCUUUCUAUACUUGUGCACAAGGUAAUUAUAUUUUACUUCGAUGGUGAUUUAUUUAUACAUUACAAUAUUUGGAAGGAAUUCUUUGUGUACAUCUUCUUAAAAGACUAUACAAGAUGGGCGAAAAGGGUGAAGAAUAAUAAAUCAGAGGAUGGCUUUAUGACCAGAUUUUGUAAAGUUUAUUAGUUUGUAAAAGAAGUGAUGGUGGAAGGAAGAUGCCCAAUGCUAUUGCGGUUUAAUACUUAGACACUCAUCUUUAUUAUAGUCAGGAUGUGUUGGUGCACACUUGGCAGGAUUAUACAUUUGAAGAGAAAACUACAAACUUUGUACAUCAUUUACAUAUCUCUCUCUUUCAUUUCACAAAGAAAAUGAUAAAUUAGAAUCAUCACUUUGUUUUUCUUUAGAACUGUUUGCUUUUGAAUGAUCAGUUUGUUUUCCUUUAGAACUGUUUGCCUUUUUUUUCUCUCCCUCAAUUGUAGUUCAGCUUAGCUUCAAUUUAUUCAUAAAUAUGCACCUAUGCGGUGGUUAAAAUAAAUAAUCUUUUUUUGCUUGCCUUCUAUAUCGCAUAGUUGAAAAUCAGUAAUACGAUGACAUGGAACAUAGAAGACAUAUAAUACCACCUGCAGUUCCAGCAAGUGUAGAAACUUGUUGUUGAUAAAUAGAAGGUGAUGUUGUCAUUAUUAAAGGAAGUGAGGCAUUAAUUUUUUCUAGCUGAUUGUUCAUAUAUUUUUGACUCAGGUCAUAUUGAUUUCAUUGGAGCAAGGAGUUAGAGAAGGCAGGGUCUUACUUAAUGAUUGGCUUGUACUCCUUACAGCUCGAUAUAAUGAUGCUUGCAAACUUCUGCAAUUUGAGCGUGGAAAUUCAGCUACAGCUCAUGUUGAUGUUGCAUUCUCCCAGUGCCCACAGCUUCACCCUUUGCCCCGCUUAGUUUUUGCUUUGUUGCGAAAUCCUCUACUCCGCCUGCAUGAAGAAGGUGUUCAUCCAGAUUACCGAAUAUAUCUUCAGUGUCUAUUCAGGUAAGUUAGGAGUUUAGUUACUGAGACUUCUCAGAGGUAUAAUCAGUCAUUUCAGAUGCAAGUAGGCGUAAAACUGCAGCUUGUUUUGUGUUGCGUUGCAAGUAUAUGCUUCUUUAGUUUCUCCUUGCAGUAAAAGACUAAGGUAAGGAGGUCAGCUAAUCAAGUAUAAGAUUGGAUUGAAGUGCCAUGUUUCAUAUAUUAAUCUGCCCUCCUUGGUAUUGAAGAAAGCAGUUGAAAAAUUUCUUGCAUGAUUUAAGUGCUGUUAGAUCAAGAGGGAAACCCACACAAGAUUGCAUGGACUGUGAUUCUUAAAAUUGCUUUUGUGCCUAAAUCACGUGUCUGCUGUGUGGUCAUCAUAAUAUAGGAUCAUUGUUUUUAAUCUCAGGUUGUAAUGGGGUUGAUUAAGGGUGACACAAAUAUUCUUUAGCUGAUUUCUGAUUCAAGAUUGAUCAACUCUCAACAUUAUUUUGCCUUAUUUUUGUUCUGAAAAUGUUUAUGGUUGAUUAUCCAGCACUAGGUAAAUGUUUUCUUCAGUCUAGUCAAUUUGCCAUGAUCUAGUUGACUAGUUUAGCAUUUGUCAAGGUAGGAUACACAUGGAGAUGGAAUUUUGGUUCUCUGAAACUGCCAAGGGAGCUCUUCUAAUUCUCUUGUGCCAGUUGUUGAGUUGAUUGAAAAUUUUGGAUAUUACGUCACAAUUCACUGUUUUGAACUUUGGAUGCAGUGCUUUAGGACCUUCAUCUCUUCACCGAGCUAUAUAUCCUAUCUUGACAUCAUUUGCCACUCCGGAUAAACAAGCCUUCCCACGCCAUUCCUUGAGUCGCGCUGCAUUGAUCACAAGUGGAAGUCCAAUAUUUUUUCUCGAUGCAUUCACUACCCUCAUUGUAUUCUAUUCUUCUACUGCAGACCCUGCACUUCCUUUUCCUCCACCUCAAGACUGUAAGUUUUCUUGCCUUGCUUUGAUGCUUUUUCGAUAACCAUAACUGUUUCUUUAUAACAAUGAGAAUUGUGGUUUUUCUUUAUCCAAUGAAUUAAGGUUGGCUUCGAUUUUGCCCACUUUCAUUUUUCUUUUCACUGCCAGGCUUAUUAAGAACUACCAUAAACAAGUUAAAGCAAGAGCGAUGCAUUACACCAACACUCAUGUUUAUAAGAGGAGGGCAGGAUGAUUCCACAAUUUUUGAAAACUAUCUUAUAGAGGAACAAGACGUUGAAGGCAGCGGAUUCACUAGUGUCAUGGGCUUCGUUUCUUUCCUGGAGGAGAUAAAUCAUGGCGUGUUGGAAUAUCUGAAAUGAGUGAGCCGCAUCAUACCUCAGUUAGAUGUAAAAUUAAGGACAGGAUCACUUGGCAAACAAAGAGUAUACUGAUGUGCUUUGUAGCUGCAGUAAGAGAGAGAGAGAGAGAGAGACAGAGUGUGUGCGUGUCUUGAAGCAGAAGAGACGAGGCUGUCUUCUUGUACUAAAUUAGUUCCAUCCAAAGUAUUUGCUGUAGUCGCGAAAAGGAGGGAAUCCAUUUUUCCCUUUCCUAAAAUUAGAAUUUUGUCUGCACAUGUUUAUAUUGCCUCCAUUGUUUUUUUUUUUUUUUUUUUUUGGUUCAAUUUAUUUUGACAUAGUCCAUGUGGCCUAUUCCUCUUUGUGAUUGUAGUUAAGUGUUUUGAAUGCGGUCUUAUUCUGCAAUCAAUAAUCUCUGCAAUGUUAAAGUUUGAAUGCUUGAGACAUAAAUUUUAGUCGUAUCAAAUCUCUAUAUUAUUUCCUUGUAUGUUUCCGCUCAUACUUGGACUCUUGAACCCUUCGAUGACCAAGGUUGGUCUUCAUUAAGGCGAGAACCCUUCGACGAUCAAGGUUUAGUAAUGCCAAAACUUAAAAUUAGUCGGAUCACAUUUGUAUGAUAUCGCGCUCAUGUGCAUCAUCCGAAUGAGAGUCCAUUUAGAUAGUGAGUUUUUUUUUGGAUGUUUGUAUGAAAUUUUACUGUAAUUUAUUGUAAAAAUUAUAGAAUAUCUUUUUUAGAUUUGAAGGUUUGGAGGAAUUUUUUUUCUUUUUCUUUUUCUUGUUUUUCUUCCCUCCCGCCACAUCUCGAGUUGUAUCACUAACAGCCAUCACCACCUUAGCCCUCUUCCCCCCCCCCCUCUCCUCCUCCGUUUCUGUUCCUUCUCCUUCUCUCUUUCUCCUCUCUCCUUUCCUUCUCUGGCUUUCCCUUCUUUCGACCCCCCUUCCCCUCUUGCGCUUUCCUCUGAUUGCAUGACCAGAGAGAGGCAGGAGAGGGAUUGAGGGAAGGGGGAGGUGGAGGAGAAGGGAGGAAGAAGAAAGAAGGAGAACGGAGGAGGAGGAGACGAAAAAAAAAAGAAAGAAAAAAGGAGACAUCGGUGGAGGUGCAGGGCAACCAUGGUCGGCAACGGAGUUGUUGGUAGUGAGUUGAGGUGGGAAGAGGACGAAGGAGAAGAAAGGAAAGAAGGAAUUUUUUUUGUUGUAUAUUUAGAUAUUUUGAUAAGUAUAUUUUAAAAAUUUUGAAAUUUUUUUUGAUAUUCUUAGUUGAAGUAGUUAAAAAAACUGGGAGAAGAAAAAUUAGGCAAAAUUUGCCUUCCAAAUUCUCAAACAAAUUUUUGUAUUUUAUGUAUUUUUAAAAUAUUGUAUAAAAAAUACUUGUUCUUUUCAUCUAAUUGUGUAAAACAUGUAGAAAUAAACUAUUGAAGUUCAUGAAUUAUAUUUUAAUUUUUAAAAAGCUUUAUAAAUUAUGUAAGACAAUGACAUAUUUUUUGAGUUAUCACAAAAUAGCAACAAGGUAUAUCAUAAUUAUACAUCACAGUUUUUAUAGAUUAAUGUGUAUAAUACUAAUAAGGCAAUAAAAUCUCAACUAGUUUAAUGUCUAACAUGCAUGGAUAAGAGUUAAAAUUGGUAUUAAUAUUUCAUAAUCUUUAAAAAAAUGUUUUAUUAAUUCUAUACAUUUUUUAUUCCAUAACUUUCCAAUAUAUUUCUUAUAUUAUUCAUGUGUGGAUUUAUCUGCAUAAUUUUGCCAUUCUCGUAUUUUUUACACCAACCUUAUAAUAGUACUUUCAAAAACAAAUUUUGUACGAGUGAUAAUAAAAUGCCCAUAAGGGGGACCCAAGUUUUAUACUUAACACACAAAUUAUAUAAAUCCUAUCCUUGCCAACACUUGAAAUGGACCAAAAUAAUGAGGAGAUAACUUCUACAGUGAUGAGAGCGUAGAAUCUGUUGCCUGUAAGGUUGAAGUUUAACAUAAACCCAAUCACCCACAUCAAACUCCCUCUCUGACCUGCGUUUAUUAGCUAACUAUUUCAUCUUGUGUUGAGCCUUGGACAGAUUAUGCCGCAGGGAGUGAAUGACUUUCUCCCUUACAUGUAGGCUCCUGUCCACAGAUUCAACUGCCGUGGUCUCAGGUAGGUAAGGAAUGUGAAGUGGGGGAGGCUGGCCAUAGACUAUCUCGUAAGGAGUGAAUUUGGUAGGGGAAUGAAAAUUCGUAUUAUAGCAGUACUUGGCCAUUGGCAGCCAUAAACUCUAAUCCUUGGGAUGAUCACCAGCCAUACACCUCAAAUUGUUCUCUAAACAUCUGUUAACUACCUCUGUCUGGCCAUCACUCUGAGGAUGGUAGGAAGUGGACAUGUUCAACUAGACACGCUGCAACCUGAAAAUUUCCUGUCAGAAAGAGCUCAAGAAAAUGGGAUCUCUAUCACUGACAAUGGUCUGAAGAAGACCAUGUAACCUGUAAACUUGGUCUAUGAAUAGCUGGGCAACUGAGAUGGCGGUAUAGGGAUGAGCCACAGCCAUGAAGUGAGCAUAUUUGCUGAGUCUGUCCACCACCACUAAGAUCACCUUCCUGCCAUGUGAGAGGGGUAAGCCUUCAAUAAAAUCCAUAGAGAUGUCAGACCAAAUCUUCUCAGGUAUGGGUAAAGGUUGUAAUAGGCCCAGAUAAGCUGUAUUAUCUGACUUAUUUCUUUGAAAAACGUCACAUACUGCUACAAAAUGGGCCACAUCCUUGAACAUGCACGGCCAAUACAAAACCUACUUAAGUCUCCUGUAAGUGACUUCCAUUCCAGAAUGCCCCUUUGUGAACUUGAAUGCCACAAGGCAAUCAACAUGUUCCUUAAAGACUGAUCAUUGCCAACCACCAAUUUGCCCCUCCGCUUGAGCAACCCUUGCUGCCAAGAAUAGUUGCUAGAAUGCUGACCAUUGCUGCUUAACUUUUGGAUCAAUUCCUGGACUAUCGCAUCUUGUUGCCAACUCUAUUGGAUAUCUUUGAUGAGAGAAGUUGUGACAGUAACCAAGGCGUACAGUGAGCUGCCUUCCUAUGGUUGUCUGGACAAUGCAGCCGCUACAAUGUUGUCACUCCCCUUCUUGUACUGUACCUCAUAAUCGUACCCCAUCAACUUGGCUAUCCAUUUCUGCUGCAGUGGUGUAUGUACCCUUUGCUCCAUUUUAUACUUCAAACUUUGAUGAUCAGUUUUGAUAAUGAAGUGUCGUCCCACCAAAUAAGCUCUCCACUUUAAAAUCGCAGUGACUAUGGCCAACAUUUCUUUUUCAUAUACUGACAGAGCUUGAUGUUUAGUCCCCAGUGCUUUACUGAAAAAAGCUAAUGGUCUCCUUUUUUGCAUCAACACCGCCCCAAUCCCAUUUCUAGAAGCAUCAGUUUUCACAAUGAAUUCUUGAGUAAAAUUUGGUUGAGCUAGGAUAGGGGGACUGCUCAUAACUUCCUGUAGUCUUUUAAAAGCUUGAGUAGCCCUAUCAUGCCACUGAAAUUGAUUCUUCUUAACCAAGUCUGUGAGUGAUUUAGUAAUCUUACCAUAGCCUUGUAUGAAUCUCCUAUAAUAUCCAGUAAGGCCCAAAAAUCCUCGCAGCUCCUUGAUUGUCUGCGGUAUUGGCCAAUUUUUAAUGGCAACAGUUUUCUGAGGGUCGGCUUGAACACCUUCUGCAUUGAUAAUAUGCCCCAAGUAGUCAAUUUGCUGUUGAGCAAAUGCACAUUUACUCAUUUUUACCUGUAAUUCAUGCCUUCUCAACAGUUCAAACACAAGUCUCAGGUGUUGCAGGUGCUCAUUCCAACCACCACUGUAUACCAAAAUGUCAUCAAAGAAAAUCAGAAUAAAUUUCCUUAGAAAGGGCCUAAAGAUGUCAUUCAUCAGACCUUGAAAUGUUGAGGGGGCAUUAGUUAGCUCAAAGGACAUAACUAGAAACUCAUAGUGGCCAUCAUGAGUUCUAAAGGCUGUUUUCUCCACAUUUCAGCCUUCAUUCUAAUUUGAUGAUUACCAGACCUCAAGUCUAACUUGGUAAAGAAUUUAGCUCCAAAAAGUUCAUCCAACAACUCUUCUAUUAGAGAAAUAGGAAAUUUAUUCUUUAUGGUGCCUGUUCAGUUGCCGGUAAUCAACACACAUUCUCCAGGAUCCAUCUUUCUUUUUUACCAAAACUACUGGAGAGGAGAAAGGGCUAGAGCUAGCUCUAAUAAUCCCACAAGCAAGCAUUUUUGCUACCAGUUUUUCAAUUUCACCUUUCCAAAAAACAGGGUACCUAUAGGGUCUUACAUUGACAGGUUCAGUGCUUUCUUUUAGAACAAUCCUAUGGCCAUGCAAUCUUUCAGGAGGUAAACCAUUAGGUUCUUGAAACAAAUCACCAUAUUCACUCAGCAAACAUUCUAGAUCCAGCAAGUUACUAUCCUGCCUUCCAUUAGUUCCAGCUGUAAUAGAAAAAAGAGAUAAUGGCCCUGGCUCUGGUUCUGGACGAUUCUAAUUAGACAGAGUUGUGCUCCUGCAAUUUGCUCAGGUUUUUGCAAUAUUUUCUGCAUUUUCUUUUGUCUCACCAACUGUAACCCGUGUUGUUUCAUUCCUCUCAAGACUACCUUGUGACCACUCUGCAGGAAUUCCAUCAUGAGAUCACCAAAAUUUCACUUCACAUCACCAAUGGUGGUUAACCAUUGCAUUCCCAGAACUAUUUCGCACCCCUCUACAGGUAACACCAACAAAUCAGUCUUGAAUUCUUGCCCUUGCAUUUUCUAGGUAAAGUCUGGGCAGAGAUCGUGGGUAGUCAACUUGUUUCUAUCUGUUACUUCUACCAUUAGUGGCUCAACCCUUUGUGUGAUUAACCCCAGUUUUUGCACUACCUUGGGGUGAAUGAAAUUAUGUGAACUGCCACAAUCUAUGAAAAUAUUCACAGACUGCUUCCCUACAUGUCCAGUGACCCUCAUUGUCAUAAAAUUAGGGACAGCUAUGUUGGUCAUGGCAUUGAGAGAAAUAUAAGCUAACUGCCCCUUAUCUAUUGCAUCCUCCUCACCCUCAGUCUUCGGUUCCUUCUUAUCUGGCGUAUCAUCCCAAACCUCCAACCUAUGGAAUUGCUUAUUUUCACAUCUAUCCCUAGCUGUAAACCUCUCAUCGCACCAAAAACAUAAUCCCCUUGCCCUUUUCUUGUUCAUUUUCGCCCUACUCAGCCUCUUGAAAGCCUUUUUAGCACCCGACUCAUGCUGCCUUUCAUUGUUGGGAAGUGCUGGAAACAUAGGUAGGGGCAGUACUGCCUUAGAGUCUGUUUUCCACUUGUGACUAGGAGCAUGCGCACGGAACUGUGUGGUACCCGUGCGGUCUGAGUAAUUCAGGAAUGAUUUGGACAUUACUUUUUCUUUUGACUGCACUAUCAUUUUUGCUUCUUCAAUUUUGGUCAAGAUUCGAGCAUGCUGCACAUUCUUAGGCAUAAACAUUCGUAAGAUCAACUGAAUUUCUGGCUUCAAUCCACUCAAGAAGCAGCUAGUAGCAUAAUCUUUUGGAAGAUCCACCCUAUUGAGGAGUUCCUCAAACACAUCGUGGUACUCCUUUACUGACCCAGACUGCUUCAAGCUCUUAAGCUCCCUCAUUGGAUCAUCAUACAAGGAAUCUCCAAAUCUUGAAGAUAGCUCUCUCACAUACUCUUCCCAGGUAGGAAACUCACGUGUAAGUCUAGAUUUCAUAAAAAUUUGGUGCUACUGAAGAGCUUUACCUUCCAAACUCAUCGCCGCUAUCUUAACUUUUACUGCGUUGGGAGUCUCAUCCACCUCAAAAAACUGCUCACUCUUGUAUAACCAUCCUCUAAAGUCUUCUCCAUUAAAUUUCGGGAAAUCAAUUCGUGAUAGACGAGAAGGAACCUGAUAUCCUCUCCUGCUGCUGGUUGGAGCAUCCGAGUUGUGAGGGCAGCCAUUUCCUUCCCCCUGAGCCUUCUGUGUGUGCAAUUCGAUCACCAAAUUCCACAGAGCCGUCAUUUCUCUCUCAAAUUGCUUAUGUUGCUCCUUCAGCAUGGAUCUUACGUGCUUUUCUAUUUUCCGGACAUGCGACCUAGUGCCCUCUGCUAUCAAAGAGUUGAGCUGGCGUAACCCAGCUCUGAUACUACUGAUGCAAAGAGCAGUGGAGGUCAUUAAUCUCUGAUCUAGGGACCACAGAAAUAAUGAAGAAGUAAUUCGAAAACCAGAGAAGAUUUAUUGCCUUGAAUGAUGAACAUAAGAGAUUACAAGAAAUGUGAAAAAAACAACUUUACAAAUGGAAUCCACUACUGCUAGGCCUGUCAACGGUCCGGGUCUGGAUCCGGAUCCGGAUCCGUUUUGUCAAACAAAAAAAUGGAUCGGAUACGGAAUAUAGUAUUUCGACCCGUAUUAGACUCGGAUCCGAAUAUAAAUGGAUUAAUAAUUUAAAAUAUGUAUAUUUAUCAAUAUAAUUUGAUUAGGGUGAUGUAUUUGAGUAAAGUUAAUUUGAUUUAUUUUCUUAUUUGAUUUUUUUUUGUAUUAGUUAGAAAUUAGUGUACAAAUAUAUUUUUUUCUCAUUUUUAUUAGAAAUUGUAAAUUUUCAUAAUUUUUUCAGGUAGACCCGGACCCGGAUCCGAGACCGGUCGGAUCCGGAACAUAAAGUAGAAGACUCGUCGGGUAAACGGGUCGAAUCCGGAUCUAAUUUGGUAUGCCGGGUCCGGGUCCGGAAUAAUGAAUUCCGGUUCGGACCCGACCCGUUGACAGGUCUAACUACCGCCAUAGAUUUCCAACUUCACAUUUUAUAAAUGACUUAGGCGGUGAUCUUAAGUUGGCUAACAAACUUAUGACGUCGACUGACGUCAUAAGAUUUUACAAAUCAUUGACUAACCUAUCGUACCUAACUCCAGCUGUAACUAACUCCAUGCACAGCCACAUGCAGCCCCAUGCACGCACAUGCAACCCAUUUCACGCAUAAUCCAUUUCACGUGUAUUAGGUACACUCAGGAGCUUGCUCUGUAUGACCCAAAUUGGUACUACAUCAGAGCUGCUUCCAUGGCUAGAAAAAUUUAUUUGAGGCAAGGCCUUGGAAUUGGUGUUUUCGGGAGGAUUUAUGGAAGAAGCAAGAGGAAUGGAAAGCUGUCCACCUCAAUUUGGUAAAAGUAGCGGGAGUAUUGCUUGUCACAUUCUUCAACAACUCCACAAGAUGAAUAUUGUUGAUAGGGACCCAAAAGGUGGAAGAAGAAUCACAUCCAGUGGACAAAGAGAUCUUGACCAAGAAGAAUCACAUCUAGUGGAUCCCAUCCAAAGUCAUUGGGUCCUCUGGUAGGACCAAAAUUGCUUGCAGUUUUUUCUACAAAAGUUAUUAGCUGCAUAUUUGACCCAAGAGCAAGAGAAAAUAUACAAAGAGCAUGGGCUGCUUUAUCUUCAUAUGCCAUCAAUAAGUUGUUCAAACCUUCAUCUCCAAUCUUCUCCAUUCAUCAUGGAGGCAAGUAUGUUGCACCAGCCCUAGUCCAUUUAUUUCUUUGGUAGCAAUUUUAGCCUUUUCUUUGGAGAUAUCCUCAGGCUCACCUCGUAGCUCCGACAAAUCAAGUUUGAGCAAUUGAAAAGGAAUCAGCUUGUCGAGAAUAGCACAAACUUCCUUGAGCUUCUUGGCAUUUCCAGAGAUAAAAGUCACUGGUAGAGAUAGCACCGAUCCCUUCACCAUAGCCAUUGCUGCAGACAUUUUCUUGCGAUUCUGUGUUUUUCUUUUCCUUUUUUUGGGUGGUUUUUUUUUUGUUGAGAUUCUAGAGUGAAACGACCGCCUAUUGUGGUUUAUUUAGCGCGCUUAAAUUUUUUGGGCAAUUUUGCCCUACAAAUCUUAGGUGUGCAGUUCACAUGGCAUCCAUUCUGUUUGACUUGAUGGUCAAAUUACAUUGAAUGAUAAGAAACGUGCAUUUUGGUUAGUUCAGUGAUAUUUUCGGCUAAGAAAAUAGUUUAGUACCCUACACUAGCACAAACAUAUAGUUUAGUGACAUUUGGCGCAAUUUGUUCUAAUAAGUAGGGAAAGGACAUGAGAUUAGCACCCAAAACUUCUAAUUCUUGAAUCUCAACUUUAAUAAUUAAAUCAAAACCGUAUCAGUCAUCGAUAGUAUCUACUUAAUACACUUUACAUUAUUAUAUUAAUUUUUGUAUAUUGAUAAUGUAUACAUCUACAAUAUGUGAUAUAUGUAAGAUUAAUUUUUGCUACUACAUCUCUUCAUUGGUAGCGAUAACAUAGUGAUGGUGGUUAAGUAGAUUAAUCCAUACUUUUUUUUGGCUAUUUCUUUGUGUGGUGUUGGUGGAGAGUACAUGAACAACUUCUGAUUUUCAAACUAACCACAUUGGAUUAAUCCAUACUUUUUUGGCUAUUUCUUUGUGUGUCGUUGGUGGAUAGUACACGGACAACUUCUGAUUUUCAAGCUAACCACAUUGGAUUUGAUAGCUACUAAGAAGUUUGGUAAGGUUGAGGCGCGUAGAACACUCUCUUUAAGACGAUACGUGCCUCUACGGUAUUUUUUCAGCUGAUGCAAAAGAUCUAGUGCGCCGCCUCCAAGAUACAACAGACUAACUCUUUGAUUGUUGCUUCCCUCUGAUCUGCACAAUCAAGAGAAGCAAAAGCUUCAUAAUACCUUACUUUGUCCAAAGAAAAUUAGAAUCAGGGAGAAAGAAAUAAGUGUAAGGAAAAAAUAGUAUUUAGAAUAAUCUUUUAUUGAGAGAAGUGUGUAAGAAAUUCUCUAAAGAAUUUCACUAUUUAUAGGCUACAAAAACCUUUAGAAAAUAGGUUGAAUGUCCAAGUUCAACAUAUAAAGGUUUUUUUCAUAUUAAAUUGUAGCUAAUUUGUAAAAUUUGUAACCUAAAAAUUGAUUCAUAUUUGAAUGGCUUAUAAUGACUCAAAAAAUUCUUCAUUUGAUUAAAAAAUUCAUUUGUAACUCCUAUUCAAUUUUGUAACUCCUAUUCAAAUAAUUGUAUAAUAACUCUAUUCAAAAUGUAUUGUAACUUCCAACAUUAUAAUUCCCAUAACUCUCAAAUAAAUUAUAUUAUAACUCAUUGUAAAUAUUUUGUUAUGAAAAAUUUAAGAUUUUAUUAAAAUACACUAACAUAUAGUGGUGGUAGGGCUGAAAAAUGAAUCAAAUUACUUGAUUUUCAAAUAACUAAAUGUUCGUUUUAGUUUGGUUCGCCAAUUAGUUAAGCUAAACUUAACUUGAAGAGCGCACUUUAUGUUCGAUUACAUUCAAAUUCGACAAAAAAGUUUGUUCAAACUCGAUCUGACAAAUAAACAAGUCAAAUUUGAACAAAAUUUCAAAAUAGUUAAAAUAAUCAAACUAGGUUGUUUGAUUUGAUUAGUUUCCAUUGCACCACUAGGUGCGCGGUAAGUGGUGAGACAAUGAAGAUGGUUAGGUUUUCUUCCGAGAGUAUAUUGCUUUAUAUUAAAAAAUAUUCAAAUUCGAUAAAAAAGUUUGUUUAAACUCAAUUUGACAAAUAAAUAAAUCAAAUUUAAACAAAAUUUUAAAUUCGUUAACAUAAUUAAACUAGGUUGCUCGAUUUGAUUAGUUUCCAUUGCACCGUAAGGCGGUGUUAAGUGGUGAGACAAUGAAGAUGGUUGUUUUCUUCCGAAAGUAAAUUGGAAUUUAACCCCCACCACAUGAAACCAGGCGAAUCAAUCGGGUGGGCAACCACCGCCACCGGUACCAGUACACCAAACUUCUCUCGUCUCCUGUCGAAAUUUGGACUUUGCUUCGUCUAAAAUUCAACGAGUGAAUUAGUUAUAUACUACCAGAUUAAGGUACUUAUGAAUUAAGUAUUUUAAUCGCUCAGUUUGCAAUUACUAGUAGUAUUUCAUUCUCAUUUCCCAGCUGAAGAAGCAAACACGCCACACACACCAGCACACCACAAGAAACACGCACUCAAAUGGACUCAUCAUCAUCAUCAUCUUUGGACAGCCACCGAGCUGCCUACUCACCCUCCGCCCCACCCGUGCCCGACCCGGAUCAGGAACCCAGGUUGGCCCACCCGUAUUACCCCUCUCGUUCUUCUCAAGACCAGUACUACCGUCCUCCCGCCUCCUCCUCUUCCUCUUCCUCCUAUACGGGUCACACUUAUCACCAGAGUCAGUACCCGACGCUUACACCGACCGGCAGCUUCAGCAGCAAUUAUGGGUCAGGUCAUUCAUCUCAUUCGGAUCCUGGCUACGGGUAUGGUUAUCCUCCUCCCCAGCCCCAGCAGCAGCAGCAGUAUCAGAGCUAUAACUACAAUGCUUCCUUUCCACCUGGGACCGACCCGGGUGUGAUUCGGACCUUCCAGAUGGUGGAUAGGGAUGGCAGUGCGUUCAUUGAGGAAUCGGAGCUCCGACAAGCUCUUUCUUCGGGCUAUCAAAGGUUCACCAUGCGGACUAUCCGUUUACUAAUCUUUCUCUUCAAGAACCCUUCUGAUUCUGCUCUCAAAAUCGGUAAAUAUUCUAGUCAACGCUUUUUCAAUGAAGUCUUUUCUGGGUUUCUUUUAUAUUAUGCUAUUACCCUCCAGAGAAUAUUCUUUUUAUUGUGGUUAUUCAAAGUUUAGAGAGUAAAAAAAAAAGUGAUCUUUUUUGGUUUUAUUUCUUUCAUUUGAUUCUGACUGAUACUUUUUUUCCUUGGUGCUUGUGAAUACAUUACAAUUGAAAGAUCAAAGACCAGAAUAUUAAGUGAAUCCCUUUCUUUAAUGCGAUACUCCAUGAUGCUUUAUCCCGAUGCAAGAUGCACCUUUUAUGUAGCAUUUAACAUUUGAGGAGCUAGAUAUAUUUUGGAAGAUUUAGGAUAUCCAAUACAUAAUUUUGCUUUUUUUUUUUUUCAAUUUUUCUGGUACUCGUUCUGUGUGGUUUUAUGGUUGGAUGAUGCUGCUUUAUGAGAGAGAAAAGGUAAUGGGAUUCAAUGUGCUAAUGAGUUGGUAAACAAGAUGCUUUUCCUAUGUAGGUUAGUGAGCUAGUAUAUUUUUCAUCCUGAAUUGAUAAAAUUGUAGUUUGUAGAGGUUAUUCUUUGACAUCUCGGAGAGCGUUGUUUCAAAUUGUGGCUACUGUUACUAGUGUGGGAGAUGAGAAGGAGAAGAAGUGAAGAAAUGAGGAAAGAGUAGGGAGAGUGUGAUGUGUGUUAAAGCUGAGAAAAAAUGUGAGGCUUUAUUUGAUUUGAUGUGGGAUACUCCUCUGCACUUAAUGACUAGGAUUUUGCUCUGGUUCUGGAAAGUGGCGAUUUACUAUGCAGAAGAAAUUUCUUAUGCGGAGAUGGUAUAUUUAGGAUUAUGAAUCAGAAACUUAAAAUACUGAAGUAAAAGGAUUUAAGUGGUGGUCUUUUUUGACUUCGUAAAAAUUUUCUUUGUGUCCAAUGGUGGACUUGAGAACGAUAAGAGCUGUUGAUAUGUUUCACUGCCUCUGGAAGUGUAACGCAUGCAGUAGGUUGAAUUUGCUUUAUUUGGAAAAUCCCAUUGACUUGUGAAUUUAUGGAUGUCUAAUUUCAACUCCAUUCCCCUUUCCCAUUCUCUCUCAUCCAAAAGACUACAAACAACAUUUUUGCUAUCUUUCAAGUUAUUUACCGACUCCUAUAACUUUGGAUAAUGGUUAUGGUUACUUGUGUUGCUUAUUCUUGGUUUUGAAAUCACAGGGCCCAAGGAGUUUUCUGCUUUAUGGAGUUGUCUUGGUCAAUGGCGAGUGAGUGAUCUUUUGAUUCUUUGUUACAUUUCCUUCUUUGUUCCCCUAUUAUUUGGUUUAUUCUGCUAUUGCUUGUUUGUUUAUUGUUUCUUUUUGGGAGGAAGGAUGGAAAUUGGAUAUUUGUUGUGUCUAUAUAUGCAUCUUGAGAUGAAUUAUAGGGUACUUUCUUUGUUGGUUUGCAAUGUCAUCUAUGAGAUACGAGAUAACUUCCUGAUUUUUGGUGCUUGAAAUCUUCAGGUCAUCAUCUUUUCAAAUACUAAAGAAUCAAAAUAUAGUGCAUCAUCAAAUGAUUGGCUGUAAAUUCUACUCGUGCACAUAUAUUUUUAUCUAGGAUAUGCUGUGUGAUUAAAAUUCAGUAGGCCAUGACAUUAACUGUGAAGCAUAUUGUUCACUCUGAACUACAUAUAGCACAUGGUGUAAAGAGGUCAUUUUGACUUCAUUAGACCAAGUGCAGAUGUACUGAGCUAUAGAAUGGCGAGUAAUGCUCCAGUUUUCUACCAUCUUUUAGUUUUAUAUACAUGAGAUAGAUGGUAAGCCAAACCACAAUAUAGUUUCCUGUUUAUUUAAAUUUGGAGUUCAUUAACUGUUUAUCCUGAAUUAAUCACACAACAGACCUGGAUAGAGAGAUGAACAGUCAAACGCACACAAUAAGAGGAGAAUUGCUUUACUGACAUGGCUAUGUGCUUUUUCUUCUGUAAAGCACUACUUACAAAUUCAUAUUCAUUAUAUUCAAUGCUUGUGGUCCUUAAGAGCAGUAAGAGGGAAAAUUGCGUGGUAUGUUUUUAAAUCUAUUUGUCUUUUAGAAGAGUGGUCUGACACUAACAUGCUUCUAUAAACAGAGUUGUGAGGCAUAAAUUUUCUUUGCUGUCAUAGCCAAAAGUAUGGUUGGAACUCUUCUAACGUGGGGUAGCAUAUAAAUCUCUCAAGGAAUGGGUUUAAUGGCAUCAGGGGUUGUGAUUCAUAUUCUUAAGAAAAGAGGUAAAUGAGGAAAUUCCUGCCAUAAUUGGGAGUGGUCCAUUUGCACAGCAGGAAGUCUUUUAGAUUUUUUCAGUCCCAGUUGAUUCUUGGGAUCAUAUUUCUUAAAUAGUAGUUAAUGGUAAUAACAUAUUUCUUACCUUUAAGAAAAGGGAAGACAUUGGGGCCUAAAGAGUUUCUUCUUUUUCUUUUUUUUUUCCCCUUAUGUUUAACCAUUUUCGUCAACCUCUGCUCAUAUCUUUUCCUGAAUUCUUGCAUAGUUUUGGAUUGUCUUGGGAUGACAAUCCUGUCUGUUUAACAAGUUAUUUCUGAUUUUGUAUGGAAAAACACCUACUAUAUUUAAAAAUUCAUGGUUUAGUUUGAUUUGGCCCAAACAUUGCGAAAUACUUGAAGAACAUAGUUUAAGAAGGAAAUUAGCAAGAUAUGCAUGUGGUGUUAUCUUAUAUCUGAGGAAGAAGAGGCCCAACAUUCUAUGCUACUGCCCUGUUAGGUGUGUAACUUGUUGAGAAAGGUGCAAUGUUUAGUUACUAAAACUUUCCAUCAUGGGGAUGUGCAUAUAAUAGCAUAACUAAAAAAUUAAGUAUAAACUCUGUUUCAAGUAUAAACUCUGAUUCAGGUAGAAUAGAGUAUCUCUUACCUUCUUAGAUUUUGGUGCUACUUUAAAUGCUGCUUAGCAGAUGCAAGACACCGUGAAGAAAACAAUUUGCUUAGUGUCUGUUUUUGGAUUAUUUCUUAAUCCGAACACAUUGUUGGGUGCAUAUCUUACAAAAGGCAUGCUAUACUCUCUUUGAUUUUGGAUGGAAGGGAAAGUAAACUUCUGUACAACUGGAGAAUAUGCCUAUGUUAUGGUAAUAGAUUUGAGCAGAAAACUCUCUCGUGGUAAUUAUGUUUCUUUGGUAAUGGGUAAACUACUUCUGUUCGAUCUUAAAGGCAUCUAAUAUUUUACUUUCUUUCCAGUCUUGCUUUCUUCCCCACUUAAAAUUGUUCAACUAGUCAGUUUUUGGUGUUCAAUUUUAUUACAAUAUUUUGUUUCAAGCUAUAAUAGUCUAUUGGAAUAACUCUUUCACUCUUUACUGCAGGCCAUAUUUGAGAGGUUUGAUAGAGAUCGAAGUGGGAAAAUUGAUGCAACAGAACUAAGAGAUGCUCUCAAUGGUAUAGGCUAUGCAGUACCACCUUCUGUAUUCCAAGUUCUCAUUUCCAGAUACGAAGAAGGAAAUGGCAGAAGAGUUGAGCUCAGUUUUGACAGUUUUGUUGAGUAAGGCUUCCUCCUCCUUUGGUAUAUGAACUUUUUGUCUUCUGCUUUUUGUUGGCUGUUGAAUAGCAUGGUUUGAUAUAUUCUUAUCUCAGUCCUUUUCUUUUCUUUUGUGCAGAUGUGGGAUGAUUGUGAAGGUAAGAAACUAAAUUCAAAUUCUCUUAUGCACUUUUGUUUCAUGGUUGGAAUCUUUUUGUCCUGUGAGAGUUUUUAAUAAUGUUGGCCGAAACAGGGGGAAAUUUUGUUAGAAUCUGCAAUCUUACACUCUUUCUGCAAGUUCAAAGUUAUUAGUAUAUUGAUGUCCCUUUCUAUGAGACACUUGAUUCUUACACAUGUUAUAAAUACAGGGUUUGACUGAAAAGUUCAAGGAGAAGGAUCCACGUUAUACUGGAUCAGCUACAAUGACCUAUGAUUCGUUUAUGAGUAUGAUCAUACCUUUUCUUGUAUCGUACUAGCUACCUGCUAUCAACAAUCUUUAUCAAUUCUUGAUUUGUUGUCUGUUGUUUGAGGUGAAACUGUACAUCGUUAGGGUGAGGUGCGUGAAAUGUUCAGGAGACAUGGAAGGGAUGUAUAUCUUUGUGUACAGAGUUUUUCUAUUGUCAUGUUUGACUGGUUUUUCGAGAUUCGAUUGAAUCGAGAUUUUAUUUAUGUAUGAGACAAAUUUUCUAGCAAGCCUAGUAAUUGGCAAGUCUGAACUUCAAAUUGAUUUUCCCCCCAACCAUUCUCUCGUGCGUUCUUGAUCUAGUGAGCAUCAGCAAAUUGCUUUCCAGCUAAGGUGAAGAGAGAUGAAGACCAUAUUGCCAUGCUCUGACAGAAAUGGUUCAAACUCUGGUUGAUUGCAAGGAGGGAAGGGCCAUUUGAAAUUUUUUUGUUUGUGACCCCAGUGUAUUGAUGUUUUUUCUUUCUCUUCGGAACAUGGAAUAGAUGAAGAUCAAUUUUCAAUGCAGAGUCAUAGGCUUUCACUACUUGGAAAGUAAAUUAGACUCCAAUUGGUUCAAUUUAGUACAUACGAACUUGUACAAGAUAUUCUUGAGAGUUUUCAACUUGGGUUUAGACAUGAAUGGUUAAUGUCAGAGCACAGCCAGAUCAGGCAAAGCUAGCAUUGUCGGGUACCCUUAUGCAGAAUCAAUCAUGCUUUAUUAUGCUCCAAUUGGCAGAAUUUUGUUUUGGGAACGUUUUGUUUGGACCUUGGACACUCGUAAACUUCGAGUAGGUUUGACUAAAGUGAAGCUUGUGGAUCAUGGCCUUCUCAUUGUGAUGAUGCUGUGUGAAUACUGUGGGAAGCAAACAGAAAGAUGGAUGAUUAAAUCUUUGCCCAAUUCCUAUGACUAAGGUGUAGAGAGAGUGUUUAUGGUUUUGUUUCAGUUCUGCAGGCUUGAGCCUGUCCUUUUCGAUGUUUGUGGGGAGGAGGGAUCAUGGAUGGAAGAGGCAAUUUACUACCAAACCCCCGGGCAAGACAAGUUCACAUGUUCCUCUAAACAAAUACCAAACAUUCCAGGUCUGCACCAAAAACAGCCCAGGUGAUAAUAAUGGUUAUGCAACCACCAGUCCAAAGGCUGGUGGCCACCACCAAAGCAUUAACCCUUGCCUCCCACCAAUUGUCAUACUAAAAGUGACUUUGCUUAAAAAAAUUCAAGUGGGUGCACUUCGCACCCGUUUGGUCUGAUGAUGGUUCAGUCAUCUCCGGAUUACCCUGAGCUUCCUUAGGUUUGUCCCCUCCCCCUGGAUUACCCUAAAUUAUGUUAUGAGCUUCCUUAGGUCUGUCCCCUCCCCCUAGUACAGAAUAAAUUACGUUAUACAACAGUUAUCGUCUCUGGAAAAAAAAAAAGAAAAAAAGACAAUAAUGGUUAUGCUCACAUGCAUAGCAUCAAGGGCCGAACAUGAUAAAUUUAAAAAAGUGACUACAAUCCAUCAUGAAAGUACCUUAUCAUGAGCAUCAAAAUCCUAACAAGACUUGCAAGGAAUUGAAAGGUGCCUGUUGCAAUAAGAUGCCAAAUUACAUAUAUGAAACCAUUUUUCUUCUUCCAGUGAAUCCUCUCGCUCGCAACAAUUUUUGUUUUGCUAAUUUAUUAGGCACCAUAUUUCCUACAUCAAGUGUAUGUUAACUGAUUGUAUUGACGCGUAAUACUUGGGAUAUUUGAACACGACAAAGAAUCUUGUGAUAUUUUGUUUUGUAGUCUAUAAUCAUCUGAUUUUUUGUCAAAAUUCUGUCUGACCCUUCUUCAAUAAAGCCAGAACUCAAAGCGGAUGAUGUUUUUAUAAAUGAAUUGGAGGACUGAACAGAAAGUGCUAGACAACUACCGUGUCCAUGUAUACCAUGGCUAUUACGAUCAGAUAUUCUGGCCGCUUGGUUCUUGAAAGUAAAUAGCAUGUCAGAUCUUUUGAAGUUGGGAACGCUUAAAUGAGGCACCUCUUCCUCUGGAGGAGAUUCUUCAUGUCUCUGAACUACCUAAACAAAACCACGAAAGCAAGGUUCACAGUAAAAAUCCAUUCUUGGCAUCUUGAAAGAAAAGACACUAAUAGUAAAGAGUAUUGACUAGAAAUAAGACUCUCGUUGAAGGAUGAAAUGCAGAUAAUAAGCCAAAAUGUUUUGCCUAUAAUAAACCGGAAAACUAAUCUAUAGGUAAACAUGAAUAUCAACUCAGGAAUAAAGUGAUCCCAUCAGAUGUACGAUUCUGGAACUAAGUGAUCCUUUGCAAUCAUCAACCAUGCAAACCCCAAAAAAGCAGGAAUAAGUAGAUCUGAUGCUUUCCAGGAAGCCACUCUUGCUCCAGAGAUUGAGAUUAUCCCACCAUCAGGCAAUAGCUUCAACAAGCUUGGCAGGCAAUUGUAAGAAUCUCUCGAACUCUUUGCUGAUUUAAAUGGCUCAUCAUGCAAAGUACUAGAAGUGCAUAGAAACUGACGCUAACACUUUGCUGUGGCAGAAGGAUGAUGUUCAUUUUCCUUUGCCAAAGUCAUUGCAUUAAGUCUAAAGUCCCCCUGGAAAAAGCAAUUACACGAACAAAGUCUUCAGUAAAGUUCCCCUGACUAAGAUAAUAUGUGGACAGCUAACCAUAAAUCUGAUAGCAGAUAUGUUUGGAAGAAAUGGAGAAUUUUUGCACUGAGAUUGACAUUAAACUAUUAACAGCCGAUUCAGAUUCAGACCCAUCACAACAUAGAAGCUAAUCAAACAUGAUAAUUGCUGUCUUGGAUAACUGUUGUCUUCAAUUAAAGUGGUGAUGGAAAUGUAGACAGGUUUUGAACGCCAAGCAUAAGUUCCUGUUCUUAUUUUCUUUCCCAGGGUUGAAGGACAGGAUAAUUUAUGAUUACAAGUCAAUUACUAGUGUUAUAAUUUUGAACUACCAGAUUUAUGACAUAUGCCAAGAUAAUACAAGUACACUCUAAAACCAGGAAGUUUCAUUUGGGAAAAUUUCAUACAUUAAGAUAUUCCAAGAAAAGAGUACUCUCCCACACAAAAAGGAAAUACACAGAACUACAAAAGCAUUAUAAAUGGUGGUAUAGAUAGCUCACCUAGUGAUCUCAUGAUUGGUGAAUGUUGUAGAUUGCAGCACUAAUGCUUUUACAGUCAAAUUCCAUUGUCUUCAUCCAGUUCUCAAAGUCUCCAAUUUCCUGUCAUGCGAAACAAAGAUAAUCAGAUCAAAGGAAAAUCCAGGUUUUAAAAUAUAAAAUCUUCACAAUGAAAAAAAAAUUAAAUAAUUACAAGUCCAGGACAAUAGCAGUAAUGUAGUGAAAUAGCUGGUCAUGAGGCUGCAUAAGUAUCACAGCUAAAUAAAAAUUUUCGGUAAUACAAAUUCCUAAUUUUCUUGGCAAUCAAGGUGGCCCAUUGUAUCCUGUAUCCCUAGGGAUGAAGGCAUAAAACCAGAAUUGAGCCUCACACUUCUUUUUCCUUUUUUCUUUCUUAACCUUUUGCUGCUGGCCAUAAUGAAGCAGAAUUAAGUGCAGUGAAUGCUUAGCAUCUAGCAUAAUCUUAAAAAAGAAGUAAGUACACACCAACAACGUUUUAGAUUCAAUAAUUUAUCAUUCCCACUUCUACACGAUCACCUAUCAAUAAUAAGCAUCCCAGGAAACAACUGCAGGUAAUAACCAACCAGUCGUUAUUCAGCAAGCCUCAAACAAAGAAAAACUUCACGUUUGAAAAUCAUUUGUGUAAACUUUCAACUAUAGGUCUUCAAAAAUGCUUAUGAACUUGCACAUGGAUCACCAAAGGUUCUUUUUUUUUUUGUUUUUUUUUUGUUGGGGGGGGGGGGGGGGAGGGAGUGGAGGUUCUUUAGAGGGCCUAACGGCCCAUUACAACAUGAUUAAAUGCAGGGUAGACAUCCAUGCAACAUUGUCACUCAACAAUUUCCUAAUCUGUUCUGGUGAAUCCCCAAACUUGUGCAAUCCUCAUUCCAGAGCUUUGCUAGACCACCUGCCACAAAGCUCCCUUGUCUCCAGUAUGUAGCAAUCUACAAUCUCAAUCCUUCUGAAGCCACUGUCUGAUUUCUCCAAUUAGGUUCAACUGUACAUUGUCCUUUGUAGCCUCUUUAACCAAGCCAAUGCUGCUGAGAGAAUCAGAUUCUACCUCCGCUUUCCUGUAUCCCUCAGCCCAAGCAAAUUCCAAUCCACACAGAAUACCCAGCGUUGAGCUUAUACAUUAGUAGUGAUUCCCAGGUUUGUACAAAAGCCCCCCAGAAAGACACCAAGUUCAUUCCUUAUCAGCCGCCCCGCUCCCACAACUCUGGGGUUGCCAGAAGCUGCCGCAUCCACAUUAAAUGUGAUGUAGUUGGCAGGUGGUUUAGACCUCACAUAAACUAUUUCCAUUCGUCUGCCUUUAGGCCAUUUCUCAGCUCUUCCUGUGCUCGCUCCGCAAGAUCACCAAAGCUCAACUAGAAAGCUUCUACCACUCCCACUUUUUUCAUGUGAAUACCAAAAACUCGUGGCACUUCACCCAAAAAAAGAUGUGCAAAGAAAAUUUUGGGGUAAAAAAAAAUGAGGAAAAAAAUAACAACGCAAACUAUUGCAUAUUGGUCAUUUAAAUAUCGCAGUAACCGAAUUUAAUGCAAUACAUUUAAAUAAACCCCCAGUUUUCUUCUCCUUUAAUACCAAAAUGGUUAAGGGCUAGCACAUAAUCACACAAAUAACUCACAUAUCAAGCAAAGACUUAAACUUGCAUUACUCUGUUGGUAACCAUUGCCUCAACCAUGUCAACUUUUAGGUUUAUAUAUCAAAACAGACGAUCAAUUAAAAAAAAAAAAAAAAAAAGCUUUUCAACCUUGAUUGCUGUAUUGAUAGCAUGAGAAGCUGCUAGCCACUGAUCAGUCUGCUUCCCAAAUUGGACAAUAGCAGCUGUCAAUGCUCGAAUUUCCAUUUCUAUCCUUUUCUCCGUGAUAAAGGCUUCUUGAACACCUCCAUCAACCGAAUCAACUAAAAGCGCAGAAACCCUUUUGGCAAUUUCAAUUGCAUCUUUCUUUGCCUUGUCUGUUCAAAAUUACAACAACCCAACUGAAUCAAAUUACUACUUAAUCAAAUAUAUGGUCAAAAUCCCAGAAGUUUCUUUUAAGGGAUAAAAAAAAUAGGAUUGGACGGGGAAAUCAAAUGGGUUGACCUGUAUGUUCCCGGAGUUGGAUUGAUGAUUGAUUAUGAGCAUGCAUCAGUUGAAGUAAUGAAGCUUCUAAACCUCCAACUUCUGGCUGUUUUGAUCGAUCCAUCUUCAGAAGAAAAGGGCAUUCGCAGCCUUUUUCAGCUUCAAUUUCUGAUGCACUUUCCCAUUUUGUUGGGGUGUUAGUAUAUUAUUACAAAAGUUUUGAUUUUUGAUUUGUUUUUAACGAGAUUAAAAUUAUAAUUGUAGCAAAUUAAAAAAUUGUGUUCGAGUCUAACAUGUGAAAAUUAUUACAUUUUGAGCCAUUAACUUUUUAUAAGUUAGAGUUCAUAUGAAAUUUUGAGCUUGAAUAACUCGACUAAUUAAUGCUCCUUAGUAUGUUAAACUAGGUUUGAGUACUAGCUUUCCAUUGAUUAAUCACAAGAUUGAAGUCACUUAGGGAAUUGAAUUGUUUGAUUCGUUUCUUAGCUCCACGAGUACUACCUAGUUUCAAUGUGCCUGCAAAAUGAAAAAACAAUAAUUUUUUUUCUUGUUGUUGAUGAAUUAAUUGUACAUGUAAAAUGGGUAUAAACUAAAUAUUGUAUAGAUUCAUGUAUCUUAUGAAAGUUUGAUCGUUGAUUGUCUCAUGUACGUGAUAGAAACUUGGAUUUGCUUUCCAAUCCAAUAUGAGUUAAUGAAAAUAACACAUUGAUGUGGUAGAGGCAAGAUGACAAAUCUUGGAGAAAAGGUUUCGCACUAAGGCAAAAGUAAGAUCAUGAUAAUUAGCAUCAAGAAGAAUGACAAGAGAGUAAAAGAUCCUACCCCAAAAUGGUCUUUGAUAAUGUGUCAAAGUUACUUAAGUGCAACGCAUCAAUUAUGCAUCCCAUAGUGAACCACAAGGUCCACCAUCUUAUCAAUUGAGGUAAAAACAUCAUGAAUUAGAGAAAGAAACAAAAAGUUGGGGACAUUUGUUGUUUGUUAGCGCAAAUUAAGUAGUUGAAAUUAUGGAUUUGAUGUUGGAUGUUAAGUAAAUAAUAAUUUUUACUGGGGUCUAAAGCACUAAAGAUCACUAGAUAAUGAACACACAUGCAUGACAUUUGGUGCCCCUCUUUCAAAUCCAUCAUUUAUUUCAUGAAACAUUAUAAAAAGUGUGAUGAAUUGCAUAACCGACUUUGGGAUAUUUGCAUGCUACGUAAGAAAAGAAUAAUUAUGCUUCUUGUCAAGCAAAUCGUACUGGACAAUAUUCGACAAUUUCAUUAAUAAAAUUUUUUGUUUUAUCAGAAAAUAAAAAUAGAAAAUCAUGUGUCUUGUCUGGGUGCUGAAAGAUACGUUUAUGCAAAACUAAUUUCCCAUUUGUUUUGAUAAAAGGUUUGAGUGGCUAAAAAUAUGAGGAAAUGCUUUCACCAACUAAUCAUAAGUGGUCAACUUGCAGUUUUUAGUAGUAUUCACGCUAGAGAUAGAUUAACUUGCACCUUUAGUUAAUACAGUUAAAGAUUAACUUAUACCUUUAGUUAAUAUGAUUAAAGUUACACCUCAGUUAAUUUUGUAUUUGCUGAAUUUGGCAGAUGUGUGAUGUGACUUUCUUUAAAUUGAUUGAAGCACUGCAUAUGGAAACAUGGCUCAAUCUGGACUCUCCCUAAUAUAGGUUAGAGUAGGAGCAGGAGUUCCGUUUGAUAAAAAAAAAAUAUGGGAACAAAACAUUUCUUCACCAUAACCUUUUGUAUGAUCAUCCAUUCAUUUUUUUUAACUGCAAUGGAAUAGACUAGUUCCUUAUGAUAAUAUUAUACAACCUAACCACCUAGUUUUUCAAAAUUCUUAUUGUUAGACAAGGCAUUGCAAGUCAAUUUAUUUUCCAUAUAAAGGUUAACUGGAUCCAUUCCCAUAUGUUUUCCUUUUUCUGGUAUCCUCUACCUUAGGUUGAAGUGAUAACUAUUUGCUAAUCGUUAUUUUACGAAAGAAGGGUUAUUAUUUUUUUUUUUUUUUGACAAAGGAACCUGCAGUCACUGUCCGAAGGUGCGCGCUGAGUAAAUUUCGUCCCGUGCAAUAGUCCGCCAACCACAGGAAGUACAAAUCUUGUACGGCGGGCGGAUGUCCCAGUAAAGAUUCGAACUCGAGGGUUAUUAUCAUUUGACCUUUAGAUUUUACCAACAAAAUUACUUUGGAACAAAUGAAAAGUAUCACGAUGUUUUGUCCACCUUGCAUUGAGAUUCCUCUUGCCUGCAUGCGAUUCGCGAAGGUCACGAGAUAAUUUAUUCAUUACAUUGAAAUUAGGAAUAUUGUUAAUCGCAUUCCAUCUCUUUUUAUAUCUUUUGCACAUCUACAAAAAGUGAAGUGUAAAUUAACCUCAUGCUCGUGCACUACAAGUAACAUAUCGAAAGUGAAAAAAAGAUUAGAAAAGGCGAUUUCUACGUACUAAGAUUAAUCUAUUUCUAAUCCUUUUUUUUUUUUAAAGAAUCUAUUUGUCAUCCUUUUUUUUUUUUUCAAGAAUCUAUUUUGUGAUCCCUAUCCAACUGUUGUGGUGAAAUGAAGGAAAAAUCAAGCAACUUUGCAUCUUACGUUUGUGAUUUGAAUAGGAUUGUCCUCAACAAAUACUAGUUUUUAUUUAAAAGAUAAUGCAUGCGGACACAUCACAUAAAUUUUAUCUCACACGCUCCUCAACACAAUCCGUCUUGCUUGUAAAUAUUAUUGUCGUCGACGGAUAAUAGUUCUCUACAUAAAUAUUGGUUAAAUUUGCUAUCACUCUCUAUAAUACGUAGUUAAGAAAUUACAGCCUUGUUCGAAUUGCUACAUUUCUGCAAAAAAUUCUUUUGGAUUUUCUAAAGUAUUCUCUCGACAUGAUUGUUAAUCACAUUUUUUAUAUAAAAAAAAUGCUAUAAUGUAGUUUUUCAGCAUAAACCCCCCAAAAAUAAAUCUCAAUGGACGGUACAUUUUGUUAUAGUCUUGGACUCGAUUCUUUUCGAUCAAACGAUAAUUUUGAAAACUCAGCAAUUAGGAAAAUCUUAUUUCAUACAACCAAGGAACGACUUAAAUCCUUUUUUAGUUGUAGAUCGAUGAAUUAAAUCCCUGAUAGAAUAAGAAUUAUUGCAUAAAAGAAAAAAAGGAUGGAGCGAGCCGAGUUAAAUUAAACACUACUAGAUUAUAGCGUUUGACCAUAUACCGACUUAUCUACGAAACACAUGGAAGUUCCAAUUCUGCAGAACUCCAAACCAGGGCCUGAUGCCUGAAUGGCCUACGGCAUUGACCAUAUCGAGUAAACGAAAAAGGUUUCAGUUCAAAACACGGAUCCCCAAAAUAGAAGUCCAAGCUAUCAAAGCUAGUAGGAAAGAUAGAUAGAUACACCUGCCAGGGCUACAGUGCUACACAUCCCCACACACAGUCACAUUGUGUCACACACAAUUUUUCCAGUUUCCGAAAAAUAUUUCAUUACCCCCACCCGGCAGAAAGUGAAGGAAGGUGGCAGUAAAAGAAAGGAUUUUUACGAAAUAAUUGCAAGCCAAUGUCGGUGAAACUAAACUCCACCUUAAGCAAUAAGAAAAAAAUGUCACGUGCAACCUUUGGUAACUGAAUCAGAGUUUCCUGGAAACGCUUGCUGAAUAGAAACGUUAUUGAAGUGAAAAUCAAUCAUGAUUGCAAGUGUUUAGUACAGGAUGAAAACAAUUUUUGUUUUACUAGUUGUGUUGUGCGGUUGCUCCUUUCACACAUACUGUGACAGAAUAUAUUAGUACGUAUAAAUAUCGGAAGGCAUCAUUAAAAGGGCAUCGUGGUUGAGGUUUGGCUAGGCUGGCAUUACAGCAAUGGCCUCCCUGAGGUCCCUCAACCGCUUCAGGGCUCUUGUUCUUCUCUUCUCCCUCCUAUCAGGUCCUUCAUCUUUCAUCUCUUGUUUUUUUUUUAAUUCAUUUUUCAUCAUAUUACGAGUCUUCUUAAGUGGGUUUUUCUGGGUUUUGGUUGGUUGUGCCUAAUCAUUUGGUUAAGGGGAAAACAAGGUGAAAAAAUAGUUGGCUACUGAUCUUUUGGAUUGGGGGAAUUGAGCUAGUUCUUCUGGUUUUGCGAGCUGGGGAGCUUUUCUGAAGUGGGGCUUUCUUGUUUUUCUCUGUUUUCCUUUAUUUUGGUUUGCUGGGUUUCGGUGGCAAGAAGUUGGAAUGUUCAAGAUUCAAUUUUUGUUUGAUUAUCUGAGCAUUCAAGUUGCAGGGCCUUGAGUUUUAUGAUUCUUUUAUCAUAUUUGAACUAUAAUGUUCUGAAAUUCUUCAAGAUAUGCUUGCUAUUGGAUUGGUGACCUGGAUUCUUGACACAAAAGAAUAGGAAUUUAUUGUUACUACCGUGUUUCUGUGAUUCUUUUCAGAGUUUUCCUCGUAGGAAUGAUGUGACCUGUUGAUUUUAUUUGUCCUCUGAUUGGUUUAUGUUCUGGAAGUUUAUCCUGGUAUUGGUACUUAUGAAUUUUCACUGUUAGUUAAUACUAUAAGAUGAAUUAGAAAACACUUGAAGCUAUCUUCUCUUUUGCCAAAUUUUGAAGGAUUAUGAAUAUUGAAGCUGAUAGCCAUCACUAUUAUUCUGUUUCUUUGGGAAUAAGCUUAUGCAUUUAUCACCCUCUUCGUCUACACUCACCAAUGGCCUUCAAUUUUUUGCUCAGAUUUAUCUGUUGGCGUACUCAGCCUUGGAAUUGGGAUAAAUUAUGGCCAAAUAGCCAACAAUCUCCCUUCACCGUCCCGGGUUGCUGUUCUCCUUAGAUCUCUCAAUAUAAGCAGGGUGAAGCUAUAUGAUGCAGAUCCAAAUGUGUUGAGUGCUUUCUCCAAUUCCAAUGUUGAUUUUGUCAUUGGAUUAGGGAAUGAAAAUCUUCAAGCAAUGACUGAUCCUGGUCAGGCUCAAACUUGGAUUCAGCAACAUGUUCAACCAUACCUUUCUCAGACUAAGAUCACUUGUAUCACUGUUGGAAAUGAGGUCCUAACUGGGAAUGAUACCCAGAUGAAAUCUCACCUCCUCCCUGCAAUGCAAACUGUCAAUAAUGCUCUUAAUAAUCUCGGGCUCAGUCGAGAGGUCUAUGUAACAACUGCUCAUUCAACAGGCAUAUUAGGUAACUCCUUCCCACCUUCCUCAGGGUCAUUCCGACAAGAUCUUGCAGAAUAUAUCCAGCCUAUCCUCAGUUUUCAUUCUCAGACAAAUUCACCAUUCCUCAUAAACGCGUAUCCCUUCUUUGCGUACAAAGGUAGCCCCGAUCAAGUCUCAUUGGAAUAUGUGCUAUUCCAGCCAAAUCCAGGAAUUCGCGAUCCAGUUACAAAUUUAAACUAUGAUAACAUGUUAUAUGCACAAAUUGAUGCCGUUUACUCGGCUAUGAAAGCACUGGGCCAUACAGACGUUCAAGUUAAAAUAUCUGAAACAGGAUGGCCAUCAAAGGGGGACCCAGAUGAGGUAGGAGCUACUGCCGAGAAUGCUGCAUUGUAUAAUGGCAAUUUGCUGCAACGGAUCGAACAGAACGAAGGUACCCCUGCAAAUCCAUCAAUACCAAUUGAUGUCUAUGUUUUUGCCCUUUUCAACGAGGAUUUGAAGCCCGGUCCAGCUUCGGAGAGGAAUUAUGGCCUGCUUUACCCAGAUGGUUCUCCAGUUUAUCGGAUUGGGUUGCAGUUGCUGGAGCAACAGCAGGGAUAUCUCCCCCAUAUCGAUUAUUCAUCUUCUGGUCAACAGAAUACCGUAAGAAUCCUCCUGCCACCAUUUAUCUGUUCUUCUACAGCCCCCACACCUCAUGUAUGCACAUACGAAUGCUGAUCUAACAUUUACACUUAUAUGUGAUGUUUUGCAGGUUUAUUCCAGUUUUUCUCUUCUGCUGAUUGCAUUAGCAUUCUUAAUAUGAGCUUCAGAACGGGAGACGCUCAAAUUAAAAGCCAGAGAAAGGCGAUGGGAACAGGAGGAGCCUCUGAAGAACCUCAGGGAUGUUUACCACUUACUUACAAGAUCAAUUCUUUUGCUCGGUUCAUGAAUUCUUUGACCAUCCAUUUGGAACUUAAUAGUAAUAAGUAGUCAAGGUGGCUCAACUGGAAGCAGGACUAGAACUAUAGCAAUUGAUAGCACUUGGUAGCAGUUUUGUCUUUUAAAUUCCCUAUAUCUGUACAUACUCUACCAAUACCAAAAUUUUAUGAGUUUGUAAUGAGGGAACAUCCAUCAAUUGAUCUGUUAUAGACUCUCUAUUUUUAUCAUUGAUCUGCAAAUCUUUGUUAUCUGAAAUGGAUUUUUUUACAACAGCGGAUAUUAAUGUCAAGAUGUGGUAUAGGUCGGCUGUUACACCCAAUUCUUGCAUACGUUUCAACCAUCAUUUUUUUAAUGAAGAUAGGGCCAUGAACUAUUAGGUCUGUAUCCACUUGCUUCUGCCUGCUAUCAUGCUUAUGAGCCCUCGCUAUAGAUGAAAUUCCCAUAUUCGUCCUUAUUGGCUUCUAGGAGGAAAAAAUGAAGGGGAUAAUUUCAUAAACCUCCCCUGAUGUGUCUAACAAUUUCACUGAGUUCUCUUGAGAUUUCAAAAUUUACACUUCCUUCCCCUGAUUUGACGCUUUUGAUAUCCAAAACUUAGAUUUGGCCAAAAUUUUAAAUGAAUACCCCAAAAUACCCUCACUUUGUAAAAUUCAAUUACUUUCUAAAGCAAUAAUAAUAUAUUUAGUACAAAUAUAAGAAAAGAUUGUCAAGUUUUCACCAUCAAAUUUAUCUAUCAAUUAUGAUAAACUACUUUUAAUGGUGCUUUAUCGCGGAUACAUAUUUUUCCUAAAUUAAAGAAGAAAAAGUCAUCAUAAUGCUUUUAGAGUUUGUGGAUUUUUGAAUUGGUGAAACUAUCAUAGUUUGAUAGUAUUUUGGGCUUUUUUCUUGAGUCAGUGUUGCUUUUGAUACCAAAAAAAAAUUGAUGAAUAAAAUUGGAUCACAUCAAAUGUUCUAAAAAAAAUAGUCAUUAGUUUGACAUCUAGGGUUAGUGUUUAUAGUUCCAUAAUUUUACUGGCAAAAAAUAUAAAAGAGGAGGAAUAAAAAGAGAAAAGGAAAAGGAAAACUAACUAUAAAUACCAUUUUUUGUAUAUGCAUAUUCAACAAGGGAGUUUUAUUAAAUUGUUAAGAUCGGUAUUGUCAUUUUAGGUGAAUAAGGGAGGUAAGUACAAUUUUUAAAACUUUGGGGGACCUCAGCGAAAUUAUUAGAAACUCAGGGGAGGUUUCUGAAAUUAUCACAAAAAGAAGCCGCCCUCGAGAGUCUCUAUCUUUUCUCCAACCGCACAUUUUUAAUCUAAACCGCCAAAGCUGAAAGUUCAUAAAUUUUUGUCUGGUUUCGUCAAGCCUACAUCGGAAAAAUGACAUUUUGUGUCUACAUGUUGUGUUUUUAAUUUCGUAAAAAGAAUGUAUUGCAUCACUCUUAUGUCGACUAGCAAUCUUUCUCUGCUGUACCCCUUUAUGUCAAUUUCCAACGCUACAUCCCUGAAUACUUUUUCUUGAUCUUUUGCAUACUUUUUCUUGACCUUUUCAAUGGGUGGUAGUAGUUUUCUUCCAAGCUAUAAAUCCUUGCCUCAUUAUGCAGUCAAUUUUCUCAUUCAUCCCUGUAGGCUUUUCUAACACAACUAUUAUUAGCUCUUGAUAUGCAUGGUCAGAUUAGAUAUGAUUUCCCUUUGGGAUAUUUUUUUCUGGGCUCCUUGAGAGACCUUCCAAGAAGUCCUAUAUUUGGUGGGGAUGGAAUCUUUUGAUGCCAAAGCCUAGAGCAUCAAUAUCAGAUGAUGCUUAAGUUACACAACUGCUUUGUGGGCUUCAACAUCAAGGCAUUUUCAACUUUAUAUUUCCUACAUCAGCAAUGACUAUAAAAUAAGAUAAGGGUGACAGAUGGACCAAUGCACUUGACAAAUUUUUCUUCAAUGUCAGCUGGCUUAACUAAUACUGCAUACCUUCCCCAGUUGGCUGAUGCCCCGGAGUUUGUUCAUAUUUGUUGCUUCUAUCAAGAAAAGUGGCCUAAAAAUGCUGAUCAACCUGGAUGGUUAAUAAGAUCAUUCUUUCGUCGAACAUGUUUAUGGCCUGUUCAUGACAUAACGAGAAUGUAGAAUAUCUUCUGCAUGUUGUGAAUUAUAGAAACAAAUGCAUGUGUAAAGCUAGCUUUCAUACUCGUAUACAUAGAGCACCAGCUGCUUUUUUCAUUUGUGGUAGGCCAUUAAUUAGUUGAUUGAUAGAGAUGGAUAAUAUCAAUUGAUCUAAUCAUGCGCUUGGAAGUGGGAAUUGGGAACUGUAAAUUAUCGGCCUGCUGUUACUGUUACGACUAAUCCAAGCAUGUACAGUAUUAGAUUGUUCUACGAUUCUAUGAUGUAGAAGGCUCUGAUUUGUGAUCUUUUACAGACAAAUUCUGAACAUCCAACAUGGAGAUUUGAUAUUUAACGCAAUCAAACUUUUGUUAGCUACAAUUCUUGACUGUCUACGCAAUAUGAUAGUGAUCGAUGCAGUGGUGCUGCUCCUUCGAUUGCAUGGGGCCAAACCAUGACAAGAAAUUUUUGUGCAUCUGUGUUUCCAUCUAUGCUGAUUCAACGGUUAAGGCUUUUUAUCUUGCGGUAGUUCAUAUGUCUUUUCUGUUGCUCACCAGACUUCACCAAAUACGAAUUGAAUGUCAAAAGAAGGGGACACAUUAAAUUAAAAUAUCUGAAGCAUUUUAAUGGGACAUGAGCUUUAGUGACGCUUUGAAACCCGUUUACAUGCAGAUUAAUAUUGAGCAAUCAUCUCAAUUAAAUAAUGUUACUCAAAUUUGUACUACUUCUCUAAUAAUGUGUAGCAAGCAAGACCCAAUUCCAAAAUUUUGGAUUUUCUUUGCUAGGAUUAAGAUCUGACUCCGGCUUGAAUUAUUAGUUGGAGUGGUUGUUAGGUUCAGUCAGAAGCCAAUUAUUUGAUUCCAAAAGCAAUUUAGUCCAACUAAGACUUUUGCAUAGAAAAAAAAGUAAUAUACACUGUCAGUGUAUACACUGUCACGGUUGGAUGGAUGACACACGAACAAAUUUUGAAUUUUAAAUUCAAAUUUUGCACAUGUGUCAUAAAUUCAAAUUUUGCACAUAUGUCAUAUAUUUAACGUGAUACUGUAUACACUGACAGUAUAUAUAAAAUUAAUCCAUGUAAAUAAUACUUCAAUUUUUUUAAAAUAAUGUUUGUACUCUCUUUGUCUCAUGAAAAUAGAUUCACUUUUCAUUUGUAUUUGUCUCAUUCACAAAUUAUAAGCCCAUUUCCUGCUACACUCAUAUUAAACAAAUAUUUACUUCAUUCAUUAAUUAUUCUAGUAGUACUAAUAAACACAACAAUAAAACUAGUACUAAUUCAGAGGCAUAUAAGAAAAGUACUAAACAAAAAUGAUUGCAUUAACUACAAUAACUUACGCUUCUCAAUUUGUGUGAAAAUGAAAGUGGACUUAUUUUUGUGGGAUAGAAGAAAUAUUACUUUUUGUUUGGGAUUAAGGGUUGACUUUAAACCUUAUAAGUGAGAAGGAAAAAAAUCGAAUCAGAGAUUUUAUGGUCACCUAAUUAAUGUCUCUUUUCUUCAAAAUAAAAAAUAACGUCCCUAUCAGUUAAAUUGGGUCUUAUUAAUAGUUUUUAACCGGCGAAGUUAAGCCUUAUUCACCUGAAACUAGUUUUAUCUAGACUUGAGAGAUUAAAUAGGAAAAAAAAAAGUAAUUUCUAUAGUGCACGCAAUAAUUACACACUUUCAUGAUAAUAGAAGUGAAAUUCUUCCAGUAAUCAUAGCAAUGGAAGCACAUUUUGCUCCAUUCUCCAAAAAGUUGGCCUUUUGUCUAGAGUCAUCCUCAGUAAUUUUAAUCCUAUGAGAGGAUAAGGGGCAUUUUCGUAUGUCGGCAUCUUGUACCCAUUCUCAAUGGUGCGGCCGAAAAGCAGAAGACAAAUAUUAGGAACAAUAUUAGUACAUCUGUACUUUGGCUUUAUAUCUCCAAGUAAUUUGGUGGGCAAAGAAUCCCAUAGGAAGCAGGUAAAAGUAGUAGGAACUAAUAUUAGGAAUUUCAUGUCUCAAUAGUUUUAAGCCCUUUCAGUAUUUGUAGUUUUAUAAACAGAUUAGUUGAGGCAUGAAAAGAAAUUUGGCAUUUAGAAAAAAAUAAGUUUUGAUAGCAUUAUAUGACGCAUAAUGCAAUUAAUAGCCAUAUAAUAGUGAAUUUUCACAUGUACAGAUGAGGCUAAAUACAAAUGAAGCUCCUUAGGUUUGGGCGGAGAAGGAAUGGUUUUUCCUCAAAAUCCAAAGCUGUUCUUUCGGAAAGUCUCAAGGUUGACACUACUUUUGCAAAGAUUUUGCAUUGCUCGAGUAAUAUAAAAUUUAGAGUAAAUCUUUAUAUACAAUAUCACUAUUAGAUCCAUGAUAUAUGUGCAAAAAUUGAAUUUUAAAUUCAAAAUUUACAUAAUUGUCAUUCAUCCAAAAUUAACCGUAUAUAUGUUAUCAGUGCAUAUAAGAUUAAUUCUAAAAUUUAGUGAAUAUUCAAAACUUUUAUAGUUGCAGAUACGAAUGUAAACAAACCUAAUCAAACCCAACACUUUAAUGUUCAAACUUGUUUGACUAUUUUAAUGAAUUUGAAAUUUUGUUCAAACUUAACUUAUUUAUUUGCUGAAUUGAAUUUGAAUGAGACUUUUAUCGAGUUUGAAUGUUAUUAAAUAUAAGACGCUAUUUAUCCUUAUCUUGACUAAUCGGCAAACCAAACUCGAAUAAAUUCUUACCAAAUGGAGCUCGAUUCGAGUAUCAAGUAAUUUGGUUCAUCUUUCAACCUUAGUUGUAGGUACAAUCACAAAAUGUAAUCAACGCAUCAAAUUAAACCAUGAGAUUUAUUAAAUUUCUAUUGUUCAUUUUAAAUUUGAAAUUUGAAAUUUAACAUUUAAAUUUAAAUUUCUGAAAUGAACUCUCAAUAUCCAGCUGAUCUGCUUUGACUCAAAUAAGGAUGUCAAAAAUUGCUGAGUGAUUGCUAUGACGAUUGUUUAGCCUACCCCAACCCCUCAUAAAAACAACAUGCUGUGCAAAAUGCAAACUAGCUUUGGUCCAAGACUUGUAAUCACUUGGCCUAAAAGACGAAUGAGCAAUGAAUAUCAAGAUAGUCAGUAUUCAGAGCUAAAGAUCUAAUAAUUAAUCUUUUUUACAGUAAUAGUAUGGUGUUGGAUGAAUGAUAAAGGUAUAAAAUUUAAAUUUGAUAUUUAAAUUUUGUAUAUAUAUCACGAAUCUAACGGUGAUAGUAUAUACAUUUAUAUAAAAUUUAGUCAAUAUCUAAACAUGUUCGUGUUAUGAUUUUAAGGUAAUACUUGUAAUUGAUUCCAUGAUUUUUACCAAUAAUAGAAAUAUAAAUACCUGUCAAUUGCGUGAUUGACCAAAUGCUGACACGAAUCUUAGUAGGCGUACGUGCUUUUCCAUCAGCCAUCGCGAGAUCCGCCUAAAAAUGCGUGUUCCUAAGCAGUGGUCGGCGAGAUCAGGACCGCCACGCACCGCCAUGUCAUCAUCUUAGCAACAUCAUAGGCUACUCUUGCAUGUGUACUACGGUUACUGCACCUUUUAGUCGGUCAGAUAUGUCUUUCACUUUUUCAUUUCCUCUUUUUUAAAAAAAAAAAAAAAAUAUUUUUCAUAUUGUAUUAUUCAACUAUUAUUUUUCUAAAAAAUUAUUUUCUAACAAGAGAGAGGUGAAAUUUAAAAAAUGAGAAGGAAAAAGGGGAUUCAAAUCCAAAAUCUCUAAAUUUAGAGUCUCGACUCAGUCACUAGUAUUAUUUUACUUUUAAUUGGGUGACCGGAAUAUCAAAUUAGGCUACAAUAAUUUUCCAAUUACGUUUUGAACUAGCAAGUUUGAAUGUAUGUAAUAUAUAUGAACAGGAAUUUGAAUACUAAUGAAGUUUACGUAUCAUGUAUUGAGACCCAUCAGUUAAAAAAAGAAAAAAAAUUACACGGCUUGUGUAAGAAAAAAUUAAUUUAGUAACAAUUAAAAAAGAAAAGAAGAAGAGUAAAGAACAAAAAAGUUUUCAUAUUUCCCAAAAAUUCAUGGAGACUUGCGAAGAAGAGAUUUCCAAACGAAGUAAAAGAUGAGAAUCGCUAGCUUAAGAAACAAUCUAGUAGUACUAUGUUGUUCUUAUCUCUAAUAAGAAUUUUUUUAACGGGUACCCACUUCACACGUCUAAAUUAUAUUUAAUUUAUCAUAUAAAUACACACAAUCAUAAUUAUUGUAUUUUUUUGGACGCUUUUCUAAAUUAAUUAAACAUUAAAAAUAAAACUAACAUUUGAAGUCGCUAUUAACGAGUACCUAACGAGUAUCUGUUUGCCGAACUUUUUUAAUAAUUAUGAUCUCAUUGGGAGGGUAAUAUUCAAUAUAAGGAAGCCCAAAUUGUUUGCUUUAAGAGAAAGUACCUUUCAAUGAAUGCUAUGUUGCGGUCAUCGUCAGUUCAAUCUUUAGACGUUGCUUCGAAGAAAGGCAAAAUUUCAAUUUAUUACGGAGCUAAAGGAAGAAAUCUUGGGAGUCACUCACAGGUCAAAAAUUAACACAUCAUCAGCCAUCAGGACAUGUAUCAGUAGGAGUUGUCAAAACCGUAUGUCCUCUAGUUCGUUACUGUCCAUUCUUCAUUUCGUCCUGCACCUUUCCUAACUAUUGAUUCCGUAUUUAAUUGGGACACAAAUUUUGUUAAUUUUAUAGAAACGUAGAAAAGGUUCUCAGUUAUUUCCCACAGUAUUUACACGUGCAUUUAUAAAAGAAGUAAUCGUUAAAUUGUCUACUAAAAACACGAUUCUUUUUUUUUUUAAUUAAUUGAUCGUGAGAAAACAACGGGAUGACAGCGUUCUAAGGAAAAAUGAAACAAAUUAAGUGUUCAAGUUUAGCACCUUGUUUACUUUUUUUUUUGUUUUUGUUUUAUAAAACAAUAACACAUAUACUCUCCUAUUCUAGGGAGGGAGGAAAAAAAUUAAGAUACAUAAGGGACUUGAAAGAAAACAAAACCCUCUAGAUCAAAAAAAAAAUCAAAUAUUUUCUUAGUGACUAAUUUACCAAAAGUAAGAUUGGGACUCUAGUGGACUUCAGCCUAAUACAUAAAAUUAACAACUGUAAAAGUGAUUAUAAAUAUAUGCAAUAAAAACAAGAAGUCAUGCCUUUUUCUCCAAAAGUAAAUAAGUUCAAGUUGUUCUUUAACUAAUUAUAAUUGUUAUCCUACUAUGAUCACACUUUGGAUGACUCAGACAAACGUUUGAUUCUUUGAAUAGCUCCUAACUUGCCCUUUGAAUUUUCGAAGUUAUAAUCGAAACCCUUGUAACAUUUUGGUCAGAAAAUGUGGGUAGAAUCUUCAAAAAUAGAAUUCAAUGAGUUGGUUGAGGAAUAAAUAGAAUUAAAUAUCCACCAUGCACCACUUUAUUCUAAAGGGCCUAAUUGACAAUCAAUCAAGGAGGGCUAAUAGCGGCUGUUAGAAGAAUCAAAUUCCUCCUUUUUUUUUAUAUUUUAGAGGUAUAAGUGGAUAACGUUCAAAAUUCAACUUUGACUGCAUGGAAGAAAAACGUUUUCUUGGAACUUAAUUUAAAAAAAAAAAAAAUGAAACACAAGUUUUAGUUGGUCAAACAUAACAUGUUCAAAGCCACAGAUGAGUCUCGAUCACUAGGAUGAUGGCUAAGGGCAUGGCAAGCUUUGGACAUUAAUUCUUUCGUGACAAAUUUGGCAUUCUACUUAUUGGCUAUUGAACUUUUUUUCUUGGUCCAAAUUAGUCAUUCGAUCAAUUGAUUGAAACAUAUAUAUUUGGACAAAAAAAUGUACAUUUUUUAUUAGUUGAAUGAUAAAAAAAAAAAAUUACGUUUUUGUUAGUUGAGUGAAAAAAAAAUGCAGUGUUCUAUUAGUUGAGUGACCAUUUUGGCUAAAUAAAGAGUUCAAUGACUACGACGGGAAAUUAUCAAUAAUUUAGUGACAAUUUUUUUCAUUUAUUCUUCUACUUUUCUACAAAAUUAUUUUAGUUUUACUUUCAAGUUAUUGAGAAUAUUUUAUGACAAAUAUAUUAAUACACAUAAACUUAAUGAUUUCAAAACAUUUCAUAUCUCAUUAAAAAGUUUUGAGGUUCACAAAUGAAAUGUAAGAUACUAAUAUUUAAUCUUGGGAUGAAAAGUAUGAUAACCAAAUAAGCGUGGAUUUGACUUUGAAAUAUCUUACACUAAUCAAGGGAUUCGAUGGAAAAGCACUUAGCAUCUGACUAGUCCUGUCAAUUCUGUAGAUAAAGCAUCAUCUGACGUGAGAAUUCAUCAGUAGAUUGAAGAAAACAAAAGCCACUUGCUUAAUUAAAUGAAACUCUUUUUGUUCACAUUUCAAAUAAUAAAGUCACUUCCUUUGAAUUAGACCUGUCUUUGCUGAGGGACUGUUCUCAGUUAAUUAUUUUAGCUUUAACUGAUUAUAGAUUCUGAUUUUGGAUAAUCAAUUUUUGUGAUGCUUUCGGUUGCUUUUGUAUUUUGAUUAUAGAUUUUUUAAUGACCAAAAAAUCUAAUAUCUAUAAUCACCUAAAGAGCAGCUUUUCCUGAUUCUGAUUAUUAUCUAUAAUCAGUUUCUAUAAUCAGAUUUUGUAAAAUUUAAAGUAACCGAGAGCAAGGCCUAAAUAUUUGAAUUUGAGGUACAUAAAUACGUUCACAUGUCAAUUGCAAUUCUGAAUUAGGACACAGAAAAACUUGCCCACUUGAUUCCCGAAGCAAGUUUUUUUCUGCAUUGAUUUAGCAUUUUCAAGUUGUUACUUGGAUUUAGUCCCCAAAUUGGGCUAGUAGUCCACUUGAACAAAAUAAAUACUUUCACAUGUCCAAUCCAAUUCUGAAUCAGGACACGGAAAAACUUGCCCACUUGAUUCUUGAAGUAAAUCUUGGGGAUCGAUUUACCAUUUUCAAGUUGUUACUUGGAUUUAGUCCCCAAAUAAAUACUUUCACAUGUCAAAUGCAAUUCUGAAUUAGGACACAGAAAAACUUGCCCGCUUGAUUCUUGAAGUAAAUCUUGUGCAUUGAUUUAGCAUUUCCAAGUUGUUGCUUGGAUUUAGUCCCCAAAUUGGACUAAAUACUUUCGCAUGUCAGAUGCAAAUCCGCUUUAGGACCCAGAAAAACAUGCCCACUUGAUUCUUGAAGGAAAUCUUUUGCAUUGAUUUAGUCCCCAAGAUUGGACUAGCAGUUGACCAGAACAAAAAUCGUCAAGCCAAGAAAGGCCCUUUUACAAAAGCGUUCUCAUGAAAGGGUAAGAUUGAUAUGCAUGCCAUUUCAGACUUUUUAUCUCCUCAACUUUUUCUUGGCCAAUGUCACAGACGAGAGCUUUAUUCUUAUUCUGAUCACUUUAGCAACCAAUUCAUUUGUCUCAAUUGGUAAAGUUGGGCCCUUUUUUGUUCGUCAACAAUGUUCUAUGGGCCUAAGUUUAGAUGUGUGGCUUUUGAUAUCCAAGAUAAUGUCUAAGCUGUCUCAGUUGGCCACUUCCCAAAUAUUAUAAUUUUAACGUGCUUAAGUCACAAUCCAAACUUUACCAAAAGUUAUAAAUUCAAGGCCAAUAUAUGUUAUUCCUAUGCCCUUGUCUUUUCUUGUAAACAAAUACACUAAUGUAGACUAUGCAGUGCCCAUGAGUCAAAAACUAGAGUGGUAGGAAAGAGAUGGUACUAGACUACUUUUGAAAAUUGACCAUAUAUUCUUUAGCAUUUAGAAAUUCAAUGAGGUAACUUUGACAAGAUUCAAAUCACCAAGAAGUAAUUUUCUUUUGAUUGGGGGGGGGGGGGGGAGUUAAAUAUGGGAUUAGUAGGUUGACUUAGGGUGCGUUUGAUAAAAUAGAAUCUGAAAACUAAAAACUGAAAUUUGACUUAGGGUGCCACUUAAUUAAUUCAGAUGCUCAAUUUUUUGUUAUCAAAGGCAUCUGAACAUAUUAAGAUCUGAAUACAUUAAGUCUAAAUGUUGAAUUGAGUUAUCAAACAGGGUCUUGGAGUGGAAAAAUAUGGAUAAGCAGAUUAUUAAGCAUAUGCAAGUAAUUCACUCCUCAUCUCUUUGCAUGAUUCGCGGAAUUUUGUUAAUAUUUUCUUCAAUAAACCGAUUUCAUUUAGAUUCUUUGUCAAGUAAAAUCCCUGCUGGGGAAACAAUAUGGUAAAACUAUUUUGAAAAUGCAUGAAAUUAUACGGUCGAUGAAAAAAAAAACUUUUCAGCCGGCUCUUCAACAUAUGUCGAAUUGGAAAUUAUUACGAAUUUAUCGAACUGGGCCAGGCUUCGUAAGGCAACCCAAAACUACAGGGGAGGCCGCAGUUUGUAACUUCUUUAAAAUUCGUGAACUAGUUGGGUUUCAGCCUGUCAGAAUUCAAUUGAAUAGAAAAUGUUUCUAGAAAGCAAUAUGGGUUUUAGAUGAUUAGGUCUUAGUUACAAUAAGAAAAAUGGCCCAAUUUGGAACUCCUAGGCAUUUUUUGACCAAGCGGCACAAACAACAAAGAUAACUCCAAUUCAGCUGCAAUACAUUUAAAUUGAGAACAUUAAUAAAUGGUAUAUACAACGUUCAAUUUGAUAAUAAAUCAUAAACGUUGUACAUGGAAAAGAAGUUUUUUUUUAAAAAAAAUUAUUUUCAUUUUUCAGCUAGGAAUGGACGAAAUAUAAAAAGUGGGGAAGAGAAAAGCAGAUUUAAAUCUGAAAAACCCUAAUUAUUGAAGUCUCAAUCUUAGUCAUUAGAUCAAUACAUUCUCAAUGGUGCAUGAAUAUUAUGUUCCACGAUAAACUAGACAUGGGGGGAGGGGGGAUGGGAACAAUAUGUUUAUGGGGUGAAGGGUAUGUAGACCAAGGAAUAAGUUAAAUCUUCUGUGCAUUCUUUAAGUCCCCAUUUGGACAAAUGUUUUAUCAAUCUUGAGAGUUCAAACUUUAAAGACUGUAAUUUAUUUGUUUGCUAGGAGACCUAUUUAAAAAAUUGAAAAUUCUCUAGAAACCAGUUUGACAAGCAUUGCUCCAAUUGACACCACGACUAGGCAUCUAAAUUGUUAUUUCUGCUGUGCUUUUAAAUGUUGCAGUUCACGGAAAUGGAGAAAAGACUUGUUUGAUGAAGGACCAUGCCAGCAAUUCGAUUGGCCAUCCAUCUAGUUCCCAGAUAUCAUGAUUUCUGAUUAAGAAGGGAAAAUAUGUUACUGAUUAAGAAGGGGAAAUAAUGUGGUUGAAACUUGAAAGCGCACCCCCACCCCUCUUCCUUUUUCGGCCUACCAAAGAAGAUGCAAUGAAGAAAUGUCAGUUGAAGUUCAAUCAUGAUCAUGCACAAGAGGCAUUAUCUACUUGUUCGACAAAUAUGCAAUAGCAGCCUGAAGCAUGACUCCCAAUCUGAACUUGUAGUCAGAAAAGUUCCUGCUCCUUGUGAGUUAAAAUCACGCAAUCUGAAGUCGGAUAAGCAAUGCAAGUCAGCACAUAUCCUGCUUUAAUUUGACUGUCAUCAAGAUAUGAUCCAUCAGAUUGGUCAACAGAUCCUGAAACGAUCUUGCCUGUGCAAGAGGAGCACGCACCAGCCCUGCAAGAAAAUGGUAUAUCUAUUUCCUUAUUCUCUGCUACAUCCAAGAUGUACGCGUUGUCUGGCACAUCGAGCACACAUUCCUCACCAUUAGGUUGAAUCAGUUUUACUUUAUAUACUGCCAUGGCAGAUGCCCGGAAACCAGAGGCAGACAUAGCCUUCAGACCACGGACUUUACAGAUGCUGCUUACGGAUCCUAAGGAUGAGGGACUCUUGAGAAAGGGACUCUUAAUUUGGUUAAGGGGUGGGUUUCUGGACACACAGCUCGCAGGAAGUUUAAGGUUUGAGCUUGACAUCUUUAACCUGUGCAAGAAAUCUUCAGCUGGUUAGAUGAAUGAGAAUCAGGAGAAAAUCUUUAAUGUAGUAUUAGGUGCAGUACCCUUGGAUUCUUGACAACCAUCCUUUUUUCAAUAUGGACAUUAAAUGUAACUAGUCUAACUCAUAACUUUCCAAAUCUGCAAGCUUAUAGUGAUUGGUAAAUUUAUAGCGUUAAGCUGCAGUUCACAAAUACUCUGAAGCCAAAGCAGAAAGCAGACAACUUUAGCAAAGAUACUUCAGAAAUCAGUAUUUGGAAAUGGUAGUGGCUGAAUGCAGAUAUUAUAAUCCACCAAAGAAUGGCCAUUUGGUGAUCAAUAGAAGAUAAACGUCUCGCUGCUCCAACUAGGAUGGAGUUUCUUGGCAGCAUUAGGUACAGUAUUGAGAGCAGUUCUGCGGUACUAGAGCAGCCAUUGCAUUCACUGCUACCAAAAAUUGCAAAGUUCUUCAACAAUUGCUAACGCAAUGAGGUACAAGGCUUGGUUAGGCAAGAAGUUUCACAAGGGUACCAAAGAGGAAGAAAACAGUGAGAUUAUCAGGCAUACUUUUACUGCUUAGAAUUAAAAGAGUGUUUUCUCAAGCUGGCAAAACCAGUCAGCAGAGUGAACUAUUGUUUUGCAGGCUGCGUUCUUGGGUCUUCAGUAUGAAUUAUUCCAUCGAAUCGUGGGUUCCUACCAGCACUAAAUUUCAACAGCUAUAUGGAGUAGUACUGCUCAAGAGAAUUGACUGCAUCUACAAACAUAAUCAUAAAUUUCGCGUAUCUUGAUUUUGAAAAACAUGAAAAUGCACAAGAUUGACUCAAUACUCAAGUAAAAUAGAGCAAAGAAGUGCAGAGAAGCAAUAGCAAUUGCACAUUAGAGACAUUGAAUCUUACAGGGUUGUUAUUGUUUUGGAGCAGAUUGCAGCUCUAAUGUGGCUCGGAUGAGGAGGGGUCUUCUGUGGCUUAGCAAGAACAGAUAAGAGUCCAGCUGAGAGCACUGACUACCAAUGCUUUAGCAGUGACCCAACCCAAGUUCGCCGUAAGCACAUGUCCUCAUUCACCAUAUCCAUCCACAUUCAAAAUGGAUGCAAACUUGUAAGCACGUCCUUAUGCACUCCUAUUUUUGUUAGCUACACUCUAACUAUCAUUCUAAUUAUAUAAUUUUUAUUUAUUAGACUAUAUGAUAAAACAGAUGAUAAAAAUAUAACUAACAAAAUAUAGAGUACAAAUAACAUUUUUGCGUUGGGGGGUUUUUAAGAGGAGGGGGAAGGAGGGAGGGGGGAAGGGGGUGUGGUAAGCAAAUUUUUGCUUUGUGACAUUGACUAUUGGAAGAGCAAACUAUGACCAGUAUGACUCUUCGCUACAAAGUCCAAACUCAAAUUCUUUGGGCUACUUUAAAUUCGACUGCUCCCUCCAUUCACAAUAAAAGCCUCGAGGUUGAUUUCAUAGGAAUACGAAAUAACUUGACCAACCAUUUUUCAAAAGAUCAGAGCAAUCAAACAAAUGGGGCAAUAUUAUCCAAAAAAAAAAAAAUAUCCAUGCUCCUUGCAUACGAACAGAUUCUUGGGUUUUCACGCAGGCAAGCAGUACCAAGAGUAGAAGACCGCACUUAAUUGCCUAAAGUCCUCUGAAUCAGGUUUUGUAUUUUGGCUUCUGACUAAGCAAGCCAGUUCUUUCCUAGGAGGCUAAGACGCCAAAAACAAGUAGUCUGAAAAAUUCAAUCCUAGCUCUUGACAACCACAAUGUACUUGCAUUACCCGACUCAAACAUAUGUGACUCACUUGGCAAUGGCAUAGCAACACAGAAGCAUACUUGAGGCAGUUCACAAGAUUCAACCCCAAAAUACUGAUGAUUAAUUGCGGGCAGUGGCAUAAUACCAUAAUGAUAUAGUUGCCCUUGGAGUAUCAAUUCUGCAGAAUUACUUGCCCAAUGGCAUACAUAGAAAUCAACAGUUGGAGGGGAUAAAGAAAGAUUUGAGAAACAAAUGCAACAAGUGUCCGAAAUCCCACUUGAACCUUACAUGAUUCUUCAGGACAAAACCCAAACAUUCAUCCAUCUGCAAUCUACCUAGCAAGCUAAUGGGUAUGACCUGGACUCUCAGUAAAGUUCGCCCUCCUUGUGAGUGUGGAUUACACAAUCAGCAGUGGGGUAGGACACACAAGUCAGCGCAUAACCAGAUUCGAUGUGGUCGUCGCUAAGGAAGGAUUGAUCAGAUUGGUCGACAGAACCCGAAACAAUCUUCCCAGCACAAGUAGAGCAUGCGCCAGCCCUGCAAGAAUAUGGCAAGUCAAUUCCAACAGCCUCAGCAGCAUCAAGGAUGUAAGUGUCAUGAGCAGCUUCAAAAGUGUGCUCUCCUUCUGGAGUAACUAGUUUGAUCUUGUAUGUUGCCAUGGCAGAGGCCCUGAAAUUAGGUUUAGCUCUCAAACCGAAGGUUUUGGAGAUGCUCUUAACAGAUGUUAGGGAUGGUGGGCUUUUGAUCAAGGCUCUUGAAUUCUGGUUCUGGGGUGCAACUCUCACCAUGCAGUUGAUUGGAAGUCUGGUGGUGGCCAUUUUUUACCUGAAAAUAUACAACUUAGAAUACAGUCCAAAGCCAUUGCUCCAAGGCUAUAUACAACAUAUGAGACAUAGAAUUGACACAAACAAAAAGGAAGCGCAGGGUGGGAGGUGGGGUUAGGGGCGCUUUAGUACAGCUAAAGAGAAUUUCUAACCACCUCUCAGCUUUAAAAUUAUCAUGCUUUCUCACCGUACAGGAAAAAAGUAAAUCAGUUUCAAUCAACACAGUAAUAUACAACAGCAAUGCAAAAACCUUGAAGUGAAGGAUUCAAACCAUAUUCAGCAACUAUCCCAGUUGUAUGCGUACACGAGAAAGAGAGGGAGGACACAUUCCAAAAGAACAACAGAGUAAGGAAUAUUGUGUAUGCCUUAUCUCAGACAAACAGAAAUGGAAAUGAUGUUCCAUCUUCAUAACAUCAAGGCGGUAGCUAUCUGGAGCACAAUGAAAAGAAACAGGGGAGUAGCUCUCUGCUCUUCACUCGAGGCUCCAUGUCAAGUUCAGAAAGACAUAUAUUGUGUCUUUACCAUGUGAAAGACACCAUGUGUAUCAUUUCGCCAGUUAAAGCUUUACUUAACUGGUGCUAGGGACUCAGAAACACAGACAGCAAGAAGAUGCGGGACAUUUGCUUCCUAUCAAAAGAUUAAGCCAGAUAUUCACGUUGUCUGCCAAACUAUGUCAACCCAAGAAAAAGAACGAUCCAGGUAUGGAGGGGGAUGGAGACAGAAAAGGGAAAAUUUUUGCCAACACAUUGAAACAGAGAAAUAAGUUUUGAAAUUUUGGCUACCACCUUUAUCUGCAAUCUAGGGCACAAGUACCAUCAUGCUUGUAGUAGUAUUAAAACCAUUCGCGGGAGAAAAGAUAUGCAGUAAUAUUGCAAACUAGCUUACGCAGGCAAAUGACAAAGGAAACCAUAACAAUAAUUAUCAGCAAGAACCUGUCCAAUGGUCUACUCAUUACUACAAUUUAUGUUCGCUAAACAAGUAAUUCAGCAUCCAAGGUCUAUUGUCGUACAUAGCCAUAAGCCAGAUAGACUAGUGAUGGAAGGAAGGGCCUGGGGAGGAGGGCUGAAAUUUCACUCAAUACAACGCAAAGGGGCAAGGAAAAAGGGCAAAAGCUAGUAACUUUAUCAGCACACACGGACAAAAGGGGGGUCUUGAAUGUGAAAACAUUCAUGAUAAUCAGCAAAUAUUGAAACACACCAGUGAAUUGCCUUAUAUUCUAGUGCUUAAACUACAUGGAAAAGUCCCAUAAUUCUGUCAGGAUACUUAACAAAGAUAUACCAAAGCUUCUACGCACACGCACACGCACACACACAAAACCUUGGGUAAUACAGUACCAAGUGAGCCCAUCAACCUUAAAAAUCCAUAAAACUGGAAUUCAAGAAAGCAACUCUAAUUCGGUCAAAAUAAACAAAACAAGGGCUCUUAUCUUUCCUCAACUAGAUCCUAAAAUACUCAAUAGUCAAAUUUAAUUAACCAAAACCCGUGAUUGAUUUAGGAGUAAUCAGGAUCUAACAAAAUUCAGCUAAUCUAACCACAUCUCUCCAUCUAACCACAAACAAACAAAUAGUCCACAAACUCAAAAACAAAAAACAGAAAUAAAGCAAGCCCGCAAGCACACCCUUAAGGAAAAAAGAAAAGAAGAAAAAAGCCCGGAAAUGAAAUCUUACAAAAAAAAAACUAAAGAAAAGAACUGCGCUGAUCUUCCUAUCCCAAACAAGAAAAGAAAGUUUCCCUUUUCUUCUUACCCUUUUAUAAGGCAGCAAGGGAGGAGGACCCGGAAAACAAGAGAGAGAUAGGUUCAGGCGGAGCGGAGCGGUGGCGACCAAUACUGAACAGUAGUAGCAACAGAUGGGGGGCGGAAGGGAGUGUGGAAAAUGUGAAUUAUUUAUAGAGGGAGAGUUGAAUGACCAGUACGGUGAAAGACAAAAAACUGGAGAGUGGAACGAGGCCAAUGGUUGGUGUUGAGAUACUACGUGAACAUGAUUUGAGUUCGACUUUAAUUUUAAUAUUAAUGAAUUAUAAAUAUUAUUUGAAUUUAAUUUAUUAAUUUAUAUAAGUAUUUGAGUUCGAUUAUGAAACGAAUUUGAGAUGGAGUUUGAUUCUGAAAAGGAUUUAGUUAUACUUUUAAUAAAUAAUACAUUAUUUAGAAUAAGGUUAAUUGUAUUUAUUAAUUUUAAAAAAUAAAUGAUGCUAAUUUAUGUAUAAUUACUUUUUAGUAAAAUAUAAUAUAUAUUUAAUAAUAUUAAAUAUAUUUAUAUUUAUUUAUGUGUUUAUGAACUAUUUGAUUCGAUUAUUGAACAGAGCCAAUAUUAUAUUUGAAUUCGAUUCACUUAUUAUAGGGUGUAUUUGGAUUGCUUCUUUCUAAAGAAAAAUUGCUACGUUUUUCAUAGACAUAUUUUUUAAUUACCUUUUUAUUUUACAUAUAUCAAAUCGUUAUAGUAAUUUUUUCACAAAAAAUCCAGAAAAAUGCAAUCCAAACAAUUCUAAAUUUUUUUGAAAUUCGGACUAGUCAAGCACAAACACUAUUGCAAAUAAGUUGAUUGGUUGAGAGCUCUAACCAAAAUUGAAAGGGGCCAUAAAUAAAUGGGAGAUGCCUUUUGGGAUUCGCAGGGAGGCGACGUGCAUCUGCGCUUUGGCUUUUUGCUAUACAGAAAAUAGCAUACGCAGCCACCAACGUUGAAUGAAAUUGUUUGCUGUGUACAAUAUAAUAUAAUGCAUGGGGUGCAACCGUAACCUAACAUCCCAGCCGCCUCUCGGCUUCGCAUUCGUCCUUAAUUUUUUUCUUUUUAAACACAUCAGAGUAUUUAGUCCUAUAACAAGCACACUUUUGUAUUUCUUGACCCACAAAUUUCGGUUUCAUUUUAAUUGUAUUUUUCAGAAGCUGUUCUUGAGAAAAUUACUAAUAAAUAUUCUACUAUUGUGAUUUUUGUUGAUGUAAUGUAGAAUCGGAAAAAAAAGUAAUUAUAUAAUAAAACAUUAACUGAAAAUUAUGUUCAAGGAAUAUUCUAAAAUAAGGUAUGCGAACUUGAGUUUUUUAUUAAAAAAAAAUAGAUCUCGUGUUUACUUCCCCUUUCAAUUUUUCUUUUUGGGUUUGGACUUAAAUUUUGGAGUAUGCUUUUUUUUUUUUUUUUUUUUUUUUUGUUGAGAAAUUUGGAGUGUAGUUACUUUUUCAUUUGACUUUCUCUCAAAACAAUAUAAAUGUUCCUCUACCAUUAUGCUUCUAGUUUUUUUUUUCUUUAACAACCACAUUUUUUGUUUUUCUUGGCUCAAAAUGUUCUUGUUUCAUUUCAAUUGCAUUUUUUUAGAAGCAAGUUUUAAAAAAAUAGUACUGAAAUUCUCUUGCUUAUACUCCCUCUCUCCCUCGGUGCUACCUAAUCCAUUUCUUCCCGUACUAGAAUUCUCUUUAAGUUACCGUAUAAAUAACACGUGUAGGAAGACAUGGAGCGUUUACGUCUCUUUUUUAUUUUCCUUUUUUCAAGAUAUGGAGUCUGGAUCUGGGGGAGAAUUAUUUUUGUCUUUUAAGCUUAUCUAUUUAUUUUUUAUUUAUUUUUCAAAAUAGUUAAUUUGGGAUUUGAACUAAUUUUGUGCCGCGGUUGAAUUACCAUACAGUAGUGGUUUCUGUCAACUCCCCAGUCAUUUGCUUCGCCUACUCAGUGGUGGGUCAUCUUGAUGAAGUCGGUAGGAAAGCUCAAAUGCUUUUGCUCUAAUUAGAACUCUACCCAAAAAGAAGAAAAAAAUAUAUACUAGUAAUAGCUAGGAGAAGGGACAUGAUAGUAACAUGAACGGAUUUGCAAAAGGGCGAUGAAGAGUCAAGAGCCCUCGAGGAACACAAUGGCCUUAUAUAAAUUAAUAUGCAUAAGGUUGCGUGAAGCCCACAUGGCGUGUUGCUUCUCAACUUUAGAACCCUCAAUAUUUUAGAACUUCUAUGGCUUGAACUUUCACCGAAGAGGUAACCAUUCUGCACGUGGGGCCAAAUAAAAUAGAAUGAAUAGUCAAAAAGCUCACUAAAUUAUCAAGUCUGACGUGGAUGGUUAUCAAAAUUUUCUUGUAGCCAUAAAGGUCACUACACUGGCAAAAACGGAUCAGUGAGUUUAUUUUAUCAAAUUUUACCGAUAAAACAGCUGAUUGCCAAAGAUCAUUUUGCCUAAAAUGUCAUUGAAUUUCAAUGAAUUAAUGGUGUGAAUUAAUGUUGUUUUAUCCAUAGAAUUUGACAAAAUGACUUCAAUGACCCCUUUUUGUCAGUUUAGUGACCUUUGUGACUCCAAAAAAUGUUUUGAUGACCCGUUUGAUGACAAAAAAAAAUGUUUGAUUGAACAAUUACACAAGAAACUUAUAAUUUGUGGGUCCAAUUACAUGAGAAACUUAAAAUUGUGGGUCUAAUUUGUCCAAAAAAUGAGUUUGGUUGAGAUAUGAUUCAACAAUUACACAAGAAACUUAAAAUUUGUGGGUACAAAGUACCAAAGGGGCAGAAGGAAUUGUACUCUUAAAUAUCACUACAUGCUAGUUCAAUUAUAGAUAUAAUUAAAAUCUGUAAGGUGUUGGUUCCCCCUCACACAUUAAUCAGGCAUCCUGUACCCAAUGUUUUUAAACUCGGACCGGUCAGUGAACCGGAGAGGUUGCCGGUUUGCGGUCUGACCGGUCCAACCGGUCGGUUCAUAGGUUCACUGGUUUUUUUUUUUUUUUUUUUAGUGUUAAGUACUAAGCAAGUUUCAUUCUACACUUGAACUUUACCAACAUAACUUAAUUUAAGUUAUGAUAAUAAUAAAUUUCGUAAAAGUUAUACAUAAAACAUGGAAUGAUAAAUAUAAUUAAAAUAUCAUAAUUCACCACAAGUUUUCAUAAAUUCAUUAUAAACAUAAAUAGAUACAAUCCAAAUGUUCACCAAUUAUCACAAAUAAAAACACAAAAAAUAAAUAAAUUAAAUAUUGAAAUUCUUUUACAACCCUUAAAAAAAUCCAUAAAAGAGUUCAAGUUAAGACAAACCAUUUGAAUAGCAAACUUUUAUGAGUGGCAUGAUAAGCAACCACACCACCUUCACAAUUUAAUCAACUUAAGCUGAAAAAGUUAAAAUUUUAUUAUAAAAAUAUAAAUCUAAUUGCUCAAACUAAAAAAAAAACUAAAAUUUUUUGAAAAACAAAUAUACAGUUAAACACAUAAAAAAUUAAUUGCUACUAAACAUUACCAAUUAACAUGUUAUAUUAAAUUCAAUGAUCCUAUACCAUUAAUUAUUUUAAAUUCAAUUAUCAAUAGUUUCGAUUAUGUGCCAACUACCAUAUUUUUUACCAGCCCAAUGUUAUUAUUUGUAAUUCCUACUCAAUUCCUACAUGGAUGUGCACUACUUUUGCAAAAAAUUUCAUCCUUAAUUAAUCAAAUAAAAAUAAAACAAAAAAUGAGGGAAACAUAUGAAAAUUGAGGGGAAAAAGAAGAAAAUGCAAAAAAAUCAACUAAAGAUAAUAAUAUAGAAAAAAAAAGCCUUGAAAAGAAAAAAAUUAAACUUACCAAGUUGUUGGAAAACAAGAAAAGUUGAAAUUUUCAACUUGUUUACAAUCUGCUAAAGAUAAUAACCUGAUAAUAAUGGUGAAGACUUGAGAAAAUCUUGUUAUGGAUAUUUGGGUUAAAAAUGGUUAAGAAGAAAAAAUUGAAAAAAAAAAAUAAGAGAAGAACUUGAUGUUUUAAUAUAUUUGUUAGUCAAGUAGAAUUUUCAACAAACUUAACUACAGUCUGGCGGUAAGAUUGUCAUAUGCAAACUUGGAGACCCAGGUUCAAAUCAUAGCUACACCAUUCUUGAUAUUUUGUUGAAAAAUUUAAAAAACCGCCGGUUCACGGUUCUUAACGGUUCACACGGUUCGUCCGGGUUUCAACGGUUCUCCAUGAACUUCUGGCUUUAGCAUUAGACCGGACCGGUGACAUGGCCGGUUCGCGGUCCAACCGGUCGAACCGGCCGGUCCGGUCCGUUUCUGUAAACACUGCCUGUACCUUUCUCAACUAUUUCCCCCUCACAUAUUGGGUCUUAAGUUAGAACAGUAUCAACAUUUUAUACAUUUUAUUCGACGUACAACAUUGCAUUCAAGUGUCUAGUAGGUGGAGUUGCCAUUACUACGCUCCGAUAACAAUGCUGGGUAGGGAUGGCAACAGGACAGGGGAUCCCUCUCCCGUCUCCUGCCCUAUUGCCAAAUAUCUCCCUCUAUACCCACCCUAUCCUUUGCCCCUGCUCCUCCUCCCCUGCCCUUACCUCGGCUAGCUCCCCUCAAGGUAUUUGCUGGGGAAUGAUAAAAAAUUGAUCCUAUAGUUGUUUGCUUCCACAAUAACUAACAAAAAUUCAACAUAUCAACCCAUGGGCGCGGCUGUCCCUCAUUGCCAUCCCUAGUAUUGAGUGUUUCUGGGUCUUCUCGUCACAAAAGCUAUCUCAAAAGUUAAGGUUUUCUCUCACACUUAUAACCAAAUAUCCUAUCACUUCUACAAUCAUGCAGAAUAAACUCAAAAUUCCCCAUUCACAUCGGACCCGGGGUUGGAAUAACUUCGACCUUUCAUUCAAUGGGUCUAGCCUAGGAUAACACCAACCCUUCAUCCGACAAUCAACGUUUCAUUCAAGUGUUUAAAUUGAUUAAUUUUUCAUUUGAAGAUGCAAUUGGUCAAUAAUUGAUAGUUUAAAUACUAAUGUGUUAUGUUAAAAUGUUUGAGAACGAAAUAUAUCUAUGACCUCAAUUUUAGGGAUAAAAACUGGCAUUUUCCCGCUUUUACUCUUUUCUGUCAAUAUGUUAAGUUAUAAGAUGCUAUGGGAUAAAGGAAAAAACAUUUCUUUGAAAACUUCCAUUUAGGAGAUACUUAGGAUGCGAGUUUAUGGGAUCCUUUAUGACUUCAUUGCGUUAGUACUCUUUCGUGUUGGACCUCAAUAGUUCAGAGUUCUAUGUUAUCUCCUGCCACAAUAUCAGUUGAAGUUUGCUAAAUACAAAGAGUAUAGGAUCAACAAUUUGUCACUCUAUGACUAUAAGAUUAAUUAUUAAGGCCCUAAAACUUACCUUUGAUGAUCUUCUCUUUUCUAGUCCACAUAAGCUAGAUUGAUUACAUACUAUUUGGAGAAAAAUUUACCAUCCUGAAGUUAAAACUGAUACAUUUCCAUUUAUGGCUUCAGGGAUACAUACUUGGACAUCCAACGACUAAAGUUCAAGGAAUUCUUUACUGUGUAGUCCCAUUUGCUUAUAGUAUGGGCCUGAUUUCUGAUGAACUCUAUGAGGAAUUUUGAUGAACUAUGGGAGGGACGUGGGAGGAGGGAGAGGAUAGGGAGGAGGUUGCAAGCUGGUGACGUUGGCAUCGGCUGGCCAACAGUGGCGGGGUGAGGUGGGGGAGAAGGAAGAAAAUGAUGGAAAAAGUGAAAAAUUUGCGUGUUCUUCGAUAUUAAAGGACGUGUACAAUAAAAAAUUUGAGAUGUUUAUAAAGAAUUACUGUAAUCAAAAUAAUUAAAAAAUUUGUCUAUUAAAAAUUAGACUAAAAACUUGCAUGCGAGACAGGUUCUGGAACUAACCGAGAAUUAUACUACAGUUGUAAGGCCACAAUUAUGGUAUUGGAUUUGGACCUCACAUAUAACUGUACUAUAAUUGCACGGAGUUUCAGUGUUCCUCGUAUAGCAACAGCAAUUGCCCCACGAUAAUUUGAAGGAAAAUGAAAACAAAGGAAACAAAAUUAAAAUCAGUUUUGCCGAUUAACGUCAAAGAAAUAUUUUGACAAAAACUAGGAAAGUCUUCAUUAUUGGUCCCCAAAUCUGCAAUGAGUAAUGAUUAAACUUUUAUCGUACGUACCAAAAAAGAAAAUUGAAAUCGACUAACAUGUUAUUGGGAUUCAAGGCCGAAAUAAGCAGCUAAUAAGACGUCAAGUUAAUAACAAUUUAAGGAAAAUGAGUCAAAAACAAGAAAAUACAAUUGACAGGAAAGAUUUAACAUGUUCAUAUUAAUGAUCCAUUCUUUAUUAUGAAAAAAGUUCAUACAAAAAUACAAUUUGAAUUAUAAACCCAACCCUUGUGUAAUGUUUCUCAUAUUGGAUCUGUUGGAUCCUUCUGUUUUUCAAAAAUUAGUUUUCAAAUACUAUAAAAAUUUUUAAAAAGUACUCUAAAAGGUACUCUAAAAAAUAGUCUAAAUUUUUUUAAUGUUUAAAAAAUAUCCCAAAAUAUAUUUUAAAAACUCUACUACUCUUAAAUAUUUCAAAAUAUUUUCUAAAAAUAUCCCAAAAUAUACUCUAAAAACUCUGCUACAGUAAAAUUUUUCAAAAACACCCCAAAAAAAUUUUCCUUUUUCUCACUCUCAUCUAUAACACAUGACUCCUUUUUGUGUACUUUAAUUUAUGAUAAGACAGUCCCCUUCAAUUUAUAGGAUAUAUUACUUGACAAAUACUUCAAUAAUAAUAAAAAAAUAACUUACCUGAUUUCCAAACGUAUGUAAAUACAAAAAUUUCUUGGCAACUACUCCAAAUACGUAUAAAUUACUAGAAACUAUUUACUUGUCACACAAAUAAAAAUUGCCUAAAGAAAAUAAGUAAUUUCCUAAUAAUCUCCACCAAAAAGCUUGAUGUGUAGUUAUACAUACCGAAUUAUUACGUUAGUGUAAUGUCCAUAUAUACAUAGCUAAUCCGAGUCCAACUUUUAGCUGACUUAAGUUUGUAGGAUUUGCCUUUUCACCACUACUUACAACUUGAAAGUAAUCUUGGAUCCCUUUUUUAAUUCUGCUCCCAACUAUUGAGGUAAUCAAUAAACAAGUUUUUAUUUAUUUUUUUAAAAAAUCACCAUAAUUUUCCCCUUCACAAUAUUGUCUAACCCGUGUGUGGUUUUUAAAAUUCCACCAUUAAUGAAAACCUCGUAACUUUGAGAGUCUCGGGAUGCAUGAGAGUUAGAUUUUUUUUUUUUUGGAUUUUUUGGAUACACAUGUCAUACUGCUCAAACAACAAAACUGAAAUACAUCCAACAUCAAGUACAUACCAUUGGAAAUUGUUAAGAACAUUUCCACUAAAUUACAUCCUAAUUUAACAUUGGACUUUAUGUUUUUCCAUGUCCUCUGAAUCACUUGCCCAAAUUUACUAUCAAAUAUCCUCUAUGUUUGUUGUCUUUCAAUCCUUUCCCUUCAAUGCCAAGCCUUUUUGACAUGAAUAUUCUUUUGCUAUUAAAUUAUUGAAUUGAAAAUUACCGCAACUCACUUAAUACCAAUAAUUAACCAAAACCUAGCUAUGAUAUUAUACCAGAUGUUGAGAUCCAAGUGCUAACGAAGAAUCAUUGAAAAAUUAAGUGCAUGACAAUUUAAAGAAAACAAAUAAAAAACAUGAAACUUCAAGUAGAUACAAGAUUAAUGUGGUUUGACUCAAUUAUUAAAUCUAUAUCUAUAAAGACAAAACUUGAUAUGUGAGAAAAAUAAAAAAAUCUAAUUUGAAUCCUGAGGCAACCGUAUUAUGACGUUUCUCACGUAACAGGAAGCCCUUCCCUCACUCUCAUUACAUGUUACUACUUAAAACAAAAAUAAGGCAAUUUUCAUAACAAGGUAAAUUUUAUUUCGUCCUUACGCCACUUUUUUAAGAAGAAAAGUUUAAGUAUGAUACUUGGUAAAGAAAAGUGCACGUAACUUGAAAGUUGGGUGGCAACUUCAAAAAAUUCUUCAAUAAACCAAACUCGUAUAUUAAAUUUUUAACGCAUGUCAAUCAUCCACCAACUAAGAUAUCCAUAACGAAGUUAUCUUGUGUGGGGAUUUUAGCAUUGUAUGAUUUAUAAUUUGCUUGAAAUAUAUUUUAGCCAUUAAAAUGAGAGAGCUCAAAGGAUAGUGAGAUCUUUUUCUUUUUCUUUUUUGAUAAAUUCUUCUGAUGAAUUGCUUUGUUUUGAUCGAUCAUUCAUUGGUACUUGACAGAUUUUAUUCUAUCAUCUUUUCGCAAACAUUUUGAUAGUUAUUUAUAUACUGUUAAAAUUUAGGUAAACUUAAUUUUCAAAAAUUUAAUAGUUCAAAUUGUAUUAUACACCAUUUGACUAAGUAAAGUAACGUAAUUUGGACCAUCUUUGAAAAUCGGAGCUAAGUCUUUUCCAUGCCCCUUCACAGUAAAGCUAUCAUUUCUAAUGAUAGUUCGAUCGUGCAAUGCAUGGGACUAGGAGCAGGAAUGAUUGCAAGUGUAAUCGUUUCGACAGUUAUGUGCAUUUUGCAUACGGCAUAAUUUUAUUACAUGUAAUAUAAUUUACUUUUAAUAACAUGUAAAUUUAGAAUAAAAUUUUAUGAGUCUCACGUAUGUUAUUAAAAUCAAGAUAUAAGAUAAAAUUUUGACCAUAUAAUUUUUUUUACCAAAUCUUAGUCGUGAAUGGUCAGAAAUGGUUGUUCCUCUUCCCAAUGCAUGAGUUGGCAAACAAGACAUUUGUGUUGCUAGGGUCAGUUAAAUUAUUGGCUCCGAUAAGGCGAUUCUCUGUAGACAUAGCAGCUUGUGGGUUAGAGUUCCAAAGUUCCAAGAGCUCUAUCCAAGGAUCUGGAGUCUAAAGUUGCUGCGCCUAGAUCCCAAAACGAGAGAUAGGCCAAGCUCAAUGGAGAAGUUGCAGGUGCUCCUAAGGCAUCCUAUCUUCUGCAACCUGCUCUUGCUGCUAGUUUAUGUUCAAGCAUGUUCAAACCUUGCGAUGGCUGGUUCCAUAGUUAAGUUUCUUCCAGGAUUUGAAGGACCCCUCCCCUUUGAACUCGAAACCGGGUGAGCCACUAAGUAUAACAUAUAUAUAAUAACACUAGAAAUUAACAUUGAUCAAAACUUAGAAGAAAUAGUUGAUCCAUUUUCUGAUAUUAUCAGGUACAUUGGAGUUGGUGAAUCAGAGGAUGUGCAGCUCUUCUACGCUUUUAUCAAAUCAGAGUCAAAUCCUCAAUCGGAUCCUCUUAUCAUUUGGUUAGAUGGAGGACCUGGCUGCAGUUCAUUUAUUGCAUUUCUCUUUGGGAUAGGUGAAUUCUAAUGCCUUACACUUUGCAGUAGGUGUCACAAAAAAAAAAAAAGGAACAAUUGCGGCACUAUUUUGAUCUUGAUUUUGUAUAAUCUUGAAACUCUGCAAACAGCCUUUCUGGUUGAAACUCUGCAAAAAAGACAAAAGACGUUGUCUGGUUGACGAAGCUUUAUGUAAGGUCUUUUGUCGCCAGUAGCAACUGCUACAAACAUCUGUACAAUAACUAACUACACAUUCACAUCAAAUUAAAAAGCCCAAAUAUAAACUAAGCUCCAAAAACACAUACCUAAAUAUUUUUUCAUAUGCAUUGCUACAAUAAAGCUUUUGAAAAACGUUCCUAAAAAUGGAGCCAUAAUCUUUAUUUGUCUUUAAUGUUCAAGUGAUGAUGACUGAUAAACUGGAGUGCCAGCAUUUGAUCAAGUCACUGGCCCGUGAUUUCCUGUUGCAGGACCAGUAAUUUUGGAGCCAUUGUCGUUCGACGGCACUCUGCCCAAAUUGGUAUUAAAUCCCUCUACUUGGACCAAGGUAAACUCAAGAAUUGAGUUUCUCUUUUCUUUUCUUUUAUUUUCCUGCGAGAGAAAAAGAGAUUUAAGUUGAUGAGUAUAUCUUAGACUCAUAGAAGUGUUACACGAAAAGGUUAUUGAGAUACAUAUAUAAAUAAGGUUCCAAUUUUUUUCUUUUUUCUUUUUUUUUUUGAAAUAAUGUUCAAAUAAUCUUUAUCCAAACAAACCUAAUUUUCAAGAUUAAGAAUUCGAGUAGACUACAAGAUUGAGAAUCAUUUCUUGUUACUUGUUAGGUUGUAAGCAUCAUCUUUCUGGAUUCGCCAGUUGGAACGGGUUUUUCUUAUGCUAAGACUGCAAAAGCUUCUCAAUCUUCAGAUUUUCAAGCCUCUGAUCAAGCUUAUGAAUUUAUCAGGAAGGUACACGCCCAUCACUCAGCUAAUUAAUGAAUCGUAAGGCUUCAUGGAACGUUGGACAAUUACUAAUUAGGAAAAUGCCAUAUUUGUCUCUAGACCCUUUAUUAUGCAAAAAGACCAGUGUACUAUCAUUUAAUUGUUUUCCUUCAGAAUAGUGGAAUCUUGCAUGGCUCUGCCCAAAAUUGCCUCCAUUGGAUUCAAGUUCUCUAUGAACACAGUUUUGAUUGUAUAGAACAGUUGACAGUGGAAGGUGAAUAAAAGUUACAUCAAUAAUAACUGGCUAUGGUAGUUUCGACAGUUAGCAUCAUGGAAGCCAUAGUAGAGGAGGAGGUCUUGCAUGGGGAAAGAUCCCAAAGUCUCAUGAAAUGUGGCAAUCUCUAGAAUGGAAUAUCCCACUCACAGUGUUUAGUUAGUGAAAUGUUCUGAUACGGACUCCUAUGAUAAUUAGUUUAACAUGUAUACUGAGAUAUUCUAUCUCUUGUACAAACUUCUCCAAUAUCAAUGAACUUACAGUUUUACCUUGAAAAGAUAGUGGAAGAUGACUAAUUUUGAAUUUGAUGCUUACAAUUCAAUUUUGGGUACAAAUUUCAAUAAGCGAGGCAAUUUAUUGUCUUUUUGCAUGUUGUUGUAUCUUAAUGUCUACAAUUGGUUUGCUAGUACCUAUAGUACACAGUGCAAUUACAACUGCCAAUUAUAGAGGCUUGGGCAGGCGAUAUUUGUUGCGUUUUUACCCAUUUGAACCUCGAGUUAAAAGCUUAAUUUCCCUUGAAAUGGGAAAGAAAUUAUAGUUAAAAGAUGUUUACCUUUUACAAGAUUGGUUUUGAUAGUUGAUUAUACUGCAGUGGCUACAUGAUCACCCAGAGUACAAGUCGAAUCCAUUCUAUGUUAGUGGAAUCUCGUAUGGGGGAAUUCCUGUUCCAAUAUUAACUCAACUUAUAUCAAAUGGUAAGAUUUUUUCAAUGUGGCUCUUUACCCUGGGGAAGUUUUUUGGUUGUGUUACAAUCUGAUUAUUGAAAUUGUCAUGCAAAUACAUAGGCAUUGUAAGAGAUCUGAAUAUACUAUAAAUGCUUUCUGUAAGCUUGUAGUAUAUGCGAAGUCUCUUUUGGUAGGAAUGUAGUUGCCACCUUAAGCUAAAUGGGUUUUAUUAACAUAAUGCAGAGCUUUAAGAGGGGGAAAAAUGGUUAAAAUUUCCCUCAGAAAUUUGCAGGCUUUUUAUUCUUUUCUGUCAAUAUGUUAAGUUAUAAGACGCUCCAGGAUAAAGCAAGAAAACGUUUCUUUGACCAGUUCAGAGUUCUACAUUAUCUCCUGCCACAAGAUGAUCAGUUGAAGUUUGCUAAAUACAGAAGUAUAGGAUCAAUACUUUGUUGCUCUAUGACUAUUAAUAAGGCCCUAAAACUUACAUGUAUUUUGGUGUUAUUCCAGGAAACAAGGACGGAAUUGAACCACGUAUUGACCUUAAGGUCUAUACCUUUGAUGAUCUUCUCUUUUCUAGUCUACCUAAUCUUGAUUGACUACAUACUAUUUGGAGAAAAAUUUACCAUCCUGAGUUUAAAAUCGAGACGUUUCCAUUUAUGGCUUCAGGGAUACAUACUUGGAAAUCCUUGGUCGAAAGCUUCAGGAAUUCAGAACUAUAGGGUUCCGUUUGCUUAUGAUAUGGGGCUGAUUUCUGAUGAACUCUAUGAGGUAACUUAUUUCUUUUGUUUGUUACCUAUUGAUAUCUUAGAACACUGUCAUUUGUCACAUGCAUUCUUACAAUGUAAAACUACCAGUGAUUUUCUAAUUGACCUGUAUAUUUACAACGCAGUCCUUGAAGGUUAGCUGUAAAGGGGAAUAUAAAAUCAUAGAUCCCAGUAAUGCAGUGUGUUCGAAAAAUAUGCAGGCAUACAAUGAGGCAAGCAAUCAUAUCUAUGCAAUUUUUAUGUGACUCUAUUUUCAAAAAUUAGGCAAGGCCUAAUGGAUUUACUUAAAAGCGCCCCCUAAACUCAAGAAAGAGAGACAGAGUUAAGGAUCAUCAAUAUAACCGUUCCUGAAUAGUGUAAUAUCAUUUGAACAAGAAGUAAUUUAUUGUAACUUACUCAUACAAUUUCGUAACAGAGUUGCAGUUAAUGUUAGGGGCUUACACAAGCAGUAAUUGAACAUCAUACUUCUGUUACGAAAUUGUAGAAGUUAACAAUGAAUUAAGGUUUAUUCAAACAAUAAUACACUUUUCAGAAACGGUUGUACUAACAAUUGGUUCCUACCCCUUCCCUUUAAUUUGCGGGCCACAAAGGUGAAAAGGUGGGAAGAAUCAGAAUAAAGGAACGGGCAACCAGAAUGAUGGUUAAUAAUUUGCUUCUGCAGUUGCUUUGUAAUAUUGACAAACAAAAUAUCUUGAUUCCCGUAUGUCAUCCCCUUUCACGAGAGCCAAAUAAAUUAUUUACUGGUGGGAGAUCCAUUAUACAAAUGUCGUAUGAGAAGUUUGGAGAGCUAGACGUUCGGGAAUCGACUCCAGUCAUAUGUCGAGUAAGAUACUACUAGUAUUGUUCUAUGUAAACUCGUGGAUAAGAGCAUCAGUUCUUGGUAGCACAACUGAUCGCGUUUCUUCUGUUCACUGGCAAUCGUAGACGGAACGGAUUAUGCUCCUUCAGCACUGGGCUAACAACAAGAGCGUCCAAGAGGCCCUCCAUGUGCGAAGGGUAUGUCUAAAUCAAGCACUAUGGUAUGUAGCAUUUGAAUGCCGAAGCAAGCCUGAACUGAUUUCUGUAAUCACAUUGCAGGAAACUAUCGGAGAGUGGGUAAGCUGCAGGGAUGCCUUGCCAUACACAAAAAAUGCAGCGAGUGUUGUACCAUAUCAUGCAAACCUUAGCACUAAAGGUUAUAGAUCCCUUAUAUACAGGUUUGGUACCUAACUCUGAAUCUUGAUGCAUGUAGGUUAACAGCAGUGAUUUUAAGUACUGAAAGUGGAGUACUUUGUGAUUCAGUGGUGACCAUGAUCUGAUGGUACCGCACAUUGAAACUCAAGCGUGGAUAAGAUCUCUACAUUACCCAAUUAUUGACGAUUGGAGACAGUGGAUUCAUCAAGGCCAAGUUGCAGGGUUGGUUCAAAAUUGAACAAUGUUUCUUUUCUUGAUUACACCACCAUUAACACGAGAUAAAAAGAUAACUUUACCCAACUCAUCUAAAUUUGUUCUGUUUUCCUGCUUCCAGUUACACAAGGACCUACGCAAAUGAGAUGACAUUUGCAACAGUGAAGGCAAGAAAUUCCUGUUUCUAUUGCUUCAGUGCAAGAUUUGUUCACAUGGUAACGACUAACAACAAGGUCAGAACAUUCUUGGGACUAACUAGCACCCCUUUUUUCUUUUUCUUCUUUUUGGGUGAAGGGAGGAGGCCAUGCUGCUUAUGAGUUCAAGCCUGCCGAAUGCAGAACUAUGUUUGAGAGAUGGAUAUCGCAUCAGCCUCUCUAAUCAGUUGGCAUAUGGAUAUGAACAUCUUUGAUGACUUCUGAGCAUCAAAUGUUCCACUCUUAAAUAUAAAUUACUGUAACUUUGGGUCAUGAGACGCUUCUACUCCGAGUCUCCAAGGGGUUGCCUUCUUAUUGAGAUAUGAUUAGUAGAAAAGUGAAUAAAAUGUAGUAGUUAAAAUGGGAAUCACGUUACUCCAAACCUUUCUAUAUGACUGUUGAAGCUUUUACUUUGAAGAUAUGUCAUUGAAGUAAAUUUCCUCUAUUUUGCAAUAAAUAAAAUUUUGAAUUCACAGGAAAGUACCGUUGGCCAAGGAAUUCAAAUAUUAAAAAAAAUUGUUACUCCAUUAAACAUGAAUGGAGGGAAUCUACCAAAGCUUUUAAAAGAUGAAGAGGAGCAAGAAAAGGAAUUUCUUAUACAUAAUUGAAAAGUAAUUUUCUUGAGAACACUUUUAAAACCAAAAGAAGAUCAAAAGAAGAAAUCCCUCGUGUCUAGGAUUGAUCCAAUCACUUUUUAAGCGAAACUGUGACUCAAAAGUAUCUUAAAAGCCUUUUUGUUUUGGGUAGCCUUAACUUACGUUUUUGUGGCCAUUGAUGAUCUAGUCAUCGAAAGUUUACACUUGACUUACACUUGAGUAGAUCAGAUCUUUAAAAAUGUAAUGGGUCAAAUUAUGUUAUUCAUCUCGUCAAGUGGUGUGACUUAAUCUGAACUACUGAAUUUUUAAUAUUCGGAUCUUCUAAGUUUUGGCUGAAUGUAUUAAGGGUACUAGGAGGCAUAAAUCGCGUGAUGGGUGUAGGGAACUAAAGACAGUAUGCCCAAGCAAAUAUGCGGAUUAAGGGAGUGAUUGAAUUUUGGUGUAUUCUUCUUUUAUCCAGCAUGGCAUGCAAAAUUUUUUUUUUUUUUUUUUUUUGUAUAUGAGUAUGAAUACGCAUGGCAGUUAACAAGGGGAAAAAAAUCACUGAGCUAUAUAGAAUAAGGUUGAUAAUCCAAAGUGCGUCAAACUUCAGGGCAAUGCAAAGACUUCAAAUCCAUUGCAUUACAUGAAUUUGGCAAUGAUGAUGAUGAUGUACCUGGCUGCUGCACUAGAUAGCAAAAUCACAAACUGUAAAGCGAGAUAUUCUCUAUAUUUUCAGAAAGUCUAACAACUUACAGGUUGAAGCUUUGUAACUUGAUGCUAUAUCUUUUUGGAUUCAUCACCCGUGGCUUUUGAUGUACUUUCACAAAGUAAUUGAAAGCAACUAAAACUAACUUUGAAUCAGAAAUAGCUAUAGCAAAGAUAGAUAAAUUCCUCGAGAAUAUACUACUAGAGAAAAUGUGGAAUAACCUUACAUCGCACUUCAACAAAAGCAUUAAACCACAGAAGAAACGUGCCAGAUUACUGAUACAUAAUUAAUUAUGGCCUAACUGAGCUGAAGAUAAAAAUUAAAAUGCCAUGGAUGCACAGAUACCGGGUGCCAGCUGAUCUUGAGAAAUGCUCGACAUGUUCUUGAUAUUCGUCUUAAUCUUAUUUCUACAGGAAAACUUGAUGAUGAGAGCUAUCAUAACUCGCAAGGUGGAGGCAAAUGAAAACUCAACAAAGGAAAUCUCGUUGUUGCCAGAGGAAAGAAGCAGAGUACCCUCUACUUGAUACAAGUCAAGUUGGGGAAGGGAGAAGUGAAUGCAGUUCGUGAUUUUUCAACUGACCUUUGGCAUAGGUGACUUGGACACAUGGGUAAAAAGAGAAUUCAGACACUUGUUCGCAAGUAACUCCUACCUUGAUUUAGAGAUAAUGUACUUAAAUCUUAUGUUGACUGCAUUUAUGGAAAACAACAUAGAGUCACAUUUUAAAAUUUUUCUCCAUCUAGAAAAUUAAAUCCGUUAGAAUUAGUGCACAUUGAUAUUUGCUAUAUGAAAUAUAGGUCUCUUGAUGGUGAUGUUUAUUUUGUAACUUUUAUUGAUGAUUUUGCUAGAAAAGUUUGGUGUUUUGCUUUGAAAUCCAAAGAUUAGAUUUUGGAUGUGUUUAAAAAUUUUCAUGACAAGCAAUUAAAGUGUGUUCGCGCUGAUAAUGGUGGUGAGUACAUGAGACCGUUUGAAAGUUACUGCAAGUCCCAUGGGAUCGGACUAGAAAAGACAGUACAAAAAACUCCUCAAGAGAAUGGAGUAACAGAAAUGAUAAAUAGAUCCAUCACUGAGCGAGUCAGAUGUAUGCUCUCCAAUGCUAAGAUGUCAAAAUCCUUUUAGAGUGAGGCAAUGAGGACUACAGUUGAUUUGAUUAAUCUUUCUCCAUCAAUUCCUCUAGAUGGUGAUGUCUCAGAAAGAGUAUGGAUGGAAACAGAUAUGUCUUUUGAACACUUGAAAAUUUUUGGUUAUUGAGCAUUUAUUCAUAUUUUCAAAGAUGAGAGAUUAAAACUUGUUGUAAAAUCAAAAUAGUUUAUUUUCUUGAGUUAUGAACAUGAAAAUUUUGACUAUAAGUUGAAUGAUCCUGUUGAAAAGAAAGUGAUCAGGAGUAGAGAUGUUGUCUUCUUUGAAGAUCAAAUCAUUGAAAUAUUGAUAAAGGUGACAACAAAAAAUCCUCAAAUGACAUUUCUGCUAGUUCAAAUCCAGAUCCAGAUCCAACUCCAGUAUCUGUUGAUUUUAAUCAAUGGGGAGUUGAGACAGAGUAGAAAGAAGAUAUUGAUGAUGGUGAUGAUUCUCCUGCUGAUGCACCUGAACAUGAGGCGCCACCUACUCUACCACUGCCACUACAAGAUGAGUUUACGAAAUCUAAUAGAGAGAGGAGACCUUCUAGCAGAUAUAAUCCCCAUGAAUAUGUGUUGUUGACAGAUGGAGAAAAGCCAGAGUCAUACUGUGAGACUCUAGAGUAUGAGGAUAAAGAAGAUUGGUUGCAAGCCAUGUAAGAAGUGAUGGUGUUCCUGCAUGAGAAUCACACUUAUGACUUAUUGAAACUGUCUAAGGGAAAGAGAGUUCUGAAAAACAAAUGGGUUUACAGGUUGAAAACUUAGGGACAUAGCUCAGAAUCAAAGUAAAAAGCAAGAUUGAUUGUGAAUGGAUUUAGUCAAAAGAAGGGUGUAGAUUUUGAAUAAAGUUUCUCUCCUGUGGUAAAGAUGUCGUCAAUUCGAAUUGUUUUGGGUAUUGCAGCCAGAUUAAACUUGGAGAUCGAGCAACUUGAUGUGAAGACAACCUUCUUGCAUGGUGAAUUGGAAGAGAAGAUUUACAUGAAACAAUCGGAAGGAUUCGAAAAAAAUGGCAAGGAAAAUCUUAUAUGCUGUCUCAAGAAGAGAUUGUAUGAGUUGAAACAGGCACCGAGGUAGUGAUACAUGAAAUUUGAUUCCUUCAUAACAGAUCACGAGUACCACAGGAUUACAUUUGAUCAUUGUGUUUAUUUGAAAAAAAAUUUCUAUGGAAUUCUUGGACACCCAGCGACUAAAGUUCAUGGAAUUCUUUACUAUGUAGUCCCGUUUGCUUAUAGUAUGGGCCUGAUUUCUGAUGAACUAUAUGAGGAAUUCUGAUGAACAACUUGCAUGCGAGACAAAAUAGUUAAAAACUUGUCUAUUAAAAAUUAAACUAAAAACUUGCAUGCGAGACAGGUUCUGGAACUGAUCAAGAAUUGUACUACAGUUGUAAGGCCACAAUUAUAGGAUCAACAAUUUGUUGCUCUAUGACUAUAAGAUUAGUUAUUAAGGCCCUAAAACUUACCUUUGAUGAUCUUCUCUUUUCUAGUUUACAUAAGCUAGAUUGAUUACAUAAUAUUUGGAGAAAAAUUUACCAUCCCGAGGUUAAAACUGAGACAUUUCCAUUUAUGGCUUCAGGGAUACAUACUUGGACACCCAGCGACUAAAGUUCAUGGAAUUCUUUACUAUGUAGUCCCGUUUGCUUAUAGUAUGGGUUUGAUUUCUGAUGAACUCUAUGAGAAAUUCUGAUGAACUAUGGGAGGGACGUGGGGGGAGGGAGAGAAUAGGGAAGAGGGGCAGAAGAGGAGGUUGCAAGCUGGUGACGUCGACAUCGGCUGGCUGACAGUGGCGGGUUGAGGUGGGGGAGAUGGAAGAAAAUGAUGGAAAAAGUGAAAAAUUUGCGUGUUCUUAGAUAUUACGGGAUGUGUACAUUAAAAAUUUUGAGAUGUUUAUAGAGGAUUGCCGUAAAAAAAAUAGUUAAAAAACUUGUCUAUUAAAAAUUAGACUAAAAACUUGGAUGCGAGAAGGUUCUGGAACUGGCCGAGAAUUGUACUACAGUUGUAACUAAAAACAGUAAAAGCUAUACUACAACUUCAUAAUACAUAUUCAAACAUAAAAUUUCGUAUUGGUUUACAUCUCAUAAAUGUACCUCAAAAAACAUAUUAUCAUAAGAUAUAGUUAACGUAUAAGACACACGAAAAAUUUUUCCCUGUAGUUUAUUUCAUUAAUAAUUCUCACCUUACGAAAAAAUUUUAAAGGUUUCAACUGAAUGUUAUGGUCUAAAAAACAUUUUUAUAGUCAAGAAAUUAAGUAAACGAAAUGGAUAUUUAUGGUCAUUAGAUAUAAGAUAAAAAAAUAGUAACUACCUUUGGAAAGUUUCAAGAAGGGGCUCUUUGUACAAAAAAGUUGACAAUAUAUAUAUAUAUAUAUAUAUAUAUUGAAUCUUUAUUAGAAAUAAGACAAAUAGUAACUACCUAAAACUUUGGCGAGGAGUAAAUUAAAACUAGCCUGUAGAUUUAUAGAUGUAACCGCAAUUAAAUAUUUACCAAAAGCAAUGGAAAUUAAUUUGCUAUUUAGUUUGUAAUUUUCUAGUUUUUUAUUUACCUAUGAAUCUAUAUCGUAAAUUGCGCCAAUUUGUAAUUUUUUAACCAAAUUUUUAGUCAAGCUUUGGAGAAAAUUUUGUUCAAUAUGCAUAAGUAUAAUAGUUAUUAAGUUUCAUUGCACUUUUUCUUCAUCUGAUCCUUAGUAACACUUUGUCCUUGUAUCAAAAAAAAAAAUUGUCCAAAUGAGCUUUAGAUAUGUACAUCGCACCCCCUUCUAUGAUCAAUCAAAUAUUAGAAACAACCUUUCCAUGCAAGAACUUGUUGAAAUGAAAUUAGUGCCCCAAGAUAAUACUUGUAUGGAUGAUGCCACAUUUUCAGACCAAAAUAUGCAAGGUCUUAAUGGAUUAAAAGUACUGCACUUAGGUCACGCUAUAUAAAGUAAAUAUAUAAGAACAAAUGAUAGAAUGGAGAAGAAUUGACUAGAAGUUGUAAAGGCAAACGUAGAAUUUUAUAUUAAUUUUGAUCUCUUCCUCUCGCUUCAUCUAGAUUAUCAAACAACUAGCAUUCAUAGUCUCACAAACCUUAUAAGAUCCCUUCAAUAUUCUCCCAUGAUUCUCAUGAAUUUAGGUGGUGCGAAUUGGUACAUUUGUGCCACAUUUGCACCUUAUUUAAUAAUAUAUAUAUUACAAUGAGCAUUGCGAUGAGUAUUGACAUUAGCUCUUUUACUUGUUUGCACUUCUAUGCAAUUUUUCUAAUUUUUUCAUUGCUAAACUCUUUUUUUUUUAGUAUAAGUGAGAGAUUUUGAAAUCGGGACAUCUCACUUACACAUCCUCCCUGUGUAUCACCUAACCCAACCCUUCCUCCUACUCAACUUUAAUUUCUUCGACAUUUAAUCUAUGUUCUAGCCAAAUACAAAGUUUAAUAUGUUCAAAUGGGUUUAGCAAUAGUUGAAAAAAUAACAAUUUUUUUUAAGUUUGAAACUGCAUUUCGUAUAGUCAAAAAUUAGUAGAAGUAAUUUGGUCAUACAAAAAAUAUGGCAUUAUUUUGACCAAAUCCAAUUUUCAUGAGGCAUAAAGUAUUAGUAAAACCCAAAUUCAGGGGAACAAAUGCAACGAAUCCGAUUUAAUUAUAUACACAUUGCAAAAUUUAAGAACUAGGGGUAAUUUUAGAAACCCCACCUGAGGUUUCUAACAAUAUCACUUGGUAUCAUUAAAUUUUUAAAAAUUUCACUUCUCACCCCUACUUUAAGUUUUCAUUUUUGUAAUAAUUAAAACCUAUUUCAAACUAUAAUAUUAAAAUAUUAUUUUAGAAGGGAGAAUACAAUCUCGUUUUGAAAUUUGCCCUUUGUUGUCUUCUCUUAAUUGUCAUAACACGCUAAUUUUAUCUUUUAAUUUUUGUAAACUUGGUUAAUUUGACUUUUUAAUAGGAAUUUAAAAGUUGAUCACAGGGUCGAGUGACCCUUUAAUAGUUUUUAUGUCAUUGGUUUAGACAAGACAUAUUAAAUAUUUAAAAUUAUAAAUAAUUUACAAUACUCAUAAACAUAACUUGAAAUAUUUUACAAUAAUAAAAUUAACUUUUUGCACUAACUUGAAAACAACACAAACAAGUUUAUACAUAAUUUUCACCAUUUUAUAUUUUUCUAGUUUUUAAGCCAUCUAUAUGGACAUAAGAAAAUUAGAAAAUUCUGAAAAUUUUAUAACAUUCAUAAAACUCAUGAAAUUAACUGAGAGCACUUUAUAGUAAAGAAAAUAUUUUUGUAACUUGCAAAAACCUCAAAUAUACCUUUAAACAUUAGCUCUUUUUUUGUAGUAAAAGUAAGACAACAAAAUGGCGAAUCAAAUGAGAUUAUAUUCUAUUUCCCAAAACAAAAUUUUAAUAUUAUAUUUUGAAAUGGGUUACAAAUAUUACAAAAAUCUUAUAAUAAGGGAGGCAAGUAAAAUUUUUUUAAAAUUUAAGGCCUUGUUUGAAAAGGAAUUUUUCACCAAAAAUUUUUACAUUUUUCAUAAAUACAUUUUCCAAUCACUUUUUUAUCUUAUAUAUAUUAAAUUGUUACAGCAUAUUUUUUACAAAAAUUUCAAAAAGUUACAAUACAAACACGAUCUAAGAGUGCUAAGUGAUAAACUUCAAGAGAAGUUUUUGAAAUUAUCUCUAGGAACUACCGCAGACUCGUAUGGCGUUAAAUUUACCCCACUUUCAGCCCCAGAAAAAUAAUUAUUAAUGAUCAUGGGGUCAUGGACGUGCUCCAUAGCAAGAAAUAAAGGUACAACGGUAGAUUUGUUAUUGUUUUUGGGGUCAGGAACCACAUGACUUGAGCCACUCUCUAUUAGUUAAAAACUCAGUCAAUUGAUGCCAUCGGACUGACUGGCUGGCUGCCCCUCCUAGUGCCCUGCGCAAUCAAUAGAUUUGCAUAUAUCUUGGGACAGGUUUAUAGUGGAAUUAACAUUUUAAUAUUGCUUAUUAGGUGAUGCGUGAAUCUGAAAGAUCAUCACUGUACUGUCCUUUACAUUGUAUUGCUGAUUAGGUGACUUAAUACUUUAUUAAUUAAUUUUCUGAACAGAUUAGUGCUGUUAGGCUGGCAUUUCCUAAUAUCAUGCUCAACUCACGUAUACUGCUAAUUUCACAGAUUCAGAGUAAUUAUCGAUUAAAUAGUCACGGAUUUGCUGAUUAAGUUGUUUAGUAAUCAAUUACUGAUGAAAAAUAGUUUGAUGGUCAAAACAUGAUCCGACCAUUAGUUUAAUAGUCGCUGAAGUUUUUUAGUCUAAUUUCUAAUAAGACAUAAUGUUUUAGAGUAUAUGAGUAAUUUCCCUCAUAUAACGUAUUUGAGCUCACAAUUCUGUCAAGAGAGAUUCUUAGAUGGGAGGUUCUACAAAAUGGUGAAGAUGUUUCUAACAUUUUUGUGGUAAAGUUAAGACUAAUCAAUGAGAAGAUGACACAUAAGAAAUUACUGAUAUUGAGGAGGAUUUGUACAGGUUGCCUAUAUUGUUUGUUCACGUUGAUUUGUCUCCAUCCCUAACACCCUGUUUGAAUUGGAAAAAGCUGACCCGAUUUGAUGUUGAAAUUGGCAGCAAUUUAAAUGCAUAUACUUACCCAGUGGGUAAGGUUAAUUGAAGUAUGGAUAAUUACUGAUAUGUGUUCGACCCAAUGAAUAAUAACCUAUUUGGUACUAAAGCAUGAGAUAGUUAUUGCACGACAGAGGAAAGCAAAAUUUGAUGGCAAAGGCCUCGAGACAUGUGCAUUUUGCUAGCUCCCAUUCUUCAAUGAAUGAGUAAUGCUUGCAGUUAAGGCCCUCGGUGGUGGUAUUUUAUCAUUUAUUGCAUGUUUACAUUCUGUAUAGGCCAUGGGUAAUGAUUUAGGGACAUUACAGUGUCCAUUUGAUAUUUGUUAAGUGAUCAAGUCCGGCAACUUGCGUUUUAUUUGUUCUCUUAAGUGGUGUAACUGUGUAAGCACUUGAUUUGAUAAUAACCCGUUCUAGUACGGCUUUGUUAUUCAAAUUUGAAUUGAAAUACAAGCAAAAUUAGAUACCCAAAAAUCAAAUAGACAAAUUGUACUUACCAUUGUCAUUAGAAAUAUAACUAGUGGGCCGAAAUUGAUACUAUGUAAUAGUCAAAAUCAAAAUGGAGUUAGUAAAACAAUGGGGGAUACUUGGAAUUGUAUAUUGCAGGUUAUCUAAUAUUUGGUUGGUUUAGGAGUAGAUAGGAUAUAUCCCAGAAAAAAAUGCUAUAAUUGUGUUUGGUUGGGAAUUCGGGUAUGAUAGGAUUGCUAUUAUAAUGAUCAAAGAACCCCUUAUUUUGCAAUUUCUUCCUAAUAAGGUUAAUUUACCAUUUUUAAUAUUUAUAACCUGCAUUCCUAAUAAGCUUAACUUACCAUUUUUAAUAUUUAUAACCUUCGUUAACAUUAUAAAUUAAAUCAAGGAUUUUAAUAUAUACAAACUAGUAAUUGUCAAUCAACGGUUUUAAUACAUCCCCUUAUUGACGACGUCAUUCAUAGGGUCAGCAAAUUGUGCAAAUGCGGUAAUUCUUCAAUAUAUGAAUUCGGUUAAUUCUGUUAUUGGACUCAAUUGAAAUAUAAAUCGCUCUCAAAUUUGAAUUGGAGAUACCUAAAUUCAUUUCACUGUCGAAUUUGGGCUUUAAAUUAUUAUAUAUUCAUUAUGCUCCUCAGUUAUUUAAAAAUUUAUUGUUGAUUUGAUCCCCAACUUUAUUUAUAAUUUAACAUAGUACUCAUGUUUUAAUCAUUUUGUACUUUAAUUGGUAUUCAUUUGAUCACGUAUAGCUAGUUAUAUCUUGAAUCCUUAAUCAAUGAUUUAAGGAACAAGUAAAAAGUGAUUAAUUUAAACUACAAUAUACCUUAGACUGUACAAUAAUCAAUGACAAGUUUCACGUUUAUAGUUUACAAUGAUUAAUAAUAAGUAAUAUUAGUUACAAAUUACAAUAGUGACUUAAUUGCUUUUAAUAGUGAAAUCACCCGCACUAAUAUAUUGAUGUGCAAUUCAUAUGCAUUCACUUAAAGUGCUUAGUUUAUUUGUUCUCUGUGCUUAAAGCCUUAAGAUUAGUGAAUAGAGAGUAAGAAUUUUCAUGUGAAAUAUAUAAUGUAAUAUUAGAGCACAUCGUUACUUGCAAGUUACAAGUUAUGCAUUUAAAUAUACAAUAAUUCAAACAUGAAUGAUGUACCAAACUGUCAAUAUCUAAAUUUCAAUUAAUAAUUAUGUUUAUUGUUUAAUAUUUAGUAUUAAACCUAUACUUUUUAAUUACUAUCUAAUUCUAGUCAUGUAUAAAAUGAUAGGUAUUAUAGUUAUGUUAUGUAUUGUUGUAUAUUUGUAUUAUUAUAGUCAUAUAAUAAUUAACAAAUACUAAAAUGGUAUAUUGUACAUCUUUAUAUAUUUUAUCAUCAUAAGUACAUGAUAAUACCAUGCACUCACUAUUAUUAGUAGCAUUUACCAUAUUAAUAAUAUAAUAAUAUAUUAGUAGUAUAUACCAAUACCAAAUAGUAUUUACCUGUAUAUUAUAUGAUUUUAUAAACCAAUUCGAUAUUCGAAUGUGUGAAUACGAUACCCCGUUUUCAUCGUACCGAAUUUGAAUUCGAAAUUGAUUAUUACCAAAUUCAUAAUCUCAUUACCUAUUUUGUACUAUAUUAGAUUUCGGUCAAUUUGGUAAAUACCGCUUUUGUACCAAAUUACCAAAUUCAAUUCAAAUUCGGGUAUGAAUUCGGUACGUACCAAAUUUGAUAGGAUUUUUUAUUUAUUUGGAAUGUGGUUGACAAAAUAAGUUCAGUAAGGGUAGUUUAGUUCAAGGGCAAUAUGGUUGCACUACAAUGAUGUCAAUACGUGUAAAGUAGUAAAAAAUAAAUAAAUGUAUAUGUAUAGUACACGUAAUAUGCAUAUGUACCUCUCACAAGGGUAAAUUAGUCCAAAAAUACUAUUUUCAGUUUCUUGGGGGGAUAUUCCCAAUUAAUAAUCCAAAUUAUUUAGUAUUGGGUUGGUUUUGAGUUAGAUAACAUAUAUUUAAAAAAAAUGCUAUAAUGUGUUUGGUUGAGAAUUAGGAAAAAUAGGAUUGCUAUUAUAAUGACCAAAGUCCCCCUGAUUUUGCAGUUUCUUCGUAAUAAGGUUAACUUACCAUUUUUAAUAUUUAUAACCUUCAUAAACAUUAUAAAUUAAAUCAAGGAUUUUUAUAUAUACAAACUCAAGGGUCAAGGAUUUUAAUAUAUACAAACUAGUAAUUAUCACUUAAGGGUUUUAAUAUAUCCCCUUAUUGACAUCGUCAUUCACAGAAACCAAUUCAUAGGACACUUUUAUUUAUUUGGAACGUGGUUGACAAAUAUGAUUUGGUUGGUUAUUACAAAUCCAAUUUUAUGUUAUUCUAUGAACCAUACAAAUAUUAGUAAAAUUACAAUAAUAAUUUGGUCUUCUAUGUGUCCCAUACAAAUAUCAGUAACUUUACAUUUUUUUAUUCGUAAUUUUCCUAAAUUUCGAUCAAUCUGACAAACAAAGCUAUGUUUGUAAUUUGUCAGUUUUUAACCCUAAUGUAUGUAAUAUAACUAGGUAUUUGUUACAACUUUAAAAUAUAAGCUGUAGCUUAAUAAAAAUUUGUUAGGUACAACCCAAAAAGAAAAGGACCUCAAACACAAAUAAACAUGGGCCAAGUUUACCGGCAGGUCUUUGGACAUAUGUGACUAACUUGGUCUUCUCAGGGAUAGUGACCCACAGCGAAUCUCGCACUUCAAGUGAUGUGACAAGUGCCUGUUUUUACAAGUGAUUUUGUCAGUCUCAACAUACUGAUACUGUAUAACUAUCCAUUCUUAGAUAAGUACAAUUUUACAAACUUCAAGGUAGAUGAAUAAAAUUGUCAGAAACCACUUGGGAGAGGUAUGUGAAAUUAUCCAUUUCCCGUCCACAUCGCGUUAAAGUCACUCCGUCAUCUGCACCUCGAAAGUCGUAAUCACGUGGACACGCACAUGUUCGACAGCAAGAGAUGAGCUACAAAUUAUUUGCGCUUUUCUCUUUCUUUUGUCAGAAAACAAGUGGCUCGAGUCUGUUUAUUCAACGAAAACUCCGCAAAAUCGAUGCCAUUAGGCUGGCGUUCCUUGUGCCUUGUGCACUUAAAAGAUUUUCGUCCCCUGGGGAGGGUUUAUAUUGAAAUUUACGUUAUAAUAAUAUUGCUUAUUAGGGCAGCGUAUGAAUGUGAAAGUUCAUUAUUCUAUUUUUUUUUUUGUUCCCAUGUGUUCAUUUUUGUCGCUUUCAUACUAUCAAAUUCUUUAUUUUCUCCUCCCUGACCGGAGCCUAAAGCUUGACCCUGGCCGCCCUGACAAAUUGACAAUCAAGAAAGAGAUACAUUACAAUAGUGAUUUUGUUUUUUUCUUUUGUUUUCUGUCCUUUUUUUUCUGCAACGACAACGAAGCAUCUUACUUCUACUCUAAACUAAUUAACUAAUUAUAAGAGGGGAGAGGUUUAAAUGGACUUACAUGAGAGUUAAAAGAUGAACCGUCAGAUCAAAUAAAUACGACACUAUUGUAUGGAUAGAGAAUUAUUUAGAAUAAUUAUUGUAAUAUUUUUUAUAAUAUAAUAUAUGUGAGAUAAAAAGGUGAAUUGAAAAAUAUGUUCAUGAUAGAAGCGAAAAUUUUUUCACAAAAAUUUGCUAUCCAUACAAAGCCAAUAUUAUUAAAUUAAUAUUUUGAAAGUGUGAUAGGAAACCACUUGCCACUACACUAAUGGCACAUAAUUCAGAACUAAGGCCUUAAGUUCCCCAAAGUUUUUCUUUGUUUAUACACAAACAGGAGGGUCUGCCCAACUCCCAAUCAUAUCAGGUGUUAUUUUUUUCUUUUCAAACGCAAGUCAACAAACCAAUGGAGAAUAAUACACAAAUUCAUGGUUUUCUGUUCCUGCAACCUUCUUUUGAUAACAAUCCAACCUUCACAAUUGCUUUGUAGGAUUUGAAACAUAGCCAGACAAAACAUGCUGAAAAGCUAGCUUGAAUCAAGAGGGUUAGGAUUUAAAGAAGCAUAAUGGAGAAGCUCCUGAUUUUUCUCCAGUGUAGCCAUGUACUCUUCUUUCAUGGUCACCAAUGCUUCAAUCCCAUCACCAGAUUUUGUUUCGAUCAGAUGAGCAAUAUUUCCCAAUCCGUGUAAAUCUCUGUUUCCACGCGCAAUGCAUGUCCAUAUGGGCUUUCCCCAUCCAAAAUCAGCCUCAUAAAAACCAGUCUUGCGGAUGCUGCUGAUAUAGAUACAUUCAGCCAUACUAUUAGGAUCAUAGAACACUUCAUGGAAAUCUUUUAAGGCUCCCAUCAGCUUCUGAAUCCCAUUCUCACCAUUUAUAGAUUCAACAAAAUCAGCGUUCAUUGUACCAAUGGAAUUUGAGAUCUUGUUUACCAGCAAUUCCAGCUCUAGCUUAGGAUUGUCACAACAUUUAGCACGAGCCAACCAGACGAUAUUUCCUAGUGAAUGAGGUGAUAAAGGGGGCGAAACUUUUGUCCUCAGAUUCACCGGGAUAAACAAAACAGACCUUACUUUCCAAGCUGCUAUGGCAGAUUUCCAUAGAAGUCCCAUAACAGCCUUGGCUGAACUUGGUUUCGCGGAAGAUGUUGAUGUAGCUGCCUUGGAUUUAAGAGCAGCCAAGGCCGAGCUAUCGAACACAAAUCUGCUUGUAGCAUAUUUAGGCUCGUUCUUUUGUGGUUUGGAGACCACAGGAGGUGAAUCUUGGUACAUAUCCAAAAUGGAAGGAAAUAAGGAAGAUGAAAUAAAACUGGGAUUUAUUUGUACCGUUGAUUCGCGUGCUGUAGCUGCCCAAGAUUGCAUAAAUGUUGAAACUGAGAGACCAUCAAAAAUCUUGUGGGAAGCACUCAAGCAAAUGGCAAUACCACCACAGUAAAAAAUGUUUACUUGAACCAUGAUAGGAUAACUUUUUGACAAUAAUUCCGUGGAAUCUGGAUGAAAUGGACAUAGCUGGUUCACGAACUCAUUUUCAGGCUUCCUCAGAAAAUCUAACAGUCCAAUAUUGGUUUGAGUUUCGACGUAGUAAACUCCAUCAUCAUUACACUCAAUAUGCAAAUUAUCUUUGAUUUUUCCUGCUAGUGGAUAGAAGGGUACUAAGGUUUUUGAUAGUGAUUCCUUUAGACAUCGACUUCUUUGGGAAAUAACAUCGUCGAGAUAAGUGCCUUGUUGUUUUCUUGGGGAGAAAAAGAACAAUAUAUUUGUAUAAGAGUCACGAGUAAGCUGAUCCAAGAUUGAAAACCUAAAGGUUCUCAACUCAGGGGGAGUUGGAGAUGCUGGCUUGAUUUCUUCCUUGGAGAUAAUUUCUAUGUCCAUAUAUUCAGUUUUCUGAUUGACACUCGAAUGAAUGCUGCAGGGACAUGUUUAGAAGAAUUUUUAGCCAUUACAAAAGAGGAUAAAAUUAUCAUAAAAUUAAAAUUUUAAAUUUAUGGAAAAAUAAACUUUAUUGUUUGUUUUUCAUAUUUAAGAUCAGCUCGUCUGGGGCUGUUUAAUUAGCAGUUCUGCUUUUGAGUAAUAAUUUUCAAAUUAUACUAGUACGUUGUAGUAAAUGAAUUACUCCCCUAUAAAUUGAGAAAGUCCUAAUUUUCCUGCCAAUGACAAUAAAAAGAAAGCAAUAUGAAUAAGAGUAUUAUCAAAUUCACGAAUAAUUAUUGCUUUUGGACUAGAAAAACAUAUAAUUAGCUAGAGUUUCAAUAACUUCACGUUAUUGUGAUGAAUUUUUGGGACUUUUAGAACUAUUCCAUAAUAUCAUAAACAAGAACAAAACUCAAAACAUGAAAUUUUUGCUAUGUCAUUUCCGUGAAAUGAUGAAAGGUCCUCUCUGCUAAUUCCAGUGCAAAAUGUACUUUUGAGCAUACCAAAAAGGAAAAUGUAUAUUUUCCUAUCUACAAUUACAUGUAUCUCGAAGUUGAAACCCUUUAAUUCAAGAACUUCUCCUCAUGGACCCUUUUCAAAAAAAUAUUCCUAUAAUCACAGCCUAAAAUUGACACUCAUUUAGUUUUAGCAAAGGAGUUUCUUCUGUCCUUUCUAGUUAUUUUUGUUUUCUUUUUUGGUUUCCCUAUUUGUCUUUCCCCUUGUCUAUAAUAAAAAGAAAUUGAAAAAACUUCCCUCCAAUAGUCAUGGACAACCAAAAAAAAAAAAUCAAUACUACGUAUUCUAAAGAGUAAUGAAGAAAGAAACAAAGAAACAAAAAAAUUUACAUACAUACCUUCUUGAGCCAGCAAUGCCAGAACUGGGAAAAGGAUAGACAUGGCCAUUACUCUGCCUGUUCAUGAAAUGUUCAUUAUAAUACCCUUUCGAUGCACAUUUGCAGCCAAACAGCGCUGGUUUGGCAGUUCCUGCAGAACCAUCCGCAAUAUGGUUUCUUCUCGAUUGGCGGGGCAACGAGAAGAGAUGGCAUUUUGAUCCCAAUAAUGACUCCCUUCUUGUGGGAAAUGCUAAUCUUGAAAUGAACCACCUCAUGAUGGGAGUGUUAAGGUACUGAUGAAUGGUGACUAUACAGACAAAACUUCGUCCUUUCUAUGGUGGAAAAUAGGUUGAACAACCCACCGUCGGCAGAUAGAGUGUUAGAAGUACAGCACAGCAGUCAGCACAAGCAUCUCUAUCCAUGUUGGGGCCCAGUUGAGAGAAGGUGACCAGCAAAGCCUAUUAUCAUCUGAAGGAGCUAAAAGCAAAUACUAAUAUAAAUUGGGUUGGGUGGUUAAAUAAAUUAGUGAAAUUAUAGAUGCUGUACUGGAAUAACAAUAAGAGUAAAAAACCCUAUAAAUACCAAGAGAUUGUAGGGUUUUAGUCAAGUAGAGUCUGCGCGGCGCCAUCUCAGUGAAUUAGGGUGUAAAACGGACUAUUUUUAACAAGGUGCUUAACAUUUAGGGUGGAAAACGGACUAUUUAUAAAACCUGAGUUUUGUUAUUACUGACACGGUGCUUAACAUACCAGUCGUGUUUUCAGAAUUACAAUCCCAAGCUUAACAUGCCAUAUUGGUACCAAUUGGGUUAUAGUUAUGAAAUUGGUUUUUUGUUAAUUAUUAUUACAAGAAAUAUUUAUAAUUGGAAAAAAUUCAAUUCUUGCAUACUGAAUAAUAAAUAUUUUUAGGAAAAAUCAUUUAAAAUAUCUUUCACAUUUCGUUAAAUGAAUUUUUUCAUCUUUUACUUUUAAAAUAUUUAAUUUUAUAUAUCUUACAAAUUCAAAUUCACAAUUUUUGGUCCCAACCUGAGUUUCAACCACUUUUUAGUCUAAAAUUAUCACAUGACUCAUAUGUAAUAAUUUUUAUAUACAAAAAUGUCAAAUUUUACUUUUUUAGCGACAAAAGUAAAUAUAAAUUGACAAAAAUGAAUAUGAAUUUGAUCAUUUGUUUAAUUAUGAAUGGGAUAUAACUUUUUUUCCUAUAAAAAUUGAACUUUUCUUUUUGCCAUGAUAAAAACUACUUUUACUUUAACUAUCUAUAACUACCCAUGACUAUUUUUACUUUUAACUAUUUAAGUAUAUGUUUUCAACAUAACUACCCAUAAAUAUUAUAAUUACUAAUAUAAAAUUAUUUUAAAAAUAUUUAUGAAAAAUAUUUAGAAGAUUAAAAUUUGUUUUGAUAAUAAAAAAUAUAUUUAAAGUAUAUGAUCAUAAAUAUUAUAUUUUUUUUAUUGCACCCACAUUGGAUGUGCAUGAGCACUAGUUAUAAUCAAAUUCCAAAUCUCACUCCUAGUGAUAAUGCAAUUGUUUCAAAUAGUGAAUAUCUCCCCCACUAAAUAAUUAGAUUGUACUAUAUUAGGUCCUAAGUCUGCCAUUAGUUGUAAUGAACAUGACCGACUACAAAUCACAAAUUUGACAAGUGCAAUAUCAAAUUUCGAGUCUUUUUAACUAUUAAUGUUUUCCACUAGUUAUAAUGAAUAUGAUGGAUUAUAAAUCACAAACUUGAUGGGUACACUAAAUUUAAGGCAUUUUAACUAUUAACUCGGAAGCAACGAUGUUUAGAUGUCAAGUUAUGCUCCCAUGUUCAAUUUAACGUAUUUAGAUAAGGGUUUAAAGUAUAUAUGAGGAUCAUUUUGAUUUGGGAUUUUUCAAGCACUCAAUGACUUAUUGUCACCUAGGUUUCUUUAAGUGCUCCAUCUUAAUAAUAGUGUAACUAUAUUUACACAAUCUUCACAUUUGCUAUUUCUUUUUUUUUUUUGUUUAAAGUAAUUUAUCCAACUUUCAUCAUUUAACAUUUUUCCCUUUCUUUAUUUGUUCAAAAGCAAUUUUUUGUUCAUUGCACUUACCUUCUUUUAAUUAUGUUUUUCUUUUGUUUAAUGUAAUUUAGCCAACCUUUUUCUUUUCUUUUUUUGUUUUAACAAAAAAAGCACCCUUAUUAUCUUAGAACCAUAGAGAAACUCAAGAAACAAGAUGAAAUAGUGGUUAAGCUACACACACAAAAAAUGCACGCGAUUAACAUCUCAAAUUUGAGAGAUUUGAAUGAUGGGUAUAACAGUAAAAUUAUAAGAUCAUAUGCUUCCAUAUUGUGAAUUUCAUCUAUGCAUUUGGGAUUUGCAAGAAGUGUACGUAACUUUGAAUUGUCAAGAUUUCUUGGUUAUUUGUGAUUAUUGCUAGGGUAAAAUAAUUCACUAAUGUAAUUACUCAAUUGAAAAUUUUCAUGUACAUACCUUUGCGUAAUCAUCGAUAGUUGGGAUAGCCAUUCACAAAUUAUAAGAAUAGUAUUUUGCUUAAAGAAAAAAGAAAAAGUUGGUUAAAUUAUAUUAAAAAAGAAUUAAAAGGAUAAAUGCAAUAAAGGAAAAAUGGUUUUGAACCAAUAAAUAGAAUUAAAAAAUUAAAUGACAAAAAUUGGAUAAAUUACUUUAAACAAAAUAGGAAAAACACCACUUUAAAAUGUCUUUCGAAUUUCCAAAGAGAUAAAGACGCCAUUUUAAUAUAAUUGGAGAUGUUGCAUUAGGUAAAAAUAUCUCACGGAUGCUUGAACUGAAAACACAAAAACGGCAUCUUUAUUCCUUCACGAAAACAGGCUUUAUCUUAAGGAAGCGCCAAAAUUAAACUACGGCCCCUUGUUCAUUACCGGUUCUUGCCUGUCUUCGGUUGCAAAUUUCAUUUUUGUCUAUUAUCUGGCUCACCAAACUCACCAAACUUUGUUGUCCUGUUCCUAUUACUGCUUCCCCCCAUGCAAAGAUGACUCAGCUUUCCACCAUAGAAGCAACCGACAAAACCUUACCCUGCAAACGUUAGUUGUUUACGAUUGAUGCCACAUGCAAAUGUGUGAUAUCUAUGUCACAAUGGGUCCAUAACAUUUGGAAUUUAUACUUAUUGAGUCCCUUAUAAACGAUGAUGCAUUUUGGUCCCCGAAGUUUUCAAAUUACAAAAGUUUGGUCCCAAUUUUCACUAUUUGUUGGUAAUUCCUUUGUGUAUAGGUAAUAGUCUGUGUCUGCGCCGGCAGAAAUUAGGAACUAUGUACACAACUUUGAAUCUUCAAACGACAGGCGUGCUCUGCCUGUGAACUUGGGAGGUAAGUUAGAAUUACCGAAUCAUUUUAAUCACGUCUUCUAGACUAUUUAGCACAUGGUGUGUUAAUGAUAGUUUCAAUCAAACAGUGUAUGAAAAGAACUUUGAGUCAAAAUUAUUACUUCUUACGUCCUAUGAAAAUUGUGUUUUGCGAUUUGUGCUUCUUUUUUUUUCCCUUUCCCCCCCAGUGGCAGGAAGAUUGUGGUCCAAUACCACGAUGAUUUGGGUCCAAAGAAGGUUACCGCUAUAGAUCUUGACACUACCGAGCUAUUAGCGUAGGUUCAGUUAUUGACCCUAUAGCAUUAAAAUUUCAGCAUAUCAAUUUAAAAAUAAACAUUUCAGCAUCACUGUCCUCAGCAUAACUUAAAAAUCAUUCUUAGAAACAUUAAUAUCUAUAAUUUGGUUUAUGUAAUUAAAUAAAAAAGAAAAGCACUCGCUUAAUGUAUAAAUCAUUCUCAUAAACAAUUGUCAUAUUAGUUAGUACAUAAUUAAACAAAUUUUAAAAAAUCUAAAGAAAAUCGGUCAAAAAAAUUUUAAAAAAUCUAAAGACUAAUUAUUUAAUGCCACAACCACUCACUUUUAUCUCAUUUUUUUUCCUUAUCAAGUUUGCAUUUCUAUUUUCGAUUCUCUUGAUUUCUUUCAAACUCCAAACUUCCUUUUUUAAAUUGCAAUCUCUAAAUCCCAAAAACGUAAAUUAAAAUUUAAGUUCACAAUGUCUAAAUUCUCAUAGAUGCGAAUUUUGUAUAAUUUUAAAAUAUUGUGGUAUUUUUGGGUUGGAUUUAAGAUUAUUUUUUGGUAGAUAUAAUUGAAAUUGAGAUGAAAUUUAUUUAUUUCAACUUAUAAUUUAAAAUUUUAUUUUUGAAAAUCCAAGUUAUUCAAAAAUAGUAAACUUUUCAUCAUAUAAAGUUUUAAAUUAGUCCAUAGCAUAUCUUAUUUUCUAAACCCAACCCUUGUGUAAUGUUUCUCAUAUACCAAAGUUCUUUUUCUCACUCUCAUCUAUAACACAUGACUCCUUUUUGUGUACUUUAAUUUAUUAAUUUAUGAUAUGAUAGUCCCCUUCAAUUUAUAGGAUAUAUUACUUGACAAAUACUUCAAUAAUAAUAAAAAAAUAACUUACCUGAUUUCCAAAUGUAUAUAAAUACAAAAUUUCUUAGCAACUACUCCAAAUACGUAUAAAUUACUAGAAAAGUAUUUACUUGUCACACAAAAUAAAAAUUGCCUAAACAAAAUAAGUAAUUUCCUAAUAAUCUCCACCAAAAAGCUUGAUGUGUAGUUAUACAUACCAAAUUAUUACGUUGCUGUAAUGUCCAUAUAUACAUAGCUAAUCCGAGUCCAACUUUUAGUUGACUUAAGUUUGUAGGAUUUUCCUUUUCACCACUACUUACAACUUGAAAGUAAUCUUGGAUCCCUUUUUUUUAAUUCUGCUCCCAACUAUUGAGGUAAUCAAGAAACAAAUUUUUUUUUUUUUAAAUCACCAUACUUUUCCCCUUCACAAUAUUGUCUCCCCCGUGUGUGCUUUUUAAAAUUCCACCAUUAAUGAAAAUCUCGUAACUUUGAGAGUCUCAGGAUGCAUGAGAGUUAGAUUUUUUUUUUUUUUUUUGUGGAUUUUUUUGAUACAUAUAUCAUACCGCUUAAACAACAAAACUGAAAUACAUCCAACAUCAAAUACAUACCAUUGGAAAUUGUUAAGAACAUUUCCACUAAAUUACAUCCUAUUUUAACAUUGGACUCUAUGUUUUUCCAUGUCUUCUGAAUCACUUGCCCAAAUUUACUGUCAAAUAUCCUCUACGUUUGUUGUCUUUCGAUCCUUUCCCUUCAAUGCCAAGCCUUUUUGACAUGAAUAUUCUUUUUCUAUUAAAUUAUUGAAUUGAAAAUAACCGCAACUCACUUAAUAUCAAUAAUUAACCAAAACCUAGCUAUGAUAUUAUACUAGAUGCUGAGAUCCAAGUGCUAACAAAGAAUCAUUGAAAAUUAAGUGCAUGACAAUUUAAAGGAAACAAAUAAAAAACAUGAAACUUUGAGUAGAUACAAGAUUAAUGUGGUUUGACUCAAUUAUUAAAUCUAUAUCUAUAAAGACAAAACUCGAUAUGUGAGAAAAAUAGAAAAAUCUAAUUUGAAUCCCGACGCAACCGUAUUAUGACGUUUCUCACGUAGCAGGAAGCCCUUCCCUCACUCUCAUUACAUGUUACUACUUAAAACAAAAAUAAGGCAAUUUUCAUAACAAGGUAAAUUUUAUUUCGUCCUUAUGCCACCUUUUUAAGAAGAAAAGUGUAAGCAUGACACUUGGUAAAGAAAAGUGCACGUAACUUGAAAGUUGGGUGGCAACUUCAAAAAAUUCUUCAAUAAACCAAACUCGUAUAUUAACGUUUUAACACAUGCCAAGCGUCCACCAACUAAGAUACCCAUAAGGACAUCCACAAUGGUUUACAUUCUUUAGAGCGUAAUCCACGUGCCACGUCAGCAUUCCACUUUCUUCUCUUUUAUUGCACUUCCACUCACAAUGGAUUACACUCCACAAGGUGUAAUAAAAUGAGUCCACAAUUAAAUCAAAUAUUUAUUUUAAUAAUGCAUAACUCAUAUUCCAUAAAUAAAUAAAGUAAUUUUUAAAAAUAAUUUUGUUAUUUUUAAAAAAUAAAGUAUUAAGUUUCAUUAAAUUUUUUACCUUUUGAAUUUUUAUUUUCUAAAAAUAAUAUUAUUCAUUUCUAAGUUUGAACAAUAUAUCUUUUUCUAUCUCUCAAAAAUAAUAUAUUGUUAUUUUUUGAAAAAUAAUUAUGCAGAACGUUAAACAAAUAUGUGAUACCUCAAAUGCGAUUAUAUCAUAAUAAUCCAUACUCAAUUAAUAAUUCUUUAUGUAAUUAGUUUGAUUUCCAUAACCUAAUAUUACAUAAUUUAAAUCAAAUACACUGCUUAUUUGUUGGGCAAAAGUUUUCCUACGGCUAAAUUUUAUAAUGGGAUGGCCCACCCAUUACACGCAUCAUUAGAAUGAUGCAUGUAAUGACUAAUGGGUAUUACGCGGCCACAAUGGGUAGCCGUGUGACCAACUCUUAAGCUGUCAGACAUUACACCGCUUAUUCCACGCGGUUGGAGAUGCUCUAACGAAGUUAUCUUGUGUGCGGAUUUUAGCAUUGUAUGAUUUAUAAUUUGCUUGAAACAUAUUUUAGCUAUUAAAAUCAAAGAGCUCAAAGGAUAGUGAGAUAUUUUUCUUUUUUUCUUUUUGGAUAAAUUCUUCUGAUGAGUUGCUUUGUUUUGAUCGAUCAUUCAUUGGUACUUGGCAGAUUUUAUCCUAUCAUCUUUUCGCAAACAUUUUGAUAGUUAUUUAUAUACACUGUUAAAAUUUAGGUAAACUUAAUUUUCAAAAAUUCAAUAGUUUAACACCAUUUGACUAAGUAAAGUAACGUAAUUUGGACCUUCUUUGAAAACCGGAGCUAAGUCUUUUCCAUGCCCCUUCACAGUGAAGCUAUAAUUUCCAAUAAUAGUUCGAUCCUGCAAUGAAUUGGACUAAGGGCAGGAACGGUCCCAGGUGGAAUCGUUCCAGACAAUUAUGUGCAUUUUGUAUACGGCGUAAUUUUAUUUAUUUAUGAUGUAACUUAUUUUUAAUAACAUGUAAUCGGCAUACAAGAUGAAAUCUGGAUGUACAAAUUUUUUUAGCCAAAUCUUAGCAGUGAACUGUCAAGACGGUUGUCCCGCUUCCCAAUGCAUGAGUUGGCAAACAAGACAUUUGUGUUGCUAGGGUCAGUUAAAUUAUCGGCUCCGAUAAGGCGAUUCUCUGUAGACAUAGCAGCUUCUGGGUUAGAGUUCCAAAGUUCCAAGAACUCGGAUCUGGAGUCUAAAGUUGCUCUGCCUAGUUCCCAAAACGAGAGAUAGGCCAAGCUCAAUGGAGAAGUUGCAGGUGCUCCUAAGGCAUCCUAUCUUCUGCAACCUGUUCUUGCUGCUAGUUUAUGUUCAAGCAUGUUCAAACCUUGCUAUGGCUGGUUCCAUAGUUAAGUUUCUUCCAGGAUUUGAAGGACCCCUCCCCUUUGAACUCGAAACCGGGUGAGCCACUAAGUAUAACAUAUAUUUAAUAACACUAGAAAUUAACAUUGAUCAAAACUUAGAAGAAAUAGUUGAUCCAUUUUCUGAUAUUAUCAGGUACAUUGGAGUUGGUGAAUCAGAGGAUGUGCAGCUCUUCUACGCUUUUAUCAAGUCAGAGUCAAAUCCUGAAUCGGAUCCUCUUAUCCUUUGGUUAGAUGGAGGACCUGGCUGCAGUUCAUUUAUUGCACUUUUCUUUGGGACAGGUGAAUUCUAAUGCCUUACACUUUGCAUUAGGUGUCGCCCAAAAAAAAAAAAAAAACAAUUGCGGCACUUUUUUGUUCUUGAUUUUGUAUAAUCUUCAAACUCUGCAAACAGCCUUUCUGGUUGAAACUCUGCAAAAAAGACAAAAGACGUUGUUGUCUGGUUGACGAAGCUUUAUGUAAGGUCUUUUGUUUUGUUUUUUUGGGUAAAAGUAUUAAUUUUAUUGAAUACCAUCCAUUUGUUGCCAGUAGCAACUGCUACAAAUAUCUGUACAUUAACUUACUACACAUUCGCAUCAACUUAAAGAUGCACGUAGAAAAGCCCAAAAUAUAAACUAAGCUACAAAAACACACACCUAAAUAUUUUUUUCAUAUGCAUUGCUAUAAUAAAGCUUUUGAAAAACAUUCCUCAAAACGGCUAAUUCAAAUGGAGCCAUCGUCUUUUUUUGUCUUUAAUGUUCAAGUGAUGAUGAUUGAUAAACUGGAGUGCCAGCAUUUGAUCAAGUCACUGGCCCGUGAUUUUCUGUUGCAGGGCCAGUAAUUGUCGAGCCAUUGUCGUUCGACGGCACUCUGCCCAACUUGGUAUUAAAUCCCCAUACUUGGACCAAGGUAAGCUCAAGAAUUGAGUUUCUCUUUUCUUUUAUUUUAUUUUCUUGCAAGAGAAAAAGAGAUUUAAGUUGAUGAGUAUAUCUUAGACUCAUAGAAGUGUUAUUUAGCAUUUAUUAUGAUGUGAUGUAUCCUAGAUGAAAAGGUUGUUGAGAUACAUGUAUAAAUAAGGUUCCAAAUUUUUUUUUUUUCAAAUAAUGUUCAAAUAAUCUUUAUCCAAACAAACCUAACUUUCAAGAUUAAGAAUUCGAGUUGACUGCAAGAUUGAGAAUCAUUUCUUGUUACUUGUUAGGUUGUAAGCAUCAUCUUUCUGGAUUCGCCAGUUGGAACUGGUUUUUCUUAUGCUAAGACUGCAGAAGCUUCUCAAUCUUCAGAUUUUCAAGCCUCUGAUCAAGCUUAUGAAUUUAUCAGGAAGGUACACGCCCAUCACUCAGCUAAUUAAUGAAUCAUAAGGCUUCAUGGAACGUUGGACAAUUACUAACAAGGAAAAUGCCAUACUUGUCUCUAGACCCUUUAUUAUGCAAAAAGACCAGUGUACUAUCAUUUAAUUAAUUUCCUUCUGAAUAGCGGAAUCCUGCGUAGCCCUCCCAAAAUUGCCUCCAUUGGAUUCAAGUUCUCUAUGAACACGGUUUUGAUUGUAUAGAACAGUUGACAGUGGAAGAUGAAUAAAAGUUACAUCAAUAAUAACUGGCUAUGGUAGUUUCGACAGUUAGCAUCAUGGAAGCCAUAGUAGAGGAGGAGGUCUUGCAUGGGGAAAGAUCCCAAAGUCUCAUGAAAUGUGGCAAUCUCUAGAAUGGAAUAUCCCACUCACAGUGUUUAGUUAGUGAAAUGUUCUGAUACGGACUCCUAUGAUAAUUAGUUUAACAUGUAUACUGAGAUAUUCUAUCUCUUGUACAAACUUGUCCAAUAUCAAUGAACUUACAGUUUUACCUUGAAAAGAUAGUGGAAGAUGACUAAUUUUGAAUUUGAUGCUUACAAUUCAAUUUUGGGUACAAAUUUCAAUAAGCGAGGCAAUUUAUUGUCUUUUUGCAUGUUGUUGUAUCUUAAUGUCUACAAUUGGUUUGCUAGUGCCUAUAGUACACAGUGCAAUUACAACUGCCAAUUAUAGAGGCUUGGGCAGGCGAUAUUUGUUGCGUUUUUACCCAUUUGAACCUCGAGUUAAAAGCUUAAUUUCCCUUGAAAUGGGAAAGAAAUUAUAGUUAAAAGAUGUUUACCUUUUACAAGAUUGGUUUUGAUAGUUGAUUAUACUGCAGUGGCUACAUGAUCACCCAGAGUACAAGUCGAAUCCAUUCUAUGUUAGUGGAAUCUCGUAUGGGGGCAUUCCUGUUCCAAUAUUAACUCAACUUAUAUCAAAUGGUAAGAUUUUUUCAAUGUGGCUUUUUACCCUGGGGAAGUUUUUUGGUUGUGUUACAAUCUGAUUAUUGAAAUUGUCAUGCAGAUACAUAGGCAUUGUAAGAGAUCUGAAUAUACUAUAAAUGCUUUCUGUAAGCUUGUAGUAUAUGCGAAGUCUCUUUUGGUAGGAAUGUAGUUGCUACCUUAAGCUAAAUGGGUUUUAUUAACAUAAUGCAGAGCUUUAAGAGGGGGAAAAAUGGUUAAAAGUUCCCUCAGAAAUUUGCAGGCUUUUUUUUCUUUUCUGUCAAUAUGUUAAGUUAUAAGACGCUCCAGGAUAAAGCAAGAAAACGUUUCUUUGACCAGUUCAGAGUUCUACAUUAUCUCCUGCCACAAGAUGAUCAGUUGAAGUUUGCUAAAUAAGGAGAGUAUAGGAUCAAUGCUUUGUUGCUCUAUGACUAUUAAGACACUAAAACUUACAUGUAUUUUGGUGUUAUUCCAGGAAACGAGGACGGCAUUGAACCACGUAUUGAUCUUAAGGUCUAUACCUUUGAUGAUCUUCUCUUUUCUAGUCUACCUAAUCUUGAUUGAUUACAUACUAUUUGGAGAAAAAUUUACCAUCCUGAGUUUAAAACCGAGACAUUUUCAUUUAUGGCUUCAGGGAUACAUACUUGGAAAUCCACAGAUCAAGGUUUCAGGACUUCUGAACUAUAGGGUUCUGUUUGCUUAUAGGAUGGGGCUGAUUUCUGAUGAACUCUAUGAGGUAACUUAUUUCUUUUGUUUGUUACCUAUUGAUAUCUUAGAACACUGUCAUUUGUCACAUGCAUUCUUGCAAUGUAAAAUUACCUGUGAUUUUCUAAAUGACCUGCAUAUUUACAAUGCAGUCCUUGAAGGUUAGCUGUAAAGGGGAAUAUGAAAUCAUAGAUCCCAGUAAUGCAGUGUGUUCGAAAAAUAUGCAGGCAUACAAUGAGGCAAGCAAUCAUAUCUAUGCAAUUUUUAUGUGACUAUUUUAAAAAUUAGGCAAGGCCUAAUGGAUUUACUUAAAGUGCCCCCUAAACUCAAGAAAGAGAGACAGAGUUAAGGAUCAUCAAUAAAACGUUCCUGAAUAGUGUAAUAUCAUUUGAACAAGAAGUAAUUUAUUGUAACUUAUACAAUUUCGUAACAGAGUUGCAGUUAAUGUUAGGGGCUUACACAAGCAGUAAUCGAACAUCAUACUUCUGUUACGAAAUUGUAGAAGUUAACAAUGAAUUAUGGUUUAUUCGAACAAUAAUACACUUUCCAGAAACGGUUGUACUAUAACAAUUGGUUCCUACCCCUUCCCUUUAAUUUGUGGGCCACAAAGGUGAAAAGGUGGGAAGAAUCAGAAUAAAGGAACGGGUAACCAGAAUGAUGGUUAAUAAUUUUCUUCUGCAGUUGGUGGUUCGUAAUAUUGACAAUCAAAAUAUCUUGAUUCCCGUAUGUCAUCCCCUUUCACGAGAGCCAAAUAAAUUAUUUACUGGUGGGAGAUCCAUUAUGCAAAUGUUGUAUGAGAAGUUUGAAGAGCUAGACGUUCGGGAAUCUACUCAUGUCAAAUGUCGAGUAAGAUACUACUAGUAUUGUUCUAUGUAAACUCGUGGAUAAGAGCAUCAGUUCUUGGUAGCACAACUGAUCGCGUUUCUUCUGUUCACUGGCAAUCGUAGACAGAAUGGACUAUGCUCCUUCAGCACUGGGCUAACAACAAGAGUGUCCAAGUGGCCCUCCAUGUGCGAAGGGUAUGUCUAAAUCGAGCACUAUGGUAUGUAGCAUUUGAAUGCCGAAGCAAGCCUGAACUGAUUUCUGUAAUCACAUUGCAGGAAACUAUCGGACAGUGGUUAAGAUGCAACGAUUUCUUGCCAUACACAGAAAAUGCAGCGACUGUUGUACCAUAUCAUGCAAACCUUAGCACUAAAGGUUAUAGAUCCCUUGUAUACAGGUUUGGUACCUAGCUCUGAAUCUUGAUGCAUGUAAGUUAACAGCAGUGAUUUUAAGUACUGAAAGUGGAGUACUUUGUGAUUCAGUGGUGACCAUGAUCUGUUGGCCCCGCACAUUGAAACUCAAGCGUGGAUAAGAUCUCUACAUUACCCAAUUAUUGACGAUUGGAGACAGUGGAUUCAUGAAGGCCAAGUUGCCGGGUUUGGUUCAAAAUUGAACAAUGUUUCUUUUCUUGAUUACAUCACCAUUAGCACGAGAUAAAAAGAUGACUUUACCCAACUCAUCUAAAUUUGUUCUGUUUUCCUGCUUCCAGAUACACAAUGACCUACGCAAAUAAGAUGACAUUUGCAACAGUGAAGGCAAGAAAUUCCUGUUUCUAUUGCUUCAGUGCAAGAUUUGUUCACAUGGUAACGACUAACAAGAAGGUCAGAACAUUCUUGGGACUAACUGGCACCCCUUUUUUCUUUUUUCUUUUUUGGGUGAAGGGAGGAAGCCAUGUUGCUUAUAUGUUCAAGCCUGCCGAAUGCAGAACUAUGCUUGAGAGAUGGAUAUCGCAUCAGCCUCUCUAAUCAGUUGGCAUAUGGAUAUGAACAUUUUUUAUGACUUCUGAGCAUCAAAUGUUCCACUCUUAAAUAUAAAUUAUUGUAACUUUGGGUCAUGAGACGCUUCUACUCUAACUCUCCAAUGGAUUGCCUUCUUAUGGAGAUAUGAUUAGUGGAGAAGUGAAUAAAAUGUAGUAGUUAAAAUUGGAAUCACGUUACGCCUCCAAACAUUUCUAUAUGACUGCUGAAGCUUUUACUUUGAAGAUAUGUCAUUGAAAUAAAUUUCCUCUAUUUUGCAAUAAAUAAAAUUUUGAAUUCACAGGAAAGUACCGUUUGCCAAGGAAUUCAAAUAUUAAAAAAAAUUGUUACUCCAUUAAACAUGAAUGGAUUCAAAUAUUAAAAAAAAUUGUUACUCCACUAAACAUGAAUGGAGGGAAUCUACCAAAGCUUUUAAAAGAUGAAGUGGAGUAGGAAAAGGAAUUUCUUAUACAUAAUUGAAAAGCAAUUUUCUUGAGAAUACUUUAAAACCAAAAGAAGAUCAAAAGAAGAAAUCUCUCAUGUCUAGAACUGAUCUAAUCACUUUUUAAGCAAAACCACGACUCAAAAGUACCUUAAAAGUCUUUUUGUUUUGGGUAGCCAUCGAAAGUUUACACUUGACUCACAUUUGAGUAGAUCCGAUCUUUAGAAAUUCAGUGGGUCAAAUUAUGUUACCCAUCUCACCAAGUGGUGUGGGUUAAUCUGGACUACUGAAUUUUUGAUAAUUGGAUCUUCCAAGUUUUGGUUGAACGUGUUAAGGGUAAUAGGAGGCAUAAAUCGCGCGAUUGGCGUAGGGAACUAAAGACAAUAUGCCCAAGCAAAUAUGUGGAUUAAGGGAGUGAUUGAAUUUUGGUGUAUUCUUCUUUUAUUCAGCAUGGCAUGCAAAAAUUUUUUUUUUUUUUUUGUAUAUGAGUAUGAAUAUGCAUGGCAGUUGACAAGGGGAAAAAAAUCACUGAGCUAUAUAGAAUAAGGUUGAUAAUCCAAAGUGUGUCAAACUUCAGGGCAAUGCAAAGACUUCAAAUCCUUUGCAUUACAUGAAUUUGGCAACGAUGAUGAUGAUGAUGUACCUGGCUGCUGCAGUAGAUAGCAAAAUCACAAAUUGUAAAGCGAGGUAUUCUCUACAUUUUCGAAAAAUCUAACAACUUGUAGGUUGAAGUUUUGUAACUUGAUGCUAUAUCUUUUUGGAUUCAUCACCCGUGGCUUCUGAUGUACUUUCACAAAGUAAUUGAAAGCAACUAAAACUAACUUUGAAGCAGAAAUAGGUAUUGCAAAGAUAGAUAAAUUCCUCAAGAAGAUACUACUAGAGAAAAUGUGGAAUAACCUUACAUCGCACUUCAACAAAAGCAUUAAACCACAGAAGAAACGUGCUAGAUUAUUGAUACAUAAUUAAUUAUAUCCUAAUUGAGCUGAAGAUAAAAUUAAAAAUGCCAUGGAUGCACAGAUACCAGGUGCCAGCUGAUCUUGAGAAAUGUUUGACAUGUUCUUGAUAUUCGUCUUAAUUUUAUUUCUACGGGAAAACUUGAUGAUGAGGGCUACCAUAACUCGCAAGGUGGAGGCAAAUGGAAACUCAGCAAAAGAAAUCUCAUUGUUGCCAGAGGAAAGAAGCGGAGUACCCUCUACUUGAUACAAGUCAAGUUGGGAAAGAAAGAAGUGAAUGCAGUUUGUAAUUUCUUAAUUGACCUUUGGCAUAGGUGACUUGGAUAUAUGGGCGAAAAGAGGAUUCAGACACUUGUUCGCAAACAACUUCUAUCUUAAGUUAGAGAUAAUGUACUUAAACCUUAUGUUGACUCCAUUUAUGAAAAAUAACAUAGAGUCGUAUUUUUAGAAUUUUUCUCCAUCUAGAAAAUUAAAUCCGUUAGAGUUGGUGCACAUUGAUAUUUGCUAUAUCAAAUAUAGGUCUCUUGGUGGUGACGUUUAUUUUGUAACUUUUAUUGUUGAUUUUGCUAGAAAAGUUUGGUGUUUUGCUUUGAUAUCCAAAGAUCAGGUUUAUUGAUUUACGUAAUUGGAAGUAACCAAUUAGGUUUACGACGAAACCUAGAAAUCGAUCACUAAUCCAAUUUGAGUACCUCUACAGGAUAUACCUCAACAGAAAACUGAAAAGUAACGGCAGACCUCAACAAAAAACUGAAGAGUAACGGCAGCAAGUGAUUGAGUUCAAUAGUUCCUCAAAUAAAAUUAUUGACUCUAGCAUAGCAAAGUUGAAAGAGAAAUUGAUAAGUAAUUAAAGUGUGUUCGUGCUGAUAAUGGUGGUGAGUACAGGAGACCGUUUGAAAGUUACUGCAAGUGCCAUGGGAUCGGAUUAGAAAAGACAGUACCAAAAACUCCUCAAGAGAAUGGAGUAGCAGAAAAGAUAAAUAGAUCCAUCACCGAACGAGUCAGAUGUAUGCUCUCCAAUGCGAAGAUGUCAAAAUCCUUUUGGAGCCAGGCAAUGAGAACAAUAGUUGAUUUGAUUAAUCUUUCUCCAUCAAUUCCUCUAGAUGGUGAUGUCUCAGAAAGAGUAUGGAUGGAAACAGAUAUGUCUUUUGAACACUUGAGAAUUUUUGGUUAUUAAGCAUUUAUUUAUAUUUUCAAAGAUGAGAGAUUAAUUUUUCUUUUAACAUCAAUACUAUAUCACUCACCAUUACUUUUGUUACAUAAUCAUGUAUCACCAUAACUAUAUAACAACUUACAUAUACCAUAGUCACCAGUGAACUUGGCGAGCAAGACCCCUUUAAUAGUUUAAUGUAUUUUUCAUGUGAGAGUUGCAGAGCAGUAGCCGUCAAUAGCUGGGUCAAACAGUUUCAAAUUCCAUUUUGGAACCACUCUCCCACAAAGCUCCCCGCUUUGUAUGGGAUCUCUCUUUUCAAACUCUUAAAUAAGUUCUUGACUUUCAAACCAACUUUUCUUAGGCAAAUUGGUCACUAGAAGAGAUUUAGACCUUUUGUGGGUCAGAUAUAACAUCAAAAUAAAGAGCUAAGACAAAGUUAAAACAAAUCCUCAGACAGUGACAAGCAUUUUAAAUCAUCAAAAGGGUGAAUUUAAGCAGAUAACUACUAAACAAUACGCCAAAACUGUAGACAAUACGAGGCGCAAGAAAGACUAAAUAAUAGCAUUCCUUUGUUUGUAUAUGAUACAUGUUUGAGCCUGUAAGAGCUAUGCUGUAUAGUAUCUCAAAUGAAUUUCAGCUGCAUCGAGUAAUAAUCCUACACUAUCCAACAUCUACCAUGAGAAGCAUGCACAAAACACACUUCAAGCAUCAGUUCAGAAUUACCACAAUGACUAUUUUCUUCUCCCUCUAUUUCCUAAAACAACAGGAAGAUGAGCCUAGGCAUUUCAGCUAGUACUAUCAACUUGUAGCAGUUGGCUGGGUUUAUUGUCCAGCGUCUUGUUUAUAUAGCAUGCUACAAUCUUGCACAAAGAAAUUGCAGAAACCUCUAAAAUGAUCAAAAAUUAAGUGACCAUUCACAUCAUAUUUAACUCGUCCUUCUCAAUAUCCAACAGCCCCUAAAAGCUUUCCUUUUCCCCAGGAGAAAAUACAAGUUUAAUCUCCACUGUAUUUCCACCUCAUAUUCAACUCUCACUUUCCUUUUCUCAAAGAGAAAAUGCAAUGAAUAAUUAAAGGAAAACAUCCCUUCCCCAAUUUACAAUGUAUCGAUUAGCAUUAUUUGAAGUAAAUAAAGCAAAGGAACAUUAGACAGUUAACUAGAAGGGGAAAAAAAUACAACUGAUCAAAAUACUUCCAAGCAACAAUCUUUCCUAAUUUCUUAUAACUAGAGGUGUGAAAAUAGAUGACUUGAGCGGGAAUGGGUUGGUUAAAAUGGGUAAUGGGUAUAAGUGAGUCAACUCAUUUAUACCCAUUUAAUUAGAUGGAUAUAAAUGGGUAAGUCAAAAAAUGAAUUGGGUAACUCAAUUAUCCAUUUAUAACCCAUUUAUUUUAACUUUUCAUAAACUCAUUUAAAUUCAUUUUUGUAAACUAUGUUAUCAAUUUGUACCACCAUUUGCACCCAUCAUUAGUUUUAAAUAUUUAUUUAUAAUAUUCAAUAAACCUAGUUACCAAUUUUUUUUUAUCCGUACUCUAUGUCGCAAAAUUAUAUACUAUUUAAUAAUUGAACAAUAAGAAUAUAAAAAUUUGACAUAAGUACUAUAAAAGUUAACAUAAAAACUUGAUUCAAAAAUUUUGAAUUCCUAAUAUUUUUUUGUGUAAAUUUAAAAUUUCAUUUUGAAAAGGUAGAAAAAGAGGCUAAAACUUGUCAUAAAUUGGGAAUGCUAAAAAAAUGAGUAAGUUAACAAACUAAGAGAAAAUAAAAUGAUAAUAUAAAACCCAUAAAUAAUAUUAAUAAUGAAACAAAAGUAAUUAACAUCAUAACAAAAUAAAGAAUUUGAAAAAAAAAAUGGGUGGGGGAAGAGAGGAGGUUUGGGGGAGACAAUUCUAAAUGGGUUAAUUGGAUUUGAUGUGUUAUCCAUUAAUACCCAUUUAUUAAAUGGGUAUUAUUGGGUAACUCAUUUGUACCUAUAUACAAAAACUUAAAAUACCGAUAUCUUUCUAUUCAUGGACGAAUAUGGGUAAAUUUAGUUAAAUAAGUUUGUUUGACACGUAUACUUAUAACAAUAAAAAUCCACUUUUAUGGCUACUAGUUGGCCUGGGCCUCCCGCGAGGCGCGAGGGUGCCCAUAUUUUCACGGAUUGAGUUUUCAGAAAUUUUCAGGCAUGUUCUUAUAAUUAUUUCUAUUUUUACAUUCAUACAUGAGAUAUAUUUAUAUAUGGCCUUUAGUAAGUAUUCUCAGUAGGCCAUCAAAAGUUAGCAAGAGCUAAUUAGCCUCGACAAAAGGAUUCUUCUAGCUGUUAGAAAUACAGUGGAUGGAGAUGAGGCUUUAAGUUUGACAAAAGCAUCAUAAAGUGCAUACUAUACACAUUAGCUAGGCAAAACCGCAAAAGUUGAUCUCUACAAUGUGACCGUGAUGGUGGAAAGUUGAUUUAGUUUGUCUUCGGUCACUUGGCUGGGGUGUUGAUUUGCUGGAACUGGCAGUAGUGCUCCUUCAGUUGGUAAGCAUGCUGUUAUGCUGUACAUUGUUACUAUAUUAUUUCGGAGAGGAUGAGUAAAUUUCCUCACUUGGAGGCGGUAGAUUUCUUUUCCAAGUCUUUUGCUGACAUUAAGCACAUCUGGUUGUUGAUUCUGUGACAGAUUUUAUUUCGACAAUUGAUUGAAGUUAUAAAAUUGACUGGGAAAAUUUUUUACUGUGACAAUCUUACCUAUUGUGCGAUCGGUAGUAUAUCAUCUGCACUAAUCUGUAGUAUUUGAUAGGUAAAAUUGGUACCUAAUAUAUGAAUGUUCUUGAUGGUCCUAAUGAAAAGGAAAAGUUGAUGAAAUGUAGCAGACAAAACCACGCAAUAGGAGGAAGCCACUGCAUGGGAAAAAGCGCAGCACACCGAUUGCUCUGUGAAGACAAUUCAAGAAGCUGGGCGAUCAGACAAAAAAGCCAACCUUGGCUUUGAUAACCAAUUAGUCAUUCGGGGGCAAAAUUGGUAGGUAAGGAUAUAAUGGUCAGUAUACACUCCACAAACAAAUUCUAGCCACAAAUGUCUCCAAUGGCACCGCUUCACUCUUUGGAAAUCACUGCAAAAUGACCAAAAAGCCCACACACUCAAGGUGCCAAUGAGGGACCAAAAUCAUUGUUCCUAAGACCAUUCGCUCUUUUAUAGUAUUACUAGUUUAUUUGUGCCUCAUGCGAUGCAUGAGGGUGCCCAAUUUUUUGUGAAGUUGUUAGUUGUGUGUGUGGAGUUAAGAGUGGGUGUGUGCGAAUUUGAUGAUGAAAGAGUGGUAGUUCAGGAUACGUAGGCACACUAUUUUGUAGUAGUCUGUACAUUAUCAAAAAUUGGUCAUUACAGGAUAGAAAACUCAUACAAAGAGCUGUAGACAAAACCACUAUUUACAUUAACAAAAAUAGGUGGUUGCAUGGUAGAAAACUAAUGUCAACAGCUAUUGCAAAACUAUAGAUGGCAAACAAACCUAUUUAACUAAAUUUACCCAUACUCGACUAUGAAUAGAUGGAUAUGGGUAUCUUAAAUUUUUGCAUAUGAGUAUAAAAUGAAUUACCCAAUAAUACCCAUUUAAUUUUAUUGGAUAACUCAUCAAAUUUAAUUAAAUCAUUUAGAAUUGUCUUCUCCCAAACCUCCUCUCUUUCUCCAUCCCUUUUUUUUUUCAGAUUCUUCAUUUUGUCAGGAUGUUAACUACUUUUGUUUCAUUAUUAUUAUUAUUAUUUGUUGAUUUUAUUUUAUCAUUUUAUUUUCUCUUAGUUUGUUAACUUGCUCAUUUUUUAGCAUUACCAAUUUAUGACAAAUUUUAGUAUAUUUUCCUACCUUUCCAAAAUGAAAAUUUAAAUUUACACAUGAAAAAAAUGCUAGGAGUUCAAAAUUUUUGGAUUAAAUUUUUAUGUUAACCUUUAUAGUACUUAGUUCAAAUUUUUAUAUUCUUAUUGAUCAAUUAUUAAAUAGUAUGUAAUUUUGUGACAUAGAGUACGGAUGAAAAAAAAUUGAUAAUCAGGCUUAUUGAACAUUAUAAGUAAAUAUUUUAAACUAAUAAUGAGUAUAAAGGGUGGUAUAAAUUGAUAACUUAAUUUGUAAAAAUGAAUUUAAAUGAGAUUACAAAAAAAUUAAAAUAAAUGGGUAAGCCUCCAAUUGCUUCCACGUAAUAAGGCAACAAAAGUAAAGUAAACUCAAUCUAUACAAUACUAAUAUGUUAAGGUGAAAUUUCAAAUUUAGCCACCUGUUUAAAGUACAUUUGCACCGUUUUUAACAAAGACAUGCAACUUCAGAAGCUCCCAAUUGCUUCCACGUAAGCUAACACCACCACCGUAUAUGUUAAGCAAGUCAAUCUGUCCAAAGAUAAAUUUGAGAGAGUAGUUGGAUAAUUAAUGUUGGAUUUGAAGUAAGACUUUCAGUUCAGGCAAUUUCCCCUCCGUAGACCUUUACAAAGGUACUUCACAUCAUCCCCAACUCCCUCAAGCUUUCAGUAUUUGUAUCUCCAAUGCUUAAUCAAAUUUGGAAAUCUAUUUGACUACUCAAACUCAACAAAUGCAUCUCCGACGGAAGAGAAUUUCAAUUGCACUCUCGAAACUAGCAAUGCCCAAUUUGCACCCAACUAGACAGUUAAAUAUCUUUGUCAAUGAGAUUUAACUUUCUGGUGAGUUCAUUACUAUAGUUUCAUCAAAAUAUCUUUGUUGCAAAAAUUUUGCGGGCUGCUAUCUUUACAAUUCAUGCAAAAUAAUAAAGGUUUUUUAUAACCCAUCAGCUGUUUGAUAAAUUGCCUCUUUCAAACUAAGUUCAAAAUUCGUUCAACGCCUUGGCUGCUAGUUCAUGCCUCCAAGUAUAGUCAUCAGCCCAUCAUCUCUACCUCGUUCAAACACUAGCAAUCAUCAUCUUCAUGAUAAUAAUUUUUUUUUUUUCUAGCCAAAGGUGAAAUCCAUUCCGGUUCAAUAGAAAAAAGUUCUACAUUCUUUAAGGAUUUUGUGCUAAGGUUUCCAAGGAACGGCUUGGGUAGUGGUGCGGCAGUCCAUGGCUGCCAUCUGCCCACCUGAUGGAGGGCAGCCUGCCCCUCCUACCUUUCAACGCAAAUCCUUUUCAGAAUUGUUCACGAAGAAUUCACAGCAGCCGACGCUAUCCUUUGCGGCACAGGAGGCUACACACAAAGGGGAACCUGCGUUGAUUUUCCCACAGGCAGCGGUCGAAGCUCUAGCCAGUCCAUUUCGUUUCGCAUUGAUUGGGAAAUUCUCUAGACGUAGACCGAAGUUGGAGGAGGUGAGGAAGUUCAUUGCAUCGCUGGAUUUACGUGAGAACCCGGUGGUGGGCUUGUUGGACGUAAGACAUGUGUUAAUUCAGUUGAACAAUGAAGCUGAUUUCCAUCGUGUAUGGUUUAGGAGGAUCUGGUAUGUGUCUUCCUUCCCCAUGAGAGUAUUCAAAUGGACCACGGACUUCCAUGUUGACAGGGAGUCGUCGGUGGUUCCGCUCUGGCUUCAAUUACCAAAACUCCCGCUGCACUUUUUCAAUAAGGAGGUGAUUUUCCAGAUUGCGUCUAUGGUAGGUAACCCUUUGCUAGUUGAUGCGGCUACCCUUGCAGUGUCACGGCCAAGUGUUGCACGGGUGUGUGUUGAGAUGGAUUUGUUGCGUUCGACACCGUCGCGGGUUUGGAUUGGCAAUGGAAAUCAUGCUGGUUUUUGGCAAGAGCUGGUGGUGGAGAACCUUCCAAGGUACUGCUCACAUUGUUUCCGCCAAGGUCACGAUGUGGAGACUUGUCAUGUUUUAAAGCCCGAGUUGCGAGGAGCAUCUGGUCACCAUACCAAGACUACUGGAACAACACAACUACGGUUGGCAGAGACGUCGAAUACAGACAUGCCUGAUGGCCCUUUGGAGGGUAAUGGAGAAAGGCCAUCGGUAUUGAUACAAGAUGCGGCAGUAAUUGAUGGGGCAAAGGGAGAAGUUAAUGAGACUGUGACUGGCAAAGCGCUAGUUGCUCACGAUCAGUUAAUAGGUGGUACGCCUCACGAAGCUGAGCAAGGUGACCAGGUGCAGCAGUCCUGUGCUACUAUACCAGCGCAGCAGGAGAGGAAAAUGGAGGAGGAUUAUGGGACGGUGGCGGUAGAAGGUAUCGAGGUGGUGCUGCCACAUGACAAAGGAGAGGAACGUUCUGAAGAUGUGGGGAGUGGGUUGCCCGCGAGGGUGGUCGUACGUUCUGCUGAGGGGCAAGUUGAAGACUUACAAGAUACUCAACGAAGGGUCGGUACCCUCUCCCCUAGGGGCAAGGAUCUUAUCCGACAAGAAGAGUCAUCACUAGAGACCGGGCAUAUAGACACGGGGGGUACCCUGGAACUAGAAGAAGUUGUUCGUAAGGAGCGAAUGGAUGCAAGGUCGCGUGGUCUCCGGGUUGGUCUCCCGUCAGAUAGAACACUACGCUCCAUGGUUAGUUCUUCAACAAAUUCUUUUUCUGUCCUUUCUGAUGAUUAAGUUACUUUUUUGGAAUAUAAGAGGGGUAGCUCGUGCUCCUAAUUUAAGGCGGUUAAGGAAACUUAUUAAAUUGUAUGAUCUUCAAUUGGUGGUUGUUGUUGAACCUAAGUUGAGGGUGGAGUCAAUUACUGAUAUUAGAAUUAAAUUGGGGAUGGAUUGUUGCAUGUUCAAUCAUUGGGGUUCUGUUUGGAUUUUCUACCGGUCAUUGUUUACGUGUCAGAUUACAGGGGAGUCUCCCCAACAUAUAACUAUUAGAGUACAAUCUCAUCUUUUCCAAGACUCCAUUAUUUUGUCUUGUAUACACGCGAAGUGUACGCAGCAGGACAGAGAGGAUUUGUGGAAUGCACUUUUGCAGGAUAAACCCGCCUUCAAUCCUUGGUUUUUGGUGGGGGAUUUCAAUGUGGUCACAAAUACAGAGGAGAAGAGGGGUGGAUUGCCAUUUAGACCGUCGGAGGGAUCAGACUUUCUGAAUUUUAUGGCGCUAGCUGGUGUCAGUGAUGCGGGAUUCUCUGGGUCAAGGUUUACAUGGUGUAAUAAUCGUUCGGGAACGGCGCGGAUCUGGAAGCGUCUGGAUCGCUUACUUCUGUGUGGGAGUGCAAUGGAGCUACCGUACCAAUUCAUGGUGCAACAUUUAGGCCGUGACCCGUCGGAUCAUGCUCCCUUGUUGCUAUCGGUGGAUACGAGGCUAGACAAUAAACCCAAGCCGUUUCGUUUCUUAAACAUCUGGACCACUCAUCCUGAUUUUCUGGGGGUUAUCAAGGACUGUUGGGUUCAUCCAGUCAAUGGCUCUCCUUUGCAAGUAUUGGCAUCGAAGUUGAGGAAUGUUAAAAAUGCCCUCAAGCAGUGGUCUAGGACGACAUUCGGGGAUAUUUUUGAAGGGGUACGUAGUGCAGAGCGUGUGGUAACCGAGUCUGAGACAGCAUACGACCUCGAUCCUACUGAGCAGCGACGGAGCGAGUUACAUCAUGCUCGGGCUCGAUUGCGCCGAGCGCUUGUAGUUGAGGAGGGUUUUUGGAGACAAAAGGCGCGGGUUAAGUGGCUUUCGGACGGAGAUAGGAACACCAAAUAUUUCCACUCCUUGGUUACGGAAAGGAGACGUAGGGCAGUAAUUCAUCGAGUCAGGGGUACUGCUGGAGAGUGGAUCGAGGGGGAAUGCCAAAUUGGGGAGGCAGCGGUGGGUUUCUUUAAGGAUCUUUUCACGGCAGAGGGGGAUCUUCCCUCCCUUACCGGUCUGGAGAUCAUACCUAAACUGAUAACAGACCAGGAAAACUCACGGUUAACGGACAUUCCAUCUCUUACAGAAGUUAAAGACAUAGUCUUUGCUAUGGAUGGAGAGAGCGCAGCCGGCCCGGACGGGUUUACAGGGAAAUUCUUUACCUUUGCUUGGGAGGUAGUGGCAUCGGAUUUAUACCGGGCGGUUGUCAGCUUUUUCUGCGGUGCUGAACUACCUAGGAGUAUCACGGCUACCUCAAUUGUGUUGCUGCCAAAAGUGGAGAACCCCCAAGAUUUUAAGCAUUUUCGUCCAAUCAGUCUGUGCAACUUUACUAACAAAAUCAUCUCCAAGCUGUUAUCGGCAAGGUUGGCGAUGAUAUUACCCCGGAUUAUAUCUCCACAGCAAAGCGGGUUUGUCCAAGGGAGGCAGAUUACAGAUAAUUUCUUGUUAGCUCAGGAGUUAGUAGCCGAUAUCGGGAAAUCAAAUCGGGGUGGCAAUGUGGUCAUCAAGUUAGACAUGAUGAAGGCUUAUGAUAAAGUCUCAUGGCCCUUUCUCCUACAGGUGCUACGAUAUUUCGGAUUCAGUGAGACCUGGAUAGACAUGAUUUGGCGCUUAAUAUCGAAUGUGUGGUUCUCGGUACUUGUUAAUGGUGGUUCAAACGGCUUUUUCAGAUCUUCACGGGGUUUACGGCAAGGGGAUCCAAUUUCACCAGCCUUAUUCGUUAUCGGAGCUGAGGUGCUGUCUAGAACCCUCAACACGCUACCCACACAAAGAGGAUUUACUCCGUUCAAAGUUCCUCCUCAUUGUUCUAUAAUUACGCAUUUGGCAUUCGCCGAUGACGUGAUUAUCUUUUCCAGUGGGGCCAAGUCAUCCCUACGUCUGAUUAAACGGGUUUUGGAUGAUUAUAAUGAGGCAUCAGGUCAGCGAAUCAACCCUCAGAAGAGUUGUUUCCUUACUCAUCCACGGGCACCAUCUCAGAGGGCAGCGGUUGUUAACCAGAUACUAGGGUAUAAUAAACGCGACUUUCCAAUACGGUACCUUGGUUGUCCCUUGUAUACCGGAAGGAGCAAGAAGGUUUACUAUACGGAUAUAUACAAUGCGGUGGCGAAUCGGAUUUUGAGUUGGAAAAACCAGAUAUUAUCGCUAGGAGGCAGGGUGGUGUUGAUUCAGAGCGUGUUAUCCUCUAUGCCAAUUCACUUGCUGGCAGCCGCGUCCCCUCCAAAAGGGAUGUUGAUGGUCAUAGAGAAAUUGUUCGCCAAGUUCUUGUGGGGAUCUUCGAAUUUCGGGGAUAAAUUCCAUUGGAUACGUUGGGCAGAUUUGUGUCGGCCGAAGGAUGAAGGGGGUGUAGGCCUGCGGGGUUUGAAACAGGUCUACGACUCAUUUUCCAUUAAACUCUGGUGGAAAUUUCGACAACAACAAUCAUUAUGGGCAAAGUUUAUGUCCCAGAAGUAUUGUGCAGGUCAUCACCCUUGUCUUGCUGAUAUUGGGCAUCCGGGAUCCCAAGUUUGGCAGAGGAUGGUUACAAUGCAGCGUUUUGGGGAGGAUAAUAUUAGCUGGGUAGUUCGGGAGGGGGCUUUGGACUUUUGGCAUGAUAAUUGGAUGGGGUCAGGUGCGCUUUGUGACAAGGUUGAGGUCUUCCAUGAUCAUUCGGUGGUUGAUUUUGUAGAUCGGCGGGCUUGGAAUGUGGACAUGCUCCAUCAAUUCUUGGAUGGAGAAUUGGUUACGCAGGUUUUGGAGAUUGACCCUCCUACCGAUAGGGGAAAUGAUACAAUGGUAUGGGCAUUGACGAACUCGGGUGUUUUUUCCACUGCAUCGGCUUACUCAUUGAUCCGUCAAUCCAAUGACAAUUCUUGGCUUUUUGGUCGUAUAUGGCAGCAGGGUCUUCCAGUCAAGGUUUCUUUCUUUAUGCUGCGACUACUACAGGGGAGGCUCCCUCUUAUGGAUCGCCUAAAGAGGUUUGGGGUUUGUGGCCCAUCUAGAUGCUUGUGUUGUCAGAAUCCCCAGGAGGAGGAUUUGAAUCAUGUGUUUUGCUCAGGAGAAGGGGCACGAUUGGUCUGGCGACACUUCGAGAGUACUGCUGGUGAGUUUAGUGGGGUGCAUACGGUGCGUCAUAUGGUGUGGUCUUGUUGGUUAAGGAGGGGGACUAAUGAUCGUGUAAAGUUUUUGCAUAAUAUACUUCCUUCGGUGGUAUGCUGGGUUUUAUGGAAGGCUAGGAAUGAAGGGGUGUUUGAAGGUCGGAAGAUGAGGAUCAGGCCUACGGUGAAUCGGAUUGUUCAGUUUCUGCAUGAUUUCCUUCAGUCACGGUUCCCGGGGGUGCAGCCUUCUGCCCCUACAUGGGAAGGGUUGCUUCUCGAAUUAGGUAGUCAUCAAAGGCGGAUGGUUAUUAGGCCAGUUUACUGGGUAACUCCACGUAGAGGCUAUAAGUUGAAUUCAGAUGGAUGUUCUCGGGGGAACCCAGGAAGGAGUGGGGGGGGUGGGCUUGUGCGGGAUAGUCGAGGAAAUUUUGUAUUCGGCUACGCGGAGCCCUUCGGGGUGAUAACCAGCAUGCAGGCAGAACUUCGAGCGUUGCUAUGGGGCGUUAGACAUUGUGUGAUUCGAGGGUGCUUGGAGUUACACUUAGAGGCGGAUUCUCUCACCCUGGUUCACAUUGUUCAAGGGACUAGUGCUUGUCCUUGGCGUUUACAGAGAGAUCUGGAUGAGUUGAUGAUGUUCAAGCAAUAUUUCACAUCGAUCACACACUGCUACAGGGAAGCAAACGCACCUGCAGAUCAUUUGGCAAAUUUUGGUGCUGAUUCUAGUGCAGGUCAUGUGUUUAAUACAUUCUCAGAAUUGCCGCAAUUGGUUAGGGGGGCUAUUAGAUUAGAUCGAUUAGGAUUUCCUACGUUUCGUACACGGUGUCUGGCAUGAAUUGGAAUAAGAAGCAGAAAAGGCCAAUGAAGGUGAAAAUGGCGGUUAGAAGGACAUCAAGGGAGGAAGAUUGACUGCUAAAAUCUUCAAAGAUCAUCCUUCAGAUUCACUGGAAGACAUCCUGAUAUGGAAAAAUGAAGAUUUAAUCUUAAUUUCAGUUUUUAAAUGCUUAAACUUUCACUAGCUUGUAAAUUUAUUGUCAAAUUGUGGUUUGAUGGCAGGGAGUUUCGUCCUUUUUUAAGGGGAAACUCUGCCGAAAUAUAAAAAAAAAAAAAAAAAAAAAAAAAAUCUGUCCAACACCAAAACAAAGAUGUGAAAUUCCAUGUUUAGCCACCUACUGAUGGUGCCCAUACGGGACCAUCACUAUUGCACUCAUAUCAGCCAACUCCCCUUUUUAUACUUCUUAUGAUAUGAUAUGAUUAGGAUAGGAAGUAUCAUACAUCACUUGACUAUAGGACAUCCUCGUUUAAUGUCUAUCUCUGCCAUCUGCCAAACGAAUAUACCUCUCCCAGCAUGCUUCAUCCCUUAUUUAUAUACCCUGUACCUCUAGUAUCAAAGCCAUCCUGCAACCAUGAUUUUGUUUUUUUUUUCCAGAAUUUAUCAACCUUAUAACUGAUCCCAGGAAGAUUCUAGAAACUGGUGUGGCCAACGUGUUAGAUCAAGAGAAGAAGGGCUAAGGCCAUCAACAGUACUAUCUUUAAAUUUAUCUGGAAAACAAUUACAGAAAAAGGAACUAUCUACAUCUUGUAAAGUACCAAAAAUUUUAUGUACCAAAGAUUCAGGGAUCCAUCCCAAUGGCUGCAUCACAAAAAAAUGCUAAAGAAAAUCAUUUCCUUCCAAUAGCUCAUGACCCCUCAGAAACCAAAUAUAACUAACAAUACAUUCUUUAUUGCCCUAUAAAGGAUAUCAAGCUAUAAAAGAGUCAACAUAAAAAAAUAGAAACAAAAAAGAACUCAAGGUCAUCGAAGAUUUAAAAAAAAAAAAAAAAAAAACUGCUAGGAAAGCAUAUUUAGCCACUACCUGUUCAGAUUAUUGUUAUAGUUUCCCUAAAUCCUUUACCCCAAAUCUUCUCUCUUCUGUCUGAAAAUGUUACCUUUAGUGCCCAGACCGUACAAUGUCAUAUUGAGUCUAUGUAUCUGGGCGAUUUUGAAUUUUUCAAAACUAGGGUACUGGUACAUGGCCAAAGAUCUAGAAUUGGCUAGAGGGCGUCUAUCUUGUAUCCCAUCUGUAAGUAGCAUAUUAAAUACAACUUAAAUUAUGAAAUGGCUCAUACUUAAAAGAAAAUUUCUAAAUGAUCCAAACAAAAAAAAAAAGAAAAAGAAGACAAGAAAAUUAGCUUAAAAUAAAGAAGAAGAAAAUCUGGGGCAAAAAUGAUUGCGCAAACAGUUUCUAAAUGGUAUAAAGCUUUAGUGACAAAUUAUAAUUCGCAUCGUAUACAAGACACAAGUUAUAUAAUUUCGUAACAAUGACAUGAAAUAAUAAGAUUGUUCACAAUUAAAAGUAUGUGUUAUGUUAUUGUUAUGUAACAUUAUCUGAAUCUGAUUUCUCGAAAAUUUAUUUUGUUGGCAAAAUUUAAACUGUUAUGAUCGAUCCAAAAAGGAAAAAAAGAGAAAUUAAAGUACAUGGUUGAGAUCUGCAAGUUUCACAGUUAAAAUGUUGCAAGAUGGGCGGCACAACUGCAAGUUUCACAGUUAAAGGACUCCAUUUAAAAUUUAGUUCCAUCCAGUUAAAAUGUUGUUCUCGAUUUUGGCAAGUUUCACAGUUAAGUUUCAAACUGAGAGUAGCAAUUAUGCAGAUAUAUAGCCUUCUAAAGAGAUCCAAAUUCACUAUUAAUGCUCUUUUAUAAGCUUGUGAAUCCGAAAAGCUUCUUAGCUAGGGAUAUUUCAUGCUUGCACCUGAUAGCAGAGUUUUAAGAGGAAAAUCAAUUAAAAACUUUACUAAGGAGUUUUUAAGCUUUUUAUUCUUUUCUCUUGGUAUCUUUCCCUUUUCCUUCUCCUCCUCACCUUUGAUGAAGUACUCAUGAAGUGUAAAGAAGAAAACUUAGGGAUGCAAUUUUCUGGGAUUUUUUUAAUAUCUUGAUGGCAUUACUCCUUCAAGUUGGAUCUCAUAAUUCAGAAAAUUUAAUCUCCUGUCACAGCAUGAUCCAUUCAAGUUGCUGAAAACAAAAAUAGGAGCAACAAAUUAUUGCUCCAUGAACACAUGAAAAAUUAUCUCAUAAAACUUGAUUCAUUUUGGUGUCAUUGCAGGUAACGAUGCUAGGAUUGAGCCACAUAUUGAUCUUAACGUCUAUAUAUGUCAUAACCUUCUUUCUCCUUAAUCUAUGUAGCAAGAUAAAAACACUUAGGCACAAAGUUACAUCUUCUAUUCCGGCUCCAAAACUCACUAUCUAGAUUUUACAUAAUUAUACUUCUUGGUAACAUGUCGUGGCGUUGUUAAAUUGAUUGCUUUAGGGAUACUUCCUUGGAAAACCUACCAUUAAUCAUCACCUUCUUCUUCCUUGCCAGCGGCCAAAGCCGCCGGCUCUCUUUCUCUCUCUGAAAUUGUUGCCGCUGCCAUUGCUACCAUGUGCGGCAGUAGCAGCGGUUGCCGCUGCUACUGUCUUGAUCUGCCGUGGCUUCCUUAUCAAAUGGCUGGCCUUUGUUUAGCCAAGAGGUCGCCGAUGUUGUACUGGCGACCUAGCAGCAAGGAAGGCUCAAACGACCCUUUCUUCUUCUCUCCCCGAACCGCAUCUUUUUUUUUUUUAACCCCAUCAACUUUCCAUAUUUUCCUUUCUAUACAAAAAUUAACCCUAAAGUUAAGGAAGAUUCCUGCCUUGACUCGAACUCUUUAGAGUUUUCUUCAAAUUUUGCCCUUAAUUGAUUUAAUUAACUUUUUAAAGUUAAUUAGGCUUUACACGCCUUUAUGUUGGAAUGAAUAUAAAUGUUGUACUCUUUAGUAGGCAAGUUAAUUAUUAUUAUUAUUGUUUUUGGACAAGAGAGGGGUGGAAUGCAAGAAACGAGUAGGGGGAAGGGGAAAGAAGGAUUUAAAUCCAAGUCCUCCAAUUCUUAGAGUCUUAAUCUUAGUUAAUUAAACUUUUCAUGCUUUUAUGUAGUAUUGUUUCAUAUGUCGUAUUCUUCAUAAGGGUUUAUUGAGUACUUAUGCGUUGAUUCAUAACUUUUGGAAAAUCUUCGGAGUAUCUAAUUUUUACUUUUCCAAUAUCCUUUUAAUAAAUUUCACUAUGAUCUAACAGAUAUUGAUAUAGUUCUAGACUAUUAACAUGAAGAACUGAAACCAUAUGCUUUUGAGAAUUAUGAGAGUUAAAGAGAGUGUUGGUAAUAAAUAAGCACAUACUUAGUUCACACAAAAUUUAAAGUAUUGUGGAGGCAAAGUUAUUAGAUCUAAUGGAUUGAGACACAGGGUCAGUCACGAAUACUACAAGAUCUAAGUCCAACACGGAAGACAUGGAAUGUUGGCGGGUUGUGGUUGGCGUAAAAUAUGAUAUUAACCAUGCAAUGAAAAUGUUGACGAAUAAUAAUAGAGAGCCAAUCUUACGGUGAAAACAAGGACGAACUGUAACUAGAAGUCAACCAUACAAUGAAACCGUGGACAAUUUUUCAGCAAGAUAAAGAAGAUUAUGUACGUUAGUCUAAUUUAUAUUUCAAUCUCUAGCAAGCUUAGGUUCCACCAUGGGAUUGAUCCGAUUUUAACCUAUUUUAUAUCCUUUCAACUAGAUUCAUCCCAUAUUUGCUUCUGUUUCAAUCGGUUGAACCGACCUGUGUGGUUCAAUUUGUCAAAAAAAUGAGUUUGGUUGAGAUGAUUGAACAAUUACACAAGAAACUUACUAUUUGUGGGUCCAAUUACACAAGAAACUUAAAAUUGUGGGUCCAAUUUGUCAAAAAAAUGAGUUUGGUUGAGAUGAUUGAACAAUUACACAAGAAACUUAAAAUUUGUGGGUCCAAUUGCACGAGAAACUUAAAAUUGUGGGUCCAAUUUGUCAAAAAAAAAAUGAGUCUGGUUGAGAUGAUUGAACAAUUACACAAGAAACUUAAAAUUUGUGGGUCCAACGUACCAAUGGAGCAGAAGGAAUUGUACUCUUAAAUCUUAGUACAUGCUAGUUCAAUCAUAGAUAUAGUUAAAAUCUCUUAGGUGCUAUUUUCCCCUCACACUUUAUUACCGGGCAUCCUGCACCUUUCACUACUGUCUCCUCUCACACAUCAUGUCUUUAAGUUGGAAUAGUAUCAACCUUUCAUUCGACGGACAACAUUGCAUUCAAGGUCCUAGUGGGAGGAGUUGCCAUUGCUACGCUCCGAUAACAAUACUGGGUAGGGAUGGCAACGGGACAGGGGAUCCCUCUCCCGUAAAAAUAAAAUAAAAUCUGUUAGGUGUUAUUUCCCCCUCACACAUUAGAACUAGGCAUCCUGCACCUUUCACAAUUGUCUCCUCUCCUCACAUAUCGGGUCUUUAAGUUAGAAUAGUAUCAACCUUUCAUUCGACGGACAACAUUGCAUUUAAGUGUCUAGUGGGAAGAGUUGUCAUUACUAUGCUCCGAUAACAAUGCUGGGUAGGGAAAGCAAUGGGAUGGGAGAUCCCUCUCCCGUCUCCCGUCCUGGUGCCAAAUAUCUCCCCAUACACCCACUCCAUCCUUUGCCCCUGCCCUUACCCCGCCUAGCUCCCGUCAGGGAGUUUGCAGGGGAAUGAUAAAAAUUUGAUCCUGUAGCUAUUUGCUUCCAUAAUAACUAACAAAAAUUCAACAUAUCAACCCAUGGGGGGACGGGUGUCCCUUAUUGCCAUCACUAGUGUUACAUAUUAUUGGGCCCUUUUAUCACAAAAGCUAUCUCAAAAGUUAAAGUUUUCCCUCACACGUAUAACCAAAUAUCUUUUUCCUUCCACAGUUGAUGUAGAAUAAACUGAAAAUUCCCCAUUCACAUCAGGCCCGAGGUUGGAAUAGCAUCAACCUUUCAUUCAAUGGGUGCAGGUUGGGAAAACACCAACCUUUCAUUGACAAGCAACAUUUCAUUCAAGUGUUUAAAUUGAUUAAUUUUUCAUUUGAAGAUGAAAUUGGUCAGCAAUUGACAGUUUAAAUACUAAAUGUGUCAUGUUAAAAAGUUUGAGAACGAAAUGUAUCUAUGACCUAAAGUUUAGGGACAUUUUCCUGCGUUUUACUCUUUUCUGUCAAUAUGUUAAGUUAUAAGACGCUCUGGAUGAAGACAGAAAACGUUUCUUUGAAAACUUCCAUUUAGGAGAUACUUAGGAUGCGAGUUUAUGGGAUCCUUUAUACCUUCAUUAAUUGCAUUAGUACUCUUUCAUGUUGGACUCAAUAGCUCAGAAAUCUAUAUUAUCUCCUGCCACAAGAUGAUUAGUUGAAGUUUGCUAAAUACAACGUGUAUAGGAUCAACAAUUUGUUGCUCUAUGAGUAUAAGAUUAAUUAUUAAGGCCCUAAAACUUACUUGUAUUUUGGUGUUAUUCCAGGAAAAGAGGUCAGCAUUGAACCAUGUAUUGAUCUUUAAGGUCUAUACCUUUGAUAAUCUUCUCUUUUCUAGUCUACAUAAGCUAGAUUGAUUACAUACUAUUUGGAGAAAAAUUUACCAUCCCGAGGUUAAAACAGAGACAUUUCCCUUUAUGGCUUCAGGGAUACAUACUUGGACAUCCAGCUACUAAAGUUCAAGGAAUUCUUAACUAUCUAGUCCUGUUUGCUUUUGAGCGCUAUGUGGAAUUUUGAUGUACUAUGGGAGGGAUGUAGGGGGAGGGAGAGGAGAGGAGAGGGAGGAGGGGCGGAAGAGGAGGUUGCAGGCUGGUGAUGUCGGCAAGCUAGUGGCGGGUUGAGGUGGGGGGAGGAGGAAGAAAAUGAUGGAAAAAGGUGAAGAAUUUGUUUGUUUUUAAAUAUUAAGGGACGUGUACAUUAAAUAUUUUGAGAUGUUUAUAGAGGAUUACUGUAAACAAAAUAGUAAAAAAAAAAUUGUCUAUUAAAAAUUAGACUAAAAACCCAUAUGAAAAUACGCUAAUAAUCCAUACUUAAUUAAUAAUUUUUUAUUUAAUUAAUUGAACUCCGUUGCUCCGGUCAUUGUCAUGCCAAACCAAAUUGAUCCGUGCUCCAGUCGAGCCCACCAUUUUUCAACAUUACACGCAUCAUUAGAAUAAUGAUGCGUGUAAUGACUCAUGACACGGCCCGUGUAAUGACUCAUGAGAUAUUAUACCUCCCAUGAUACUCCACCGGAGAUGCUCGUAUAUAGAGUUCGCCGAAGAACUCUAUCCAAGUGCCUGGAGUCUAAAGUUGCUCUGCCUAGUUCCCAAAACGAGAGAUCGGCCAAGCUCAAUGGAGAAGUUGCAGGUGCUCCUAAGGCAUCCUAUCUUCUGCAACCUGUUCUUGCUGCUAGUUUAUGUUCAAGCAUGUUCAAACCUUGCUAUGGCUGGUUCCAUAGUUAAAUUUCUUCCAGGAUUUGAAGGACCCCUCCCCUUUGAACUCGAAACCGGGUGAGCCACUAAGUAUAACAUAUAUAUAAUAACACUAGAAAUUAACAUUGAUCAAAACUUAGAAGAAAUAGUUGAUCCAUUUUUUGAUAUUAUCAGGUAUAUUGGAGCUGGUGAAUCAGAGGAUGUGCAGCUCUUCUACGCUUUUAUCAAGUCAGAGUCAAAUCCUCAAUCGGAUCCUCUUAUCAUUUGGUUAGAUGGAGGCCCUGGCUGCAGUUCAUUUAUUCCACUUUUCUUUGGGAUAGGUGAAUUCUAAUGCCUUACACUUUGCAGUAGGUGUCACAAAAAAAAAAAGAACAAUUGCGGCACUAUUUUGAUCUUGAUUGCGUAUAAUCUUGAAACUCUGCAAACAGCCUUUCUGGUUGAAACUCUGCAAAAAAGACAAAAGACGUUGUUGUCUGGUUGACGAAGCUUUCUGGUCUUUUGUUUUGUUUUUUUGGGUAAAAGUAUUAAUUUUAUUGAAUAGCAUCCAUUUGUCGCCAGUAGCUACACGUUCACAUCAAAUUAAAAAGUCCAAAAUAUAUAAUAAAGCUUUUGAAAAAUGUUCCUAAAAACAGGUAAUUCAAAUGGAGCCAUAAUCUUUAUUUGUCUUUAAUGUUCAAGUGCCAGCAUUUGAUCAAGUCACUGGCCGUGAUUUUCUGUUGCAGGACCAGUAAUUUUGGAGCCAUUGUCGUUCGACGGCACUCUGCCCAAAUUGGUAUUAAAUCCCUCUACUUGGACCAAGGUAAACUCAAGAAUUGAGUUUCUCUUUUCUUUUAUUUUAUUUUCCUGCGAGAGAAAAAGAGAUUUAAGUUGAUGAGUAUAUCUUAGACUCAUAGAAGUGUUAUUUAGCAUUUAUUAUGAUGUGAUGUAUCCUAGAUGAAAAGGUUGUUGAGAUACAUGUAUAAAUAAGGUUCCAAAUUUUUUUUUUUUCAAAUAAUGUUCAAAUAAUCUUUAUCCAAACAAACCUAACUUUCAAGAUUAAGAAUUCGAGUUGACUGCAAGAUUGAGAAUCAUUUCUUGUUACUUGUUAGGUUGUAAGCAUCAUCUUUCUGGAUUCGCCAGUUGGAACUGGUUUUUCUUAUGCUAAGACUGCAGAAGCUUCUCAAUCUUCAGAUUUUCAAGCCUCUGAUCAAGCUUAUGAAUUUAUCAGGAAGGUACACGCCCAUCACUCAGCUAAUUAAUGAAUCAUAAGGCUUCAUGGAACGUUGGACAAUUACUAACAAGGAAAAUGCCAUACUUGUCUCUAGACCCUUUAUUAUGCAAAAAGACCAGUGUACUAUCAUUUAAUUAUUUUCCUUCUGAAUAGCGGAAUCCUGCGUAGCCCUCCCAAAAUUGCCUCCAUUGGAUUCAAGUUCUCUAUGAACACGGUUUUGAUUGUAUAGAACAGUUGACAGUGGAAGAUGAAUAAAAGUUACAUCAAUAAUAACUGGCUAUGGUAGUUUCGACAGUUAGCAUCAUGGAAGCCAUAGUAGAGGAGGAGCUCUUGCAUGGGGAAAGAUCCCAAAGUCUCAUGAAAUGUGGCAAUCUCUAGAAUGGAAUAUCCCACUCACAGUGUUUAGUUAGUGAAAUGUUCUGAUACGGACUCCUAUGAUAAUUAGUUUAACAUGUAUACUGAGAUAUUCUAUCUCUUGUACAAACUUGUCCAAUAUCAAUGAACUUACAGUUUUACCUUGAAAAGAUAGUGGAAGAUGACUAAUUUUGAAUUUGAUGCUUACAAUUCAAUUUUGGGUACAAAUUUCAAUAAGCGAGGCAAUUUAUUGUCUUUUUGCAUGUUGUUGUAUUUUAAUGUCUACAAUUGGUUUGCGAGUGCCUAUAGUACACAGUGCAAUUGCGACUGCCAAUUAUAGAGGCUUGGGUGGACGAUAUUUGUUGCGUUUUUACCCAUUUGAACCUCGAGUUAAAAGCUUAAUUUCCCUUGAAAUGGGAAAGAAAUUAUAGUUAAAAAGAUGUUUACCUUUUACAAGAUUGGUUUUGAUGUUGAUUAUAUUGCAGUGGCUACAUGAUCACCCAGAGUACAAGUCGAAUCCAUUCUAUGUUAGUGGAAUCUCAUAUGGGGGCAUUCCUGUUCCAAUAUUAACUCAACUUAUAUCAAAUGGUAAGAUUUUUUCAAUGUGGCUCUUUACCCUAGGGAAGUUUUUCGGUUGUGUUACAAUCUGAUUGUUGAAAUUGUUAUGCAGAGAUACAUAGGCAUUGUAAGAGAUCUGAAUAUACUAUAAAUGCUUUCUGUAAGCUUGUAGUAUAUGCGAAGUCUCUUUAGGUAGGAAUAUAGUUGCCACCUUAAGCUAAAUGGGUUUUAUUAACAUAAUGCAGAGCUUUAAGGGGGGGAGGGGGGGAAAGGGUUAAAAGUUCCCUCAGAAAUUUGCAGGCUUUUUAUUCUUUUCUGUCCAUAUGUUAAGUUAUAAAACGCUCCAGAACAAAGCAAGCAAACGUUUCUUUGACCAGUUCAGAUUUCUACAUUAUCUCCUGCUACAAGAUGAUCAGUUGAAGUUUGUUAGAUACAGAGAGUAUAGGAUCAAUACUUUGUUGCUCUAUGACUAUUAAGGCCCUAAAACUUACAUGUAUUUUGGUGUUAUUCCAGGAAAUGAGGACGGCAUUGAACCACGUAUUGAUCUUAAGGUCUAUACCUUUGAUGAUCUUUUCUUUUCUAGUCUACCUAAUCUUGAUUGAUUACAUACUAUUUGGAGAAAAAUUUAACAUCCUGAAGUUUAAAACUGAGACGUUUCCAUUUAUGGCUUCAGGGAUACAUACUCGGAAAUCCAGUAACGAAGGUUUCAGGAAUUCUGAACUAUAGGGUUCCGUUUGCUUAUGGGAUGGGGUUGAUUUCUGAUGAACUCUAUGAGGUAACUUAUUUCCUUUGUUUGUUACCUAUUGAUAUCUCAGAACACUGUCAUUUGUCACAUGCAUUCUUACAAUGUAAAAUUACCCGUGAUUUUCUAAUUGACCUGUAUAUUUACAAUGCAGUCCUUGAAGGUUAACUGUAAAGGGGAAUAUGAAAUCAUAGAUCCCAGUAAUGCAGCGUGUUCGAAAAAUAUGCAGGCAUACAAUGAGGCAAGCAACCAUAUCUAUGCAAUUUUUAUGUGACUAUUUUCAAAAAUUAGGCAAGGCCUAAUGGAUUUACUUAAAGCGUCCCCUAAACUCAAGUAAGAGGGACAGAGUUAAGGAUUGUCAGUGUAACCGUUUCUGACUAGUGUAAUAUCAUUUGAACAAGCAGUAAUUCAUUGUAACUUACUCGUACAAUUUCGUAACAGAGUUGCAGUUAUUGUUAUGGGCUUACACCAGCACUGAUCGAACAUCAUACUUCUGUUGCGAAAUUGUAGAAGUUAACAAUGAAUUACUCUAAUUUAUUCAAACAAUAACACACUUUCCAGAAACGGUUGUAUUGACAAUUGGUUCCUACCCCUUCCCUUUAAUUUGCGGGCUACAAAAGGUGGGAAGAAUCAGAAUAAUGGAACGGGCAACCAGAGUGAUGGUGUUAAUAAUUUGCUUCUGCAGUUGGUUCGUAAUAUUGACGAUCAACAGAUCUUGAUUCCCGUAUGCCCUCCCCUUUCACGAGAGCCAAAUAAAUUAUUUACUGGUGGGAGAUCCAUUAUACAAAUGUUGUAUAAGAAGUUUGAAGAGCUAGACGUUCGGGAAUCUACUCCAGUCAAAUGUCGAGUAAGAUGCUACUAGUAUCGUUCUAUGUAAACUCGUGGAUAAGAGCAUCAGUUCUUGGUAGCACAACUGAUCGCCGUUUAUUCUGUUCACUGGCAAUCGUAGAUGGAAUGGAUUACGCUCGUUGAUCACUGGGCUAACAACAAGAGCGUCCAAGAGGCCCUCCAUGUGCGAAGGGUAUGUCUAAAUCGAGCACUAUGGUAUGUAGCAUUUGAAGAAUGCCGAAGCAAGCCUGAACUGAUUUCUGUAAUCACAUUGCAGGAAACUAUCGGACAGUGGGUAAGCUGCAGCUAUCCCUUGCCAUACACAGAAAAUGCAGGGAGUGUUGUACCAUAUCAUGCAAACCUUAGCACUAAAGGAUAUAGAUCCCUUAUAUACAGGUUUGGUACCUAGCUCUGAAUCUUGAUGCAUGUAGGUUAACAGCAGUGAUUUUAAGUACUGAAAGUGGAGUUCUUUGUGAUUCAGUGGUGACCAUGAUCUGUCGGGCCCGCACAUUGAAACUCAAGCGUGGAUAAGAUCUCUACAUUACCCAAUUAUUGACGAUUGGAGACAGUGGAUUCAUGAAGGCCAAGUUGCCGGGUUUGGUUCAAAAUUGAACAAUGUUUCUUUUCUUGAUUACACCACCAUUAGCACGAGAUAAAAAGAUGACUUUACCCAACUCAUCUAAAUUUGUUCUGUUUUCCUGCUUCCAGUUACACAAGGACCUACGCAAAUAAGAUGACAUUUGCAACAGUGAAGGCAAGAAAUUUCUGUUUCUAUUGCUUCAGUGCAAGAUUUGUUUACAUGGUAACGACUAACAACAAGGUUAGAACAUUCUUGGGACUAACUAGCUCCCCUUUUUUCUUUUUCUUUUUUUCGGGUGAAGGGAGGAGGCCAUGUUGCUUAUGAGUUCAAGCCUGCCGAAUGCAGAACUAUGCUUGAGAGAUGGAUAUCGCAUCAGCCUCUCUAAUCAGUUGGCAUAUGGAUUAUGAACAUCUUUGAUCACUUCUGAGCAUCAAAUGUUCCAAUCUUAAAUAUAUAUAUAUAUAUAUAUUAUUUGUAAUUUUGGGUCAUGAGACGCUUCUACUCCAAGUCUCCAAUGGAUUGCCUUCUUAUGGAGAUAUGAUUAGUGGAGAAGUGAAUAAACUGUAGUAGUUAAAAUGGGAACCACGUUGAAUUCACAGGAAGGUACAGGUUUGGCAAGGAAUUCAAAUAUUCAAAAAAAAAAUUGUUACUCCAUUAAACAUGAAUGGAGGGAAUGUACCAAAGCUUUUAAAAGAUGAUGAGGAGUAGGAAAGGGAAUUUCUUAUUCAUAAUUGAAAAGCAGUUUUCUUGAGAACACUUUUAAAACCUAAAGAAUAUCAAAAGUAGAAAUCCCUUGUAUCUAGGACCGAUCUAAUCACUUUUUAAGCAAAACUGUGACUCAAAAGUACCUUAAAAGCUUUUUUUUUUAAGAUAGCCCUAAAUUACAUAUUUGUGAUCACGGAUGAUCUGAUCAUCGAAGUUUCACACUUGAGUAGAUCCGAUCUUUAGAUAUUCAAUAGGUCAAAUUGUGCUAUCCAUCUCACUAAGUGAUGCGACUUAAUCUGGAUUACUGAAUUUUUGAUAGCCGGAUCUUCCAAGUUUUGGCUGAGCGUGUUAAGUGUAUCAAGAUCUCUCUAUUUAUGAUGAGCCCAACAACAUCGUUCAAAUCUUGCUGGUGCUAAGGGGAAUGGGGCACAUAUGGGUGCAUGGGCUCAAGUUUUUGCCUACUCAUAUGGGAAGGAGGAAUGCAAGGCUCAUAUGGGAAGAUGAGAAACGCCCAAUCAACAAAAACCUCGAGGAGAGAAAGAAGGUGACGGAGAAAAACAGAGAAUAGAGUUUGAACACUCUCAUCAAGUAUUGGGUGGACUCUUUCUGUGUAUGAAAGAAAGAAGGCAAGGUAUGAUGCAGAAAAGCACAGAACGGAUGGCGACUGUAAAAUGGUUAGACCUCAAGGUCCUCAACUCUUGAUCUGUACUUUGAUAAAACUUCAAAGGAGGUAGUGCAAAUAACCCUUCAAUGUUUUAAACAAGUCAUUUUAUUUUCUUUUUUUUUGGUUAUUUGAAGGAAAACAUUUACAACAGAACGGAAAAAAAACAAAAAACAGUUAUGUAAGUGAACUUUACAUGCAUUACAGUUCGUGAAAUUCGUCAAUUCUCUGCAGAAUUCUGUUCAGUGGACUGAACAUAAGCACAAUAUUCCACAACAUCAUCUUUGUAAGAACCAUAUUCGUUUUACCAUUGACUUAGCUUCCAAAGAGUAGCUUCAGUAACACAUAAUCAAAUAAACUUCUACUUCUCGUGAAAAUCAAUGUUCAAAAGCAUCCAUCGGGUUAUCAGAUGAACUUCAACACAAGGGAAAAUAUAUCUUGACAGAUAAAAGGUAUUCUAACGGUUCAAAGAAACCUCAAGUCUCCAAUCUGCAUGCAUAGUCCAAUUAAGGAACUAAUUAUUAAUGGAUCAUUGCAAGAAGUCUGAUUUUGACCUGAAAUGAUGAUGGACGACCAAAACUAUCAAGUACAAAAGCUGAUUCAUUCACUCUGCCUCUGACCCAAAACUGGAAUAUCUUCGUAACGCUUCUGUAAUGCAAUAUUUAUGAAUUUCAGUUAGACAUCCAUGAAGACCACGACGAAGGUAAAGCAGACAUAUCUAUCAUUACAUAAAGCAGGAAAGUAAAAGACUAGAAGCAUCCAUUUCUAGAAGCAGAGAAGAAUAUUGACUAUAAAAGGCACAAUUUGCAGAACACGAGCCAAAUAACACGCAGGUUUAAUUUCAAAUGCUCACUCAAUUAUGAUACUUACCAACCCCACUCGAAUAGGGUACCAAAUACAGUUCUAGACACAAUUUUCAAAGCUUACUUUAAUCUGGCAAGUACCUAUGAUCACUCAAUAGAAACUUCGACGCCAGAUUUUGAAAAUAAUAAUUAGCAUGAUUUCAUAAGCAUUUAGACCUUUUGUGGAUCAGAUAUAACAUCAAAAUAAGGAGCUAAGACAAAGUUAAAACAAAUCCUCAGACAGUGGAGUUCUUAAAAGUUUUGGGCUGAGAGAAUAAACGGUGAUUUUUCUUUAGGACCCAAGUGGAAGGAGAUUUUGGACAUUUCAAGAUCAGAAAUGUAGGCCACUUGGUGUGCGGAAUACUUCAAAAAUGGGGAGAAGAAAGCAGCGAGGGGAGCCAAGGUUGGUGGAGGAAGAACAAACCUUACUCCAUUUCAAAGGAGGAGGCAACUUACAGAAAAAAAAAAAAAAAAGGAAAAAGGAAGCAUGAGAAGAAAGGAACGAGCUAGGGGAGAGAAGGGAAGCAUGCAGAUACGGAAGAGGGGGAAAAUGUUAGGAGAUCUAUGGCACGAGGUUCAGAAAUGAUUGGUCAGUCCAGAUAGUGCAACUACCUAGUAUACAUUGCUUUUAAACAAAAAUUAUUUGACUUUGCUUGCACACAAAAGCUUCUCUAAAUGACUCAAUGAAAAUAAUUACUUGAUACUCCUUGGUCCAGACAACAUUUCAGCUAUAGCAUCACACAUAAAAAUCUUAAUGCUGUUUUGCAUGAUCUAAUAAAUAACUUAUCUGAACAAUUCUUACUAAGAAGCAACCAUAGAAAAUUAGAGUUCAAUCUAAUUCAGCUGAUUCACUGCAUGUUCUUUAGUAAUCAACAGUUUGACUUGGUCUUUUAAGUGUUCAUGAAUGUUCAAUUAGUCAAAUAGCUAACUAAAAUCGGAAAAUAAAUCUUUGAAAAGAUGGAUCUAAAUUCAAAGGUUCCUAUAUAUCAAUCAAGCAUGGUACAAGUCUAAGGACAAGGAACACAUGGUAAAUCAUCAUUUGGUGCCACACUGGAUAACAUUGUAGUCAUGAGAAGAGUGACAAGCAUCUUAAAUCAUCAAAAGGGUGAAUUUAAGCAGAUAACUACUAAACAAUACGCCAAAACUGUAGACAAUACGAGGCGCAAGAAAGACUAAUUAAAUAAUAGAAUUCCAUUGUUUGUAUAUGAUACAUGUUUGAGCCUGUAAGAGCUAUGCUGUGCAGUAUCUCAAAUGAAUUUCAGCUGCAUCGAGUUAUAAUCCUACACUAUCCAACAUCUAUCAUGAGAAGCGUGCACAAAACACACUUCAAGCAUCAGUUCAGAAUUACCACAAUGACUAUUUUCUUCUCUCUCUGUUUCAACAACAGGAAGUUGAGCCUAGGCAUUUCAGCUAGUACUAUCUAACUUGUAUCAGUUGGCUGGGUUUAUUGUCCAGCGUCUUGUUUAUAUAGCAUGCUACAAUCUUGCACAAAGAAAUUGCAGAAACCUCUAAAAUGAUCAAAAAUUAAGUGACUAUUCACAUCAUAUUUAACUCGUCCUUCUCAAUUUCCGACAGCCCCUAAAAACUUUCCUUUUCCCCAGGAGAAAAUACAAGUUUAAUCUCCACUGUAUUUCCACCUCAUAUUCAACUCUCACUUUCCUUUUCUCAAAGAGAAAAUGCAAUGAACAAUUAAAGGAAAACAUCCCUUCCCAAUUGACAAUGUUUCGAUUAGCAUUAUUUGAAGUAAAUAAAGCAAAGGAACAUUAGACAGUCAACUAGAAGGGGAAAAAAAUACAACUGAUCAAAAUACUUCCAAGAAACAAUCUUUCCUAAUUCCUUAUGACAAUCAAAAUCCACUUACAUGGCUAAGUACCAUACAUCACUUAACUAUAGGACAUCUUCAUUUAAUGUCUAUCUCUGCCAAAGAAAUAUACCUCUCCCAGCAUGCUUCAUCCCUUAUUUAUAUACCUUGUACCUCUAGUAUCAAAGCCUACUGCAACCAUGAUUUUAUUUUAUUUUUUCCCGAAUUUAUGAACCUUAUAACUGGUCCCAGGAAGAUUCUAAAAACUGGUGUGGCCAACGUGUUAGAUCAAGGGAAGAAGGGCCAAGACCACCAACAGUACUAUCUUUAAAUUUAGCUGGAAAACAAGUACAGAAAAACGAACUAUCUACAUCCUGUAAGAACCCAAAAAUUAUAUGUACCAAAGAUUCAGGGAUCCAUCCCAAUGGCUGCAUCACAACAAAAAUGCUAAAGAAAAUCAUUCCCUACCAAUAGCUCAUGACCCCUCAGAAACCAAAUAUAACUAACAAUACAUUUUUUAUUGCCCUAUAAAGGAUAUCAUCAAGCUAUAAAGGAGUCAACAUAGAAGAAUAGAAACAAAAAAGCACUCAAGGUCAUUGGAGAUUUAAAAAAAAAAAAAAAAAAACUGCCAGGAAAGCAUAUCUAGCAACUACCCGUUCAGAUUAUUCUUAUGGUUUCCCUAAAUCCUUUACCCCAAAUCUCCUCUCUUCUGUCUGAAAAUGUUACCAUCAGUGCCCAGACCGUACAGAUGUCAUAUUCAGUCCAUGUAUCUAGGCGAUUUUGAAUUUUUCAAAACUAGGGUAUCGGUACACAGCCAAAGAUCUAGAAUCGGCUAGAGGGGGUCUGUCUUGUAUCCUAUCUGUAAGUAGCGUAUUAAGAAAAUAGAAUGACUUAAAUACAACUUAAAUUAUGAAAUGGCUAUGCUUAAAAGAAAAUUUCUGCAUGUAUGUAUCUGAAAAUUAUCUCCACUGUCGCCAAAAAAACAACAAAACUUAUAAGAGUAGGAGAAAAUAAACAUUAUACGUGGAAUUCCAAUCUAACUCUUGCACACACAACCAAUGUACAAUCUUUGCACCUUGAUUUUCUUUUCUAUUUUUGUUCUUGUGUUCAUUAACUUUAUGGUGUCUAAAGUGUUGGACAAAUAUCGCAUACCUUAACCAGGGUCAUCUGAUUUGCAACACGUAUAUGGAUGGGGACAUGAAUAGUCCAUGUAAAACAGCAGAAGGUACAUUAUUGGGGUGAGCUUUUAACUCUCAAUGCACAAAAAUAAGGUGAACAACACAUUCAAAAGAACCAAGACUAAAAAAAUUAAACCCCGUGUAUAUGCACCAAAAAAUGUAUCUCUUACACGAAGGAAAUGAAGUUCAGAAAC